CAUACAUUCCCGACUUCAAGUUGGCCUUUAAGCAUUUUUGCAUCCACGUUGGAGGCCGACCUGUUCUUGAUGAGAUGGAGAAGAGCCUCGAGCUCACCAAGUGGCACAUGGAGCCAUCACGAAUGACUCUAUACCGAUUCGGGAACACCUCGAGUAGCUCAGUGUGGUAUGAAUUGGCCUAUUUGGAGGCCAAAGGAAGGAUUAGGAAAGGCGAUAGGACAUGGCAAAUUGCAUUCGGGGCCGGAUUCAUGUGCAACAGUGCAGUUUGGCAGGCGUUGAGGACCGUCGACCCGGCGAAGGAGAACAACCCAUGGAUGGACGAUAUUCACGAGUUCCCCAUCUAGGUUCCAUAAGUGUUGUCCAUUGAUCUAAUGCAAAAUAAGCACUUCGGAUGGGAUUUUGCCAAUAUAGGCAAAGUUGAUUCCGAAGGAUACGCAAAUCCUUAAUUAUUAUGUUGCCUUGUGCUCAUAAGCAAGCAUCAUUCCAAAUCUUAUGGUUACGUGGGUAUUUAAAUAUGUCGAGAAUUUUCUGAUGCUCGUGGUUAUCUAAAUAUUUGAAUAUGUCAAGUAUUUGCGAUUAUCCAAGUGCUUCCUCUCCAAGUCCCGUUGCUUGUAUAAGUGCAUGUUUAUACAAAUUUUCAAAUACUUAUGGUUAUGUAGGUAUUUUAAUGUUUUAUGUAUUUGUGAUAAUCUAGACGUUGAUAUUUGAAUUUUAGUCGACAAGUUAAGCAUUGCUUUAAAGAAAAAAAAAAGGAAAAAAGGGUUAAUUAGUUUUUUACCCUAUCGGUGACCAACUUGGUGUGAUACCUGACUUGAUUGACUCGCAGUACCUUCUCCACCCAUGGUUAAGUCAAGAUCCUUCUUCACUCAAGACUUUGUUGCUAUCCCUAGCAAUUUCGAUGGGCAUGGCAAUUAUGCAUCGUUCAACAUGUUACGUCCAAUCAUCGAGACCGGUACUGAUGUGGUUGGAGCGCCUGCUGUCCCUCUCGCGCUCCAUAUUAAAUUGGCAACGAUGUGGCUAUACCUUAUAAAAUCUGCUGUUUCCCCAGUUGAGUAAACGAUUCAACGCCUACCGACCCAAAUCCUUCUUCACUCAAGACUUUGUUGCUAUCCCUAGCAAUUUCGAUGGGGCAUGGCGAUUAUGCAUCGUUCAACAUGUUACGUCCAAUCGUCGAGACCGGUACUGAUGCGGUUGGAGCGCCUGCUGUUUUUCUCGCGCUCCAUAUUAAAUUGGCGACGAUGUGGCUAUACCUUAUCAAAUCCGCUGUUUCCCCAGUUGAGUAAACGAUUCAACGCCUACUGACCCAAAAAAGGGCAUCCAUUCAAUGCACACGCUCAUCUAAGGAAUUAAUUGUCCUGUGAAUUAGAUGCUGCUCGCUCUCUCUCAAUUAUACUCUGCUUUUGCACGACAUUUUACUAUGAAAUUGGAAAAAUGUUAAUAAGGUUCCCCAAAGCAAUUGCUAACGAUCUUUAAUUGUACUUUUGAAUUGUACAUUUUUUAUACUUGAAGUAGGUGAUUUCUGGAAAUGUUCACCAUUUCAAAUUUUAAAAAUGCUUGGAUACGCCUUUUUAUCGUUUGCAGUACUCUUAACUAGUGCACCUAAAGAACUUGUUGACAAAACCUAUUAUGAUUUUUUAUGGGACUAUUAAAAUAUAACUUAAUAUGCAGUGGAUACGGUCAUAAUUAGAAUUAAUUUUGUACCAUACUUUUUUGACUAAAAUUUUUUACCAUACUUUACUAAAUACUAAGUUUCUAGUUGGUACAUCUGACAUAGAGGUUUCAAAUUUAAAUUCUUGGGUAUCCUUUUUACCCACCUAUGAGCUUCAUUCUUUAUAUACACCUUAACACACCUUCAUCAUUGAAUCGAUUUCCUCAUAAUAAGAAGCAUUUUUAGAUAUCAAUAUAUUUUGAUGUGGAUGCGAUUGCUGAGAAAUUUUCUGGAACAUUCAAAUAAGUUUAACAUAGUCAAUGAGUUCGAGACAAGCGAUUCAAUGAAGAUUUAUGUGAUUUUUCAACAAGAUAUCGAGAUGUGAUGGAUAUUUUAUAGUAUAAAUUCAUAUAUAGUUUUAUAUCUUCUUUGUCUUGAUUAUUUAGUUUAGGUUUUUUUUUUCCUUAAAGGGAUAUUGAUUUGCUACUAUUUUGAAUUAGGGAUUCGAUAUUUUGUCCUUUUUAGGGGUUACGCUUUUUUCUACUAUAAAAAAGUGCUAUGUAUCGAGAAUAGAUAGCUUCUUCAUCGUUAAUCUGUAUACAUUAUAGAGAGAACAUUUUUUCUUGUGUUUGGAGAUUCAGUUUUCUCUAAAUUAGUAUUAACCACAUUUUCACUGCACCGUAUACUUCUCGUCGUAUUGUGAUAGCAAGCACGCAAGUACACAGCAAUUUCAGGACGUGUACUUUCCACUUAAUCUAUGUGAGGCCACACCUUCUUACACCCAUUUCGUUCUUUCAUGUAGAUUGUUUCUCAAUAACACUUUAUCUGUGGAGCUCACUUUGCAUAUAUUCAAAUCUACGUCAUCAAAUCGAUUCCCUCUCGAGAGGAAACAUGAAGGUCAUCAUAUGAUAACUCAAACUUUAGGAGUAGGUUAUUAUUCUUAUAAUCCCAAAACGUGUACUUUCCACUUAAUCUAUGUGAGGCCCUCAUCAUCCAAUGAUUGCCACAAACUAGUUCGACACGUGUAACUCUCAAUAGGUGUUUGAACUAAAUUAAUCUUAGAGAAAAUUCUAAAUAAAAGCUUAAACAAAACUGUUUUUUCAAAAGAUGGUAUAUAGUGGACCUCGAGGGCCAACCUAGUUUCAAAUAAGGAUUUAAGCUCAUCGGCCGAUCAAAUCUUAUAUAAUGCCAGGGGUAUUUCUGUUGAUGGUUAUAUUUUAAAAUUUUCUUUCAUUUUUUCUUCUUCUCGCUUUUUCUUUUUAAAUUCUUUUCUUUUCUUUCUUUUUUUUCUUUCAUCUUCCUCACACCUCCUUCUUGGUCCUACAUCACGUCCAUCUUAAUUUACAACUGCUUAAUGGUUGAUACAUAAGUGGAGAUCCAACGAUUGAAAAUUUAUAAAACCUUCUAAUCACCAAAGACACUGAAAUUACAAACGCUCAAAACCUGAGUAAAAAAAUUCUCAAUCUCUCUCUCAUCUCCACAAACCAGCUGCUAUCACCUUCAGUCACUCUUCAAUUUAUAGUUUCUUAGGAAUGCUUUGAUGGUUUGGGUUAUCUGAUUCAUGACAUUCAUAGAUGCAGUUUGCAUUAAGGUGGAAUAUGUGGUUUCUUGAGAGGGUCCCAAUUGUGUUGUGCAUGCUUAUUAUCUACUCAUAGAACGAAUCAACACUCAUCAAACUUGUAAUGUGAUCAAAAUCAUCAGAAACCCCAUAAAUUUAGAAUUAUAAACAUAAGUAAAUAAUGCAAUUGUUGAUAUUUAGAGGUGAUUUAUCAAAUUUUGAAAAGAAUCAAGAUGGAGAAAUGGCGGAAAUAACAAUUCUGGCGGCAGAGGAGUGGGAGAGGAGGAUGAAGCUGAAGGUUGAAGAAGGAGGUGUAAAUGAUUGAAGGAAAUGAAGAUGAAAAUCCGGCCACAAAAAUCUCAAAUAAAUCCAAGUCUCGUUGACGAGAUUGACGAGAGCUUGCUUGUGGAUGAAUCUGAGUUUGAAGGGAUCGAAGAGAAAAAUCCGACCACAAAAACCUCUAAUAAAUCUAAUCUCAUUGUUGAGACCAGGGAGAGCUUGCUCGAGGACGAAUAUAAGUUUAAUCAUUGAGGACGACGAGCUAAUGGCUUACACCUUUGAGCUUCAUCUUUCACCUUUGCCAUGCUUGACCAUGAGCAUGAGAUCAAGGUCUCAAAUCAAGCACGAGCGUUAGAUCUCAGAUUACUCAUGCUUGAUCUAGGGUUAUGAUCAGUUUGAAGGGAUCGAAGUGUUGGAAUAUAAUAUAUUGGAGGAAAUAUAUGUAACACUAUCUGUAAUAACCAGGAAAAUAAAAACUUUGAGAAAGCAGUAACAACUUUAAUCAUGACCAAUUGAAUGAGGACACAAAUGCAAGUGAAGAGUACAUCAAUGCAAACCCGAUAGAGACUAGCAAAAUUACUAUAAAAUUAUAAUAAAAUUGAAUAGGAGGUGAGAUAUGGCCAACAAAAUUUCUUUAAGGUGAUUAGUUUCUAUCAACGGUCCUAAGCAUCUCUAUGAACUAUGCCUCGUAAGAUAAAACACAUUGAACCCGUUUGAAUUAGUAUUGUACAACUAGAACUCUAUCGAACACUUUUAAAAAAUCAGCACACUUAGAGAAAAUUGAAGUAAAGAGAUGAGAGUUUUUGUUGUUGUAUGAAUAAAGAAUAGUGCAAAUUAAUUUAUAGAUUUUGAGAAGUACUAAAAAGAUACAUAAACUCAAGAGAUGUGAAUUCAGCACACUUACAGAAAAUUGAAGUGAAGAUAUGAGAGUUUUUGUUUUUGAAUGAAUAAAGAAUAAUUCAAAUCAAUUUAUAGAGUUUGAGAAAUCAUGUAUUGAAAAGAUACAUAAAUUCAAGAGAGAUAUGGACUCAAAAGAUAUAUGAAUAAAAGAGAUAUAUGAAUUCAAGAGAUGUAUGAAUUGAAGAGAUGUAUCUUGUUUUGAUCACUUUCAUUGAUCUAUUAACCCACCAUAAUUACAGCACGAAGAGAACAAUCCAGCUACAAGAACCUCUAAUAAAGCCAGUGUCAUUGUCAAGACCAACAAGAGCUUGUUCAAGGACAAAUUAGAGUUUGAGCAUUGAGGACAAUAGAGGGGAGGGAGACGAGCUAAUGGCUUACACCUUUAAGCUUUGUCUUCCAUCGUCACCAUGCUCGACCAUGAGCAUCAUGUGAUCAAGGUCUCAAAUCGAGCAUGAGUAUCAAAUCCCGAAUUGCUUGUGCUCGAUUUAGGGCCCAAAUUGGCUCCAUCUGAUGAAGAAGGUGCUAGAGUUGUUGUCAAGGGCAAUGGUGGAUGAGGUUGAGGGCAUCAUGGGAUAGUAAGGGACUUCGGAGGAGGAGAGAGUAAAGAUGGAGACGUGAGGAAGACGAUGAAGAAAAAGGAGAAAGAAAGACAAAAUAACAAAAAGAAAAAGAGAAAAAGAAAGAAUUUUAUUUUUUUUUAAAAACAUUCGGCCGAAAAAUAUCCUUGACUAUAUUUAAGAUUUGACUUUUAAUAUACCUUUACCUGAGAUUAAGUUGAUCAUUUCAUAUACUCAUAUGAGACAAAAUCCAUUGUAUGAUCUCUUUUAUAAAAAAAUUACCUUUAGGCUUAAAAUUUUCCCUUAAUCUCAGUAAUAAGUGUAUAAUAACUCCUCAACGCUAUCCAUGGCUCUUAUUUAAAUCCACCCCUAGACACUCCCCAAUCUUCCUCAUGCAUUGCUAAGACCCUAUCUCUCUGCCUUUUCCCUCCAUUUGCUUUUGGAACUCCAAGUUCUCGUCCUUUGUUAUUCUUCAGGAAACCCCCCUAACUUGAAGAAGACACACAGGAAACCUCCGAAGCUGCAAAAAUCUCGUCUUUUCUGCAAGAAAUGGCCGACCAACAAGAACAAUUAAGUCCACAAAACCCAGAUCAAAUAGUCCCGUCUCAAUCGAACCUCGAAGCCAAGACUUGGACAGAACAUCAAACCACAACCUCCCAAACUUUCCUCUCGUUAGUGAGACUCAAGUACGUGAAGCUCGGCUUCCACUACCUCAUCUCCAGUGCUGCGUAUUUACUUCUCGUGUCACUCCUUGGCAUCUCCUCAGCUCACCUCUCCACCCUCGCAGCCCGAGACCUGGCCCAAAUCUGGGACCAACUUAGGUAUAGCCUUAUCACCAUUGUGCUCUGCUCGACCUUCGUGGUGUUUCUGGUCACGCUCUACUUCACGACCCGACCCAGAAAUGUCUAUCUUGUUGACUUCGCCUGCUACAGCCCCGACUCGGCCCAGAUAUACACCGGCGAGACCUUCAUGGAGCUAUGAGAGCUCACGACCGCCUUCACCGAGGAGAACCUUGCUUUACAGUGGCGGAUCCUUGAGCGGUUUGGGCUCGGUUAGUAGACAUAUCUUCUUGAGGCCCUGCUUCGGUUCCCCCCAUCCCUGUGCAUGGCAGAAACAUGGGCGGAGGCUGAGGCCAUCAUGUUUGGGCCGCUGACCAGCUGCUAGCCAAGACUAGGUCAAGGCUAGGGGUGUGUAAAAGAACUGGAGCCCGCUUGAACCGUCCGGAACCGGCGGUUCUUAGGGAAAUCAGUUCAAUUCUCGAUUCUAAUUUAUGGGGGCCGGUGGGUACCAAUCCAAUUCCCGAUUCCAUGGGCAGAUCUACCGAUGUGCCCACCCAAACCGGACAUAUUAUAUUAUAAUAAUAUAUUAUUUUUUAAUAUAUAUAUAUUUUUAAAUUACCAAAUUUGAAAUUUAGGGCUCCAAUCUCUCAAUUCACUGCUCUCCUGCCAAGCUACUCCAUCUCGUCUCUCUCAGUUUGAACUCUCCCUCCGCUCCCUCUUCCUCUUCGAUUCACCUCUAAAUUUUCUCAUCUCCCUUUAAGACUUAGUCCGAAAGCAGCUGUCUUGGCAAAAUAGUGAUCGAUUCUCUUUUCCUCCCUCGAACUUGAACUCUCUCUCCACGUCGUAGCCAUCCUCGUCGCCACCUCCGCAUUCAUUGUCACCGUCGUCCUCAUCGUUGCUGGGCUCGUCCACUUACUUCUAUGUCGCUCUUAUUGUGGAGCUUCUUUUGUCGAACCGUUCGCUUAUGCUUUUGUGUUUGUUCGAGUUCACGUGAACGCUAUUUUGUGUGGAGCUUGACUUUGGCUCAAAUUUGAUGUUUGAAGAGCUGAUUUCUCUAUCGUUUCAUGGGCGAUCUGUCACUCGAGUUUAAUGAUUUUUCCUUCGUGUGUCUUGUGUGUUUUGGCCGCUACUGUCGAGUGCUAGCUAUGGAGGGUAAAUCAAUGGUGGGUUUUUAUCUUUAGCAACUUUGAGAUGUAGAUAGUAUAGAAGAGAGAGAGAGACUCAUUUUUCUUUUUGAGUUGGUCUCUGUUGUUUCAUACGGAGCUUGACUUUGGCUCAAAUUUGAUGUGUGAAGAAUUGGUUUCUUCGUCGUUUCAUGGGUGAUCUGGCACUUGUCUUUUGUUGAGAUCGAUUCCAAGUAUUCACCCGGUAUGGUUCUCGGGUGGAUCCAUGCAACUAACUGGCGGUUCCCAAUUCUAAUUUUUCAAAACUGAUCCUUAACAAGCGGUUCCCAAUUCUAGGCUAAGAAUCGUCCACCUGGACCAUGCAUACCUCCAGUCAAGGCCAGGACAAAGGGAUCCUCAUUGUGAACUAUAGCUUGUUCAACCCGACUCCAUCCUUAUCUGUAAUGAUCAUGAACCACUACAAGCUUCUAGCGAAUUUGUCAAUUUACAAACUUUCUGGCUUGGGUUGCGAUGCUAGUUUGAUUUCUAUCGACCUUGCUAAGCAGUUAUAACAAGUUUGGUCCUUUUUUUCCUCUCUUUUUCUAUUCUUCAAAGUAUAAGUUUGAUAAUAAGAACUUUUUAUGAACAGCACCCUCAGCGCUAUCUAAGCAAACAUGGAAUGAGAACUUUCAUCGUUGAAGGAAUUGCCAAAUAUAAGUUGGGCAAUGUUGAAACCUAAAUUUUAAUUAGAUUUUUAGGCCUUAAUCUCUCUUUUAAUCCUUAUAAUAAAUAAAAAAAACAACAACACAAAUAAAAACAAACAAAAUAAAACAAAAAACAAAAAGUAGCAGGUCGCUAGGGGCUGGGCCUUUGCACCCAACCCCCUUUUCUUUCCCUUUUCCCCCACCGUGUGGGCCCAGGCCCAGCCCUUUUUUUCCCUAGAUUCGGCCUGGCUUCUUUCUUCCUUCUUUCUUCCUUGCUCUUUCCUUCCCCGCCUUUGUAAGCCACACGCAGUGACGACGACGCACUCAAGGACAGCCUACGACGAAGAGGGGAAGAGUAGUUUGGUAGCAGACGGGAUGCGCAAGUGGGGUGGCCGAGGAGAUGCCGGUUUAGCCGCACCCAGGGCCGAUCGGUGUGUGAGGGCUAGUGGCCGAACCUCUAUCGACCGGCCUCCUCCUCGCCUAUAAAUAAGGGGUCACCACGUCCGUCGACGAACACACAGAAGCGAGCGAGCUCAGAGAGAUCCCCCAAGGGACUUCAGAGGAACUCAAAGAGUGAGCAAGGUAGAGAGGGGUUGUGAGUUUAAACGACCUCCCACCGAGAGACAUUAGGGGAGGCCGGCAGCAAGUGAACCCAGAGAGAGAAGGGAGACCAAAGGAAGGCCUGAGCGAGAUCUGGGUGAGGAGCCAAGAUCCAAAGACCAGAUCUAAAGAUCCGAGAGCGAGGGGCGGUAGAAGGGCUAGAUCUGACCUUACUGGAUCAGACUAGGAGUUGUCGUCGCCUGCUGUUGCAAUUCCACCAACCCCGAUGACCUCUAGCCAGCAUCCUUAAAGACGGUGAGCAUCCCCCGACCUUUUGCUUACUAUCCUGCUGCCGAGUAGGCCAAGCCCACGACUACUUGGCUUUUGCAAGCUUCGCCUGCCGACCACCCUCACAACCCUGAGCCAUCGCAGGAUCCAGCUCCGUCUCAACAUAGCCCAACACCGCUGACAUCAUUACAGUAAGCCCAAUGCUGAUGUUGUUUGACCCCUACGCCGACCCUGGUAACACCGACCUACCAUUGCUCACCUCGAUGCCCCCCCUCGGUCACCAGUGCCGUGCCACCCUUACCCAUUCCUACAGACCCCGACGACGCCCCCUCCAUAGAAACCCUAGCCAUCGCCACCACUUGUUGUGUCGUCGCCGUCAACCCUACCACUUCUCGCCGCGUUGCCGUCGCUAGGUCGUUAAUGAUCCAAUCGUCCCUCCUUAGUGCCAUGAAGAAGCAUUGGAGGAGAGAGUUGCGAAAUUGGGUCGAGCCAGGUUGAACGCGGGUCGUUGUUUGAGUAAGGAUCUAUUUGGGUGUGGAUCGAGUAGGGUUUUGGUUGGUUUAGGCUAACUAAGCCCAAUCGCACAUGGGUUGCUCGCAUGGGCUUAGGAGUGGGUGGCCUUUUUUUUUUAAAAAAAAUUUUGCGGGCCUUGAUUAAAACAUCCAAAAGAAAAGGAAUCUCGGGUUGGGCUUGCAUUUCAAGCUUGCCUGGGUCUGCUGCCGCUGAUCCGGGUCAGACCCAACCUGGGAUCCGACCUUGUUUGUUUUUUAUAUUAUAAUAAAUGAAGAAGACCCCACUGACACGAUCUGGCAAGAGGAUCGGCUACCCUAGUCCUCAAGCAGCACGCGGCCAUAUUCGCCUCCUCCUAAAUCGAUGGCGACUAUUUUCCCCAUCCUCCUAGAGUAAGGAAUGAUCUCUAAGGAUUUGAGACGCCCUGCCCCUAAGUAUUUCCCUGAUUAUUAUCCAUCUAAGUAUUGUGACUACCAUUCGGGGGAGUUGAGGCACUCAUUAAAUGACUGUACUAUUAUGAAAAAUAAGGUUCAGGAUCUUUUGGAUGCUAGGGUAUUCACGUUCCUCUCUCCAUGGCUAUGUUAUGGCAAAGAUGACCUCCUCGUGGUACCGAGCACCCGUACCAUGUUCCUUGAACAUGCUAAGGAGAUGCGUAGAGGAAAGGUAAUCAUGUACACUUUGGGCCAAUUGAGUGGUAAAUUCGACUACUAUGUCAACUAUUUAAUCCCCCAAGGUUUCUAUGACCAUCAUCAGAGCAUCGUUCCUAAUAGAUGGGGCGGCUUGGAUGAUAUGAAAUUCACAAAGCUAGGAGCACAAGGAGGUGUGACUGGUGACUAUUAUGAAGAUUUCUUCGAUAGUGCCAUCAGGGAAGGACCGUUAGGGGAAGUGGGUGUAGGCCCACUCAAGUAGAACCCUUUUUAAUUUCCUUGCAUAUUCCCCUAUGUGGAAACCUGUACAUCUUUCUGGUUUGUUUUGUUUUCAACAUCAGAUCCGCUUGAGGAACUAACUUUGAAAAUCACUCUUCCAAAAUGUAAAUCCACCUAUUACUAAAUAAAGCUGAAAACAUUUUGAGGGCGUGAGGAGACAUACCAAACCAGCCCAUUGAUGAUAUCCAGCCGGGAAAUGAAAGAAGAAAUCUGAGGCUUGAGUUUCCUCAUGCUUCCUUCCCCCAAAGAAAUAUGCUUUUGAAAACAAAAAAUAUUUCACUACCAAAAGUUUUGUCAAAACAGGAUGUUAAAUUUAAUCUUGUUUAUUUACUUCAUGUCUCAGAAUACCAUCCCCUUUGACUUAAUACAACAGAGGGCAUUUGAAAAUGGCAUGUUAUGACACCCUUUCAAGCAAGCAAGGGCAAACAGAAAGGAUUAUCCCCCUUCUCAUUUGGUGAGCCACCCCCGGUAGCUUUGUGCACUCCACCAGAGCAAUAUCUUCUUCGCACAACAUGCCUUAACAACUACAUGCUGUGGUUUUAUUAAUGGGAUUUUCAGCUUCAACAAGCCAAGAAACACAGAGAAGAAAUUUCAUCUCUUCCUUUAAAUUGACUACUGUCAACAGGCAGAAAAUCCAGAUAUCUGAGAAGUGAUUGCCAUCAGAAAAUUGGGGACUUUACCUAAUGCUACUAAUGUUCUGUCGCGGCCUAAUUUUCGCGGGUUCACCACCUAAAACAAGGUUAAUAGAUUACUAAGUCUUUAAGCUUAGCUCGGGCUCUCCCAAGCCCAUACCAAACCACGACUUAGGUUUAAUUUUUUUUAACAUGCAAAAGAUGAUUAUCUAGGAGUCGCCACUAAUCGGUUUAUGGUAGGUCGAUUAGACACCUAAGUAAAAUAAAGGGAGAUUUAUUUUACUCCUACGAACCAGAGACUAAGGGUAUGGGGACUUGGUUACAUUAGAAUUUUCUAAUGCCCUUUCGGUACCAUUUCUUUUUAAUUUUUCAAAAAUGUUUUUGCAAGCAGCUGAUUUAUUUUAACCUAAAUUACUAUCAUGCAAAUGUGGUGACCACACGGGUGCUCAUCCAUUAUUAAAGCAAUCAAAUAAAUAAAUUGCAUCACACAAAGCAAGCAAUCAUUUUUUUUUGGGUUUUCUUAAAAAUUAGAAUGAUUUUAUGAAAAUGCAUUUUUAGACCAAAUGACUUAAUCUUAUUAAUAUGCAAAUUUUAAUUAAAUGGGCCUAUUAUGCAAACUAAUUAUUAUGCACCUUAUGACCUAUCUUCACUGAUAAAUUCUAAGUAAAUGAUCAUAUUAUGCAACUAAUUAACAUGCACCUAGAUUUUUGGAUUUUUUAUUUUUUUUAUUGAAAUUCAAAACUAAUAAAAACCCUAAUUAAUCUAUCUAAAAAUGGAUAAUUUUCUAAUCUAUUCUAGGGAUUAAUUUGACUUAAACCCUAUCCUAUCUUAGAAAGCUAUUUUUUUGGGAAAAUGAGAUAAUUAGAAUAUGCGAACAUUAUCUAAAACCCUAAAAAAUAUUUAGGUUCAACCCUAACUUAUUCCUAAAAAUGCAAUCUUAAAAAUGCAAUCCUAAGAAAAUCCUAAUUUGUUAAACCUACAUGCUUGAUUUACUAAACCUAUAUACUCAUGCAGAAUUUUGAUUUUUUUUUAUCUUAUGAUUUUUUUAGUUUUUUUUUUUAAAGAUAAGUAAUUAUUAAAUCUAAACUAUCAACAAAAUCAAGCAAUGAAUGAUUAAAAUAACCGAAAAAAUAACCUGUUGUCUCACAGGUCAAAUUAACGAUUAUUCUAACCAUAGUUAUCAAGCAGAGAGAUCAAAAUAAUUACAAAUCUGAUCCGAAGUCUUACGGACCAAAUUAAAUAAUCAUUGUGAUUUAACAAUUAAAAUUUCACUCAGAAAGCCCAACAAUUAAAAUAAUUAAAAAAAAAUGAUCCAAUGUCUCUUGGAUCAAAUUAAUAAUUAUAAUAAUUCCAGACAAAAUCCCUGCGGAUAAUGCAUACUAAAUUCACAAAUAUUAACAUCAAAUAUUACAACUUAAAUAGAUAAAGUAAAAAUGAGAUAAAAUAGAACAAAAUAAAUAAAAGAAAAAGCUAAACCACCUAAAGAAAGAGGGGCUUGCUGCAGCGUUGAUGGGUGUCGGACGGACGGUGGCCGGCGUCGGGUACUGCAGGUCAGCGACGGCAAGGUGGCGCGGGAGGUGCAGGCACGGGCGUUGGGUCGAGCAGCGAGAGGGCUCGCGGGCGUUGCAAGUCGCAGGUUGCUGCACAGCGAUGCUCGCGAGUGCUGGUGCGCGGAGCAGGGGGUUCGGAUCUCCUGGCGUCGGUCACGAGCAGGACAGAGAGCAACCUCGGGUCGUCAGGUCACUGGAUCCGUGGCGUCAGGUCACCGAUUGCAGGCGGAGUGCGACGGAGCAGGAGGCUUCGGCUACGGGGAAAAAUGCUGGCAAGGAGCUCCGGCGAAGGGUAUCCGCGGCGACGGUGGUUGCACGAUGAUGGCUCCGGUGAAAGUAAACCUGCAACAAAACGGCUGAUCUUUCGGGCAGUAGCUGAUGGUGCAUCGAGGACAGCAGCAGAUUCGGAUCCAGGGGUAGCAACUCGUCGCUUGAGCGGCAGGUCGUUGUGGAUCGACACGGCAGGGCGGCGCCGGGGUGGCGCGGAGCGGCGAUACUCAAGGCGGGAGCGGCGUCAGCAGGGGGGAGUCGCAGACAACUGGGCUGGUAUCGCGGGUUGCUCGCGAAGGAGGCUCGACGUAGCUGCUCGCGGGCGAGGGGAACCCUGGUGGUGGCGCGGACACACGGCUGUGGAAGCCCUGCGGAUGGAAGUUGCAGAGGAGGGGCAGCGGACUUGAGGAAGAUGAUGAAUAGUAGGGGUCAAAUCACCUUUUGCCUUUUUACCUUUCUCCUCUCUCUUUCUCUCUCUCACGUUCUGACUUUUCCUCUUUUUUUCUUUUCUCGCAGAAGCCAAAACCUCUCUUGACCUACCUUUCUGAAUUUUUUUUCCAAGAAGCCCCCCCGGACGAAGAGAAGGCCACCCCCAUUUAUAGAGUGAAAACUUAGUCUGCUCAACCUAGGAAGAUUUGCAUAACAACUCAAUCGCUGAAGAUCAUCUUUCGAGAUUAUCGUGUAUGCUGACUCACUCGGCCAUUGAAAUCAUCUAUUAAAAUCUUCCAAGUUGACUCGCUCGACCAUUGAAGAUUUUAUAUGCUGACUCAGCGAUUGAAGAUAAACUGGAAUUUUUUGUGAAGAUUUUUCCAAAUAAUUCACUUUAGAUAAAACUCCAUUAUCCAAUUCUAAAAUCUUUCGAGAUAUCCAUCCGCAACAAAAUAUUUUAGAAUAUUCCUUAUCCUCCUUAAUAUUCCAAACUUUAAGAUUACAGUGCAAUUUUUUAAUUUCCAAAAAUCAUCAUAAUAUCGCAUCAAAUCUUAAAUUUUCACAAGAUAAUUAAUUAAACAUAACGACGGGCUUGGGUUAAUUUUCUUCAUGGGCUUAGUCCAGCCUAUUAAUUUAAAACCCAAAAUCACUAAUUCAACCCAUCCACCACCGGUCCAGUAAAUGCAAAUAAAAAAUAAAUGCACCUACAACUAAAUGCUAUGCAAUUAAUUAAUUAUUGAUUAAACCCUAAUUUUGAUGCGAUAAAUGACUAAACGGACCGUCAAAAUCUAGGUGUCAACAGCUGCCCCUCUUUGAAGGUGAGCUCAAAGAGGUUGCCUUAAAAGACAAAUUGAGACCUAUAUUUUGACUAUGCACAUGCAUUGAAUGGUUUUUUUUUUUUUUUAAAUGAAUCCCAUUUUAAAAUGCAAUUUAUAUGAUACAUGGAAAUGCUAAUGCAAAUGAACCUACCUAGAAUAACUUACCUUCAAAGAGGGUAGAGUGAUUCAAGAUAGUUGGUGUUACAUGUCCAGGACCCGUACCAUUUUACGGUCGCCCAGAAUAGUAACAUGGCUUUGUAAAGAGACUGCUUUCCCAGGACUCGUACCAUUCUACGGUCGCCCAGUAUGACAGUGUUUGGUUGUGUCUAGGACUCGUAUCAUUCUACGGUCGCCUAAACGGGGAUUUACCUUCCAGGACCCGUACCAUUCUACGGUCGCCUGAAUAGGGAAAUAGGUUUUGUCUAGGACCCAUACCAUUCUACAGUCACCUAAAUGGGGAAAUUGAUUUUUCAGGACCCGUACCAUUCUACAGUCGCCUGAAUGGGGAAAUUGCUUUUCCAGGACCCAUACCAUUCUACGGUCGCCUGUUAGAGCAAUAAAUGUUGUCUAGGACCCGUACCAUUCUACGGUCGCCUAAACGAGGUUUUGCUUGGCUAGGACCCGAACCAUUCUUCGGUCGCCCAGCCUUGCAACAGAGGUCAACUGACCAGGACCCGAACCGUUCUUCGAUCAUCUUAAUCAGAUUGAAUCUGGAGGAAAAUCUUUGGGGGACAACUCAGUCGAGUGUCGGUGUUUUCGAAAGGGACUCUGGGCUAUGACAGCACGACAGGUCAAUAUAAAGGGACAUUGGGCUACAAAAGCACGCCGAGUCGAUAAAGAGGGACUCUGGGCUACGAAAGCACGCCAGGUCAAUAUAAAGGACACCGGGCUACGAAAGCACGUCGGGUCAAUAAAGAGGGGAACUCUGGGCUACGAAAGCACACCAGGUCAAGAAAGAGACAUCGGGCUACGGAAGCACGCCGAGUCAAUGAAAGAGACAUCGGGCUACGGAAGCACGCCGAGUCAAUGAAAAUGACUCUGGGCUACGAAAGCACGCCAGGUCAAUAUGAAGGACACCGGGCUACAAAAGCACGCUGGGUCUAUUAAAGGGACUCUGGGCUACAAAAGCACACCAGGUCAAGAACUCCGGGCUACAGAAGCACGCCGGGUCUAUUAAAGGCGACAUCGGGCUAUGGAAGCACGCCGAGUCGAUGAAAAUGACUCUGGGCUACGAAAUUACGCCAGGUCGAUAUAAUUGGACAACUUGACCAAGUCAAGUGUCGAUGUACUUGAGAGAGAAUACCUGCACAAUGACAAGUAUUUUAGAGUAUGGUAGAGAUAUACUUACCUGAUGAUAUCUCUGAUUCUUGGGGAUAUGUCUUUUUGGAAUUUGGAUAUCCUGUGGAGGUCUUUCACCUCCUGGUGGAGGUUUCUCAUCUUCUAAUAUCAUGAAACAUUCUGAAAGGAACUUGAAUUACUUGUCAGACAUGAAUUAGAGCAAAAACUGAUAUGCAUUCAUCAAAGAGAUAGACAAUCUAAGCUACUCUAGAAUGCACAUUUCAAAAUUCAGUGAGGUUUUCAUCAAUUCAAUCAGGGUUUAUGCAUAAUGACCUUUGCAUCACCCAAAUUUCCACUGGAGAGAAUUAUCAUUUAAGACAAUCUUCACUCAUGACAUGGAUUUCUUAAGAAUACUAAAUGAGAGACUUUCGGUUAGAAAGGACUUUCACUCACUCUCAUUUAGAAUGGUUAUGAGAAUCGCUCAAUUUUAUCAUAUCAACAUGGGUCCAAGUAUUCUCGCAAGCGGUACGAUCUUACCAAUCUGAGAGGUCUUUAACAAGGACCAUAAUGUGGCUUGGUCAACGGCUUAACAAAAUGACUCUUUGAGUCAAAGCUAUUGAAUGAACUGUCUUGUAAUCAUCUCCGGGUUUACAAGUCAAGAACCUUGCAAAAUGAAAAAGAAAUAAUCUUGCUCGCACUUCUUCAAGCGAUGCUUAUAAACAUAUGAACUCUUACGUUAAUUCAAAUGCCCUAAUCUGAAGAGACUUUGUAAGGGACGUAACGUAGGUUGGGUUCAUGGGUUGAGAAAUGAAAGGAUCAUUAGGCUCAAAAUGUGUGUAAAAGGUGUGAAUUGAUGAUCAUCUUGGCAUUGCCACCAGUUUUCUUUUUCACCAUUGGGGAUCGUCUUCAUGAAAUGCCCCAUUGAUUAUGAAAACUCAACUUUUGAGCUCUUUGAGUAUUGCUCCAUUGAAACUCAAUUCUUGCAAUUGACAGUCACCUAUCUUGACUUUCUUUUUUCAUCUAUGGGCAUUGACUUUGCUUUUACCAGGCACACCACUUUUAUGCCCAUAGCUCUCAUGCAUUUUUUCUUCACUUUUUUUUUCAUGGGCAUUGGCCUUGCUUUUACCAGGCACACUGCUUUUUCAUGCCGCUUAAUUCUAUUUUGAAUUCAAUUCUUGCGCACCAUGCAUGCGUCAAGCAAUUACACUUUGAAUGACACUCGAACUUUUCAAGAGUCUUCAUCUGUCUUUUGCCUUGCCCCAGUAUGGGGGAUGAUCACCAACUGGGUUUAAAGAAAUAAAAUUGCAGGCUCAAAUGGGCUAUGCAAAGGAUAUAAGUGUAUGGGAUAGAGAAAGAAAUGCUCUUCAUCAUCCUAAGGCACUUAAAUUAACACAUGAAUUCAAUGUAAUAGCAUGACUUGAAGAUUGAUGCAAGUGAGAGCAAGAAAAUUUCAAUUGAUUUUCCUCACCUCAUGAUGCCAUUUGAUCUCUUAGUUGCCCCGAUGUGGGGUGAUUCUUGACAGGGGUAAUUUGAAAAGAAUAUCCAUAAGUGUAUGGGCUCAAAAGGGUUAAGCAACGGAUCACCUGUAGUAUUUGGGAUAGAGAUAUGAAUUGCCUCUCAUCAUUUCGGUUGCCGUACCUUUUGCGAGAGAACUCUUUACCUUAUGGAUAUGAACCUUCCUACACUCAUCUCACAAGUGUAUGAAUAUGGGACUGUGUAUAGGAUAGGGUUUGCCUUUCAUCAUACUGACACGUCUCAUUCAGCAUUCUUAAGCAUUGAUGUCACAUCAUUGAGUUGUCUAUCUUGACAAAUCUCCACAUGAAAUUGGUGAGCUAAAUAUGAAAUUUCUCUUUUCAAAAUAGUCCAGCAACUUUAAACAUGAAAAACUUUUGUCACUUCAAAGCAAACAAUUUAUCGCACUUAAAACAUGCUUUUAAGCACUCAUUCAGGGGAAUCGCUCCACAAAAGAAUUGCCUUAGCAAUGGAUGUCCUUGGAUCGUCUCUAUCCAUCAAAAGUGGAGAUCCUCUUUUGCCCCAAAAUCUAUCAUGCCCACAAUUUGUCAACUCUUCCACCAGGGAAUAAUGGUCCUCUUUUACUUGCCCCGAAUCUGUUUUUUUUUUUUCACUACAAGUGCGUUCUAAGCCCGUUGAUCACAAGUCAAGUUUAUGAUCGUUGAAACUUGAUACGCUAUUUUCAGAUGUCCCUUGUCAUAACAAGUUAUAGAAUUAUGUACUGAGACAAGAAGCAAAUGAGUCAGACAAACAAACAGGUUUAAUCUGCUACAAGCUUUGGAAAAAUGUUUUGUUCUUUUUUUUUUUUUAGCAGUGAAAUGCUUUUGUUUUCAAAAAAGUUUUUGGGAGGAAGCAUGAGAAAGUCCAGCCCUCAGGAUUUCUCCGUGGAUGAUAUUUUUCAUGGUUGGAUAUCGUCAUUGGACUGGUUUGGUAUACUCCAUCAUGUCCUCAAAAUUGGAAAUAAAAUUGUAAUUUCAUUGAAUAGAAUCAAAUGAAUUACAUUAUUGGAAUGGAAAAUGCAAACAAACCAAACCCUAAAAGUAAAAGCGAUAAUUGAAAUUUCAAAAAGCAAAGAAUCCUAAGCAAAACUUGAAAUCCUAGGAGAUAAGCACUUCUUCACUCAGUGACAGCGUUUGCGCCUUCAUCAGGGUUGGGCAGAGGAUUUUGCUGAUUACUGCUGAAAGAGAAUGCCUUUGUAUCCAAGAGAUCUUGAACCUUAUGCUUCAAAACAUAGCAAUCAUCAGUAGAGUGACCAAUCUCUCCCAUGUGAUAGUCACACUUCUUGGAGGGAUUAUAUGCAGGAUAACACUCAGGAUUUGGUCGCUUCGGCUCAGUAGAGAGUAAUCCCUUCUUUUGAAGAAUAGGCAAAACUUUGGAUAGGGGUCCAGGAAGAGGUGUAAGCUGCCUCCUAACAUUACGUCGUUGACCCGAGAACUGAUAUCCUCCACCUUGUUGCUUAGUAGAAAUCUUAAUUAUCGGAGCGCGAUUGGAUGUAUCACGAUUCAGUUGAGAGUAUGCCAUAUUAAUCUCAGCUUCAGGGUCCCUCUCCUUCUUGGUAGAAAACCUCUUGUUAAAUGGCUCAGUAAACCACCCUUCUCUUAUCCCCAUCUCGAUUUGUUCUCCUACAGGAAUAAGCUGAUUGAAGCUUUCGACGUAUGUACUGGCCAUUCUGUUGCGAAACUCAGACGGAAGGGUUUUCACGAAUAACUUCAUCAGCUCCUUGUUGGUAGGCUCAGGAGUAAUUUGAGCCGCCAAGUUCCUCAAUCUCACAGCAUAUUCUUUAAAUGAUUCGCUCCUUUUCUUUUCCAUCCGCUCCAGGUCUUCUCGGGAAGGUGCGAUGUCCAUGUUGAACUUGUAUUGUUUGAGGAAUGCGUCAGCUACUUCAUUCCAAGUGUCGAGCAGGUUCACAUUUUUCAUCACGUACCAGUUUAAUGCGGGUCCAGUCAAACUCGCAUGGAAUGAUUGGAUCAUGAGGGGCUCGUUUUUGACGUGUUGGGCCAUGCGCACGUGGUACAUCUGCAGAUGAGAUUUUGGGCAAGAUGUGCCAUCAUACUUCUCAAACUCUGGCAUUUUGAACUUGCUCGGCAUUUUGACCUUCUCAUAGACCGAGAGGUCGAACGGGAGGGACCUUUGUGACUCCUGCAGCUGUCUCAUUUUCUCCUCCAGCUUUGCAACACGCUCAUCCUGAUCUGUCUUGGGAAUAUCAUCAAGCUUGAUCUUUCCAGCAAUGACUGGGUCAUCUUCUAGGCCAGGCAUGUCGUCAUCAAUCUGGUUUGCUUGUUUUGGGAUAACUACUUCAGGAAGAGCGGGUGCAGUUGUUGGAUUUGCUUGGAGGAAUUGGAGUUGAUCCGUCACAAGUUGUAAAGAGGCGAGUACUUGUUGGAGUUGAGUCUCCACAGCGGAGACACGAUCACGCGUUUCGGUUUGUUCGGCCAUUCUAGCUCUUAAUCGCGUGAUGAUGGGCGAACGUGACGGAUCCGUUAUCACCUAAGGUAAAUGGAGAUAUGUAAGAACGAGGUAUACUGAGAAAACAGAUCCAUGACAACAAUCUAUUUUUUAGUUAAGAAAAGUCCAUAAUGAAAAGGAUUUCUUAAAAUUGGACUAGGAAAAUAAAGACAUGGGACGCCCCAGCAGGGACGAAAUUUCCUAAACAUGAACUAGGAAAAACCAAGACAUAAAUUGAAAACAAAUUUUCAAUUUUUAUUUUCCAAAUGGUUCAUUGUAUGGCAAUUCAUUUGAUUUCUAAUUGACAAAGGAAUUAAAUCAAUGAUUGACCUAGAUUGUCAUGGACCGAUCAAGAGUAUGACAAAGUAAGUAAAUUGCAUUAAUAUGGGAAUAGAAGACUUACUUCACUAAGGAAAAUCGAUGGCAAUCACAUAGACAUGCACAUGAGAUGUGAGGCUCGAUUUCUGUCUAGACGGUUUUAACAAGGUGGAGCUAAGAGGAUGGUCUGACCGUUGCAGUCUCGCAUUAACGUGUCAGGUCCUCCUAACCCCGGCUCAGUCGAAUGGAAUACCCAAUAAUCACGCAGUCUCGCGGAUAUGGACAAACACAUUCGACACCAUGAAAGAAAUUUCGGGGAAGAGAAGGUCAACCUCUACAUAGCAAUCUCACUUUAGAGGAAGUAUCCUUCUCAACACCAUCCUAGAAGUUCUAUCGCAGCCCAGGUCCGACCGCAGGUUGUGUGUGCAAAUAGUGUGGUGCUAAAGCAAUAAAGCAUGCACAACAGUUUAAAUGCAAACAACACUUCUAUAGUUUUAAUUCAAACAUUCAUCUCUAACUCCAACUGCAAGACAGGGGUUAGCAAAGACUACUCCCCUUAUACCUCCCAUCUGCAAAAACAUUUAACACCUUAGAAAUGUUAGGGACAUACCUGAGAUCCUCGCUGCCAAACAAAAAUAUUUUUUAAAAAGAAAAAUUGGCCUAAGUCCACUAAGUGUUUUAACACAAGUCCCCAGCGGAGUCGCCAAGCUGUCGCGGCCUAAUUUUCGCGGGUUCACCACCUAAAACUAGGUUAAUAGAUUACUAAGUCUUUAAGCUUAGCUCGGGCUCUCCCAAGCCCAUACCAAAUCACGACUUAGGUUUAAUUUUUUUUAAUAUGCAAAAGAUGAUUAUCUAGGAGUCGCCACUAAUCGGUUUAUGGUAGGUCGAUUAGACACCUAAGUAAAAUAAAGGGAGAUUUAUUUUACUCCUACGAACUAGAGACUAAGGGUAUGGGGACUUGGUUACAUUAGAAUUUUUUAAUGCCCUUUCGGUACCAUUUCUUUUUAAUUUUUCAAAAAUGUUUUUGCAAGCAGCUGAUUUAUUUUAACCUAAAUUACUAUCAUGCAAAUGUGGUGACCACACGGGUGCUCAUCCAUUAUUAAAGCAAUCAAAUAAAUAAAUUGCAUCACACAAAGCAAGCAAUCAUUUUUUUUUGGGUUUUCUUAAAAAUUAGAAUGAUUUUAUGAAAAUGCAUUUUUAGACCAAAUGACUUAAUCUUAUUAAUAUGCAAAUUUUAAUUAAAUGUGCCUAUUAUGCAAACUAAUUAUUAUGCACCUUAUGACCUAUCUUCACUGAUAAAUUCUAAGUAAAUGAUCAUAUUAUCCAACUAAUUAAUCUAUCUAAAAAUGGAUAAUUUUCUAAUCUAUUCUAGGGAUUAAUUUGACUUAAACCCUAUCCUAUCUUAGAAAGCUAUUUUUUUGGGAAAAUGAGAUAAUUAGAAUAUGCGAACAUUAUCUAAAACCCUAAAAAAUAUUUAGGUUCAACCCUAACUUAUUCCUAAAAAUGCAAUCUUAAAAAUGCAAUCCUAAGAAAAUCCUAAUUUGUUAAACCUACAUGCUUGAUUUACUAAACCUAUAUACUCAUGCAGAAUUUUGAUUUUUUUUUUAUCUUAUGAUUUUUUUAGUUUUUUUUUUUAAAGAUAAGUAAUUAUUAAAUCUAAACUAUCAACAAAAUCAAGCAAUGAAUGAUUAAAAUAACCGAAAAAAUAACCUGUUGUCUCACAGGUCAAAUUAACGAUUAUUCUAACCAUAGUUAUCAAGCAGAGAGAUCAAAAUAAUUACAAAUCUGAUCCGAAGUCUUACGGACCAAAUUAAAUAAUCAUUGUGAUUUAACAAUUAAAAUUUCACUCAGAAAGCCCAACAAUUAAAAUAAUUAAAAAAAAAUGAUCCAAUGUCUCUUGGAUCAAAUUAAUAAUUAUAAUAAUUCCAGACAAAAUCCCUGCGGAUAAUGCAUACUAAAUUCACAAAUAUUAACAUCAAAUAUUACAACUUAAAUAGAUAAAGUAAAAAUGAGAUAAAAUAGAACAAAAUAAAUAAAAGAAAAAGCUAAACCACCUAAAGAAAGAGGGGCUUGCUGCAGCGUUGAUGGGUGUCGGACGGACGGUGGCCGGCGUCGGGUACUGCAGGUCAGCGACGGCAAGGUGGCGCGGGAGGUGCAGGCACGGGCGUUGGGUCGAGCAGCGAGAGGGCUCGCGGGCGUUGCAAGUCGCAGGUUGCUGCACAGCGAUGCUCGCGAGUGCUGGUGCGCGGAGCAGGGGGUUCGGAUCUCCUGGCGUCGGUCACGAGCAGGACGGAGAGCAACCUCGGGUCGUCAGGUCACUGGAUCCGUGGCGUCGGGUCACCGAUUGCAGGCGGAGUGCGACGGAGCAAGAGGCUUCGGCUACGGGGAAAAAUGCCGGCAAGGAGCUCCGGCGAAGGGUAUCCGCGGCGACGGUGGUUGCACGAUGAUGGCUCCGGUGAAAGUAAACCUGCAACAAAACGGCUGAUCUUUCGGGCAGUAGCUGAUGGUGCACCGAGGACAGCAGCAGAUUCGGAUCCAGGGGUAGCAGCUCGUCGCUUGAGCGGCAGGUCGUUGCGGAUCGACACGGCAGGGCGGCGCCGGGGUGGCGCGGAGCGGCGAUACUCAAGGCGGGAGCGGCGUCAGCAGGGGGGAGUCGCAGACGACUGGGCUGGUAUCGCGGGUUGCUCGCGAAGGAGGCUCGACGUAGCUGCUCGCGGGCGAGGGGAACCCUGGUGGUGGCGCGGACACACGGCUGUGGAAGCCCUGCGGAUGGAAGUUGCAGAGGAGGGGCAGCGGACUUGAGGAAGAUGAUGAAUAGUAGGGGUCAAAUCACCUUUUGCCUUUUUACCUUUCCCCUCUCUCUUUCUCUCUCUCACGUUCUGACUUUUCCUCUUUUUUUCUUUUCUCGCAGAAGCCAAAACCUCUCUUGACCUACCUUUCUGAAUUUUUUUCCAAGAACCCCCCCCCCCCCCCGGACGAAGAGAAGGCCACCCCCAUUUAUAGAGUGAAAACUUAGUCUGCUCAACCUAGGAAGAUUUGCAUAACAACUCAAUCGCUGAAGAUCAUCUUUCGAGAUUAUCGUGUAUGCUGACUCACUCGGCCAUUGAAAUCAUCUAUUAAAAUCUUCCAAGUUGACUCGCUCGACCAUUGAAGAUUUUAUAUGCUGACUCAGCGAUUGAAGAUAAACUGGAAUUUUUUGUGAAGAUUUUUCCAAAUAAUUCACUUUAGAUAAAACUCCAUUAUCCAAUUCUAAAAUCUUUCGAGAUAUCCAUCCGCAACAAAAUAUUUUAGAAUAUUCCUUAUCCUCCUUAAUAUUCCAAACUUUAAGAUUACAGUGCGAUUUUUUAAUUUCCAAAAAUCAUCAUAAUAUCGCAUCAAAUCUUAAAUUUUCACAAGAUAAUUAAUUAAACAUAACGACGGGCUUGUGUUAAUUUUCUUCAUGGGCUUAGUCCAGCCUAUUAAUUUAAAACCCAAAAUCACUAAUUCAACCCAUCCACCACCGGUCCAGUAAAUGCAAAUAAAAAAUAAAUGCACCUACAACUAAAUGCUAUGCAAUUAAUUAAUUAUUGAUUAAACCCUAAUUUUGAUGCGAUAAAUAACUAAACGGACCGUCAAAAUCUAGGUGUCAACAUGUUCAUAUAAGAUAGAAGAAAAAUUCCAUAGAAGGAAGGCGUUGAAGAUGAAUCAAUGACCAUCAAUCUUGCACACAUGGCCACAAAUGAGGAAAGCCCAUCAAAGGAGACGUUGAACUGUGUUGAGACAAAGAGGCCGUCAUCAACAUUCAAAUAUCCGUAGGAGUCAGCAUAUACAAACUCUAGAGAAGGGUAAUUCCGUAUCGUUUCUAAUACUCCCUCUCUCUAAACUCACUUUUGACAUAUUUUCACUAUCGGCAGGAAGCAUCGGGAUUCAAGAGCCAAACUUGAUGGUUAGAUUUGACAAAUCAAUACUUGCCAAGCUAGUACAUGGAAAUGACCCGUAUCGAAUUCACCCGACUUCGUGUAAAAUGACAUGUCAUUCAGGAGCCAAUUCAGAGAAUAAUUGACCGAACGAAGCAAGGGACAUAUGACUUCGUGUCCCUUUCUCACUCCAGGUCCAUCUAAUCAUCUACAAACUAGUGAAGGGUAAAGUUGUAUCGCUUCCAAUUAUUCGACUCUUGAAAGAUUUCAUGGCUAACACAUUCCCUCUUGUCUAUUGUAGGAUCACUUGAUCGUCAAAGAUGUGGAAAACAAAUCAAUGAGAGGCAUGUAAGACCUUAAUGAGCUCUCCCAGUAAAAUGGCUUCUCAAGUAUCGCCAAAGCAAAUGGCAGAAACCCUUAUGGCCUCAAUUCAUACUUAAUUUUGGCCCCGUCGAUUGAUACAUUUUCAUCUUCUCUCCUGCAGGGGCAAAAGCAGAAGCACUCAUUAGAUCAAUGAUCAAAUUUCCAACCUCUGCUGAUCCUUCUUGUGUCAUUUCCCUACUUAAUAAGGACAACCCAUCGACACCCAUAUGUGAAUAACCCUUUGUGAAUAACUCCUUUGAUGUUCAAAACUUAACAUAUUUGUAAAUACAAUUUUGUCGAUAAAGCAUUUUGAGCAAAUUCAAUCAUUUGUGCAAAAUCUUUCACAUUUAAAACACUUAAUGCAUUUUCCAAAUGGAUUUUGCAUGAUGAUUUUGUUUGCCUAAAUCACCGAUUCCACUAAGGAUUAUUAGAAUAGACAAUUAAGUGAAGAAUAUAAGAUUGAUCGAACAUGCUGAACGAGGCUUGUCAGGACUAUGAAAGGCAAGCCAUAUCCUACACACAGUCCCCCAUCUAUACACUUGUGAGAUAAGUCUAGAAGAUUCCAUGACUACAGGGUAUAGAGUUCUCUCACGAAUCGUACGAUAACCAAAACAGUGAAAGGCAUUUCAUUGCUCAUGUGACACCCCGAACCCUUCGCAGGUCGUCACCAGCACCGGUGUUACAUCUUUUACCAUCUCUAUCUCUUGGCUAAAUUAAGCCUUGCCAGAUUACAGGCAUUUUUUUUUUUUUAAAAGCGGUCCCAUGCGUGACUCAUAGCGGAAGCAAAAUUCACAUCGUCAUCUAUCUCCCUUCUAACCCAUGAUACAAAUACACACCAGCUAAACAUCGGGAUUUUUAUAAACAAACGUCGACACAUUAUUUACAUAUAUUUUCAAGAUGGGACUACUCUCGGGUCGGUACAUAACAAGGAAAAGCUAGGACUCAGCCAUGUCCAGCCUAAAACCUCAAAAAGAAACCUCGACCCCUAACAUCAUGUGAACAAGGAACCCUCCCAUCGAAAGCGUCGACUAACUACAUCAAAAAGAGAUCCAGCUCCUACUCAUCGCGCGCAGGUCUCACACCCAACCCGGUGCAUCAGUGGUGGCGGCGGCAGCAUCCCUCGCAUCUCUCAUCCCGUCAAACGUGCACAGACAGGAACUCUAGUAUGACAGGGCCCCAGCCAGCCGAUAUCAUACAUAAAUAAGCAUCGCACUCGGAUAACGUCAAUCCGAGCACAGAGGGACAAUCUAUCUCCGUACACUCCACCUCAACAUCAGACGGUAGACCGUAAAAUACCCACGCGAAAUAGCAGGUAGCGGCAUAGUGCUAAUCUGAAAUGUUAUCCCCAAAAGGGGUGAGUACAACCACUCAGCAGAUAGGGAAAUCCAAUAACAACUCAGUGCACCAUGCAUACCAUCAUACAAUGCAGGCAUUGCUUACCUUUUUGAUGUCAAGCGUAUUCAUGCAUCAUUAUAGCAUAUAUAUCAUCAUCAUGGCCAUGUAUCAUCAUGCAUAUCACAUCAUCAUUAACCAUGCAUCACCAUGCAUAUCACAUCAUCAUUAGCCAUGCAUCACCGUGCAUAUCACAUCAUCAUUAGCCAUGCAUCACCGUGCAUAUCACAUCAUCAUUAGCCAUGCAUCACCAUGCAUAUCAUAUCAUCAUUAGCCAUGCAUCACCAUGCAUAUCACAUCAUAUCAUUAUUAGCCAUGCAUCACCAUGCAUAUCACAUCAUAUCAUUAUUAGCCAUGCAUCACCAUGCAUAUCACAUCAUCAUUAGCCAUGCAUCACCGUGCAUAUCACAUCAUCAUUAGCCAUGCAUCACCGUGCAUAUCACAUCAUCAUUAGCCAUGCAUCACCAUGCAUAUCAUAUCAUCAUUAGCCAUGCAUCACCAUGCAUAUCACAUCAUAUCAUUAUUAGCCAUGCAUCACCAUGCAUAUCACAUCAUCAUUAGCCAUGCAUCACCAUGCAUAUCACAUCAUAGAUCAAUUUCCACUUUUACUUAUCAAUUGAUCCGCACAUUAUCUUUUCUCAAAUCAUCAAAUUCACCAUCAUCACCAUCCCUUCGGGCAGAAACCUCCGACAGGGAUCCCAGCAUUCCAGCCAUCUCAUGGCCACUGGGCUUUCGGCCCCCCACAUUCCGGGCAUCUCGCAUCUCAACUAGCAUCACGAGACAUUCCCUUCGGGCAGAAACCUCCGACAGGGCUUCCGGCCCUUACCCUUCUAGCCGGGGAUCUCGCACCCCAAUCCUGGCAUCGCGAGUCACUCCCUUCGGGCAGAAACCUCCGACAGGGCUUCCGGCCCCCCACAUUCCAGGCAUCCUGAAACUCCCAGGGAAUCUCUGGAAUUACGCCACCAGGCCACCAGACAACCUCCUCCACCACAACCUCAUUCUCAUCCACAUUUAUCUUUUAUCUCAAUUUAACAUGGAAAUUUGGCAUGGCAUCAAACAUAUCACACUUGCAUUUCAAUUCACAUGUCAUGCACAUGUCAUAGCUUAAUCACAUAAGUAUUUCAACUUAAUGCAUGUACAAAGACCUCAUCACACAAGUGCCACACAAAUGGAAUUGAAUCCAUGGCCAAAUAAAAAUCUAUUUUAUUUUAUUAUUUCAUUAUUUUAUUAUUAUUUUAUUAGAUUUAUUUUUUUUCAUAAAUAAAUAUUAAAUUUAAUAUCUAUGAUUUUCCCAAAAUCAUAAUAUUCAAACAAUCAUAAAAAAACCAAUUAAAAUACCAAUUUCAAACAAAAUUCAUGGCCAAAUUGAAUUUCACCUAAUUUCACAAUUUUCACAAAAUAGCACAUGAUAUUCGGAUAAUGACCAGAAUUGCACAGUUUCCAAAUAAAUUCGAUUAAAAUACUCAUAUGGCCCUCAAAAAUUACGAAAUUUCACAGGGUGAUAGCCAACACAUUUUCGUGCACUUUUCAUGCAGAACUAUAAGCCGAAUUAUUUUUAGAUUAAUUUAUACAACCCCACGAAACUUCUGGAAUCUCUACCGCGACGUCCAGAACACACUCCUCCGUAUUUCCUAGAUUUCACCCAUCAAAUCUCUUUCGUUCCUUCUGAAAUUUAAGUAUGUUAUGUAAAAAUAUGUCCUUUACAAUUUUCAUGAAGGGAUAUAGGUCAAAUAACCAUAUUAUGGUCACCAUUUUAACCCAUGAAGUCUCGGGUGUCUCGGUACACCUCACCAGAAUCAACCAUCUCCAAGAUCUAACAGAUUCACCAAGUUAUACUUGUUAUUUUUGCUUCAAAUUUGAUUAUGUUGUAGCUUAAGGUGUUUCCUACAACUUUCAAGAAGACAACAAGGUGAGAUCUCCAACAGAAAUCAACAUGCAACCAAGAAAUCAACAAAAGGUCAGUGAAGAUUUCGCAGAUCUGAGGUCUCCGUAUAACAAAGCUUUUGACCCCACAUAUCACCAUCGUUUUCCAUGAAAUUCGAGUAUGUCAUACGACAAGAUGUUAGCUUCAACUUUCAUGAAGACACCGAAGCCAAAAUCGCACUCCAAGUACACAUGCAAGCUCGACUAAGAUACUGACUACCACAAACCAAACGAAAACAGUCACAUAGCUUGAACACAUCCAACCCUUACCUCGGUUUUUCGCCCAAAUCACACCUAAAACCGAACAUGCAACCAACAAAACAGACAUGCAAGAGAAGUUAAGGACUCCACUUGCCUCCAAGAUGAACAAACAGCGAUGGACGGCGGCGUACGGCGGUCGGACUAGGCGGACGUACGGCGGACGGGCGGCGGCAACUCUCGGCUCCACCUCCUCUCUCUCGGUCCCUCCUCUCCCUUUCUCUCGAAAUCUCUCUCUCCCUCUCACUUCUCUCGACCGAAUGGAGCUAGACGAACCGGCCACUCCUCUUCUCUCUCUCUUUUUAUAUCCCUUAAUCCCAUCAUUUGCAAUGAUUGAUCCACCUAAUGACCAACCAAUGCAUGCUCUUCCUUUGGCCACUUGUCAUUUUUAUUUUUGAAUUUGAAUGGGCUUGGGCUUAGGCCCAACCGGCCACUCACUUUGGGCUGGUCGACAGCCACCUAUUGGGCCCUAAUGGCCGACUAGCUUGGCCCACCAAGCUUUAGGCUAAUGGGUCCAAGGCCCAUUUCGAAAAUUAAUCCCCUUUUUCUUUUUUCUUUUUUGAAUUCCUUUCUAUAAAUAUUUCUAAAUUCAAAUUUUCAUCUUGGCCAAAGUCUUGGGAUAUUUUAAUUAUUGAAAUUUAAAUCAUAUGGCCAAGCAUUUAAAUUUAAAUUUCCACAAUACAAGCAAAAUUCAUCAAAUUAAAGGACAAAUUGGCUAAAGCAUAAGCCAUAAAAUUCUAUCACCUAAUUAAAGACAUUUAACACACCUUAAGGCUUGGCUUUGAAUUUCCAGGAUGCCACAGCUCACCCCUUUUAAGCCCUUACACUGGUGAAGUUUAUGUCCUACCCCCUGUCAAGAACCACCCCACACUGGGGAAAAUCGUAGGUGAGACAGCAUCGCAAGGUGAGAAGAGGCAUAGAAAUUUUCUUGCUCGCACUUGCAUCAAUCUUUGGGUGUCUUUAUUGCGUAUGAACACUCACGUUAAUUUAAGUGUCCUAGAAUGACAAAGAGCAAUUCCUUCUCUAUGCACUUGUAUUAAUUGUACAGCUCAAAUGAAUCCGUAAUUAUUACCCUCACAUUGAGACAAAGCAAGAGUUAUUUCCAUUCAAGCAGCAUAACCCCAAGCGCCAAAGCGCCAACUGAAGAUGAAGACUCAAGAGUCUAACAACAAUGUUUUGCUUGAACUUGCCUAGGCCAGCUCCUCAAACAACAAAAAACUAGGGGCAUAAAAAAGUAGCGUACCUGGUAAAAGUAAGGUUAGGUUAAUGCCCAAAAAUGAAAAAAAAUUGGAAUAAAAACUAAGGGCAUGAAAAAGCAGUGUGCUUGGUAAAAGCAAGGUCGAUGCCCCCAAACAAAAAAUACAACCAAGAAAAGUUGAUGUAUGGUUCAAUUAAUAGAGCCCCCAUUUGACAGUGAGAAGAAAGACUAGUGAAAAAUGCCAAGGCAUUCAUCAACUCUCACCCCAUUACACGUGAGUCAAGCCUAAAUCGAGUCCCAUUGUAAAAGUCUCUUCAGACUAGGGCACUUCAAUUAACGUCGAAUUUCAUAUGUUUAUAAGCAUCGCUCGAAGAAGUAUGAGCAUGAUUAUUCUAUCUCUUUUCGCAUGAUUCAUGACUUGCAAACCCAUAGAUGAUCGUGUGGCAUCUUUUUCACAAAGCCGUGACCUUGAUGGCCCCCUUGAUAAGCCUUGGAUAAGCCGUUGACCAAGCCUACAUUAUAAUCCUGGCAAAGGCCUCUCACAUUGGUAAAAUCAUACCGCUUGCAAGAAUACUCGGACCCCUGCUGACAUGAUGAUAGUGAGAUAGUGUGGUCUUUAUAAAUCCUGCAUCAAUGGUCAGGAUAGCCUUUUUCAUGAGAAUGAGCGGAAAGUCCUUUCAAACUGAAAAUCCCUCAUCUGGCAUGCUCAAGACAUCUACAUUCUAAAUGAAGGUUAUCUUUCAAAAUCUUACCCAAUGGAAUUCGGAUGAUGCAAGAUUGACAAAAUUGUCAUGCAUGAAUCACAUUUAAAUUCAUGAAUUUAUAGCACAUAUAAUCAUGUGUACAUACUAUGCAAAUAGCAGACAUACUCUCAGAGAUCAAAGAUAUUGCCAAGUAAGCAUAUCCCUAUCCCCAUUUGUCUUUGGGUAUCUAUAACUAUCUAGGUACUCUCUUAUCGACAAUCGACUUGUUCAAGCUCUCUUUGAGUAUCGGCCCCGUUCAGAUACUCCCUCUUCUUGACACUCGACAUGUUCGAGUUAUCCUCAUAGUUAGGAUGCUUGCAACUGACCAAGUAUCCCACUACAUUUGAGCGCCUUCCACUAUCUAGUACCCGCCGCUGUCCAGGUACAUCAUUUUCAUGACACUCAACCUACUCGAGUUGUCCUCAAAAUUGUAUCCUUGAAUACUAGUAGCCAUUCAAGUAUUCCACUGCUUCAUGUGAUUGCAAUUACUAAGGUAUAUUUCUUAUCAUCAUGACACUUAGACCUGCCCGAAUGGUCCCAUAUCGUAUCAUUAAAUACUUGUGUUCAUCCAAGUAUUCUAGUACUUUGUGCACUUGCGGCUACUCAGGUGUUCUAGCCCUUUUGAGUGCCUGCAGCCACCCGAGUAAGUCUCGUGCCACAUUCAAGUUUAUAAUACCAAGAGGUGGGAGAACUUCACGAAUAUGCGAGGCACGUUCUCGAUAUUCCCAUAAUCAGGAGGUGAGAGAUCUUCACGAAUAUGGAGGCACGUCCUUAAUUUUCCCAUUACCAGGAGACGAGAGACCUUCACGAAUAUCCCAGGUACGUCCUCGAUAUUCCCUUUACCAGGAGGUGAGAGACCUUCACAAAUAGCCAAGGCGCGUCCUCGAUAUUCUCAAUUGCCAAGAGAGAGGAGACCUUCACGAAUAUCCCAACUAUGUCCUCAAUAUUCCAUCUACCAGGAGACCUUAAAAAAUGACCAAGUAUUCUCUAGAGUUUGUAUUUGUGAUAAUCCAGGUACCCCUCGAUACCUACAAAUGUUUAGGUAUCCUCCAAGAGUUUGCAUUUGUGAUCAUCCAAGUACCUCUUCGAUGCUUGCAAAUGUCUAGGCACCCUUCAGAUAUAGUACUUGUGAUCAUCCAAGCACCCAUUUGAUACUUGCAACAACCAGGUAUCCUCCAAGUUCGUACUUGUUAAUAUCCCGGUACUCUUUCAAUGCUUGUGAAGGUGUCAACACAUCCCAUGAGAAAGGUCGUAUACCAUUCGGUGUCCAUGACGAAGAUUAGGCACCAACAAAUAGAUGCCCUGAGAAAGGUCGGCGAAUCCCUCGAGAAAGAUCGGGUUUCAACCGGUGUCUUUGAUAGAUGAUCAGGCACCCCACAACUGGUGUCUUUGACAGAGGAUUAGGCACUUCACAACCAGUGUCCUUGACAGAGGAUCAGGCACCCCCCAACUGGUGUCCUUGACAAAGGAUCAGACACCCCCAACUGGUGUCCAUGAUAGAGGAUCAGGCACCCCAUAAACAGAUGCUCUGAGAAAGGUCAGCGCAUCCUCCGAAAAAGGUCGGGUUACUAACUGGUGUCCGUGACAGAGAUCAAACACCCAACAAACAAAUGCCUUAACCCGGAGAAAAGGUCGGGUGACAAACCAGUGUCCCUGCUAGAGAUCAAACACCCAACAAAUAGAUGCCUUGAGAAAGGUCAACGCAUCUCCCGAGAAAAUGUCGGGUAUCAACCGGUGUCCUUGAUGAAGAUCAAACACCCAACGAACAAAUACUCGGAGAAAGGUUGGCGCAUCUCCCGAGAAAGGUCGAGUACCAACUGGUGUCCUUGAUAGAGAUCAAGCACCAACAAACAGAUGCCCUGAGAAAGGUCAGCGCAUCCCCCGAGAAAGGUUGGGUACCAUUCGGUGUCCUUGACAGAUGAUCGGGCAUCCCUCAACUGGUGUCCUUAACAAAGGAUUAGGCACCCCAUAACCGAUGUCCUUGAUAGAGGAUCAGGCACCCCACAACCGGUGUCCUUGAUAGAGGAUCAAGCACCCCACAUCCGGUGUCCUUGAUAGUGGAUUAGACACCCCCAAACUGGUGUCAUUAAUAAAGGAUCAGGCAGCCCACAAACAGAUGCACUAAGAAAUGUAGGUGCAUCCCUUGGGAAAGGUUGGGUAAACACUUAUUGCUCUAAUAGGCGACCAAAUAAUGAUUCGGGUCCUGGAAAGACAAUUUCUUGUCAAGGUGACCGGAGAAAGAUUCAAGUCCUAGACAAACCACUUAUUGCUCUAACAGGUGACCGAAAAAUGGUUUGGGUCUUGAAAAAACAAUUUCCCAUCAAGGCGAACAAAGAAAGGUUCCGAUCUUGGAAAAACAACCUCCUUACAUCACUAGGUAAGAUGAUACCUUGAUACUUGCCAAACUCGGGGUUCACACCCUAUCUCACUCAUUCUUGAUAAGUAACUACAGGCAUAUUCUUAUCUGCUUUAGUAUGUGUAUUGUUAUAUUCCUCGUUUUCUGCAUAGGACACUAGGUCCCAAAUAAGAUAUAACCUAUUGCAUAUGCAUGGACAAAAUUUAGGUAUUAAUUUGUCUUUGAAUGUAACCUUUGUGAGCUCACCUUCAAAGAGGGGCAGCUAUUGACACCUAAAUUUUAAUUAGAUUUUUAGGCCUUAAUCUCUCUUUUAAUCCUUAUAAUAAAUAACAAAAACAACAAAUAAAUAAAUAAAUAAAUAAAUAAAAUAGCAAUAGGCCACUAGGGGUUGGGCCUUUGCGCCUAGCUCCCUUUUCUUUCCCUUUUUCCCCCUUUGCGCAGGCCAAGGCCCAGCCCUUUUUUUUCCCUAGAUCCGGCUUGGCUUCCUUCUUCCUUCUUCUUCAUUCUUCUUCUUCCUCGCUCCUUCCUUCUCUGCCUCUAUAGGCCACACUUAGUGACGAUGACGCGCUCGAGGACAAGCUACGAUGAAGAGGGGAAGAGUAGAUUGGUAGCAGAUAGGACACGCAAGUGGGGUUGUCGAGGAGAAACCGGUUUCGCCGCACCCAGGGCCGAUCAGCAUGUGAGGGCCAGCGGCCGAACCUCUGUCAACCGGCCUCCUCCUUGCCUAUAAAUAGGAGGGCACCACCUCCGUCGACGAACACACAGAAGCCAGUGAGCUUAGAGAGAUCCCCCGAGAGACUUCAGGGGAACUCAAAGAGUGAGCAAGGUAGAGAAGGGUCGUGAACUUAAACGACCUUCCAUUAAGAGAUAUCAGGGGAGGCCAGCAACAAGCGAACCCGAAGAGAGAAGGGAGGCUGAAGGAAGCCUUGAGCGAGAUCUGGGUGAGGAGUUGAGAUUCAAAGAUCAGAUUUGAAGAUCUGAGAGCAAAGGGAAGCAGAAGGGCUAGAUAUGACCUUGCUGGAUCAGAUUUGGGAGUCGCCGUCGCCUGCCGCUGCAAUUUCACCAACCCCGAUGACCUCCAGCCGGCAUCCCUGAAGAUGGUGAGCGUCCCUUGACCUUUUGCUUGCUGUUCCACUGCCAAGUAGGCCAAGCCCUCGAUCGCCUGGCUUAUGCAAGCUCCACUCGCCGACUGCCCUUAUAGCCUUGAACCAUCGCGGGAUCCAACUUCAUCGCAACACAGCCCAACGCUGCCGACAUCGUUACGGUAAGCCCAACGUUGACGUUGUUUGACCCCUACGCCGAGCUCGGUAACAUCGAGCUGCUACUGCUCACCUCAAUGCCCCCCUUGGUCACUAGUACCAUGCCACUUCUACCCAUUCCUGCAGACCCUAACGACGCCCCUUCUUUGGAAACCCUUGCCACCGCCAUCGCCAUCGCCUGCCGUGUCGUUGCCAUCAACCUUGCCACUGCUUGCCGCGUUGCCGUCGCCAGUACACCAACGAUCCAAUCGUCCCUCCUCGGCACUGUGAAGAAGCAUUGGAGGAGAGAGUUGCAAAAUCGGGUCCAGUUGGGUCGAACACGGGUCGUUGCCCGGGUAGGGAUCUGUUCGGGCGUGGACUGGGUAGGGUUUUGGUAGGUCCGAGCCAACCAAGCCCGGUUGCACAUGGGUUGCUCGUAUAGGCUUAGGAGUGGACGGCCCUUUUGUUUUGUUUUUUUGUUUUUAAUUUCGUGAGCCUUGAUUAAAACAUCCAAAAGAAAAGGAAUCUCAGGCUGGGCCUGUGUUUCUGGCCCGCCCGGGCCUGCCACUGCUGAUCCAGGUUAGACCCAACUCGGGAUCCAACCCUGUUCGUUUUUAUAUUAUGAUGAUAAUAAUAAAUAUUCUUUUAAUAAAAAAAUUUUAAAAAUUAUUUUCCAUUAAAUAAAAAAUAUCUCAUAUUUUCCUAAAAAAAAGGCCAAAAAGUUAGAAAUAGCAAAAAAUGACCAAAAAGAAUCCAAAAAUGUUUUUCCUCCACAAAUGCAUGAAAAACCCCUAAAAAAUCUAAAAAACCUUAGGGUUUAAACAAGAAUAGGUACCGAAAGAACAUUAGUGAUUAACUAGUGUAAAAAGUCUCCGAACCUAGUUUCCUUGGUUGCACAGGAGUGAGGAUUUCUCCAAAUAUUUCGCUUGGGUUUCUAAUCGACCCACCUAAAAUUGAUUAGUGGCGACUUCAUUUUAAAAUUAACUUACAGGUUAAAAACUUGAAUUAUUAAGUCGUGAAUUGGUGGAUUUGAGAGAGUUUAGGAUAAGCUUAAUAGAUUUAGCCAAACCAUUAGCCUCUACUGGCGCCGCCCUGAUCAGGAGUCGAAAAAAGAGGCCGCGACAGGCAAGAGGAAUUUUAUUAGGUUCACUAGUCAGUAGUGAAAAGACAGUAACAACACCUAGAGGGGCUGAAUAGGUGUUAUGAUUUUUUUUUGCAAAGUUCAGUAGAAGUAUUUGCUCUUAGAAAAUGAUAGACUUUGAACAAAUUCAGUACUUUAGCUGUUAAAUGAAACUACGAACAAAAUAAAGGAGUUCAGGGAAGAGAAUAAGAAUACAGAGUUUAUAGUGGUUCGGCUUAGAUCAAGCCUACGUUCACUCUUCCACGUUGACAACCUACUGGCUGGAUAUCACUAAGGAUCAAAAGAGAUUUUUACAGCCUUGAUGAUCUCAACUUCACAAUGAAGAGUUUGUUUCUCUUUCUUGAAGUCACACUACAAGUCUUUCUCUCUUUUUAGUACAAAUUUUAGCUUAGUGAAUGAAGUAGCAAGGAACUAGGAAGCUUCAUACUUUGAAAAUUUUCGUUCACACACCCUUUUUGAAUGACUAGAGAUGUCUCCUUUAAAUACUCCUCAUGCCUUCUCGACUGUUGGCACUUUCCAAAAGAAUUCCUCCAAUCAACCUAUUGUACAGAAUCAAUUAAGGAGAUCUCGAGUCGUUUGAUGAUUGUGACGAAAGCCAGUCAAUCUUGUUUGCCCAUACAAUCAGGAUCUUGGUUUCCAUAAGUAGAUUAUUUCCAAGUUUACUUACCUUCCAAAAGAUUGGAAUAUCGAAAUUGAUUCCAUUAAAGAUUCCCAAUCAUGUAGGUGCUAUAUCCAACCAGAAAGCCAUCCAUAAACCAUACGAACUGAACCUUUAAAGAAAUAAAGAUGAUCUUGCAUAUGGAUAAGUUUUCAUUCUUCAGUGGCACUUUUUUGGAAUUUGUUAGCACGGGCAGAAUUUGACACUAAAGUCUAACAGUCAUUAGAAUUUGACACUAAAGUCUGGAAGUCUUCAAACUAGACAUUGGAUAAGUUUUGUCAACUUCAAAACAUUAAAAGAGUUUUCUCCAACAAUCUCCCCUUUUUUUAUGAUGACAAAACUUUUCUGCAGAUUUAGGAACUUUUUACCUGCAAAACAACUCUUAAGCAGUAUAUGAUAUGUUAUAAAAAUAAGUUGAUUAGGAUCUAGAUAACAUCGAUUCUGCAACCACAUAAAACAUGUUAAUCUUGAAAAGAUAAGACAAAUAUCAAGACUUAAAAAACUAUCCAUCCAUAAUCAUUACCAUAAAAGUAAGUUACCUACAAAGGUCAAACAUAAUAACAGAAUAAAAGUUCAAAUAAAAGUUCAACAAAUGUUCAAGUAAAUCAAAUCUACACGUUCUCCCCCUUUUUGUGAGUAACAAAAAGUGGAGAAAGUAAAAAAUAGAUAAAAGACAAAUGAAAUCAAGUUUGUUUUGGAAUUUGAAUGAGCUGAAAUCCCUCGUUGACUGAACUAUCUCCUCCAGCUUUGGCACUGUCUCCUUUAGCUUCUCAACAUCUUCAACCUUGGCAGUCUCUUUAACUUGCUGUUGUAAAGCUUGAACUUGAAGGUUAAGAGUCUAUACCUCCUCAUGGAGAGAAUUUGAAGUAAAUUGCAAAGCAGAGUGAAGCUUCUGGAUAUCAUACUCCAUUCCAUAUUACUGUGCUUUUAACUUCAGAAGGAGCUCAGCAUCCUUUGAAAGUCUAAAGUAGUUUUUGUUUGUGCACUAGCCUCAAUGUGUUGAGUUUGUAGAGUGUUGAUAGAUGAGGGAACUUCAGCUUCAGGAAAAUGAGAGGCAUAGACCUCUUCUAGAUCGGCAGGAAAUCGACUGAUAUCAUCACUCACAAAGUGCUGAGAAGAAGUCCAUGUGUCUACACGAGCUCCCCCUAUUUUAGUGCCUACAGGUGGAGAAGGGAUUUCGCCUUCUUGAGUCUUCUCAAUUUCAGAUCGAGAGUGAUGUUCUUUUCAAUUCGAGCCCCUAUAGGUCCACUCCUUGUCUUUUUAGAAUCCUCAGAUAAGGAUAUUGUAAAUGUUGGUUCUUGGGAGUCAUCUUGACCCUCUUCUUCUUCAGCUUCUCUUCUUGCUUCUUCGGCUUCUUUUCUUGCUUCUUCUCUUUACUCUGUUCCUUCUCUGUCUUCUCUUCCUUCUUUUCUUUGUUCUGUUUCUCCCUUUUCCCUUUCUUCUUUAUCCUGUUGUUGCUCAAAACUGACAAAACUCUGAAGAUUCUUUAAGGCAAAGGCAAAGAUAGUAAGAUCAUCCUCAUCCUCUUCGUCCUACAAGAUAAGAGAUCUUCUCUUCUUGGCAGGUUCAUGCAUAAUUUCCUUGCCUUUCAUUCUUUUUGCAGCAAAGUCUUGUUUGGUUUUGUUGGGUGUCUCUUCCUUCAAGCGCUCUAUGGCCUUGUUCAGUUCUUUCAACCUCAUCUUAGACACCAUCUUCAAUCCUAUAACCAUAGGAGCAAUAGUUCUAGCACAAAGAGAGGCUGGAAACUGAAUUUGAAAAUUUCUGAACAGUUGUGUGACCAACUUUGAGUAAGAGAGCUGUCCCUUAUCCUUCACAACAUUUCUGUACAUAUGCAUUGGGAUUGUAUGAGGGAGAGAGAACUUCAUUCCAUUACUGAUAGCAAACAUCAGUUUGACUUCAAAUCGGGAAACAUUUGUCUUUGAAGUUGCCUUUGGUUGGAUGCAGUUGAUCACGACUUUGUGCAGCAAAAUAUUCGAGAAUGAUAUUCUAGAAUAAGUAAUGCCUCCUUUAGGAAGUUUGUCCCUAACAAGAAAUCUUGUCGCUUGUCCAAUUGAGACACUUAUUGGUUAGAAAUCACUCCUUUCCACCCAAAUAAUGUCAGCCAACGUGUCAACAUCCACCACGUAGCUUUUAUCAUGCAUAGUGAAUUGAAAUCUAUUGGAGUCAAGAAAAGACAGGUUCAAAUAGAAAUAUGUAGUCAACUCAGGAUAUGUGACAGUAGUUUCAUAACAAAAGUUUUCCAGUUGAAGGAGAGCAAAUUUCUCCAUCAGGUUCACCUUGAUCAAGUCUAGAAAAUCAAAACAACCAAUCGAGGGUUCAUCACCCCUAUUUUCAACAAUUGGGUGUAAACCCGUUUGUGAUCCUUAGAGUGGAAGAGACUUGUUCCAUCACUAGACACAUCAGCAGCAAUGCCCAUUUUCGGCUGGAAGUUCGAAAACAUCCUCUCAUCAUCAUCUUUGCUUUCAGGCUGAUUGAAAAAACUAAAGUAAGGAUCAAUAGGAAAGUUAAGAAACGCUCUAUCUACUGCUCCUUCAGGUGCUAUUCCUAAUCUUUCCAUCGCUCGUAAGAACAGAGUCUUGUUCUUAUAUCCUUUUUCUCUUAGAAAUUCAUCAAUAAAAGACAUAGGAGUACCACCCUGCUUCAAAUGAGAGUAAAGCUUAUAAAGAACCUGGGGUUUCAAGGUUCUGAGAGGUUCUACAUCUUCCUCGACUUCCUCUUCCACUGAUUGGCGCGGAGGAUUCUAUGUAGCACAUUGUGGAGAGUGUUGUGGAGACUCUUCUUCUUCGGUCAUAUCAAAAUGUGUCGAGCCCUUAGGUAUAUUAUGUGGUUCCCUACUUGCGAUUUGAGAUGACUCUCUUUGAAAAGACAUCUUUGCAGUUGUGGAGGAUUUCUCGAACAAGUUUGAGUGAAAAAGAUGAAAACUUGCAGAACAAACUUGAGAGUAAAAAUGAGAGAGUAGAGAGUCUGUAUUCUAGGGUUUGGCAUGAAAUGCUCGAAAGAAAUACAAUAGGUAUAUAUAUAAAGAAGAUGAAACGUCACAAAGAAAUAAUCGAACCAUAAAAAGAAAAACUGCUUUUUCGAAAUAAAAAUUGCCAAAAAUUCGAAAAACAUAAUUUCUAAAAAUAAAAUAGGCAAGCAAUGAUUCGGUUAAGCAUAAAUUUUCAUUCCAAAAAUAAAAUACCUGGAUUCGAGACAUUCUCUUACUAAAGUAGCGUCUGGAAAUUUUUAGUCUGGUCAGCUCCAAACUAUAACCUGUAGGAGAUAAAAUAUUCAGUCUGGUGUAAAUAGACUCAAAUAGAUUUUUCUCUAGAGGCUUUGUAAAUAUGUCUACCAAUUGAUUCUUCGAGUCAAUGAACUAAAUCAUAAUCUCUCCAUUUUGGACAUGAUCUCUUAUGAAAUGGUGUUGAAUAUUUAUAUGCUUUGCUCUUGAAUGAAGGAUUGGGUUCUUGGUGAGAUUAGUAACACUGGUGUUGUUGCAUCUGAUUUCAGUGCACGAUUCUUCAAUUCCAAAGUUUCUUGGAUGUUGUCUUAUCCACAAAAUUUGAGAACAAUAGCUCCCCAUAGCAACAUACUUUGCUUCUGCUGUUGAUAGAGCUACAACACUUUGCUUCCUCAAGAACCAAGACACCAGCAUGCUGCCCAAUAGUUAACAAGUACCAGAAGUACCCUUUCUAUCGACUUUGCAACCUACUAAAUCUGUGUCUGAAUAUCCAAGGAGAGUAAAGUCUUAUUCUUUGGGAUACCAUAGACCUAGCUUUGGAGUAGUCACAACAUAUUUGAUGAUGCGUUUUGCAACACUUAAAUGAGAUUCUUUGGGAUUAAACUGAAAUUUGGCACAUAUGCAAACACUAAACAAAAUGUCAGGUUUAGAUGCAGUAAGGUAAAGAAGAGAACUGAUAAAGCUUCUGUAAAGCUUCUGGUCUACUUUCUCUCCUCCUUUAUCUUUAUCCAGCUUCGAAGAACUUGACAUUGGUGUCUCUGUAUUCUUGCAAUUCUCCAAUCCGAAUUUUGUAAUGAGAUCUUUUGCAUAUUUUUCUUGGUGAAUAAAGAUACAUUUCUUCAAUUAUUUAACUUGCAAUCUCAGAAAGAAAGUUAACUCACCCAUCAUACUCAUCUCGAAUUCAUCCUACAUACAUCAAAGAAUUUCUUGCAUAGAUUUUCAUUAAGUGAUCCAAAGAUAAUAUCAACAUAAAUUUGAACCAGCAGAAAGUCUUUACCCUCUCUUUUUUUCAACAAAGUAGUAUUUACCUUCCCUUAACAAAAUCAUUUUGGGUUAGGAAUUUACUUAACUUUUCAUACCAGGUUCAAGGUGCUUGCUUUAGUCUAUACAAGGACUUUUUUAGUCUGUAGACUGAGUCUGGCUUUCUUGGAUCUUCAAAUCCUGGUGGUUGUUCCACAUAGAUUUAUUCUUGGAUGAAUCAAUUGAGGAAGUCACUCUUUACAUUUAUCUGGAAUAAUUUGAAAUUUUUAUAGCAAGCAAAAACAAGUAAUAAUCUAAUUGUUUCUAACCUCGCUACUAGUGCAUAGGUCUCGUCAUAGUCUAUUCCUUCUUCAUGCGUAUAUCCUUUGGCCAUGAGUCUUACUUUGUUCUUGACCACUUUUCCUUUUUCGUCCAUCUUACCCAUUUUGUCUCGAUAAUAGACUUACCUUUAAGUUUAGGAAUUAGCUCAUAAACAUCGUUGAUGCUGAAUUGUCUAAGCUCUUCUUACAUAGGUUCAAUCCAACUUUUAUCAGACAGGGCUUUUUUUUUACACUUUUGAGUUCUAUGUCAGAAACAAGUGCUAGAGCACUAGACUCUUCUCGCAUUUUGGAUCUGGUGCGAAUCCCUUCAUCAAUGUUGCCAGUGAUGAGUUAUGUGGGAUGACUUGACUUAUCCUUCCAGUUGUUGGUGGGUUUGAGAGUCUGCUGGUCCUCUACUUUGGUUAAAUCUCCUAGAUCUGCUUGUUGCUAAUCUUUAGAAGUCUAAACCCCUUCGGGGGAAGUAGACUUUGUAAAGUUUGGAGCGGGUUCAGAUUCUUCAAGUUGAGUCUGAUCUAGCUUAUUCUGUACAGAAUCUUGAAACUUGACGUUCAUAGAUUCUUCCACAGAUUGAGUCUUCUUGUUAAAGACUCUGUAUGCUUUGUUUGACGUUGAGUAGCCAAGGAAAAUUCCUUUGUCUGAUUUCUCUUCAAACUUCCCGGUUCGAUCAUUUGCAUUUUUCAAAACAUAACAUUUACAACCGAAUACAUGGAACUAAGAAACAUUUGGCUUCUUCCCUUUAUACACUUCAAAAGGGGUUUUCUCUAGAAUAGGCCUUAAGAACACUGUUGAUGAUGUAGCAAGCUGUAGAAACUGCUUCAGCCCAAAAUCAAGAGUAAAUUUUGCUCUCAAUUAAGAGGGUUUUGGCCAUUUCCUGUAAGGAUCUGUUCUUCAUUUCCACGACCCCAUUUUGUUUUGGAGUGUAUGGAGAAGAGAAAACAUGCUGGAAACCAGAUUUAUCACAGAACUUCGCAAAGUCUUGAUUUUCAAACUCACCUCCAUGGUCUGUUCGUAUGCUCGAAAUAGCAUAUCCUUUUUUUCAUUUUGAACAUUCUUGGCAAACUUUGAGAAGUGAGAGAAGGCUUUAGACUUAUUUGCUAGAAAGUAAACCCAAGUAAAGUGAGAAUCAUCUACGAUUACUAGGCAUUAUUUAUUUCCAUCAAUACUUUGAGUUCUGGUUGGUCCAAAGAGGUCCAUAUGCAGAAGCUGCAAAGCUCGAUUGGUAGAAACUUAAUUUAUAGGUUUAAAGGAACUCCUAACCUAUUUUCCUAAAACACAUAGAGUGCAUAAUUCAGACUUUUGAUAAGUCAGGUUGGGAAGACCACGAACAAGCUUCUUGGAAUAAAUCUUGGCAAUCUACUUCAUGUUAACAUGACCAAGCUUUCGAUGUCAAAGAUUUGCUUCAUCUUUAAUAGACAUAAGACACUGAGAACUUUAUGGUUUUAUAUCCAUAAGGUAAAUAUUCACAUGCCUUCAUCCAAUGAAAGAUUGAGAGAAGUCUUUACUCGUUCCCGAACAGAUGCCUUCUUGGAAAUUUAAUUUGAAUCCAGUAUCGCAAAGCUGAGUUAUGUCGAGUAGAUUGUAAUUUAGAUCUUCCACCAAGGCGACAUUAUUGAUAGUCAGGCUUCCAAUCUUCACGGUUCCACAUCCAACAAUUCUUCAUUUGCUGUUUCCACCAAAGGAAACUUUUCCACCAUUCAUUUGUACAAGUUUUAUAGAGAAACUUGAAUUUCCUGUCAUGUAUCUCGAAUAGCCACUAUCUAAAUACCAUUUGAUCUUCCUCUUGAUAGUGACCUCAACUUCUUUGUUUGAGUCUGAAUCUGAAUCUGUUUCAAAAUCUGAGUCUGAUUCUGAAUUGGCCAUCAAGCAUAUGUUGGCAUAUUCUUCAUCACUUUCUUCGCACUUAAUAUCACCCCAAGUUUAUGCUUUAAGAGCCUUUUUAUAUUUCUCAGUUCUUCCUUUCGUUUUCUUCAACAGAGGACAGUUAGGUCUGAUAUGUCAUUUUUUCUUGCAUUUGGAGCAUAUCACAUCUUUGUUGGUUCCAUUAUCCUCAGUCGGUUUCUUUUGGAAAUUUUGAGUGCUCUGCUCCUUCUAGUUGAAUCUUCUUCCCUUCAUAUUAAAUUUUAUGAACUUCUUAAUCAUAAGUGCUAGCUCCUCAUCAUCCAUGUCAUCUUUUGAAUAUGUAUCAUCAGAAUCAUUAUUAGAUUUUAAAACAAUUGACUUCUUACCUCUAGGAUGUUCUUCCUCAUUGAUUUGCUCCACUUUAUAUGAUUGAAGUGUGCCUACUAGUUCGUCUACUGAAAGAGGCAUGAUCCUUUGGGUUUCUUUAAUUGAUGUCUUCACAUGAUUCUAGUCUUUGGAGAGUCCACGCAGCAGUUUAUUGACCUUUAUUGGUCUUGAGAUUGGCUUUCCUUGAUAUGUCAAUCCAUUCACGAUUUCAGUGAAACGACUAAACAUAUUGGUGAUGGAUUCUCCAGGCUUCAUUUUGAAGGCUUCAUACUGUCCGAGUAGAAUAUUGAUUUUUGUUUCCUUUACUUGAUCAGUUCCUUUAUAGGUAAUAUGCAAUCUAUCCCAAACUUCUUUCGUUGUUUCGCAAGAAGAAAUUCAGUUAUACUCAGUAAGAAAUAAAGCAUAGUAUAAAGAGUAGAUAGCUUUAGCAUCAAGAACUUGUCUUUUGGUUAAUUCUGCUUGUGUUAUUUUGCUAGCAUCUACAACUUUUUUUCCUCUUUCUGAGGUUGAUGUAGCUUUAGGAAUGAUCCCUUUUUUUCUACCACAUCUAAUUCCAAGGGAUCUUUCGAUCUCAGAAAUGCUUUCAUCUUGUUUUUCCACACAUUCUACUUCUUCCCCAUCAAAGUAAGGAGGCCUGGUAUUACUUUGGCCUUCAACCAAACUUGGAGCCAAAAUACUAGCCAUAAAUUUUUAGCUUUAGAAGUAAAAACACUUCAAUCAAAUAAGCACACAAGCUUUGAUACCAAUUGAAAGGGCUAGUAACAACACCUAGAGGGGGUGAAUAGGUGUUAUGAAAUUUUUUUUGCAAAGUUCAAUAGAAGUAUUUGCUCUUAGAAAAUGACAGACUUUGAACGAAUUUAGUACUUUAGCAGUUAGAUGAAACUACGAACAAAAUAAAUGAGUUUAGGGAAGAGAAUACGAACACAUAAUUUAUAGUGGUUCAACUUAGAUUAAGCUUACGUCCACUCUCCCAUGUUGAUAGCCUACUGGCUGGAUUUCACUAAGGAUCAAAAGAGAUUUUACAGCCUUGAUGAUCCCGACUUCACAAUAAAGAGUCUGUUUCUCUUUCACGAAGACACACUAUAAGUCUUUCUCUCUUUUGAAUACAAAUUUUAGCUCAGUGAAUGAAAUAGCAAGGAACUAGGAAGCUUCAGACUUUGAAAAUUUUCUUACACACACCCUUUUUGAAUGACUAGAGAUGUCUCCUUUAAAUACUCCUUCAUACCUUCUCGACUAUUGGGACUUUCCAAAGGAAUUCCUCCAAUCAACCCGUUGGACAGAUCAAUUAAGGAGAUCUCGAGCCGUUUGAUGAUUGUGAUGAAAGCCCAUUAAUCAUGUUCGCUCAUACAAUCAGAAUCUUGGUUUCCAUAAGUAGAUUCUUUCCAAGUUUACUUACCUUCCAAAAGAUUGGAAUAUUGAAAUUGAUUCCAUUAAAGAUACCCAGUCAUGUAGGUGCUAUAUCUAACCAGAAAGCCAUCCAUAAGUCAUAUGAAUCGAACCUUUGAAGAAAUAAAGAUGAUCCUGCGUCUGGAUAAGUCUUCAUUCUUCAGUGGCAUUUAGUCUAGAAUUUGUCAGCGUGGGCAGACUUUGACAUUAAAGCUUGGCAGUCAUAAGACUUUGACACUAAAGUUUGGAAGUCUUUAGACUAGACUUCGGAUAAGUUUUGUCAACUUCAAAAUAUUAAAGGAGUUUUCUCUAACAAAUAGCAAGCCAUCUUAUGUUGAAAUUGUGUCAUGUAAUUUAAAAACAUUUCAUUAAAAAGAAAAAACAAACUUUAUUUAGGUUAUGCCCUCAAUUUCAGGUAAUUUCUUUCCCUAGCUUAUGCUUAGGUUUGUGUGAAAGCAGAAGUUUAUGAGUGGUUUGGACUCGGAAUCCUCAAAACCUAGAUGACAUCGAACAAGGAUAUAGCUUUGCACAUUCUCAAUUUACUAUCAAUUCUAUCUACUAGGUACAAAAGUUUCUAUGUUUUCUUACUAGAGAAAUUAAAUGUUGGUCUAAUGAAAAUGAAACUUGCGUCUAAUCUUAUUUCUUUCAUGAAUCAAUCACCAGGUACACCGUAACUCUUAUGCCCUAGUAGUGAGCAUUGAGAGCAUCAUCCUCAACUAGUACUUUGGCAAUGACUGGUCGAUGCUCGUGUCAAUGCUCAUCUCAAACUGCCUCUUUUGGAUGGGCGGUGCAGCAAUCCUCCUCUCCAACUAGUCUUCCGACCACUGCUACUCCAAGUACCGACUCAUCCACACUGUAUGCACUCACAAAGGCUCGGACGACAAAAGCUAUAACUGCGUAUUCUAGUGAGAGGACAAGAAGAAGAUCCGCUUGUCACUCUCCAAGGACUUGAUGGCGGUCGCCAGGGAAGCCCUGAAGACCAACAUCACGACCCUCAGCCCAUUAAUGCUCCCGAUCUCGGAGCAGCUCUUGUUCUUCACCACCUCAAUCGCAAGGAAGAUGUUCAAGAUGAAGAUUAGGCUAUACACUCCUGACUUUAAGAUGGCCUUCAAGCAUUUUUGCAUCCAUGUUGGAGGCUAAGCUGUUCUCGAUUAGGUAUAGAAGAACCUUGACCUCACUAAUUAGCACAUGGAGCCAUCAAGAAUGACUCUAUUUUGAUCUAGAAACAUGUCAAGUAGCUCAUUGUGGUACAAAUUGGCCUAUUAUGAGGCUAAAGGAAGGAUUAGGAAAGGCGAUAGGACAUGGCAUAUCACUUUUGGGUCUGGAUUUAAGUGCAAAGGUGUAGUUUGUCAGGCAUUGAGGACUGUCGACUCAGCGAAGGAGAAGAAUCCAUGGAUGGACAAGAUUCAUGAGUUCCACCAUCCAUGUUCCAAAAGCAGCAUCCAUUGGAUCUAUCAAGAAAUAAGUGCAUCGUUCAGGAUUUCGCCAAUAUAGGUGAGGUUGAUUUUGAAGGACACAUAGAACCUUAAUUACUCUUUUGCUUUGGGUUCAUGCACAAGCAUUAUUCCAAAUCUACUCAAUACUAAACUUUUCUUUGCUUGAAAUCGAUUCCUGGAAGAAGUGUACAUUUGGCUUUGCAAUCGUUCAUAUGACCUGUCAAAGUAGGUUUUCUAUAGUUGGAUUACUAGAAUAAACUAUUGUGUUGUUCACCUAUAUUGCAAAGUUACAUCGAGACUUCGAACUUCAUAUUCCUAGAAGGCUUUUAGAUGUUAUUGCCUCUCGAAUCAUUACUGGUUUCGAUGCAAGAGCUAACCUAGAAACCUAAUUUAAGUUGAAAAUCUAGAAGUUUAAAAGUCAAACGUUAAUUUAUUUUGGUUGGUUAGAUGACUUUUUGUCAUUUUAUUACUAGGGACAAAAAUAUCAAUGGUGAACAAAAGGUUUGAACUGCACACAUCGUCUUACUACUGGAACUCAUUUAGACAGUGAAAUAAAUUAGACAAUCGGCUCUAAUGUGAUUAUAUAUUGUGUUUAGGUGAAUAAUUGACAAUUUCUUCUCAUUUACUUUUAAAACCUUUUCUUAGAAGUAAAGUUUCUCAAAUAUUUGUAUUUAGAGUAACCGAAACUUGUGAUUCUUGUGAGAUGUAGCAAUACUAUUACCAAUUGUUCUACGAGCUUAAACUAUUAGAUAAAUGCGUAAUUUAAUAUUUAUCACUCUAACACUCCUCCUCACGCUAAGUUUGAUCUUUUUUUUUGCUUAGUACUAAGCAUGGAAAUUUAAUUGUGGCUUCAGCUCUAAUAUCAUGUGAGAUUUUUUGAAACCAUUGUCAAUUUUUCCAAAAGCAUAAGUUGUUUGAUGAAGGCAUGGUUUAUUAGAGUAAUUAAAUAUUAAAUCAUGCCUUCAUUUAAUAGCUUCGACUUUUAGAACAAUUGAUAAUGAUACUACAAAAAUUACACAAUUUUCAUUAGCUACUCUUAUUUUUGAAGAAGUGGUUGGUAAAAGAUCCGAGCAUAAGGCAACGAUAAACUUGGACUGUAUGCACUUUAUGUUUCAUUGGUACUAUUGAAGUUUGACACUUGAUGGAGACACAAAUAUUGGUUAGUUGACUACCGGUUUAAAAUUGCUAGUAUAACCAUCUAGAGGGGGUGAAUAGGUGUAAAGACAAAUUUAACCAAUAAAAACAAUAAAGUUACUUUCUCAAGCAAGGUCUGAUUAACAUUAGACUUCUAAGUUCAAUUUAGACUCAAAUAAGAUAAUCUAGAAUUUAGCAGGACACAGAAAAAUAUUGCAAUAACCAAAUUAAAGAAGUUAAGGAAAGAGAAAAUUGAAAACAUAAUUAGAUCAAGCCUACGUCCACUCUCCCACGCUGACAACCUUAUGGCUGGAUUCCACUAUGAAAUCAAAAGAGAAUUACAACAAUUUGAGUAUUUUCAUUAAAGAGUUUCUUUCUCUUUCACUAAGUCACUCCUUUGUGUUUUUCUCUCUUUGAGUAUAGUUGUAAGCACAAUUGAAGAAGAAUGAGUGAUUUGGUAACUUCAGACUUUGGAAUUUUAAUCCUCAUGCACACACUCAAAUGAACUACAUGACCUCCUUAAUUACUCCUCUAUGCCUUUCUAUUUGUUGGCAAUUUCCAGAGGAAUUUCUUCCAAUCAAUCCAUUGGACAUAAUCAAUAAAGGAAAUUUUGUAGCUGCUUGAAGAUUAAGGUGAAGAUCCGAUGAUUCUGGUCGCCCAUACAAUUAGAAUCUAGGUUUCCAUAAGUAGAUGCUUCCCAAAAAGGAAUUUUUCUUCGAAAUUGAUUUCAUCAAUAUAUUUAGAAAAGAUAUGUGAGAAUCUUCACCAUAAAGCCAGAUAUGUCUUGAUCGUACUGAAUCCUAGUUGGAAGAUCAAUAAACUUGAGUUUGAUUAUGUCUUCAUUCUAGACUUGGUUCAGUCUAGAUCUUCAUCAGAGUGGGGAAGAGUUCUAAUGUAAAAUAGACUUUGACAGCAUUCCAUGAUAUAACAUAGAAGUCUAAUAUUCCUAAGAAUAAGAAUAAGAACAAGAACAAGAACAAGAAUAAGAAUAAGAAUAAGAAUAAGAAUAAGAAUAAGAAUAAGAGAAGGAAAAUUUUGUCAACUUCAAAACCAAAUAGAAGUUUUCUUAACAAUCUCCCCAUUUUUUAUGAUAACAAAACUUUCAUGCAAAUUUAAUAAGAAAUUAUAACCUUCAAAACAACACUUUAGCAGCACAUGAUAAAGAACAUAUGAAUAAUAUAAUAGUCCGCAUCCACAAAACAUAUCGGUCUCAUCAAAACUACAAAACAAGUGCCAAAACCAAUUAAAAUUCAAACACAAGUUCAAGCACCACAAGUUUAUUUCAAAAAGAUUCCAGUUAAAAACACAACCACAAAAGAUUCAAGUUUUAAAUCCGCAUAAGCUCUCCCCCUUUUUGUCAACAACAAAAAGAUAAAGUCGGUGAGUUGUAAAAAGAGGUCGAGUCAAAAAUGAUCAGAGAUGUCUAGAAACACGAACAAGUCAGAAAUCCGGCAAAGACUGCACGGUCUCCUAAAGCUUAUCUGGGCAUUGAUGAUUAACAGCCUCCACUUUUGCCACAGUCUAGGAAAACUACUUAUUCAAAGUUUGAACGUGAGUGUCAAGAGAUUGUGCCUUGCCUGUAAGGAAUUCUGAGGUAGAUCUGAGAGCAACAUGUAACUUUGAAUUUCAAACUCCAUAGGAUAUUGUUGUGCCUAAAUCUCCAAGAGUAGUUUUACUAUCCGAGGAUAGUUGGCUUCCAGUUCUGUUUGGGCACUAGCCUCAAUGUAUUGUACCUGUGGAGUAUCCAUAAAUGAAGGAACAUCAACUUGAACGUGUGUAGUUUGUUGCUCCCCCUGAAUAGUAGUUCCUUUUGCUAGACCUUCAGGUGAGACUUCAGGAAAAUGAGAUGCCAAUACAUCUUCAGCAUUUAGCAGGGAUCGAUUGAUGCCAUCACUAGCAGUAUGUUCAACAAUGGGAGUUUUCUCACUUACUCCCCCUAUUUUGAUGCCUUCAGGCUAAGAGGUAACUUCUUCCUCUUGAACCUUUCAUGUUCUAGCACGAGUUUCCUUAUCAGUUGCAGUCUCAUCAAUUUCUAGGGCAUCAACCUCCCUAGUAUCUUCUCCUUCCUUCUCAGUCUCGUCUUGUUCUAGGUUCAUACCAGCAUCUCCAUCUGAGUCAUCAUCGUCAGUCUCUUUCACUGCAGUUUCUUAAGCAUCACUCUUCUUCUGGUUCCUUCUCGCUUUCAUCUUCUUCUUCUGACUCAGUAAAACCUUGAAGAUUACGCAAGGCCAUAUCAGAGAUUGUCAAAUCAUCAUCUUCCUACUCUUCAUCCUACAAAAGGAUAGAUCUUUUCCUCUUUGGUGACUUUGAAACAACACUCUUUCCCUUGUGUUUCUUCUUAGCAACAGUUCCUUUCCUAAUUUUGCUAGCAGAUUCUUUCUUUAAACUAUCUAGUGCUCCAAAGAGAUCUUUCAAUUGCAUUUUUGAGAUCAUCUUUAGUCCAAUUUGCAUUGGAACGAGAGUUUUGGAGUGAAGUUGAGAUGGUAGUUGUAUCUAGAAGUGUUUGAAGAGUCUGGUUAUCGAUGCAGAGUACGGCAAUGGUCCUUUUUCUUUCAUGAUUGUUUUGUACAUAUGCAGAAUGAUGGUGUGAGGGAGUGAAAAAGCGACACAAUUGCAGAUCACCCACAUCUUCUUUGAUUCAAAUCUGGAUAUAUCAGUUUUUGAGGCUGCCUUGGGUCUGAUACAUUAGAUAACUAUCUUGUGUAGCAAGAUAUUCGAAGUAAUCAUUCUAGAGUAAGUAAUAUUGCCACUAGAAAUCCUAUCACGUACUAGAGUCCUUGUGGCCUGUGCAUUUGACACAUUAAUAGGCAGGAAUCCACUUAUUUCUACACCCAACAAGUUAGCCAAGAGAUUCACAUCCACAUCAAAAACUCUGUCACACAUGGUAAACUAAAUAUGAGUGGGAUCCAAAAUAGACAGAUUAGAGUAAAAGUAUGCCAUUAAUUCAGGGUAUGCCUCCAACGUCUCUACAUAGAACUUCUCUAGCUGAAGUUUAGCAAACUUUCCCCUCAAGUUAACAUUGAUGGAAUCCAGUAAGUCAAACUCCACAGUUUGAGGGUUGAUAAUUCCUAUGUUCAGCAUUUAGGCAAAAAAUUUCUUAUGCUCUUUUGAAUGAAACAAUUUCGUUCUUUCUCUAGGGAUUUCAGCAGCACCUCCAAUCUUUUGUUGGAAAUUUUUAAAGAUUCUUUCAUCACCAUCUUUGUUUUUUGGUUGAUUUUCUGACCCAAAAUGUGUAUCAUAAGAAAAGUUCGCAAACUCCUUCUUUGCAGUUCUAGGUUCUACUAAUCCUAACCGUUCCAUCGCUUGCAAAAAUACAUUUUCAUUUUCAUAGCCAUUUUCUCUCAGAAAGUUACUUAUGAAGUUCAUAGGGCUUCCUCCCUUCUUCAAAAAGUUAUAGUAUUUAAGAAGUACCUUAGGCUUUCUCACUGAAAUGGGGUUUGCAUCUUAAGUAACUUCUUCAUCUGCAUAACAGCAAGGAGAAGGUGAAUCUUCUCCGGUCAGAUCAAAUUGUGUUGGUCCUUUAGGAAUAUUCCGAGGCUCACGACUAACAAUGUGAGAGGAUUUCAUUUAAAACAACAUUGAAGCAGAUUUGGAAGACUUUGACGACAUGCUCAUGUAGAGGAAAAUAAAAAUUUUGCAGAGAGUUUGUGAGAGAAAUUAAGAACAAUGAGGGUUUGAGAGUUAGGCUUUGAAAAACAACUGCAACUGUAAGAGAGAUUUAAAGAAAUUGAAAUAAGGCAACUGAACCGUCAUAAAGAAAAGUGCAUUUUCAAAAAAUUUAAAAAGAUAACCACCAAUUAUAAAUUUGAAAAAUCAGCAAGGAAAUUGUAAUUUCCAAAAAUAAAAAAGGCAAGCAAUGAGUUAGAGAUAAACAUACUUGUUCAGUACUUACACGCCAAAAAUAAAAUAAACUACUUGAGUCUGGAGGAAUUUUAGAUAUAUGCAAAUACCUCAUGCUAAUCUGUUGAGUCUGCAUGAUCAUAAACUUUAGUCAAAUGAAAGAAUGAUGUUAAGCUUUUCAUGAAUAAACUCAAAUAAGCUCUUCUCCAACGGUUUGGUAAAAAUAUCCAUUAGUUGGUUCUUGGAAUCAAUAAAUUGAACAUUAAUCUCGCCAUUCUGAACAUGGUCUCAAAUGAAGUGAUGACGAAUUUUGAUGUGCUUUGCUCUUGAGUGAAGAAUUGGAUUUCUGGUAAGAUUAAUAGCAUUUGUGUUGUCACAUUUGAUUUCAGUGCAUAAUUCUUCUAUUCCAAAAUCUCUUAGUUGCUGUCCGAUCCAUAGAAUUUGUGAACAACAACUUCCAAGAGCAACAUACUCUGCUUCUGCUAUUUUAAUAGCCACAAUAUUCCGCUUUCUUGAAAACCUGGACACUAACAUAUGUCCCAACAGUUGACAUGUCCCUGAGAUACUUUUCCUAUCAACUCUACAACCAGUCAGAUCAGCAUCAGAGUAACUAAGUAAAUUAAAGUCUCCUCCUUUUGGAUACCACAAACCUAGCUUUGGAUAAGUCGCAAUAUAUUUUAUGAUAUGUUUAACAGCACUAGGGUGUGACUCUUUGGGAUUAUAUUGAAAUCUAGCACAUAUACACACACUGAAUAAAAUAUCUAGUCUAGAAGCAGUUAGAUAAAGAAGAGAACCAAUCAUGCUUAUGUAUAGCUUUUGAUCGACUUUCUUUCCAUCUUCAUAUUUGUCAAGCUUUGAAGAACUUGACAUCGGAGUUUAUGUUUUCUUGUAGUUUUCCAUUCGAAACUUCUUGAUAACAUCUCUGGCAUAUUUCUCUUUAUGAAUGAAUGUUCCUUUCUUCGAUUAUCUUACUUGUAGACCCAGAAAGAAAGUUAACUCUCCCAUCAUACUUAUUUCAAAUUCUUCCUACAUAGAUUUUGAAAACUUCUUGCACAAAUUUUCGUUAGAGGAUCCAAAGAUUAUAUCAUCUACAUUUAUUUGAACAAGUAGGAAAUAUUUUUCUUCUUUUAUGAUAAAUAAGGUUGUGUCAACCUUCCCUUUCUCAAAACCAUUAUUAAUCAAAAACUUACUCAGCCUCUCAUACCAAGCUCGAGGUGCCUGUUUCAAACCAUACAACGCCUUCUUAAGUCUAUAGACCAAAUUUGGUUUUCUGAGAUCUUCAAAUCCAAGUGGUUGUUCCACAUAGACUUCUUUUUGUAUAAAACCAUUAAAGCACUCUUGACGUCCAUCUAGAAUAACUUGAAAUUAUGAAAACACACAUGCAAGUAGUAAUCUAAUUGCUUCUAACCUGGCUAUAGGUGCAUAAGUCUCAUCAUAGUCUAUUCCUUUCUCUUAUGUGUACCAUUUUGCAACAAGCCUUGCUUUGUUUAUGGUUACUUUGCCCUUUUUAUCCAUCUUGUUUCUGAAAACCCACUUCAUUCCAAUCACAGAUUUACCUUUUAAUUUAGGAACCGGCUCCUAGACGUUGUUGAUACUGAAUUGUCUAAAUUCUUCCUGCAUAGCUUCUAUCCAACUUUCAUCAGACAAUGCUUCUUAUACUCCUUUUGGUUCUAUUUCUGAAAUAAGUGCUCUUGCAUUGGAAUUUUAUUUUGCCUUGGAUCUGGUGCGGAUUUCUUCUUCUAUAUUUCUAAUAAUGAGCUCUUUGGAAUGACUUGAUUUGUGCUUCCAGUUGCUAUUCAAUCUGUCAUGUCCUGGUGAACUAUGCUGAUCAUUUGUUUCCUUCUAAUCUUCUGACUCCUAUUCUGCUUGACCUUGAUAUUCAGAAGAUUGACGUUCUCUUGAAGAAUCGGACUUUAUUAGGUUUGAAAUUGAUUCAGACUCUUUAAGUUGAGUCUAAUCUGGUUGAAUUUGAAUAUCUUCCUGAAAUCUGAUUUUCAUAGAUUCUUCAACAGAUUGAGUAUUCUUGUUGAAAACCCUAUAAGCUUUACUUGAUGUAAAGUACCUAAGAAUAUUCCUUCAUAUGAUCUUUCUUCAAAUUUUCCAGCUCGAUCAUUUGCAUUCUUCAAGAUGAAACACUUAUAGCCAUACAUGAAAGUAGGAGAUGUUUGGCUUCUUCCCUUUAUAUACUUCAUAGGGAGUAUUUUCUAAGAAUGGCCUUAAAAAUACCCUGUAAAUUAUAUAACAGGCAGUGGAAACUACUUUUGCCCAAAAAUGAGAAGAGAUUUUAAUUUGUUUCAAUAGAGUUCUGGCCAUCUCCUGUAACAACCUAUUUUUCCUUUCCACAACUUCGUUUUGUUUUGGAGUAUACGGAGAGGAGAAAACAUGUUGAAGACUAGACUUAUCACAGAACUUUGCAAAGUCUUGAUUUUCAAAUUCUCCUCCAUGAUCAAUCUUUAUGCUUGAGAUAAUGGCUCGUUCUGAACUUUCUUGGCAAACUUUGAAAAGUAAGUAAAAGUUUUAGACUUACUUGCUAAGAAUAAGACCCAAGUGAAUCUUGAAUAAUCAUCCACAAUUACUAAACAUUAUUUCUUUCCACCAAUACUCUAAGUUCUUGUUGGUUCAAAAAGAUCCAUAUGAAGAAUCUGCAAAACACGAUCGGUAGAAACUUGAUUUAUUAGUUAAAGAAACUUCUUACCCGUUUUCCCAAAAUACACAGAGUACACAAUUCAGACUUUUGAUAAGCCAUUUUAGGAAGACCUCAAACCAGCUUCUUACAAGAAAGUUUGACAAUCUGUUUUAUAUUCACAUGUCCAAGCUUACGAUGCUAGACAUUUGCUUCAUCUUGAAUAGAAAAGAGGCACUGAGAGCUCUCCAGACUUAUGUCCAGAUGAUAAAUGUUGCCAUGCCUUCUCCCAGUAAAGGAUUGUGAUAGAUCUCGACUAACUCUAGAGCAGCUAUCUUCUUGAAAAUUGAUUCUGAAACUUGUAUCACACAGCUGACUUAUGCUUAAAUGAUUAUAAUUUAAGCCUUUUCCCAGUGAAACAUUAUUGAUGAUUAGACUCUCAAUCUUCACUAUUCCAAAUCCUAUAAUCUUUCAUUUGUUGUUUCCACCAAAAGAGAUAUUUCCUCCUUUUUGUCUUUCAAAUUUUACAAAGCUGCUCGAGUCUCCUGCCAUAUGCUUAGAACAAUGCUUUUUCUUCUAAUAAUGGCCUGCAGUCGAAAGGAGAUCUCAAGCUUUCUUCGGUACCUAAAUUUUCUUAGGUCUAGGGGAGUUAGUGUUAAAAACAACCUUUGCCCAAUUCUUCUUAACAGGUUUCCAAACUUUAGGACAUUCAUUCUCAAAAAUGUUUUGAGCUAUUACACUUAGAACAUCUGAGAGCACUUCGACCAACAGAUUUUACAAAAACUUUUUGAAAAUGAUUUUUAUAAAAGGAUUUUAGAGGUCUUUGUCUGAGUCUUUCUUUCACUUUGGGAAAAUCAAUUAGAGAAGUCAUUUUAUUAUUCAUUCCCAAACCAGAUUUAUUUAAAUAGGGUAUUUGAGCUGAAAGAAUUUUCUCUAAACUUUUCAGAUCCAUUGGAAAACCUUUUUAAAAUAUCUAAAAUUUCCUUUUUCAAAUAGAUGUUUUCCCUUGAGAGAGAGUUAGCAUUUUCUUUCAAACUAUCAAAAUCACUUUUCAGGUUUUCAAACUUUUCUUUCCAAAAAUCAUUAUGUUGCCUGAGCUUAGAAUUUUCCUUUUUCAGUUCGGAAUUCCUUUUAAGAGAAGAUUUGAAAUAAAGGCAAAGUUCAUCUAUAUACUUAUAAACCUUAACAUGAAUUUCUAAGUGACUUAUAUCGAUUUCCUUGUUAGAAUCUGAAUAUGAGUCUGAUUUUGAGUGAGCCAUCAGAUAGAUAUUUGCAAGUUCCUUUUCACUUUCCUCACAUUCAAUAUCACUCCAUGUUUCUGCUUUGAGAGCUUUCUUGUACUUCUCAUACUUCCCUUUAUUCUUUUUCAACAAGGGACAAUUAGGCUUGAUGUGUCACUUUUUCUUGCAUUUGAAGUAUAUUACAUAUUUGCUAGUUUCAACAUCUUCCGUUGGUCUUUUCUGGAAACUUUGCUUGCUUUGCUUCUUCCAAUUAAGCCUUCUUCAUUUUCUAUUCAGUUUUCUAAAUUUCUUUAUCAUUAGGGCCAGUUCCUCGUCAUCCAUAUCAUCGUCUGUAUCUGUGUCAUCAGAAUCAAUACUAGGCUUUAGUGCAAUUGAUUUCUUACCUUUUGGAUCUUCCUCAUCAUUGAUUUGUUCCGCUUCGUAUGAUUAAAGCAUUCCUAUCAUUUCAUCAACAAAAAGAGGCAUGAUUCUUUAAGUCUCUCUAAUUGAAGCUUUCACAUGAUUCCAGUCCUUUGAAAGUCCAGGUAGUAAUUUGUUGACCUUCAUUGGUUCUAAAAUUGGUUGCCAUUGAUAGGCCAAGCCAUUUACAAAUUCUAUGAAGUGGCUGAACAUAUCACCAAUAGACUCUCUAGGUUUCAUUUUAAAGGACACAUAUUGUGACAUCUCGAAUUUUGACCCCGUCUCGAAUAUAUGAAAUGGGCAUUUCACCGGCACACCUAUGGUCCUUUUUCUGUGAGUUAAUCAGUCACGAGUUAACCAAUAUAUUGGGUAAAUCCAUUAAGAGAUAUAACCUAGUAAAAUCCCUAAAAGCUACCCGGUAGGUCGGAUCGGACUAAAAUCGCGUUUGAUUGAUUUUAACCACAAAAUAGAAUUCGGUUUCGGAAAUUCGGAUGGGCAUUAUUAGAGGAAUUUUGGGUCACCAAAUUUAAGUCAAUGGUGAGGAGAUUGUGCAAAUUUGUAGGGGUGAUGGACUACUACAGUUUGGUCCUCAAAUUGACUUCAUUUGGUGUGGAAUUGUGGAGAAAUUGGCCCCUUGAGUGACCCAUUGGAAAGGUUGGCUGAAAAUGGGCAUAGUUACCUACAAAAAAAUGAUUUAAUUUGGGUGAAAUUGGAGCAAAUUCUCCAUUGGUUGGGCUGAAGACUUUUAUGGUUUGUUAAUCAUGAAUGAGAUAUUUUGUUUUGACUUGACCCCCUCUCAUUCGGCUUCUCCAGCAAGUCUCACCGACUUCAUCUCCACAGCAACUCUCUCUCUCAUUCUUAUCCCUUCCAUUUCUACUUUCCUUUAAUUCCUUCUUUUUCUUUGGGAGUAAAACAAAAACAGCUUCAUCGUCCCUUUUCUCUCUCUGCCGCUACAAUCCACUAACCCUUGUCACUCCAUUAUUACAACUGCCUCAUCCAUUAUCACCCUUGCUCCAUCGUUGACCCUACAAAUCCUAGCGGCCAGCCCACGACUACUUCGCUAAAGCUGCUCUCUUCUCCACAUGUCCAAUCCACCAAUCUUCAACUCCUUGGACGCCAGCAAGUCGCCCGCAUUGCCUCUCGCCUUCAGCUGCGUGGAGCCUAGCCCAUUAGCAGCUCCGCAAGCGCACGUCUCCCUACAGCUCAAUCAACCGAAAUAACUCUUGUGCGGUCCAUCUCCACGAUCUCUCCACCCAGCUACCCUAACAUUGUUGGUCUUCUUCAAUCGAAGUCUUUAUUGACUCUUUGUCGCGACACCACCCACAAAUCAGCCACCACUGAAGCUCACGGAUCUAGCUACCGGCGAAGCCGAAACCCAGCUCUGUUUCUACUUCGAUCAUGCCGCGCCAGAUGAAGCCAGCGAAGCUGGAAACAAUUCCGCCCAUUUGUUUCUCCUCCGCAUGUCAUGGCCCAAUGAAACGUUUCUUUAGCCCAGUGUCUUCAAUCUUGGGCUCGUGAUUUCCAGCCCACAGUUGGUUAGGAUCAGCUCAGCCCAUAUGAGUUUCAGACAGGCCCAGCAGCUCCUUCAGGCUUUCUUCAGCUCGUGAAAUGCAUCAGCCCAUCUUCACGUGUUUGGCCCAUUUGAAGCCCAAGAAGUUUUAGUAACUCAGCCCACGAAGCUAGUUGGCCCAAGUUCAGCCCAAGCCCAGCAAUUUGCUAUGGGCUUGCAAGGCCUUUGGGCCCAACCCAAGUGAUAGUUGACGUCACCGAAAAGUUGGAAUUCGGCCGCCAUCGCAUCGCCAUCGCGGUGUUUCAGUCUUCGCUUUGCCAAGUGAGUUUUACUCACUAAUACUUUCUUAGUUUCCUAAUUAUGCUUAAGGGUUGAUUAAAUUUAAUUAAGUGCAAUUAUGUGGUUAGAUUAAAGUAGAUUAGUGAUUAUUAGAUAAUUGUGAUGCAUGUUAGACAAUUGAAUUGUGCAAUUGAAUAACCAUUUCAGGACCCUGAUGAGGAGCCUGAGGAGGAGGAAUCUGAAGAGGAGAACUCUAAUGUGGAACUAGAUGAGGAGGAAAAUUUUGGAGAAGAAGAUGACCAUGAGGAGGAUCAUGAGUACGACUCGGAUGAGAACUGAGAUCCCAUCUUGUUUUGUCAGACCUUGAUUAUAUGUAAAUAAGUGUUAGAUCAAACCCCUGUGAAUAGUAUUGCAUUAUAUACUAUGAGGUGCUUGUAUAAAAGAGUGGUUGUGAAUUUUAGUAUGAAAAUUAUGGCCCUACUUUUCUAUCCCAUUGUUUUAUUGUCUAGGGAUUUAUAUCUGCUUCCGCAUGUGCUAUUGAAAAUGAAAGGGUCGGCGAUACGUUGUCCUGGGAUAUCAUGUUUUAAAAUCGACCAAAUAGAUAAGGAUGGGCACGUGACCGAGGAUCGGGACGUGACAUCCCAUUUUUGUGGUAUUAGAGCCAGGUUCAAGAUUGGAGUGAUAAGGAGCAAUGACUCUUGGGAUAGUAGUAAGAAAAGCCUUUAAAUUAAUGCUGGUGCAUGUCUGUGUUAGCUGAAUGCUAGAAUUGUUUGUUGUGUGUGGAUCGCUCACCUUCUAAUCCAGUGUGGAUUUGGAAAACGGGUUUCAGUGUAAAGACUAAACCAUGAGUGAGAAAGAGCUGAGAACUCCUUGUGGCAUCCUGAAAUUCCUUACCGGUCAUUAGGGGUGCUGAAAUUAAUGUCUUGUAUUAAGGACUAUGGCCAAAUUUAAUGGAUAAAUUUUGGGAAAGGAUGAUCUACCUUUGGCCAUAUGUAUUGUGGGUUAGAAUCUAUGGAUUUGUGAUUUCAAGUGUAUAAUUAUUUAAUUUAUACACUAUAGUACUUUGAUUCAAUAAGGAUUUAAUUAGUAUUUAAAAAUGGGUUGGAAUUUGAUUUAAUUAGGCUUGGGCCUUAGGCCCAAGAGUAUGGACCUUUGAUGGGCCAAAAGGCCGGCCCAUGAAGCCCACGGAUAGGGCUGCCGUCGACCAAGGAGAGGGGGAGUGGCCGGCCCACUUCCAAGCCCAUUAUGCAUGGGUCUUGCCAAGUGGCAAAAAGGAGACUUCAUGCAUUGGCCAUUGUGGGUGGCUCUUAAUCAUUGCAAAUGAUGAUUUUGUGGGGGAAAUAAAAGAGAGAGUGGCCGGUUUAGGGGGUUGUCGCCCAAGCCAAGUGAGAGAGAGAGAGAGAGGGUUGCGAGAGAGUGAGGAACCGAGAGAGAGAGGGAGAAGCCGCGCGAAGGAGGAGGCCCGCUCGUCCGUCGCCGUCCGUGGGCCGUUGUUUGCUCGGUACAAAGGCAAGUUGGGAUCUAUAUUCUGGUCUUGCAUAUUGUGUCUUGCUUGUGUGUUUGAAUGGUGGUGAAUCUCGGAUGUUCAGGGUGUGAGAAACCGAAGCUUGAGUGUGUUGUUCUUGAAAAUGUGUUCUGUUUUUUAGUGUGCCGCCUGACCCAGAAUUUGGUAGAGGCUUGCAUGUGGGUUUAGAGUCGGAUUUUGGCUUCGACUUCUUCACAAAAGUUGUAGAGAACAUCUCAAAGUAUAACAUACUAAAAUUUGGGAUAAAAUGGCUGAGUUUUAAGGGGUGAAACACUUCCUCUAUGAAAACGCCAGAUUUGAAACUGUUUUGUUGACCUCUUGAUGAUUUUGUGUGUUGCAUGUCACUUUUUACCGAGAAUCCCACUUCAACUUCUUAAAGAAAGUUUUAGAAAACAUCCUAAAUAUUAACAUACUCAAAUUUUGAAGUAAAACGAGCAAGUGUAGCCUAGUGAAACGGUUUCUUUUGAAGACGGCAGAUCUGGAAGUACGAUACUGGACUCCCGAGACUUUGUGGACUAUAUGGUUACUAUCCUUUGAGAACAUCACCUAGAUCCCUUAAUGAAAGUUGUAGGGGACCUCUUGAGGCAAAACAUAUCAAAAUUUCAGAGGAAAUGAGGAACGAUGAUUAGGCAAAACCUCAAUUUUUCGGAGAUAGCUAAACUGGACUGUUCGGUACUAGGAACAGGAGCUUUGACCGUCUAUAUUAAAUUAUAUAGAGCGAAUAUGGCCUAGAUGUCUACAUGAAAAAUAUACCUUAGGAUCUUGACUAUAACCUGCUAACAUUUCAGAAUUUUUGGAGGUCAUUCGGGUAUUUUAAUCGAAAUAUUUCAAGAACUGCGCAAUCUGAUUUUAUCCGAAUUUUGCAUGCUGUAUUGUGUGAGCUAUAUCUUCUUGUGUGAAGCUCUUUUGGGCAUGCGUUCUUCAUGAAAUUGUUACCUUUAUGUCUUUUCUAUUACAUGCUCUGAUUGUAUUAUUUUUGAGGAUCUUAUGGAUAUUUAAUUUAUAUAUUUUCCAAAAUUGUGCAAGCUGGAAUUUGGGAAGUUUCAAAAAGACAUGAUAUAUGGAUUAUUCUAAGUUGUAUGGACCCCAUGGGUUGUAUUGUCAUUAGUGGUUGUAUCUUUCUUCAUGUAUGAUGAUGAUUGAAAAUGCAUAUAAGAAUCAAAUGAUGAAAAUGAUCUUGUUUGCCAUCACAUCAUAUGCCAUGUUGAAAUUGAGCUAUAAUUGAAAAUGUGAACUAAGAUAAGUGAGAAGGCCGUCGGAGGUGUGAGCCGACGAUGCCCCGGGAGUGUCGGGAUGCCUGGCCAGGGAGUGUAAAUGCCGGAUGCCCGGUGGCCUUAAAUGGCUAAAUGCCGGAGGGUCCUCGGGAGUUUCAAGAUGCCCAAAGCAUGGGGAGCCGGAAGCCCGGAGGUUUGUGUCGGGGGAUACCUCGUGAUGCCAGUUGGGUUAUGAGAUGCUUGACAGGUAUUGUGCUCGAUGCCCGGAGGUUUGCGCCGGAGGUUCCUCGUGAUGCCAGGUGGGGUGCGAGCGAUAAAUGUGGGAUGCAAAUAUUGGUCCCAGGAAAAAGAGAAAUGUGGCGGUUCAAAAUGAAAAGAUAAAAUUUGGAAAUUGAAAUUGAAUCAUGCAUGGUAUGGCAAUAUGUAUGCAUGGAUGCAUGAUGGUAAGUGCAUGGAUGUAUGUGCACCUAUGGCAUGAUGGCAUAUGUGACAUGAUGAUGAUGAGUGCAUGGAUGUAUGUGCACCUAUGGCAUGAUGGUAUGCGUGACAUGAUGAUGGUAAGUGCAUGGAUGUAUGUGCACCUAUGGCAUGAUGGUACAUGUAUGAUAUGAUGGUGAUGAUUACAUGAGGAUGUGUGUACAUGUGGUAUGAUGACAUAUGCAUGGCUCCAAGGUAAAUUAUGCAUGGAUGCUUGAAUGAUAUGUCAUAUGCUAUGAUUGUUAUGAUUGUAUUAUGUGAUGCAUUGAGUGGUUUAUUGGGUCAUUUACCUGCUGAGUGGCUGUACUCACCCCUUUAGGGACCAACAUUUCAGAUUAGAAAGAUGCCGGUCCCUGCUGUCACGCGGGGCGUCUUUUACGGCCUUCCUUCGGAUGUGGAGGUCGAGUGUGUGGAGAUCGACUGUCCUACCAUCCCUGGUCUGACGUUCAUUUAGGUUCACGCAUUAGUGAUGUAUGACGUGGGCCUGGCUGAGGGCCCUGUCAUUUAGGAGUUCAUAUCUAUUCACGUUCGUCGAGACGGAGUGAUGCGGGGGAUGUUGCCGCCGUCACCGCCUGACGCACCAGCAUGGGUGUGACUGCACGCACGCAAGAAGUAGGAGCUACAACUUUUUGGACAAUAGCCAACACUAGUAGAUGGAGGAUUUUGCAUGAUCGACAUAGAGGGUCGAGUUUUUUCUUUUUGAGGUUGUGGUCGAGUGUAGUCAAAAGUCUUGGCCCUUCUUUUGUUAUACUGAACCGAGAAAAAAAUCCAUCAUGAAAAUAUGUAAAUAAAAGUGGCUCGGCUUUAUCUUUUCCUAUGGCACUUAGUGGUGUGCAUUGUAUCAUGAUAGAUGGAGGGAGAGAUGAUGAUAUUUCAAUUAUGCUUCCGCUAAUGCUAAUAAGUUGCGCUAGGACCGAUAGAUAUAUAUAUAUAUAUAUAUAUAUAUAUGCCUAUGAGCUGCCAUACUUCUGUUAAGAGAUGUGAUUAGCGUUCAUUAGGUAUAGCAACAGGUACUUGUGGCAACCUUAGGUGUUUAGGGGUGCCACACUUCUAGUAAGAGGACAAUGUCCUCUAUGACUUGGGAUAAAGCACCGACUAAGGUCGGUACCCGAGGUGGUUGUGGCAGAGUGUUGGCUUUGGCCAGCUCGAGUGUAAGAGUACCAUCGCAGGUUGGUACUAUUGUAGUAGCACCGAGCGAUCCUAGGUUCGACGGGAUCGUUCAGGUGCUAGUUUCCUUGGAAUUGGUUGAGCCAGCAAGCUCAAGAUUGAGCCACCGUUGUUGUCGCUGUCACUACCGCCGUGUUGCCGCACCUGCUGAGGUUCAGUGUGAAGAUAUGAUAUGGGAGCGAGCCGUUGCAUCCGAGUCAAGGUACAGCUCCAGUUUAAGCAGAGAUGGAAAUCGGUCAAGGAAAAGACCGAUGUGGAGAGAAGAGUAUUCUAUUCCACCCAAUAAGAAGGGUGUGAUAGUUAGGUCAGCACUGAGUCAAAAUGGAACAUGAUGUUCCCGUGCAUGACGACAAAGAUUGGCCUUAUGUUUUCUUAGGACAAGAAUUUGUUUCGAGUAUAUCCAAUAGAGUUACCUGACCGGAGACGGUCCUAGAAGGCCGAUGGGACAGAUUAGAGGAAAUGCGCCAUAGAACGCACAGUGGAGUUUUGGAAUAGGUCUCUGGUACCAUAAAGAGUGCAUGCUUUCACCUGAUAGGAGAUAAAAGACGCACCAGAUAGGUGUCGGAAUUGUAGAAUGAAGUAUGGAUGAAUCCAGUGUCUGAGUAUGACUAGAACAUGUUGUAAUGAUGACCAGCAUGGCUAUCAGGUGAAGGACUGUUAGUGGAAGUCUAAGGUAGCAUAGACAUCGCUACUACGGCCAAAAUGCCACUAGGAUGGCGAAAGAAAUGGGAGUAGAAUUGACCUUGCACCGAUCAGAGAAAGAAUGUGUUGAAGGUGAUUUUAUCAGAGCAGCACAUCAGAGUUUUGUGCUGAGUUGGUAGAACUUAAAUUGUUGAAGUAAAAGUGAAAGAGAGGGGAAUCACUAGCAAUAGUUGUGCUUGACUAGUUGUUGAGGUGUGAGUUCGACACCACGUGAAUAGUGUGGGUUCAUGGAGCAUCUUGUGAUAAUGAAUCAUGGUCUUGGAGUAAUCCAGUUUAGUCCAUUAGCAUGUGAAAGUAUCGAGGUUAUUGGGAGUCGAAAAGAAUCUUCGAUUUCAUUAAUCUCGUUGGCUGAAGGCAACUUGUUUGUUAGACGGAGGUUGCCAAGGUUGCUUGGCGAUUGUCUUGGGUAGGAUAGAUUGGAGAACUAGAGAUGGAGGACAUCUCAGUGGUCUAAGAAUCUCUAGAUGUGUUGUCACAAGAACUGUCAGUUCGUCGUCAGAGAAAGAGAUAGAAACUGCGAUCGAGCUAGCACCAGGAUAGAGCCACUCUCGAAGGCUUCUUACCAGCGAUUGUUCUCUGAAUUGGUAGAACAGAAGAUGCAGAUGCGAAGAUUGAUGAAUGAGGAAUUCAUGCAUAUCAAUGUAUCACUUUAGGGAAACAUCAGUUUUGUUUUUGAGAAAAAGAAAGAUGGUUUGUUGCGAGUAUGCAUCAACCAUUGUCAACUCAAUUAGGUGACGAUCAAGGACAAGCGUCCAUUGUAAAAGAUCGACGAAUUGGGUGACUAGACAUCAAGAGUGUUGAUGUUUUCAAGGAUCAACUUGAGAACAAGAUGUCAUCAGUUACGAACAAAGAAGGAGGUUAUAUUGAAAACAGCUUUUCGUACUUGAUAUGAUCUUUACGAGAGUAUUGUAAGACCGUUUGGCCUGGUAAACACUCCAGCUACUGUCAUGGAUUUGGCAAACCAAGUGUGCAAGGAAUAUCUAGAUCAGUUCUGCUCGUGUCUUUUAAUGACAUUCUGGUGCAUUCGAGGAAUGCUAAGGAGCACAAGAGACAUUUGAGAUGGUGAUAGAAUUUCCGUGGACUCGAUGAAGACUGAAGCAGUUAUUAGUGAAACGAGAUCUAUAGUGAGGUGUUGUGCGGAGGACUAGGUGCGUACUGAUGCGACAUGAUAAGAUCAUUGCAUAUGCGUCCCGCCAGUUGAGACCUAAUGAGUUGAAUAUGAGACGGUGUCAUGAACCAGAACCUUGGCAGGACUAGGAUGGUGUUAUUUGGUAUCACCCUAGGGGAAAGAAAGAAGUCACUGAUGCGGUGAGUCAAGAGUCUCUAAUGGUGCAUAUACUGGUUAAAGUAUGGAACUUACUUGAGAAAGUUCGAAAAUUGGUUUUCAAAUUUGAGGUAGGCUACCUUUUGAAUUCUAUAGUUGCCCUCAAAAUUGAACCGGAUAUUCAAGUUAGAAUCAUACGCUUCAGUUGACAGAUCGGGAUGCUUAGAAAAUCCCGUAAGAGUAUAUCGGUAAGGGAAAAGUUGACUUUCAGAUUUCGAAAGAUGGAACAUCGAAGUAUCGUGGGUGAUGAUAGGUGUCAGACAGUAUGGAACUUGAGGAGAAGACCUUGUUAGGAAAUUCACUGUGGUAUUACAGUAUUUGACAAUAUAAUGUGAGGUAGGUCAGAAUCAAUGUCGGCUCGAUUGGUAGACCGAUAUGAAGAUAGACAUUGCCACAGGUUGUAAGUGUUAGAUGUGCUAGUGAGUAGGAGUUUAGUAAGGCAAACCGGGAAGACUUUUACAAUCACUCGAGAGUCCCGAGUGGGAAUGGAAGUAUAUCACGAUGGAAUGUUGUGAUGGCUUUACUAAGGAUUUAGAGGAAUAAUGACUCAAGUUAGGGUAGUGGUCAAUAAACUGAUGAAGUCGACUCACUUUAUCACGGUAUGGAAGGAUCUUGAUUGGAAUAGACAUGCAUAAGUGUAUGUGUGUCAGACAGUUUGUCUGCAUGGGUACUAGUGACGAACUUAUAUCAGAUCUAAAACCGAGGUUCCUAGUUUCAACAGAACAAUCAAAUAGUUCCUUUUGAGGCAGAACAGAGUAGAGUGUGCAGAACUUCAGUUUGUUGAGAUGAGAUUAGAGAAAGAAAAAUCACAGGCCCAAAGUCAGUUUAGCAGUCAGUGAUUUUCAUGAUCAGAAUCAAAUUAUAGACCGCUCAGAGCCAUCAGAAAAGUUGUAUCGUUGAGUAUUGAAGGUCCUUAGAGUUCCAAAUUGGUGAUUACAUCUUUCUGAAGGUGUCACCAAUGAGAGAUACCUUGCGUUUCAGCAAGGAGGGAAAUCUAGAACCGAGGUAUGUAGUUUCCUUUGAGAUUUUGAAAAGAAUCGGGAUCCUAACGUAUCAUCUUGCAUUGUCAUUGAGGUAGGCACAAGCGCAUGACGUCUUUCACGUGUCAAGGUUGAGGAUGUAUGAACCUUACCCAACUCAUGUGCUAAAUGUUGAAAAAUUAGACAUGGACGAUAGAGUAUCGUACAUGGAAAGGUCAGUUCAGAUUGUGAAUCAGAAGAUCUGAUUUAGUGAACCAAAAUAGUCCCCUUGGUCAAAGUGGUCUGACAUCGCCAAGGACUGAAGAAGCAACCGAGGAAAGUGAGACUAGAUGAGACGACGAUACCCCCACCCUUUUAUUUAAGCAACAUAUGGAAAAACAAGAUGAAGGCAUUCCUAAGAUCAAAAGGUCUUCUGGAAUGGGAUGUGGUAGAAAAAUGAAUUAUUCCUAAAGUUACAUAAGUUUCAGAAAGGGGAAAGAAGUUGCAGACGCUGGCAAGAUGACUCAAGAAGAAAUAACUAAGAGACAAGCUCUUGAUGCAAAAGCAAUUUACUCUUUAUAUUGUGCAUUGUCUCCUACUGAGUAUAAUAAAAUAUCUUCUUGUGAAACAGCCAAAGAAGUCUGGGACAGGCUACACAUUACUUAUGAAGGAAUUGAUCGAGUGAAAGAAACAAUGAUCAAUAUUCUACUCGAAUAGUAUGAAGCCUUCAAGAUGAAGCUACGAGAAUCUAUUACUGACAUGUUUAGUCAUUUUACAGAAAUUGUAAAUGGUCUAGAGUAUUAGGGUCAACCAAUCUCAAGACCCAUGAAGGUUAACAAGUUGCUGCGUGGACUUUCCAAAGAUUGGAAUCACAUAAAGACUUUGAUAAGGGAAACACAAAGGAUCAUGCCACUUUCUAUAGACGAAUUGGUUGGCACACUUCAAUCCUAUGAAGUGGAGCAAAUCAAUGAAGAAGAAGAUCCAAAAGGUAAGAAAUCAAUUACUUUGAGAUCUAACGAUGAUUCUGAUGUUACAGACUCUAAAGAUGACAUAGAUGAUGAAGAGCAGCCCUUAUGAUAAAAAGGUUCAGGAAACUAAACAAAAAUGGAAGAAGAUUCAAUUGGAAUAAACAAAGUACUCAAAAGUCUCAAAACAAAUCAACUAAGGAUGAUAAAUCCAAUAAAGAUGUGAUCUGUUUUGAAUGCAAGAAAAAAGGACACAUCAGACACAACUGUCCCAUGUUGAAGAAAAAGAAAGGAAAAGCUGAGAAAUACAGGAAGGCUCUCAAGGCAGAGACAUAGAGUGAUAUUGAAUGUGAAGAAAGUGACGAAAAUUAUGCCAAUAUUUGUUUAAUGGAAAAUUCAUAAUCAGACUCAGACUUGGAGACAGAUACAAACUCAAACUCACAUAGUGAAAUUGAGGUAAGCAAUUUAAAAAUUUCUACUAAAGUCUUGAAAUAUAUUGAUGAACUUUGUUUUAGUCUCAAAACUUCUCUUAAGAGGAUUUCCGAGCUAAAAAUGGAGAAUUCUACACUGAAGCAAUAGGAAAUCUCUUGGAAAGAAAAGUUUGAUAAUUUAGACAAAUUUUUUGUCAUUUUGAAAGAAAAUGCAUGUGGCACCCCUGACACAGAUCCCGAAUCGUUAGGGUCGCCACUGUUCGCUUACCUUUCACUUGACCUGAUAAUAUAUCAUUCUGAUACCAAAGAGUUAUAAUUCAUAAAUCCUGGGGGUUUAAAUCUUUUUAGAUCGGUCCCUAUGCAAUUUAUAUGGCGGAAGCACAUCCAUCAACUCCCUUCCUUAUAUUCAGAAAACGAUGCACACCAACUAAACAUUUAUAGGUAAAAACCGAACACUUUUAUUUACUUAACCCAGAUAGACAUCAUUCAUCGGUACAUCAAAAUGCCGUAGUCUUCUAUACUCGGCUAUACUUCAAAAGAUGACCGACAUCUUUUCCAAUAGUCGUAUACUUAAGGUCUAUCGACCAGUGUCGACAUCCAAAAGUUCCUUCCUUUGCUAUCCUUCUCCUUGCAGUCAUAUCCAACCACUCGAUCCAUCUAUCGAUGGCAGUGGCAGCAAAGGUAUCUUAUCUAAUCAGAAAUGUUAGUCCCCAAACGGGGUGAGUACAAACACUCAUUAGUAAAGAUCCAUCAAACUAUACAAUGUAAUAAGCAAAACAAUCAAGAUAUCACAAGUAAAGCACAUAUCAUCCAUGCUAUCAAGCAUACAUCACCAUGCGGUCGUGCAUAUAUCGCCAUGUAGUCAUGCAUAUCUCACUAUGCCAUCGUGCAUAUACCACAAUGCAGUCAUCCUUGUAUUUCCAUGAGGUUCAUCCUAUACCAUAUGCAUAUACAUACGCAUGAUUCAUAUCAUUCAUACACUCAUGUAUACAUCCCCAUGAGAUCCAUUCAAGCCUUCAUGAUCGCAUUCUCAAUGUCAAAUAGCAUCAAUUUACUUUCAUAAGCAGAUCAUGCAUCAUGCCAUAUGUACACAUCCAUGCGCAUGAUUUAAUUUCCAUUUUUAUCUUUUAAAAGGAUCUCAUCAUUUUUCUUCCAGGGACCAAUGUUUGCAUCCCUCAUUUAUCGCUCACACCUAACCUGGCAUCGCAAGGAACCUCUGGCACACACUUCCAAGCAUCCGGCACACACCUCCGGGCAUCUCGCAUCCCACCUAGCAUCACGAGGAAUUGCCGAGGCUCGCUAUGAAAAUUGUUACCCUUGCCUUCCGGAAUUACGUACCGACAUACCACUAGGCAUCCCCCCUGGAAUUAUGUAUUGUAUACCACCGGGCAUCUCAAAACUCCCAAGGACCCUCCGGCUCACACCUUCAGGCAUCCGACACAUACACUCCAGGCAUCCCGACACUCCGGGGGCAUCGUCGGCUCACACCUCCGAUGGGAUUAUCAUCAUCACAAUGCAUAUUCCCAUAUAUAUCUCAUUUUCAAUUUAACAUUUGGUGCAACAAUAUCAGAGGUCUAAACCAGCCUUUUUGAUGUCAUAUGAUAUGCCAAAUAUCACCAUAUAAGCAGUACAAAACACCCACAAUAUCACAUUUCAUAAAGCCAUUCAUUGGUUUUUGAAAAUAGAACAAUUUUCGGGUAAAACAGAAUGCACCUCUUUAGUAAAAAUUCUUGGAAAAGUAGUAAAAAAUCUCAAUAAAUUCUGUAAAUUUAUCAUAAUAUAAACAAGACCUAGAGAAAGAUAUUUCAUGGAGAACACUAUGUCAAGAAAGUUUCACAUCAAUCACAUAGGUCCAUACAUCACAGCAAAAGAAUUUCCAACGCCACUUUUGCACAGUUUCAGAAAUAAUUUUGAUUAAUUCCUUAAAUGAACUCCGAAAAUUCUGAGAAUUUAAUAUGUUAUAUCUGAGACCUAGUGGUAAAAGUCCCAUUAAUAAAUCUAAGUCUAAUUCCUUCUGUAAUAAAAUUUAUAAUUUUUAUAACUCUCCCUAACUCUCGGUUCAUUGUCCAGAUUCAUCCUCUUCAAAGAAAAUCGUUUUCCCCAAUCAAUACUUAUCCGUUUAUUCUCAAAUUUUAGUAUGUUACUUAUCAAGAUGUCUCCUACAACUCUUAUCAAAUACACGAGAGAAAAUUCGGACUGGAUACUUGCACGAAAUUCACAAAAUCAUAAUAGAUCAACAUAACAGUUUUCAGAUCUAGUAUCUUUGAAGAAAAAUAGUUUCACCAACAAAUACUUGUUAGUUUACUCUCAAAUUUUGAUAUGUUACUCUCCAAGAAGUCCUCUAUAACUGUCAUUAAGAAGUCGAAGUGAGAUUCCAACAAGAACAUUGCAGGCAGCUCAUGAAAUCACCAAAGGUCGGACUGUUUUUCCAGAAAACAGAAUACUAGACUAAGGAUCUACUCCCAUAACUUCGAAAAUCCUCACCUUGAUCACAUCCGAAAUUCACCAUUCAUCACACACAGUCACAGCAAACAAAGUGUAGAUCAAAGGACUCUACUUGCCUCUAAUCCAAGCAAAAUCACCGCAAGCACAUGGGCGGAGCAAGGCGGGCUCGAUGAUGGGACUAGGCGCAUGUAUGACGGGCCGGUCUUCUUCCUCCUCUUGCCGACCAACCCUCACAAAAAUCUCUCUCUCUCUCUCUCUCUCUCUCUCUCUCUCUCUCUCUCUCUCUCUCUCUCUCUCUCUCGGUGCCUUGCUCAAUCCGCCCCCUCCCUUUUUCCUUUUUGGUUGUUUAAUUACUUACCUUUGGUUAAUUUUGCAGGGAAUGACACUUGUCUCUGUAAGAAGGACACUUGGCUUCUUGGGAAGGACACUUGUAGAGUCCCUCUCGCCACUUGUCGUUCUCCAUGCAAGCUGAUAGGCUUUCUUUGGGUAGGAUUUGGGCCAGCUUUUUGGGUUGGCCGAAUGGUGGGGUUGUGGGCCUCCUUUGGGCUGUCUUGAGCCUUAACUAAAUCAGCCCACAUUUGCUCCUUAUUCCACCUUAAUUCCCCACUUAAUUUCAUAAUCUCAAAUAGUCAUUUGGUUAUAUAAAAUUGCAACAUUCAUCAAAUGACAAUCCAACUUAUAGAGUAUACAGCCAAGAACAGAAAAUUCUUUUGUCAAUUUAUCCUUUAGUUACAAUCCUUGAUCACACUUAGUUAUAGGAUACAUUUCCAAAUCAAAACAAUAGUUCAUUCAAUGUUCGGCCUUGUUUAAUUGAAAUCCAUUAGUCUAACGGCCAUAAUAAAAUCCGAUAGCGCUUCCAUCACCUAUUCAUGGUUCAUGGUAUAUCCAGGGGUUGUCAUGAAAUUUUAGGAUGCCACAAUGCAGACUCUCUUUCAAAAGAAAAUACAUGUUUGAAAAAUGACAUUUCAAAUAUUUCAAAAAGGUUUUCAAUAGGAUCUGAGAAGCUAGAAAAGAUUCUUUUGAUACAAAUUCGAUAGGAUCUGAGAAGCUAGAAAAGAUUCUUUCGAUACAAAGACCUUACUUUAACAAAUCAGGGUUGGGAAUGACUUCUGAAACUAUUCAUCUAAUUGAUUUUCCAAAAGUAAAGAAAAGAAUCAAACAGAGACCUACAAAAGCCUUUUAUAGAAAUCAUUUUCAAAAAGUCUUUGUAAAACCUAUUGGUUGAAGUGCUCUCAAAUGUUCUAAGUGUUACGGCUCAGAACACUUUGAGAAAGAAUGUUCUAUGGUUUGGAGACAUGUUAAGAAGGAUUGGGCAAAGACUGUAUAUUGCACUAACUUCACUGGACCCAAGAAAAUGUGGGUACCAAAGAAAGCUUGAGUUUCUUUUUUAAUUGUAGGUUACUAUCAAGAAGAAAGUUAAAUGGUAUUUGGGUAGUGGUUGUUCGAGACACAUGACUGGAGAUUCAAGAUGUUUCACAAAGCUUGUUCAAAUCAAUGGAGGAAAAGUCUCUUUUGGUAGAAAUAGUAAAGGAAGAAUUAUUAGAUGCAAAACAGUAAAGAUUAUAGGUCUGACAAUCAAUAAUGUCUCCUUGGUGGAAGGAUUAAACUACAACCUACUCAGCAUAAGCCAACUGUGCGACACUGGGUUCAAAAUCAAUUAUCAGGAAGGGACAUGUUCAGGAACUAGUAAAGACCACUCUCAAUCUUUUACCAGGCGUAGACAUGGGAAUAUUUAUCUUCAAGAUAUAAAACCAUAAAGACCUCAAUGUCUUACAUCAAUACAAGACGAAGCGAAUCUCUAGCACCGAAAGCUUGGCCAUAUCAACAUGAAGCAAAUUGCCAAAAUCUCUUCCAAGAAAUUUGUUCGAGGACUACCCAACCUGAAAUACCAAAAAUCAGACCUAUGCACACCAUGUGUGUUGAGAAGACAUGGUAGAAGUUCUUUUAAGCCAAUAAAUCAAGUUUCCACUAACCGUGUACUGCAACUCCUUCAUAUGGAUCUCUUUGGACCAACUAGAACUCAAAGCAUUGGUGGAAAGAGAUUUUGCCUAGUAAUAGUGGAUGAUUAUUCACGAUUUACUUAGGUUUACUUUCUGGCAAGUAAGUCUGAAACCUUAUCUUAUUUUUCAAAAUUUGCUAAGAAAGUGCAGAAUGAGAAAUGUUAUGUGUUGACACCUAAAUUUUGGCAAUUUAGUUUAUUUAUUUAUUGCAUAGGAAAUUAAGGGUUAAUUUUAUUAAUUGCAUAACAUAUAGAUUUAGGUUGUAUUUAUUUUGUUAUUUGAGUUUUUGCAUUUUAAUGGACCGGUGGCGGAUGAGUUCGAAUCAGAUGGAUCAGGCCCACGAAGCGAGCAGGUUGGCCCAAGCCCACGUUUUUUAAUAAUUAAAAAUUAUCUCGUAGGAAUAUAAUAUUUUAAAAAAAUUUCGAGAUAUGAAUCUUUUUUAGAUAGGGCAGAUGGUUAAAAAAAUAUUGCGAUUUGGCCUUGAAAGAUUUGGAUUUAGGAAAAAAUCUCAUUUUAAUCUUGAAUCCUUAUCAGUAUGGGAUGAAUUUUAUGAAAAAAUAUUGCGAUAUUGUAAUUUAUCUUUGCGAGAUUUGGAUUUCGAGAAAAUAUUUAUCAUAAUCUUAAAUUUCUAUCAAUAGUAAUCGGUUGGUGAAAAUAUAUCGCGGAUGUAGAUUUGAAGGGGAAAUCAAAGGCUUAUCUCUUACCCCCUAUAAAAGCAACCGUGUACGAGGGAGUUUGAAGGGGGCUUCUCUGGAGAAAAAAAUUCAGAAAAGAAAAAAAGUAAAAGAGAGAAGGGAUUUUGAAGGGGGAAGCGGCCGAAACAGUAAAGGUUGAUUUGACCUUUACUGUUCAUCAUCUUCCCCCAAAGCACCUCCGCCCCACUCACCGCUCCUGCAACUCUGCACCGAAGCACCUCCGCGCCACAGCGACACCAGCCGCUUCUGUAACCCGAGCGCCCCAGCUCUGCCUCUGCCGUCGCGACACGAAGCCCGCCGGACGCCGAACCUCUUCACCUGCCGCGCCGCAGCCUCUGCAACUUCCAUCCGUGAAGACCCCCGCACCCACUGCCGCUUCGCCAGCAUCCCGAUCGGCGACCGACGUUGCCCGCCGGACGCUGCAGUCUUGCCACAUCGACGCUGGCUGGAAGUCGAGGCCAGCCGCGGCCACCUCGCUCGAAGCCCCGCGUUGUCCGCCCGAGCUCUCCCGUUCGUGCCGUGCUAACCCACGAUUUCGGUGACCCGUUGCCGCCCAACGCCUUUCCGCGCCUGAAUCGCGACGCCUGCUGCUUGGAGCCAAAGACCCGCGAUCCACCUGCUGUUCGGAGACGAAAACCCGAGCCAGAUCUGCCCACCGCCUGCACCGCGUCGGCUCCGAGCCUCCCCCGAAGCUGCUGCCGAUCCGAGCUUGACUGCCCCGAACCCGCCGGAGCUCCUCAUCGCAGCCACCAGAGGUCUCCCGCCGUCCCUGCAGCGCCCCGCCGGCUGAAGCCCGUGAUCCGAGCGCCCCGACGCAGCCCCCGCGACGCAGGCCCGUGCCGCCCCGAUGCCGCCUCCGCUUCGCCUCCAGGCCGAGCAGACCCGCGACGCUCCCUACUGCCUCGCUGCCGACACGCCGCUCCGGAGCUUCGCCGGAACCCUAGCCGGUGAUUCCCCCCUCGCCGGACCGGCCACCAGCUUUAUUUUUCUUUUUCUUUUUUAGAAAAAAAAAAGAAAAGGAAAAAGAGAAAAGCAAAAGAAAAUUUAGGUAUUUUCUUUAUCUUAUUUUUGUUUUAUUAUUUUUGCUAUUUUAUCUCUUUAGUGAAAUUGUUCCCUUUAAAUAUGUGAUUGAGAUCCCAAUAUGAAAGUCCCUCAGGUUAGGGAUUGACAGUUCGAUUUUCACGCCCGAAAUCCGACUUGCAAUCCCUUAUAAAAAUCGACAAUCCAAUCUCAAGCCCGAGAUUUGAUUCGCGAUUUAAAAUUAAAAUUGGUCUACCCGAUCUCAUGCGCGAGAUAUGGUUCGCCAAUUUUUUGGAUAUCAAUCUUAUCUUUUAUUUGAUUUGCUAUCGUUAAGUUGGUUGAGUCAAAUCUUAUUUUCGUAAAAAUAAAAAAUCAAAAAAAUCUUAAUUAGGAUUAGGUUUGUUGUCAUCUUGCAUAUUUAGGAUUGCAAUCUUAUUAUGAAUUUUUAAAUAAAAAAAUCCAAAAAAAGAAAGUGCAUUCAUUUAGGUUGUUAGUUUUUUAUUUGAAUUGCAUGUUAAUUAUGUGUUAGCUUUAAUUUCGAAAUUAAUUAAAAAAAAACCAUAAAAAAAUCAUUGUGCAUAUUAGAUUAGAAUUGCAUGCUUCAUUUUAAAUUUAGAUCAUAUUUUUAAAGAUAAAUGGCAUUUUAGAUUUAGAUAAUGUCUUAGUUUAAAUUAGGAUUUAAUAUGACUUAAUCCCUAGUUUAAAUUAGAUAGAAUCUUAAUCUAGCUAUAGAUCAUUUGAAAUUUAAUAAAAUUUGUCUUAGGAUAAAUUAGAGCAUUCUUUGCACGUCAUUGCAUGCUAAGACUGCAUAUUAUAGGUUUAGAUAAUUUCUCCUAAAUAGGUUGCAUGCUUAUUAGGAAAAUAAAAAUCAUGUGCACGUCAUAUAGAAUUAGUUUCAUACAAUGCACGUCAUUUAGUGAUUUUUGUUAGGUGCAUUUAAUUAGAAAUUGGCCGUCAUUAGAAUUAGGUCAUUAGAUUAAUUUAGAUUGCAUAUUUAAAUGUUGCAUUUCUUAAAUUUCGAAUCUCAUAGAAAAUACAAAAAAAUGUUAUUUAGAAUAAAUCAUCUCAUGCUUAUGAUAGAUUACAUGCUUAGUUAUGUCAUAUUGCUUAGGUCAUAUAGCUAAGUCAUGUUGCCAUGUCAUAUCAUUUCAUGUUAAAUUAGUGGCAUGCAUCGCAUAUUGCAUGAUUUUCAUUAAUUAAGUGAAAACAAGACAAAAAAUUGCGUGUUAAUUAGAAAUCAUAUUUAGGACUGCUGAUGUGAAUUCUAAAUUAACAUUGCAGAUGCUUUCGUUGCUUUGAGGUAAGUUCUGCAUCAUUUAUUCAUUUGCUUUCUUGAGUGUUAAAUUGGUGGUAUGCGCACAUGUAUGAUCACCUCACAUGUUAGGAAGUUUAUUUAAAAUUAAUUCAAUUGCCAAACAUUUUUGAAAAUAAAAAGAAUGGUACCGAAAGGGCAUUAGAGAAAUCUAAUGUAAUCAAGUCCCCGUACCCUUAGUCUCUGGUUCGUAGGAGUAAGGUAAUUCUCCCAUUAUUUUACUUAGGUGUCUAAUCGACCUACCAUAAACUGAUUAGUGGCGACUCCUAAAUAAAAUCAAUUUGCAUGUUAAGAAUUCGAACCUAAGUCGCGAAUUGGUAUGGGCUUGGGAGAGCCCGAGUUAAGUCUAGGCUUAACAAUCCAUUAGCCAAAACUCUAGGUGGUUCACACCCCCCGAAAAAAUAGGUCGCGACAUUAUGUUAUUUCAAGAAUAUGAAUAAACCAUGAAGGUGAGUUUGAAAAUCAAGACUUUGUCAAAUUUUGUGAUGAGUCUGGUUUUCAACGCGUGUUCUCUUCUCCAUACACUCCUGAACAAGAUGAAGUUGUGGAAAGGAAGAAUAGGUCUUUACAAGAGAUGGCAAGAACUCUUUUAAUUGAAAGUAAUAUUUCUUCUCGUUUUUGGGCUAAAACAGUUUCUACAGCAUGUUAUAUUAUUAACACAGUAUUCUUAACGCCUAUUUUGGAGAAAACUCUCUAUGAGUUAUUCAAAGGAAAUAAGCCAAUUGUUUUUUAUUUUCAUGUGUUUAGUUGCAAAUGUUUUAUCUUGAAAAAUGCAAAUGAUCGAAUUGGUAAGUUUGAAGAAAAAUCAGACGAAGGAAUCUUCCUUGGAUAUUCAACUUCUAGCAAAGCCUACAAAAUAUUCAACAAAAAAACUCAGUCUGUGGAAGAAUCAAUCAAUGUUAGAUUUCAAGACUCUCUGCAAACUCAAUUGAUUCAGACGCAAACUGAAGAAUCGGAACCUGCUCCAAACUCUAUAAAGUCUCCCUCCCCUGAAGUAGCUCAAACUCCAGAAGAAAAACAACGAAUGGAUGUUGAAAAUUCAACUGAAGAAGAAGACCAACAAUCUAUCAGAAUGACCAGCAACUUGAAGCAUAAGUCUAGUCAUCCCAAAGAACUCAUUAUUUGUGAUAUUAAUGAAGGGAUUCGUAACAGAUCCAAAAGGCAAGAAGAGUCUAGUGCUGUUGCACUUAUUUUUGAAAUAGAACCCAAAAGCAUAGAAGAAGCUUUAACUAAUGAAAGCUAGAUUGAAGCAAUGCAAGAAGAACUCAUACAGUUAAGCAUUAAUGAUGUUUGGGAAUUAACUCAUAAACCAAAAGGUAAGUCUAUUAUUGGAGCUAAAUGGGUUUUUAGGAACAAGAUGGACAAAAAAAGAAAAGUGAUAAGAAACAAACCAAGACUUGUGGCCAAAUGAUAUAUGCAAGAAAAAUGGAUAGACUAUGAUAAGACCUACGCUCCUGUAGCAAGGUUAAAAGUAAUUAGAUUAUUGCUUGCUUUUGCUUAUUAUAAGAAUUUUAGGUUAUUCCAAAUGGAUGUCAAAAGUGCAUUCCUAGAUGGAUUUAUUCAAGAAGAAAUCUAUGUGGAACAACCUCCCGGAUUUGAAGACCCAAGGAAACCAGACUUUGUAUUCAGAUUGAAAAAGGCUCUAUAUGGAUUAAAGCAAGCACCUCGAGCUUGGUAUGACAGGUUAAGUAAGUUUUUAAUUCAAAAUGGUUUUGUUAAAGGAAAAGUAGACACAACCUUGUUUACUAAAAAUGAAGGUAAAAUUUUUUUACUUGUUCAAAUUUAUGUUGAUGAUAUUAUAUUUGGUUCACCUAACGAAAACCUGUGCAAGAAGUUUUCUAAGUCUAUGCAGGAUGAAUUCGAGAUGAGCAUAAUGAGUGAACUAUUCUUCUUUCUUGAACUACAAGUAAAACAAUUAAAGGAAAGAAUUUUCAUUUACCAAAAAAAAUAUGCUAAAGAACUUGCUAAAAAGUUUGGAUUGGAGAAUUGCAAAAAGACCGAUAUACCAAUGUCAAGUUCUUCGAAGCUGGACAAAGACGAAUGAGGAAAGAAAGUUGACCAGAAGCUGUACAGGAGUAUCAUUAGUUCAUUUCUUUAUCUUACUGCUUCUAGACCUAAUAUUUUGCUUAGUGUUUGCAUAUGUGCUAGAUUUCAAUCUGAUCCAAAAGAGUCUCACCUAAGCGCUGCAAAACGCAUCAUCAAAUACAUUGCAACUACUUCAAACUUAGGUCUGUGGUAUCCCAAAGAAUGAGACUUUACUCUUCUUGGAUAUUUAGACGCAGAUUUAGUAGGUUGCAGAGUUGAUCAAAAGAGCACUUCGGGCACUUGUCAAUUGCUUGGUAACAGAAUAAUAUCUUGGUUUUCAAGGAAGCAAAGUACUGUAGCUCUUUCAACAUCAAAAGCAGAGUAUGUGGCUAUUGGAAGUUGUUGUUCUCAAAUCUUAUGGAUAAAACAACAAUUGAGAGACUUUGGAAUCAAAGACUCAUGCAUCAAGAUCAAAUGUGACAACACCAGUGCGAUGAAUCUCACAAAGAAAUUUGACACCAUUUCAUUAGAGAUCAUGUUCAAAAUGGAGAAGUCUUGAUCCAAUUCAUUGAUUCAAAGAAUCAGCUGGCAGAUUUAUUCACAAAACCGCUAGAGAAAAGCUUAUUUGAGUCUAUUCAUUCCAGACUUAACAUCUUAUCUCUUAAAGUCUGAAAAAACUCAGACUCAGGGUUAAAGUCUGAAGAUGCUCAGACUCAUAAGACCAAGAAUUACAACUGUAAGUUAUUUCGGUUCUAGCAAUUUAACUUUCGGAUAAAAACUCGAAAAGGUACAAUUACUUAUUAAUCGCCAAUUGAUUGAUGUUAUCUUUCCAAGUUUUUGAAGUUGUAACAAUUAUUCUUUUCGAAAAGGAAGUUAUCACUUUUGAAAUAACAGUUAUCUAUUUUCAAAAAGGCAGUUAUUCAUUUUUGAAAAGGCAUUUUUAUUUUUCCUUUUAUGACGAUAUGUAUACUUUGUUUCGAUUGCUUUAUAUACUGUCAUUCUUCUUCAUUUUUCUCACAAACCCUAGAGCACAGAACUUCACUUUCUUACUUUUUCUCUCUAGUUUAAUCCUUAAAGUUUCCAUUUUUCUCGCGAAUCGAGUUUGAAAAUUCUCUCAAAGACUGGGACAAUGUCUUCCUAAAGAAAAUCCUCAAGGAUAGCAAGCAAAGGACCACAGCAUAUGCGUGAGGGUUCUAUGCACUUCGAUUUGACUGAGGAAGAAGAUUUUUCAAGGCAGCAGCAAAGUCAACAAUAACAUUCUCAACUGUGCCAUUCUUCUCGGGCUAGAUCGCAAGGGCCUCAGCAACAAUAGGCAGAGGAAGAAAUUAUUAAGAAUGUCGAACCUAUAAGGACUCUUAAGCCUGCAUUUUCUUUCAAACUCUACACUGCCCUGAAGGAAGGUAGUUCUCCAAUGACCUUUAUUGAUGAAUUUUUUAAAGAACAAGGGUACCAAAAUGAAACCAAUUUUCUAAGAACGAUGGAAUGUUUGGGAAUUGCUCUUGCUAGUUCAAUAGAAAGGGCUUUUGCGAAUUUCCCAAGUGAUCCACGAUUUGGAGGAUUUGAUCAACCUGAGGGUAAAGAUGACGAUGAAAAGAUGUUUACUCAUUUUAAGCCUAGGAUGGGUGUUGCUGCAAAAAUUCUAGGAAGUAGAACGGAUCUGUUUCGUUCUGAGGAACACAAGUGAGUUUAUGCUAUACAGAUGAAGCGAGGGGUGAUGAACCCAAUGAGUGUGGAUUUUGAUUUUCUCGAUUCAUUGAACAUAAAUUUAAGGGAGAAGUUUUCUUUACUUCAACUUGAACAAUUCUGCUCUAAGACAACUGUAGCUUAUUCGGAACUUACAGCAUAUUUCUAUUCCAAUCUAGGCUUUUUUUUAUGUGAAUAGAUUUUCCUUUAGUGUUAGAGAUCAGGAUUAUAUGGUAGAUAUGGAUACUCUACUUGAUGUGAUUGGAGUGGAGAGAGGGAUUUUCCAAACAAUCAACGUGUCUGUUGGUCAUGCCACUAUGGAGCUUGUUCGAGAUAGAAUUGCAGAAGGCCGGAUUUCGUAUUUGAGGAUGAGUUCCUCUAAUGUCUUGCUCCAUAAGAUUGUUAUUAACUGUCUCAGACCCAAAUCCACAGCAAAGAUUGAUGUCUCCAAUUCUGAAGCGAAGCUGAUGUACGCAUCAACAUUGUUUACAAGUUCUCUCUGCCUCAUACCAUAAUGUUUCACAUGUAUCGGUCAAUGGUAAAGGACAAGGGACAACUUCCUUACUAUGCUCUUGUUACUCGUCUAUUCAGACAUCUUAACAUUUAGCCUCCCAGAAUUCUAUGUGUUCAAACCAGUGUUCCAAUGGUGGUAGGACUGAAGAUGGUUUCAAAGAUGUGUCUGAAGGAACUAAACAAGGCUUUAGAGCAAUUUAAGGAGAAGACACUUGUCAAGACUUGACAAGACCUUGUGACUGUAAAAAGAAAAGGGAAUGAGCCCAUGACAGCUCCAUUUAAGAAGGAGCCCAAGAUGAGGAAGAUGAGGAUGACAUCACUAUCUCAGCUCUUGCCUUAAAGAACUUACAACGUCUUGUUCCUGAGAAAGAGAUUCGAGAAAAAGACAAAGAGGAGACAGAACAGAAGAGUGAAGAGAGGGAAACGAUGAGGAAAGAAGAAGAAGAAGGAAGGAUAGAAGAAGAAGAGCGAAGAGAAGAUCAAACAUAAGGAGAAAGUCAUGGUGAUUCUCCAACAGAGGAAGAAUGACAAGAUUAUCGUGAAAUUGAAGAAGAGCUAGAUCAAGAAGAAUACUUCUCUCCACCUAACGGCACCGAAACAGGGGGAGCUAUUGAUAAAAAAGGUACUCCUUCACUUGCUUUUACCAGUGAUGAUGUUAGUCAUUCUCUUGUCGAUCCAGAGGAAGUGUAUGCCUCUCACUUUCCUGAAGAAGGUAAUGAGGCUUCAUCUCCAAGUCUGGAUGUUCGUGCUGAAGUUCCAUCAUCUGGCAACACUCCAGAAACCGAUCAUGCUAAAGCAAGUAUCAAACUGACAACUCAGUAGACUUUAAAAGAUUGCUUGAACUUCUUCUGGAAAUCAAAGAUCAGAUUUAUGCCUUGGGAUGUGAAUUUUAGAGCAUGCAGAAUGCUCAUCAAGCCACUUCAGUUUCUUUGCACUAUCAAGUUCAAGAUACAGCAAAGGGUGAGGAUUUAACGCAACUGAAGGAGGAUCUGAAAACGUUGGAGGAGACUGUAAAGUUUAUGGGAGAUUUCCAGCUCGUUCACAUUCCCAAACAAUCUUAAUUUUAUCCAAUUUUCUUUGUAUUUUCUACUUUUUGCUGUUGACAAAAAGGGGGAGAAGUCAAUGCAGAUUUGACACUCUAAUUUUGAUCUCUGAUUUUGAUUUGGCUUUGAUUACUUUUAUCUUUUGUUUGGACUGUGAUUGGUUUGGACUAGUUUGACCUUCUUAAUGCUUGCAGUAUCUUAAGUUAUGUUGAUGAUUUUGGUAAAGAUAGUUGAUUUUACAAGACUAACUUGUUUUCUGUGGAUGUAGAAUUGCUACUAUCUUUAUCCUAAUUUACUUAUAUUUUAUGAGAUAUCUUUGUUUGCUUAAGUGAUAUCUUGCAGGUCUAAAGUAUCCAAAUCUAUAAGAAAUUUUUGUCAUCAUCAAAAAGGGGGAGAUUGUUGGAGAAAUCUUUCCUAUUUGUUUUGAAAUUGACAAAAUGUUUCCAUCAGUCUUGUCUGAAGACUUGAAGACUCUAUCGUCAAAGUCUGAAGACCUCCAGACUCAAGGUUUAAAGUCUGCCCUCAUUGACAAUUUCCAAACCGACGAAUGAAAGUAUUAUCCAUUGAAUAAGACUUAUCCAGAUGCAGGUAUAUCUUUAAGGAUUUGAUUUGUGCGGUUGAAGAAUAUCUCACAGCUGGAGAUAGCACUUCGAGAUCUAUUAUUCGUAUUGAAAUUAAUUCGAGCAAUUUAGAUUCGUUGAAUUGCGAAGUAUACUUGGAAGGUUCUACUUAUAGAAACCUAGAUCCUGAUUGUAUAAGCGAGCAGGAUUGGUAGGCUAUCAUCACAUUCCUUUGAUAACUUGAGAUCUUCCUAAUUGAUUCUAUCUAACGGGUAAAUUGGAAGAACUCCUUGGAAAGGUGCUAAUGGUUAUGAUGGCAUGGAGGAGUAUAUAAGGAGGAUGCUCAAGUUAUUCGAGUGUGUGCGUGAAAUAAAAAUUCAAAAGUCUGAAACUCUUAUUUCUUUGUUGUUACAAUUUGUCGAGCUUAAACUAUACUCAAAAGAGAGAUCAAUUCUUGUGAGACCUUGAAGAAGUGUAGCAAAGUUUCUACAUUGUUGAAUCAAGGAAGUGAUACUAUAAAAUCUCUUUUGAUUCAUAGUGGAAUUCAGCCAGUGGGCUGUUAGUGUGGGAGAGUGGACGUAGGCUUGGUCUAAGCUGAACCACUAUAAACCUUGUGUUUAAAUUCUCUUUCUCUAAUCUCUUUACUUAAUUCACAGUCUUAUAUAUCAGUUUAUAAUCUUUUAUCUACUGUUUUAUUAUAAAUCAAGUUAAGUUGUUAAGUCAUAUAAAAAUUUCCUUAACACCUAUUCACCUCCUCUAGGUGUUUAUACUAGCAUUAUCAAAAUUUAGUGAGAAUCCUUAAGCACUUCGCCCUUUAAAAAGAAAAGAAAAGAAAAGCUAGAUAAUUUGGGUGAGAAAAUAAUCUUAGGAAAUUUUAUAAGGUUUGAGUGCCUUACUCGGGUCUUCAAACCCUCUUAGUUUAGUGUUUUGUCUCUACUAUAGAAUCGUUCACUAAAUUGGUGAUGAUAUUAAAUAAUGCCUUCAAUCCAAAAAAAUGCAGUACUAUAUUUUAUAAUUGAUAAAACUUGCAUGUCAAUACACAUCAUAUGUGUGAUGUAUGCAUGAUAUAGCGAAUUGUUAGUUCACAUGUCGAAAGUAGAACACAAAGUUAAUUUUCAUUGAUAACAUAGAAGUUAGGGUUGAUACCACGAAAAACAUCAAAUUAAUAUGUUUGUGACAAAUUUAUCCAAAAUUAAUUUUUGGGUCACCAAAAACUCCAAACCGAUACGCCAAUCACCAAAAAUCUCAAACCAGUACACUCGUAACUACCCCAAUUGAUAUAGAUUUUCACAUGAAUUUGCCACAUGAAUAGAGUUAUUGUCAUGUGUGUCACGACCUCCACAAAGCUAGUGGAACCACUUAAAUGUUUGGCUAAUGGAUUAUUAGUUUAGACUUAACUUGGACACUCCUAAGCCCAUAUCAAUUCGCAACUUGGGAUUUAAGUUCUUAACAUGCAAAUGAUUUUUUAUAAUGGAGUUGCCACUAAUUAAUUUUCGGUAGGUUGAUUAGAAAUCUAAGUAAAGUAAUGGAAAGAUUACUUCUAAAUGAAUUCAAGGACUUGAUUAUGCUAGAUUUCUCUAAGCCAUUUCGAUACAUUUUCUCUUUUAUUUCAAACAAAUAUUUUGUAGGUAGUUUACAUAGAUUUUAAAUUACUCUUAAAUGUGAGGUGAUCAUGCAUGUGUACAAUCAUUAUUUAAUACUCAAUAAAGAAAAACAGUAAAUAAAUUUCUAAAAAGAAAUUUCUGGUAUUUAAUUAAAUUUGAAAUUAUAAAAUAACCAAAAUAAACAUGCAAUCUAUCAUUAAAAAACUACUUUAAUCGUGUCUAAUCUUUUUGGAUUUAAAAAAAUCAAUUAAAAUCAAACAAAAAUAGAAAGAAAUCAAAUCUACAUGAAACACAACAUCUAGGAUGUUAUCCUUGUCCUUCUAAUUUUGGAAACAAAUUGACAAAUCUAUGAGAUCGGAUUGACCAAUAUGUAAUUAUGAAUCGUAAUAAGACCGAAUUGAUGAUCUUUUUGUACAAUCAUGAAUCGUAUCUCGAGUGAGAGAUUGAAUUGGCGAUUAUAACACUUUGUGAAAUUAACCUGAGAAAUUUCAGAUAAGAUAACAACGUUCAAGAAUUCAAUUAAGAAUGCAUUACUUCAAAUGAGGAAAACAAAAUAUUCAAGAAUUAAUUUAGAUAGGAGUUUUACUCACUUUGAUUACUUGUUUCCAAGUUCGGACAAGGGACAAAUCACGAGAGUCAUGGAUCAACCGUGCUUCACGGUGGUGCUCGGCUGAGGGGCUUUCGCAACAGCCGCCAAUGGACAAGCCCCGUAAUGAAGAAACGGCAAAGUCAAGCUAUGAUGGAAAGUUUGGACUUGUGGAUUGCAAAGUCGCUGAAAUUUGUUGGACACUGGCUGGGCGUAUUUGCGAGGUAGUCUGGAAAACACUUGCUCUUCGCCUAAGGACACCCUCGCUUGCCUGGAAUAGCAAGCAAGCAGGGACAUAGGCAAUGACUGCUAGGCAACACCGAGCACGACUAGAAACAGUGGUACGAGAGUUCAGACGUCGAGUAUUGCUGAAGAGCAAGUCAUAAUCGCUGGAAAACCUGCGGAAAGAUUGACCACUGGAAUGCCGCUGGUAUGGUGCUAGUCGUGCAAGGCGCGGCUCUGGGACAGCGAAGUUCACAAGUAACCGAGUGGUGCAGCUGCAAGGGGAGGCCGUCGCUUGCUUUUGGCGUUGACAACUCACCGAAAAAGAAUCUGGAAACAACCUGUAAAAAUAGAAACGCAAGUCAGGGGACCGAGAGGAAGCAAAAGCGUCGGCCUCAAUCAAGCUAGCGACAGCACAAGGAAGGAUGACGAGAUAUUACCGCUUGAGCAGGAACGGCGACCUUCACAGUCAGUGGCAGGAAUUGUGGGUGACGAAGCAACCACCUCGUAGAGUCAAGGACCUCCUCUGUUUUGCAGGCCGCAAGACACGGGUCGUCUUGGUGAUGGAGGCAGCAAAACCAGGGCAACAACACUGGGUCUAAUGUCAAGCUCGCAACAGGGGAGCGGCGCCAGGUGAAGAGUUUGAGGAGCUUGAGCGUGACUAUGCAAGCGUUAGGCUGAGGAAGACGAUUGUUUCUCUCUCUCCUCUUUAUCUCUUUGAGUCAAAUAUCAGCGCCCAAGUUGGUCGAAUAUCACGCUAAAGAUAGAGUUCUGCUUGUGAAAAGGAAAGACUAAUUCAAGAUUGUGGAUAGACAACCACUGACAAAUAGAUGGAAAUUUCCCAAAUGUCAAUCUUUGUAAAGAUAAGCGUGCUAUAUCUCCUUCGUAUGCUUGCCGUUGCAGAAAAUAUAUGAAUAUUUUUUUCUUUCUUGUUCUUUUAUGGCCGAAUUGCUCUCCAAAUUUCUGAAAUUUUCCAAUUUUAAUUACCCAUAUGCACCACAUGCAAUUUUCAACCACGUGGGGCAGUCAUUGGGCUUGAAUUUCAUGAUUCUGUAGGUUUAGUCCAUUAAGCUCAGAAGUUCAAACCACCACUAGUCCAAUUUAAUGCCAUAAAUGAGCUUAUCUAUAUACUAUGAAAAAUACACAUAAAAACUACAUGAAAUUUAAAAUUUUAAUAGUUUUUUAGGAGUUAAAAAUUAAUAGCUGAUUUUCUAUGCAAUAAAUGGAUAAUUUGUUUGUCAAAAUCUAGGUGUUAACAAUGUGCCAUUCAACUCAAUAAAUUCAUCAUAAAAAUUUAAUGAAAGUUAACAGAGGAUAAAUAUGUCAUUAAUGUACUAAUUUGGAGUUUUUGUUGACUCAAAAAUUUGUUCUUGGUAAAUUAAUUUGGAGUUUUUCAUGACAUUAACCCUAGAAGUUAUUAAUUUGCCUCACAACAUCGGCAAUGUAUCAAAUACACGAAUUUCUUAUGACAUAGACUAUAUUUAGCUCACGGAUGAAUUAGCCCCCAUAAAUAUACGCAAACUACCCCAUCCACAUAUAGCAAUUAAGGUUUCAUUCAUAAGAUGAUAGGCAUGGUCAACAAGCUUAAUACAAGAGGGGUAAACUCUUAUUUGGAUUAGGAUUCGCUAUUUUCCAAGCCAAUAGUCAUUUAUCCCAAACUAAUUUUUUGAUCAUAAAAAACCCUAAAUUGGUACACAUGUGAUAGAAUUAUUCUAAAUUAAUUUUUUGAUCAUAAGAAAUCCCAAAUUGGUACAUUUAUGACAAUUUUACACUCCGUUAAUUUUUGUUAGAUUUGAUUAAUACCGCAAAAAAAAAAAAACACAAAACUAGUAUGCGUGUGACACACAAAAGAUAAAACCUUAAAUGAGUAUAUUUGUUAAUUGUCUCAUGUCAUCCAAUUUAAUUAUUUGAUUGCAAAAUUUAACAUAAACUAACGGAAAGUAAAUCCGUCACAAAUAUACCAAUUUGGAGUUUUUGAUAUUAAGAAAAUUAAUUCGGGAUAAAUUUAUGACAUGUGACCAAUUUAAGAUUUUUCGUUGUAUUUACCCUAAAAAAAGGGUUUAUUAUGUUAGAAAAGAAAAACAAGUUCACGGAGGGAGGUGACAAAAAGGAGAAGAGGAAUGUCCUAGCAAAUUUUCUCGAGAAAAUUCUCUCUCACUAGGGUUUAUAGUUCUCUACCGCCUUCCUUCAUCUUUCUACUUCAUAAGCCUCAAUCAUAGUGUUAGAUUAUUUAAAUAUUAAAUAAUAUCUCCAUCUAAUAGCUUAAGCUUGUAAAAUAAUUAGUAGUGAUUUCACCAAAAUUUCACAUGAUAUCAGAAGAACAGGUUUUGAGUGCAAAUAUUUCAAAGUCCAUAUAUGUCUCUCCUAUUAAAUAUUUCAAUAUUGGCUUAUGCCAAAGCCCAACUGACGUAUGAAAUGUUGGAGAAAACUUAUUUACUGUUUUAAAGUUGACAAAACAUUUCCAAAGUUUAGUCUGAAGACUUCCAGACUCUAGUGUCAAAGUCAGAAGAUUGCUAGACUUUAGAUUCCAAGUCUGCCCACAUUAACAGUUUCCAAACUGAAAAAUAAAGACUUAUCCAUAUGCGAGAUUAUCUUUAUUUCUUUAAGGAUUCGAUUCAUAUGGCUUAUGGAUGACCUUAUGGCUGGAUAUAACACCUACAUGAUUGAUUAUCCUUAUUGGAAUCAAUUCCGAUAUUCAAAUCUUUUGGAAGGCAAGCAAACUUGGAAGGCUCUACUUAUGAAAACUAAGAUCCUAAUUAUUUGAGCGAACAAGAUUGACAGGCUUUCAUCACAAAUCUUCAAAUGACUCGAGAUCUCCUUGAUUGAUUCCGUCCAAGGGGUAGAUUGGAAGAAUUCCUUUGGAAAGUGUCAACUGUCGUAAUGGCAUGAGGAAUAUUUAAGGCAGACUCUCUAGUUGUUCGAUAGAGUGUGUGAAAGAAAAAUUUCAAAGUCUGAAGCUUCCUAGUUCCUUGCUAUUUCAUUCACUAAGCUCAAAGUUGUUUACAAAAGAGAGAAACUCAUAGCGAGACUUUAUGAGAGACCAGUAGAGAUUCUUCAUCGUGAAGUCAAGAUCAUCAAGCUGUAAAAUCUUUUUUGAAUUCUUAGUGGAAUCCAACCAAUAGGCUGUCAGCUUGGGGGAGUGAAUGUAGGCUUGAUCUAAGCCGAACCACUAUAAAUUUUGUGUUCUUAAUUCUCUUCCCUCAACUCCUUUAUUUGAUUUAUAGCUCCAAUUAACUGUUUAAGUACAAAUUCCUUUACUUUGUUUAAAGCGUUAUUUAAUCACUAAAGUCAGAAUUCAUCUAUGUUUUUCUAAAGGAAAUUAUAUUUAUUGAUUUUGUGAAAAAAUUUAUUCACAUCUAUUCACUCCCUCUAGGUGUUGAGGGAGAAUUCCUGUUAAAGUCUCGAAGUAUAUAGAUGAACUUUGUCUUAGCCUCAAAACAGCUCUUAAAAGGAUUUCUGAGCUAAAGAGAGAAAAUUCCAAACUAAGGUAAUAAGAAAUUUUUUGGAAGGAAAAGUUUGAAAGUCUAGAUAAAAGUUUUGUAGAUUUGAAACAAAAUUCAGAUUCUCUCUCAAAGGAAAAUGUCUUGUUGAAGAAGAUAUUUCAAAUAUCACAAAAAUAUUUUCAAAUCUGAGAAGUUAGAAAAAAUUCUUUCUGUACAAAGACCUUAUUUCAACAAAUCUAGUUUAGGUAUGACUCCAGAAACAAUUCCUUUAAUUGAUUUUCCUAAAGUUAAAGAGAGAAGCAAACAAAGACCUACAAAGGCAUUUUACAAAAAUCAUUUUCAAAGAGUUUUUGUAAAACCUGUUGGCUGAAGUGCUCUCAAAUGUUCAAAGUGUAACAGUCUAGAACAUUUCGAGAAAAAAUGUCCCAAGGUUUGUAGACUUGUUAAGAGAAAUUGGGCGAAGACCGUUUUCAAUACUAACUCUCCUAAACCCAAUAAAAUAUGGGUAUUAAAGAAAGCUUGAGUUCUUUUUAUAAUUGCAGGUCACUAUCAAGAAGAAGAUCAAAUGGUAUUUGGAUAGUGGCUGUUCAAGACACAUGACUGGAGAUUCAAAUUAUUUUAUAAAGCUUGUUCAAAUUAAUAGUGGAAAAGUUUUCUUUGGAGAGAACAGCAAAUGAAAAAUUGUUGGAUAUGGAACUGUUAAGAUUGAAAGCCUCAUUAUCAAUAAUAUCUCCUUAGUGGAAGGUCUAAAUUACAAUCUACUUAGCAUAAGUCAGCUUUGCGAUACUAGAUUUAAAAUCUAUUUCCAAGAAAGCAUAUGUUCAGAAACAAGUAAAUAUCUAUCUCAAUCUUUCACUGGAUGAAGGCAUGGGAAUAUUUACCUUAUGGAUAUAAAACCAGAAAAUUCUCGGUGUCUUAUAUCCAUUCAAGAUGAAGAAAAUCUUUGGCAUCGAAAGUUUGGUCAUGUCAACAUGAAGCAAAUUGCCAAGAUUUCAUCCAAGAAGCUUGUUCGAGGUCUUCUUAACCUGGCUUAUCAAAAAUCUGAAUUAUGCACUCCUUGUGUUUUGGGAAAACGGGUUAGAAGUUUCUUUAAACCGAUAAAUCAAGUUUCUACUAGCUUAUUCGAGGUCUUCCCAACCUGACUUAUCAAAAAUAUGAUUAUGCACUCCUUGUGUUUUGAGAAAACAGGCUAGAAGUUUCUUUAAAUCUAUAAAUCAAGUUUCUACUAAUCGAGCUUUACAGCUUCUGCAUAUAGACCUCUUUGGACCAACCAGAACUCAAAGCAUUGGUGGAAAUAGAUAAUGCCUAGUAAUUGUGGAUGACUAAUCUCGCUUUACUUGGGUUUACUUUCUAGUAAAUAAGUCUGAAGCCGUCUCUCACUUUUCAAAGUUUGCCAAGAAAGUUCAUAAUGGAAAAUGAUAUGCUAUUUCAAGCAUACAUACAGACCAUAGAGGUGAGUUUGAAAAUCAAGACUUUACUAAGUUCUGUGAUAAAUCUGGUUUCCAGCAUGUUUUUUUUCUCCAUACACUCCGAAACAAAAUGGAGUUGUGAAAAGAAAGAAUAGAUCCUUGCAAGAGAUGGCAAUAACCCUCUUAAUUAAGAGCAAAAUUUCCUCUCGUUUUUGGGCUGAAGCGAUUUCUACAGCCUACUAUAUCAUAAAUAGAGUGUUCUUGAGGCUUAUUCUAGAGAAAACUCCUUAUGAAGUGUAUAAAGGGAAGAAACCAAAUGUUUCUUAUUUCCAUGUGUUUGACUAUAAAUGUUAUGUUUUGAAAAAUGCAAAUGAUCGAAUUGGAAAGUUUGAAGAAAGAUCAGACGAAUGAAUUUUCCUUGGCUACUCAACCACAAGCAAAGCAUACAGAGUAUUUAAUAAGAAAACUCAAUCUGUGGAAGAAUCUAUGAACGUCAAAUUUCAGGACUCUAUGCAGAAUCAACUGGAUCAGACUCAACUUGAAGAAUCUGAACUUGCUCCAGACUUUACAAAGUCUAGCACACCAACAAGAAGAAUUAAAAGAUUCAACAUAAGCAAAAGAUCAGCAGACUCUCAGACCAACCAGCAACUGGAAGCAUAAAUCAAGUCAUCCUAUAGAUCUCAUCAUCGGCAAUAUUGAUGAAGGAAUUCGCAUCAGAUCCAAAAGGCGAGAAGAGUUUAGUGCCUUAGCACUUGUUUCUGAAAUAGAACCCAAAGGUGUAGAAGAAGCUUUGUCUGAUGAAAGUUGGAUCGAAGCUAUGCAAGAAGAGCUCAGACAAUUCAGCAUCAAUGAUGUUUAGGAGUUAAUUCCUAAACCUAAAAGUAAGUCUAUUAUUGGGACUAAAUGGGUUUUCAGGAACAAGGUGGACGAGAAAUGUAAAGUGGUCAAGCACAAAGCAAGACUCAUGGCCAAAGGAUACAUGUAAGAAGAAGGAAUAGACUAUGAUGAGACAUAGAAGCAAUUAGAUUAUUACUUACUUUUGCUUGCUAUAAAAAUUUCAGGUUAUUCUAGAUGAAUAUAAAGAGUGCAUUCCUAAAUGAAUUUAUCCAAGAAAAAGUCUAUGUGGAACAACCAUCUAGAUUUUAAGAUCCAAGAAAGCCAGACUCAGUGUACUAACUGAAAAAAGGCUUUAUAUGGACUGAAGCAAGCACCUCGAGCCUAGUAUGAAAGGUUAAGUAAAUUCCUAACCCAAAAUGGUUUUGCUACAAGAAAGGUAGAUACUACAUUGUUUGAGGUGAGGACACCUGGAGUGCCAUAACUUGGCACGCCGGGACACUUAAGUGCCAUAACUUUAAAAUGGUACACUUAAGUGCCAUCAUCGGAGUAAAAUGGGACACUUAAGUGCCACUCUGGCGAAAAUCCGGCCAAAUGGCUGACGCGGCAAUUUUCCGGCGAGUUUAGUCCAAAACGGCGUCGUUUUGCACGCUGACGUGGCGGAGAAAACGCAAAAACGACGCCGUUUCAUGUCUACGUGUAAAUAAUAAUAUAAAAAUUAAUUAAAUUAUAAAGUAUCAAAAAAUNNNNNNNNNNNNNNNNNNNNNNNNNNNNNNNNNNNNNNNNNNNNNNNNNNNNNNNNNNNNNNNNNNNNNNNNNNNNNNNNNNNNNNNNNNNNNNNNNNNNGUCUUAGGAAUUUGUUUGGAUCAAAAUAAAGUCCUUCUGUGAUUACAUUUUCUAAUUUUUUUUUUACAAUCUGAGUGGUACCUAGUAAGUUUUUAGAAUCCGAUGCACCUUCCAAGAUGAAUUAUAGGAUUUUAAGUGCAACUUAUCCUUUCUUCUUCUGCUAUAUAUAAAUGUAUAACAAAAGUGUAUCAAAAUCUGAAAAUUUUUAAAAAGUGUAAUUAAGUCAUUAAAUUUUGUAGAUCUUUCGAAUCAUGUAAGUGUACUUAUAUUUUCUGAUUCUUUUUUUUUAAAAGCACUCUUUCAUAUUAGUUUCCAGUGGCAGCUCGUGGGAGCUACAAAACGAGAAAGGGCACUACCGUGUACUGUUUUGAAGUUAUGGCACUUAAGUGUCCCGGCGUGCCAAGUUAUGGCACUUGUGCUGGACUUCUGCCUACAUUGUUUUUAAAAAGAGAGGGUAAUGAUUUUCUACUGGUUUAAAUUUAUGUUGAUGAUAUUAUUUUUGGAUCCCCUAAUGAAAAUCUAUGCAAGAAAUUCUCUAGAUGUAUGUAGGAUGAAUUCGAGAUGAGUAUAAUCGGUGAGUUAACCUUCUUUUUGGGAUUGCAAGUUAAACAAUCAAAGAAAUGUAUUUUUAUUCACCAAGAGAAAUAUACAAAAGAUCUCAUUAAGAAAUUUGGAUUAGAGAAUUGCAAAAAGACAUAGAUUCCAAUGUCAAGUUCGUCGAAGCUAGACAAAGAUGAAGGAUGAAAGAAUGUUGACCAGAAACUUUACAGGAGCAUUAUUGGUUUGCUUCCUUAUCUUAGUGCAUCUAGACUUGACAUUUUGUUUAUUGUUUGCAUAUAUACUAGAUUACAAUCAAAUCCCAAAGAAUCUCAUUUAAGUGCUGCAAAACGGAUCAUCAAAUAUGUUGCAACUACUCCAAGGCUAGGUCUGUGGUAUUAUAAAUAAUGAGAUUUUACUCUUCUUAGAUAUUCAAACGCAGAUUUAAUAGUUUGGAGUUGAUAGAAAGAAUACCUCUGGUACUUGUCAACUAUUGGGUAACAAGCUAGUAUCUUGGUUCUCAAGAAAGCAGAGUAUUGUAGCUUUAUCAACAGCAGAAGCAGAGUAUGUGGCUCUUAGGAGCUAUUGUUCUCAAAUUUUGUGGAUAAGGCAACAACUAAGAGACUUUGGAAUUGAAGAAUCAUGUACCGAGAUCAAAUGCGACAACACCAGUGCCAUCAAUCUCACAAAAAAUCCAGUUCUUCAUUCGAAGGCAAAACACAUAGAGAUUCAACAUCAUUUCAUAAGAGAUUAUGUUUAAAAUGGAGAAGUUAUGAUUCAAUUCAUUGACUCGAAGAAUCAGCUAGCAGAUAUAUUUACAAAGUCACUAGAGAAAAGUCUUUUUGAGUCUAUUCGCACCAGACUAAACAUUAUAUCUUCUAUCGAUUAAAGUCUGAAGGUGUUUAGACUCAGAAUGACCAAAAACUACAUCUAUAAGUUAAUUUCUCUUCAAUGCAAGUAAUUUAAUUUUAGCAUAAAAAAUCUGAAAAGGUACGUUAUUUUUUUCUUUGAAUCGUUACUUGCCUAUUUUAUUUUUAGAAAUUAUCUUUUUUGAAUUUUUGAAUUUUUGGCAGUUUUUAUUUUUGAAAAAUGAAGUUUAUUUUUUCCUUUGUGACUGUUCAUAUACCCCGUUUCACUUGCUUUAAAUACCGUCGAAGUUCUUCUCCAUUUAUGAUUUCUUAAACCCUAGAAUACAUAAUUCUUACUUUCUCAUUUCUUCUCUCAAGUUUUCUUUCCAAGUUUUCACCUUUUUGAAACGAACGAGUUCAAGAAGUCUUCCUUGACUGUGAAGAUGUCUUUCCAAAGGAAAUCGUCUCGGAUUGCGAACAGGGGACCACAGAACAUGCCAAAGGGUCCUACUCACUUUGACUUGACCAAAGAAGAAGAUUCUCCUCAACAACAACAUUCUCAACAGCGUCAGCGUGUGUCUUAAGAUCCUCUACACCAACCGAUGGAAGAAGAGAUUGUGGAAGAUGUUGAACCUGUAAAAACGUUGAAACCUCAGUUUCUCUUUAAACUUUAUAAUCAAUUGAAGCAAUGUGGUACUGCAAUGAUGUUUAUUGAUGAGUUUCUACAAGAAAGAGGAUACAAGAACAAGACCAUCUUUCUAGGGCAAAUGGAAAGGUUAGGCAUUGUGCCUCAAGGUUUGGCUGACAAGACUUUUGCCAACUUUCCAAGUGAUCCACGGUUUAGUUCUUUUAAUCAGCCUGAGGUGAAGGAUGAUGAUGAGAAAAUGUACGCAAAUUUUUAGCCUAGGAUGGGCAUGGCUGCUGAUGUGCAUGGUGAGGGAAUGAAUUUGUUUCGUUCUAAAGACCACAAAAAGACUUAUUCGAAUUUGCUGAAAAGAGGGGUGAUGAACCCUCGAUCUGUGGAUUUUGAUUUCUUAGAUUCCUUGAAGGUGAACCCAAGGGAGAAGUUCUCUCUUCUUCAACUUGAAAGAUUCUGUUAUGAGAGUUUUGUUGCUUACCCUGAAUUAACUCCUUACUUCUAUUUAAAUCCAUCUUUUCUAGAUACGAAUAGAUUUCGUUUUACAGUAAUGGAAAAAGAUUUUGUGGUGGAUGUGGGCACAUUAGCGGAUGUUAUUGGUGUGGAAAGAGGGAGUUUUCAACCAAUAAACGUGUCUGUUGGUCAUGCAACACUAUCUCUUGUUUGGGACAGACUUGUUCAGGAAGGAAUUUCAUAUUCCAAAAUGUCUGCUUCCAAUAUUUUACUGCAUAAGGUUGUAAUCAAUUGCAUUCGACCCAAGUCAGCCUCCAAAACAGAUGUAUCUUAUUCUGAGGCAAAGCUGAUGUUUGCCAUCAACAAUGGAAUAAUGUUCUCGCUACCACAUACAAUCCUGAUGCACAUGUAUAGGACUAUUGUGAAUGAUAAGGAACAACUUUCUUACUCCGUGCUAGUUAUAAAAUUGUUUCGACACUUUCACAUUCAGUUUCCAUGAUCUAUUUGUGUCAGAACCAUUGCUCCUAUGGUGAUUGGUUUGAAGUGUUUUCGAAAAUGAGAUCGAAUGAACUGAAUAAAGCAUUGGAGCGCUUGAAGGAGAAGUCUUCAACCAAAACAAAACAAGACUCUGUGGCAAAGAAAAGGAAAGGCAAAGAGCCAAUAACUGCACCUAUCAAGAAGAGGAGAACCUUUAUUUUAUAGGACGAAGAAGAAGAUGAGGAUGAUCUCACACUCUCCGCAUUUGUCUUGAAAAAUCUAUAGAGUUUUGUUAGUUUUGAGAAGCCGCGGAAUAGAGAGGAAAGAGGACGAGAAGAGACAGAGUAGAGAAGUGAAAGAAGAGAAGAGAAUGAAGUGAAGAAAGAAAAGCUGAGGAAGAGAGAAGAAGAGAAGAAAAAGAAGGAAGGGAAGAAGAAGAAGAGGGUCAAGAUGACUCUUUUGAACCAACAUUUGCAGUAUCCUUGUCAGAAGAUUCUGAGAAGACUUGAAGUGGAACUACAGGAGAUGAACGAGAAAAAGAACAUCACUUGGGUGGUGAAGCUAAGCAAGAACAAGAAGAAUAAUUCUUUUCUCCACCCGUAGGCACAGAGACAAGGGGAGCUGUUGAAAAAAGAGGUACUUAUUCACCUAUUUUUACAAGUAAUGAUGUGAGCAGAUCUCCAGCAGAUCCAGAGGAUGUAUAUGCCUCUCAAUUUCCUGAAGCUGAUGUUGAGGCAUCCUUUCCAACUCUUGAAAGUAGAGGAGCUGAUAACACUCCUCAAACUGAUCAUGUUGAAGCUAGUACACAAACAGAGAUUCUGUAGACUUUAAAAGAUUGCUAGGACUCCUUGUGGAGAUAAAAGCUCAGCAAUAUAGCAUGGAAUGUGAAAUUCAGACUCUUUAAUCUGUAUUGAAAGCUACCUUAGUCUCUCUUCACGAUCAAGUACAAGAUCUUAAGCUUCAAUUUCAAAAGACAAUUCAAGAGACUGUCAAAUUUGAGGAUGUUAAGGAGGUGAAGGAGUCACUGCGAAAGCUGGAAGAAACAGUUCAGUCAAUGGGAGAUUUCCAGCUCGUUCGCAUCCCCAAACAACCCUGAUUUCAUCAAACUCUUUUUAUUCUUCUCCACUUUUUGCUGUUGACAAAAAGGGGGAGAAUGUGCGCAGAUUUGACUUAUUUGACUUUUUAUGAUUUGAAUUUUGGUUUUUGGUUUUGACUGCUUAACUUUGUUGGAUUUGUUGGACUUUUUAACGUAACUUACUUUGGUAAUACUGAUUGUGGUUGAAUAGUUAAUUGUCUUAUCUUUUCAGGAUUAACAUAUUUUCUUUGGUUGCAGAACUGAUGCUAUCCAAGUCAUAAUCAACUUAAUUUUAUAAGAGAUUCCAUAUUGCCUAAGAGUUGUUUUGCAGGUCAAAUUUUUAUAAAUCUGCAGGAAAGUUUUGUCACCAUUAAAAAUGGGGAGAUUGUUGGAGAAAACUCAUUUAUUGUUUUAAAGUUGACAAAACAUUUCCAAAGUUUAGUCUAAAGACUUUCAGACUCUAGUGUCAAAGUCUAACGAUUGCCAGACUUUAGAUUCAAAGUCUGCCCGCACUGACAGUUUCUAGACUAAAGAAUGAAGACUUAUCCAUAUGCGAGAUUAUCUUUAUUUCUUCAAGGAUUCGAUUCAUAUGGUUUAUGGAUAACCUUAUGGCUGGAUAUAACACCUACAUGAUUGAUUAUCUUGAUUGGAAUCAAUUCCGAUAUUCAAAUCUUUUAGAAGGCAAGCAAACUUUGAAGGUUCUACUUAUGGAAACCAAGAUCUUGAUUGUAUGGGUGAAUAUGAUUGACAGGCUUUCAUCACAAAUCUUCAAACGACUCAAGAUCUCCUUGAUUGAUUCUAUUCAACAGGUAGAUUGAAAGAAUUCCUUUGGAAAGUACCAACGGUUGUGAUGGCAUGAAAGAGUAUUUAAGGCGAACUCUCUAGUUGUUUGAUAAAGUGUGUGAAAGAAAAUUUUCAAAAUCUGAAGCUUCCUAGUGCCUUGCUAUUUCAUUCACUGAGCUCAAAGUUAUUUAAAAAAGAGAGAAACUCAUAGUAAGACUUUAUGAGAGACCACUAGAGACUCUUCAAUGUGUUGUUGAGAUCAUCGAGUUGUAAAAUCUCUUUUGAAUUCUUAGUAGAAUCCAACCAAUAGGCUGUCAGCUCGAGAAGUGGACGUAGGCUUGAUCUAAGCCAAACCACUAUAAACUUUAUGUUUUUAAUUCUCUUCCAUCAACUCCUUUAUUUGAUUCGUAGCUCCAAUUAACUGUUUAAGUACAAAUUCAUUUACUUUGUUUAAAGCUUUAUUUAUUUAAUCACUAAAGUCAGAAUUCAUCGGUGUUUUUCAAAAUAAAUUAUUUUUAUUGAUUUUGCGAAAAAUUUCAUUCACACCUAUUCACCUCCCUCUAGGUAUUGUUACUAGCCCUUUCAUGAAGAGUGUUAGAAUAUUUAAAUAUUAAACUAUACUUUCAUCUAAUUGCUUAAACUCUUAGAACUGUGAUAGUAAUCUUGCCAAAAUCUCACACAUAACUAAAAAAUGUAGGUUCUAUCUUAUUCUAUAAAUAUUUUAGGAUCUUCAGGAGAGAAGGAAAGAGAAUCAAUAAAGACUACAUAUUUACUCAAUUGACUUCACUUUAUACAUUAUCAAAAAAUGGUAUUUAUACUCGAACUCAUGCAUAUGAAAGAAAAUUAGCUACUUUAGAGUAUGAUUGUGACAUCCCAAAACGUAACUUUUGACACAUGUUUCUUAUAAUAUUAUUCUCUUUUAAUAUGCGGAAGCAUAAUUAAACAUUUUCGAAAAUCCCUUUACAAAGAAAGCUGUACAAGCAUAACCAAUAUGCUUCUACUUCUUUUAUUUAUACCACAUUUAAAUUUACAACUUCAUUACAUUACGAGAAAAAUACAAAAGUCUGGGUGAGGGUUGGGGUGACCUUUCUCCAUACUAUACUCCAAAAGCUUGUAUGUACAAACGUUUAUACCGAAGUCAUGGAUUGAUAACUUCAACAUACUUUCAUAAAGACCUUUAUAAUGUAUAGGAACUUCAUAGCACAAAAGUUAAGGGAUGUCCAUCUUGCACAUCUGAAAAAUGAAAAUGAAUAAGCCAAAACCCAAUAAAUAAAAUCUCUAGUUUUAAGUUAAAAGAACCCUCUUACCAUUUCACCUAGUACACAUAAAAUGAAUGCAUGAUAAUCCAGCAAAUAUGACAAAAACAUGAUUAGACUUUACUUUUCCCAUUUCAUUUGUCACAAAAAUCGUCAACAAAUAAUAUGUCUAUCCAAACUCAUGCAAAUGCACACCAUAUUUCACAUAAACAAACAAUUUAAGCAAUAUUUGGUUCUAUACAUGACAGUACAUUAUGUUCCUUAAUGUUUCCUCCUCCUUCUCUCGAAGUCCCAAUCACUAGAACAUCUUAAUUCGGAGAUAUUCGGCAAACUUUCACCACAAGGGCAUCUCGACUCCCAAAGCAUUCCAAGACACUCUCCAAGUCAUCCCAACCACCAGGGCAUCUCAUAAAUUUCUAUCACAGGGCAUCGUUGUGACAUCCUGAAAUUCGACCCCGUUUCGAUAAAGUGAAAUGGGCAUUUCGUCGACGUGCCUAUGGCCCUUUUUCUCUGAGCUGAUCACUCACGAGUUAACUAACCUAUUGAGAGAAGCCGUUAAGGGACGUAUCAGCUGUAAAAUCCCUAAAAGCUACCUACUUAGUUGGAUUUGGCUAAAAAUCACGUCUGAUCGAUUUUUAACCACGAAAUUGAACUCGAUUUCGAGAAUCGAAUUUUAAGCGCGUCAUAAUUCUUUUUAAGACAUUAUCUCAUCAUUCGUCAAUUUAUUGACGAGUCCGAAAUUUCAAGAAAGAAAUUAUCGGAAGAAAAAUUGAAGCCCGAAAGAAAUUAGAAUGGGAAAGAGAAAAGAAAAUCAAAUAAGAAAAGUAUUGUUGUUUAUUUUUCUUUUUCUCUCUCUCUACCUUCUCUUUUCUUUUCUCUCUUUUCUCUCUCUCUUCUCUCUCCUCUCCCCUUCCCCUCGUGCGAAUUCCUUUCCCCCCUUUCCACCGAAGUGUGGGCUGUCACCCACUUGCCUUUCCCCUCUCCUUUUGACCAUUCAAACCCAUCUUUUCUCUCUCUUAUCUCUUCUUCUCUCUCCUCUCUCUUCUCCCCCUCUCCCUCGUAACCGACUUCUUCUUCUUCCUUCUUGUAUGUGCGAACCAGUGAACCAGAAACAGGAGAAGCCGAGACAGCAGCCAGCCACUGCCGUCACCACCCGUGCACCGCCGCAGCUCGUCGCCAGGUCGUCGUCUUGCCAUUCGCGCUCCGCCUCGCUCGUUCGUCGCUUGCUGCCGCCCUUCCCCCGCGCGAUCCAGCGUCCAUUCGGCCUCUGUUCAGCCGCCGUGAGCGGCUGAGCAGGCCGCCGUCCGGCCUCACCGAAGCUCUACCCGCUCUCCCGACCUCUUGCCGCCCCCAACCCUCUCUCUUUCUCUCUAUUUUGCAGCUGAUCCAGCAAACCUGCGAGUGGGUUUCCAGCAACUUCGGGCCUGCUUUUGGGCCGUUUCCGGGCCCCGAAUCCGUGAGUCGCUAUGGGAAGAAUCGUUCCUCGCGUCGCCCUCGUCGGAUUGAUCCGAUUUGCGUGCGAUUUGGUGAGUAAUCUCACUAAUCCAGGAUUAGUUGGCUAAUUAUGCUUAAGGUUGGUUUAGUUUUAAUUAAUUAUGUUUAGGUUGUUAGAUUAGAAUAAAUUAGCAAUUAUUAGUCAAUUGUGAUGCGAUUUAGAUAAAUUGAUUGCGCAAUUAGCGAGUAGACGUCGUCUACUAAUUAUUGGAAGUGCCUCGGGAUUUUUCCCGACCCUUAGUGGGCUCCAAUUAGGCUUUUCAGGCCUAAGUGGAAUUUUUAGUAUUUAAAUAUUAAUUUUUGAAUUAAAUUAAAUAAUUAUUUAUUUUCCAAAAAUUCAACUAAGAUGGUCCGGAACCGGAAAAUUAUUCUGAUGACUGUGGUGAAGUCCGUUUAUUUAAUCGGGCUUUAUUUUAAGCUAGAAUUUUUAAUAUUAAUUAUUUAAUUUUCGAAAUUAAUAAAUUAAUUAAUUAUUUUUCGGAAAUUAAGAUUUUGAUGGCCGACGACUGAAAUCUCGUGCUGAUCGUCGUGGCGCAGUCCGUUUAUUUAUUUGAGCUCCACGUUGCAUGGAAUUAAAUAAAUUGUGAUAUUUUGGGGAUUUACCCUAAAUUGAUUGGAAUUGAUUGAGAUUGAAUUAUUGGUUGGUAAAUGGCCAAGUAUAUUUAUUCAGCAUUUGCAAUGCUUUGUUGAGUUGUAAAGUGAGUAGAAUUGUGAGAGUGAUUUUAAUAUACUCUUGGCUAAGAUCCAUCAGGUAUGUUAAUAUCGUGUGAAAAUUGAGUGAGUUGAUGAGUAUGUGGGGAUUCAUCCCAAGAUUGAUCAAUGUCGGUAUUCAAUUAGAAUUUGACUAUGAGAGGUUGUGAGUUGAACCUCGGAAGCCGCCAAAGUAUGGCUAUGCCAGUUGGGCCAAGAUUUGCCACCGAAUUUGGAGUCGGUUGCGCCCGUUGGGCCGUAAAUUGCCACCUAUUAAAGGUCGCGCCUGUUAAGGCCGUAAUUUGCCACCAUUAAAGGUCGCGCCCAUUGGGCCGUAAUUUGCUACCUAAAGAUAGGUCGUGUCCUUCGGGACAGUAAUUUGUUGCCAAGAAAUUUGGUAGUCUAUGCUUGUGAAGUGGUGAGUACGAUUUGAACCUGAAUAAGGGAAACGACUGGGGAAUGGUCGAAUUGACAUGAAAUCAACUAGGUCGAUGGAUCGAGAUAUUGAUCUGUGAUGUAAUUGCUUGGGUGCCUAUUGAACUGUGCUAAUAUGCAGGUGGAGCCUAAGGCCAAGAUAAGUCCUCUGCCCUGUGCGUGUUUAGGCAGCCUAUAGUAUAAUAGUUUACUAAUCGGGCUUAGUGGGGUAGAACUCGCUGAGACGUAGUCUCAUCCCGGUUUGGGGAAAAACAUUUCAGGACCCCGUUGAGGAGCUGAGGAGGAGUCUGAGAAGGAGAACUCGAAGGUGAAACUUAAGGAGAAAGAUUUUUGGGAGAAGAAGAUAAUCCCGAGAAGGGCCUUGAGUACGGCCCGGAUGGCUGAGAGUUUAUCUUAUUUUGAGAUCUCCUUUUUGAUGUGAUUAAAGUUUAGAAUAAAAAGUUGUAGAGUGCUCUGGUUUGUGUUUUGUAUAAAAGUUUGGUUAUAAAAUUCAAUAUGAAAAAUAUGGCCCUGCUUUUCUAUCCCAUCGUUUUAUUGUCUAGGGAUUUUAACUGCUUCCGCAUGUGCUUAACAAAUGAAAGGGUCGGCGAUACAUUAUCCUGGGAUAUCGCAUUAUAAAAUCGAUCGAGCGAGAAGGAUGUGUGCGUGCCCGAGGAUCGGGGCGUGACAUCCCCUUUUUGUGGUUACAGAGCGAGGUUUAAGAUUGGAGUGAUAAGGAGCGUUGACCAUGGGAUAGUUAGUAGGAAAGGCCUUUAAAUUCAAUCUGGUGCAUGUCUGUGUUAGCUGGAUGCUAGAAUUGAUUGUUGUGUGUGGAUCGCUCACCUUCUAAUCCAGUGUGGGUUUGGAAGACGGGUUUCAGUGUAAAGACUGAACCAUGAGCGAGCAGGAGUUGAGAACUCCUAGUAAGAGGAUAAUGUCCCUUGUGACUCGGGAUAAUGCACUGAUAAUGGUCGGUACUCGAGGUGGUUGUGGCAGAGUGUCGACUCUGGCCAGCUCGAGCGUAAAAGUACCACUGCAGAUUGGUACUAGUGUAGCAGCGUCAAAUGAUCCGAAGUUCGAUAGGAUCGUUUUGAUGCUAGUGGUCCUUGGGAACUGGAAGAGCCAACAGGCUUAAGAUCAAGUCGUCGUCAGUGUUGCAACCGUCGUUGUCGCCUCACAUGCUGAGAUCCAAAGUGGAGAUGUGAUCCGGGAGCGAGUCAUUGCAUUCGAGCCGAGGUAUAGAUCCAGUUCAGGCGGAAAUGGAAAUCGGUCAGGGAAAAGACCGAGGUCAAGAGGAAAGUAUUCUAUUCCACUCGCGAGGAAGGGUGGGGUAGUCAAGUCACCACCGAGUCAAAUAGAUCAGGUUGUUUCCGGACGUGAUGAUGGAGAUCGGUCUUAUGUCCUUCCUAAGACGCGAAAUUGUUUGGAGUAUAGCCAACAGGGAUAUCUGGUUGGGAGUGGUCCUAGCAGACUGAGGGGGCAACCAGAAAGAGUGCAUGCUUUCACCUGAUAGAAGAUAGAAGAUUCACCUGAUAGGUGUCGGAAUUGUAGAAGUAAGCAUGGAUAAAUCCAGUAUCCGAGUAUGACUAGAACCUGUUGUGAUGAUGACCAGCAUGGCCAUCAAGUGAAGGAUUGUCAGUGGAAGUCUAAGGUAGCAUAGACAUCGCUACUACCGCCAGAACGCCACUAGGAUGGCGAAAGGAAUGGGAGUAGAAUUGACCUUGCACCGAUUGGAGAAAGAAUGUGUUGGAAGUGAUUUUAUCAGAGCAGCGCAGCAUAGCUUUGUGCCGAAUUGGUAGAACUUAAAUUGUUGAAGUAAAAGUGAAAGAGAAGGGAAUCACUAGCAAUAGUUGUGCUUGACUAGUUGCUGAUGUGUGAGUUUGACGCCACAUGAAUAGUGUGGGCUCAAGGAGCAUCUAGUGAUAAUGAAUCACAACUUGGAGUAAUCCAGUUUAGUCCAUUAGCAUGUGAAAAUGUCGAGGUUAUUAGGAGUCGAAAAUAAUCUUCGAUUUCAUUAAUCUCGUUGGCUAAAGACAAUCCGUUUGUUAGACGGAGGUUGCCAAGAUUGAUUUGACAGCUGUAGUGGAUGUGUCAGUUGAGAAAUAGAAUGAGAAGAAGGUGGCCGUGAUACAGAAAAUCUCUAAGAUGGUUCCAAAGGAAUUGCUUGAGUUACCGCCAUAAAGAGAGUUUGAAAUUGUAAUUGAGCUAGCACCAGGGACAGAACCGAUCUCAAAGGCAUCUUACCGAAUGGCGUUAUCUGAGUUGAAGGAACUGAAGAUGCAAAUGUGAAGAUUGAUGAAUGAGGAAUUCAUGCAUAUAAGUGCAUCACUUUUGGGAAACAUCAGUUUUUUUGUGAGAAGAAGAAAGAUGGUUUGUUGCGAGUGUGCAUCGACCAUCGUCAACUCAAUUAGGUGAAGAUCAAGGACAAGUGUUCUUUGCCAAAGAUCAAUGAAUGGUGUGACUAGUUAUAAAGAGUAUUGAUGUUUUAAAGGUCGACUUGAGAUUAUGAAGUCGUCAGUUACGAACUAGGAAGGAGGUUGUAUGAAAGACAACUGUUCGUACUUGAUAUGGUCUUUACGAGAGUAUUAUAAGAUCAUUUAGCCUGGUGAACACUCCAGUUGUUGUCAUGGAUUUGACGAACAGAGUGUUCAAGAAAUAUCUGGAUCAGUUUGUGAUCGUGUUCAUUGGUGACAUCUUGGUCUAUUCGAGAAGUGAUGAAGAGCAUGAGAAUCAUCUGAGAUUAGUGCUUCAGACCUUAAGAACUCAUCAGCUGUAUGCUAAGUUUAGCAAAUGCGAGUUCUAGUUGACUCGUGUUGCGUUCUUAGGUCAUGUGAUUUCCGGGGAAAGAAUCUCCGUCGACUCGAACAAGAUAGAAGUUGUGAUUAAGUGGCCGAGACCGACAUUAGUAACAGAGAUCAGAAGUUUUCUGGGGUUAGCAGAUUAUUACAGACGGUUUGUGGAAGGAUUCUCAUCGAUAGCGUCGCCUUUGACAAAGCUCACGAAGAAAAAUGAGAAACAAGUGCGAGAAUAGUUUCCAAGAGCUUAAGGAAAAGCUGACUACCGCACCUGUGCUGACGAUUCCAUGUGGUCCUGGAGGAUUCGAUAUCUAUAGUGAUGCGUCAUUUAGGGGAUUGGGUUGCGUGCUGAUGCAACAUGGCAGAGUUGUUGCAUACGCUUCCCGGCAGUUGAGACCUCAUGAAUUGAAUUACCCGAUGCAUGACUUAGAACUCGCAGCCAUCAUAUUUGCGUUGAAGAUUUGGAGGCACUACUUGUGUGGAGAAAAGUUUCAGAUCUUCACAGACCAUCAGAGUCUUAAGUAUUUGUUCUCUCAGAAGGAGUUGAACAUGAGACAGUGCCGAUGGAUGGAAUUGCUGAAAGACUACGAUUGUGAUAUUCUAUAUCACUCGGGAAAGGCGAACAAGGUCGCCGAUGCAUUGAGUCGGAAGUCUUCAAUAGCGCAAAUCUUGGUUAAGGAGUGGAACUUAAUCGAGAGAGCUCGAGAUUUGGAAUUCAAAUUCGAGGUAGGCCAUCUCUCAAGUCUUAUGGCCACCCUCAGAAUUAAACCGGAUGUCCAGGUCAGAAUCAAAGAACUUCAACUGACAGAUCCAGACGUGCAGAGGAUUCUUCAAAAGGAUACUGAGAAAAGAAAAGCUGAUUUUCAAGUUUUUGAUGAUGGGACUCUAAGGUUCCAAGGAUGUUUGGUGGUACCUGACAAUGUCGAGCUUAGAGAAGAAAUUUUAUCAGAAGCACAUCGUAGCAGCUACAGCAUUCAUCCUAAAAGCACUAAAAUGUAUCAGAAUCUGCGUCAACAUUACUGGUGGUCAGGUAUGAAGGCGGACAUCGCCAAGCAUGUAGCCAAGUGUUAGACGUGUCAGCAAGUAAAAGCCCAGCAUUGCAAGCCGGGAGGAUUUCUGCAACCUCUCGUGAUCCCAGAGUGAAAAUGGGAGCAUAUCACUAUGGACUUCGUGACUGGACUACCAAGGAGUCAGAGGGGGAAUGAUUCGAUUUGGGUAGUAGUCGACAGGCUGACAAAGUCGGCUCACUUCAUUGCAGUUCGAAAAGACCUGAGUCUGGAUAGACAUGCAGACCUGUAUGUGCGUCAGGUGGUUCGUAUGCAUGGAGUGCCGGUUACGAUAACCUCUGAUAGAGACCCGAGGUUUACCGCUGAUUUUUGGAAGAGCUUGUAGAGUGCUUUAGGUAAAAAGCUUCAGUACAAUACAGCAUAUCAUCCUCAGACGGAUGGCCAGUCUGAAAGGACAAUUCAGACUCUUGAAGACAUGCUGAGAGCGUGUGUAAUAGACUUCAAAGGAAGCUGGGAAGAUCAACUUCAUCUGGUGGAAUUCGCCUACAACAACAGUUAUCAGCAGAGCAUCAAGAUGGCUCCAUUUGAAGCGUUGUAUGGUAGAGCAUGUAGAACUCCAGUAUGUUGGGAUGAAGUCGGAGAAAGGAAGAUAACAGGACUAGAGUUGGUUCAGCAAUCAGUAGAUGCCGUGGCAGUGAUCAGAGACAGAUUGAAGACCGCGCAAAGCAGGCAGAAAAGUUAUGCAGAUAAGCGUCGAAGGUCUUUGGAAUUCCAAGUUGGUGAUCACGUUUUUCUGAAAGUGUCACCAAUGAGGGGAACUUCGCGCUUUGGUAAGAAAGGCAAGCUGAGUCCAAGGUACGUAGGUCCAUUUGAGAUUCUUGAAAGAAUCGGAAACCUAGCGUAUCGUCUUGUGUUGCCGCCAAGAUUGGUGCAAGUGCAUGACGUCUUUCACGUGUCGAUGUUAAGGAAGUACGAGCCUCACCCGACCCAUGUGCUCAAUUUCGAGGAAUUGGACGUGAAUGACCAUGUGUCAUACGUUGACAGCCUGGUCUAGAUUGUCGAUCGAAAAGAGCAAGUUCUGCGUACAAAGACCAUUCCGUUGGUCAAAGUGGUCUAGCAACACCACGGUACUGAAGGAGCAACUUGAGAGACUGAAGAGUCGAUGAGACAGUUGUACCCCCGCCUUUUUGAGCGAAGUGUAAUGGUUUAAAUUUCGAUGACGAAAUUUUUAUAACAAGGGAAGAGUUGUGACAUCCUGAAAUUCGACCCCGUUUCGAUAAAGUGAAAUGAGCAUUUCGUCGACGUGCCUAUGGCCAUUUUUUUACAGGCAUGUUGACACCUAAUAUUUUAGAAAAUAAUAAAUAAAAUAAAAAUUCAGUUUUGGAAAUUUUUUGAAAAUAUAUCUUCUUUUCAAAAUUCAAAAAAAAAAAUCAGUUUUUGCGUGAUUUUGGAGCCACUUUGUUGUUGAGAGGUUGAGCGAAAUCUCCAUUUGUUGGAACAAAUUCGAUUCUUCACUUUAUAAAUAAAGGGUGUGAGAUGUGAAAAGGAGGGGGCUUCUCUUCAUUGUUCGUCCAAGAAAAAAUAAACUGAAGAGAAAGAGAGAAGAAGUUGACGUGAGCAGGGAAAAGAGAGAAAAAAAAAUACAAUGGCAGAAAGUAAAUUGGGGAGGUUUUCGGCAGAGAGUGAGGGAGACAAGUGAGAGAAAGUGGAAAAGAGAGAAAAGGAAAGAAAACUUUAGUUCUCUAGGGAAAAGGAAAGUGUACAGGGGGCAAAGAGAGAGGUGACGUGAGGCAAAGCAGAAAAGUAAGAGUGAGGGAGACGUGUGAGGGUUCGGCAGAGAAGAAAGAAAAAAAAGAGAAAAGGGGACUAUUCAUCAUCUCCUUCGUGGAAGCUACCCGACAACCCUCUGUUCGUUGCUGCCCACACCAGGCUCCUGCGCUACCGGUCUCUCGCACCAGGCCACCCCUUGCGUCGCCGCUCAUCAGCCAGCUACCGACGCCACCUUCGUUCGAGCACCAGCACCACCGCCGCUCCCCGUUGAGCCACCACCGGCCGCCCGCACACCUCAACCCAUGAUCUGCAUCUCAGCUCGCCGCCGGUGAACUCCCCUCUUGACGCCAUCGCCUCCACAUCCGCUCGACGCCGCACCACCGCUACAAUCCCGCGCCGUUGCGAUCCCGCGCCUAACACCCCACUGCAGCGUUUCCUUCCGACGAACCUCGAGCAGCACCUGACGUCUCUGUUGCUCCGCCUGGCGUUGUUGCAACAUUGCCCGCAACACCUUCGUCGUUGCCCGCACCUGUAGCAGUAUCUCUCCUGGACUGCUGCCCCUUCCGAACCGACACUUGUGACCUGCCGCAAUCUGCAGUGCCCAUCACCGCGCGCUUCUGUCCCUUCUGCAGGUCGCCGUGCUGCCCUUCGACUUAGCUGCCAGACGCCUCGCCGCUCCACCCCCGAGAACCCGCGCCGACGCCAUCGCGACCUGCUGCUGCCCAACGCGAUGCCGGAGCUCCAAAGCCCGCCACGAGCUUGACCAGAAGCUGCUGUUGUGUUGCAACCGCCACAGCCCGAUCCCGAGUGCCUCCACCGCUGUUGAACGCUGCUUUUGCGCCCUGCUCGCUCGACAGUCGAGGCUCGCCAUUCCUGACCUCGCCGACUCUGUGCUUUCGCACCGCCUCUGCCUGCGAUCCACUUCCUCGUCACGUUGGUUUACCCUCCUUAGGUAGUAUAUUUUUAUUUUUUAUUUUUUUACUUAUUUCACGUUAUGUUAACUUAUGUUUAAGUUUAAUUGUAGUAUUAUAUGUUAAUAUUUGUAGAUCUCGUAAGUAUUAACUGCAGGUAUUUUAUCCCAAAUUAUGGUAAUUAUUAAUUUGAGCCGUAAGACAUGAGGUCAUUUUUUUAAUUACUUUAAUUUUUAGGAAUUUUUUAUAGCAUUUCAAUUGUUAAAUCAUUAUAGAGUUCAAAUAAUUGUUAAUUUAAUCCGUGAGACAACGGAUUAUUUUUUCGAUUAUUUUAAUUCUUAUAUUCAUUCCUUAAAAAUAAUUGCUUGUUUGGAAAGAUUAAAAAAAAUCUAAAAAAUCUAAAAGUACAUAAAAAUCUAAAUAUUGCAUUAGAGCAUUUAGGUUUAGUAAAUUAUGACCGUAUUUUUAGGUUUAGUAAAUUAGAAUUGCAUUUAUAGGAUUAUAAUUUUUUUAGAUUAUACUUUUAGAUGGGUGAUUUUUGUUAGGGCUAAUUUUAAAUAAUGUUGGCAUGUCUUGAUUUUUUAUAUAGCUUUUAGGAUAAAAUAUAGUUUAAGUUAAAUUGAUUCCUAAAAUAAAUUAAAAUAUCACUCACUUUAGUUAGUCUAAUUAGUUUUGGAUUAAGUCAAUUUUCAUUUAGUAAAAAAAAAAAAGAGGAACAAAAAAUGUUAUGCAUGCCAUGUGAGUUAUAGUUUAAUUGUUUUUAAAAAAAAAGGAAAAUGCUAAAAGAUGAUCAUUGCACCAUUAAGUUACUUUCUUCUCAAUAAAAAACAUUAUGGCAUUAAAAAAAACAAACAAAAAAAAAGACCACUUCCUUGGUUAGUUAAUAGGUUAAUUCAUAAUUAAUCUCAUAUCAUCAUUAUUUAGCAUAGGUUGCAUAUAUGUAUUAAAAAAUGAAUCAUCAGAAAAAAAAUCAUAAAAUAGCAUGCAUGUAGAAAUACCAUGUCAUUCAUCCCAUAUCAUGUAGCAUAUGCAUAUUUAGGAUUAUAUAAAUUAAAUUGCAUACAUAUAGUGAUAAGUUUAAGUCAUACAAUAUGAAUUGCAUCUUGCAUGUCAUUAAAAUAAAUUCAUGUAUAUUAAGUUAGAUUAAGAUUGCAUAAUAAUAAAAAUUAGGUGUCUUGUCAUUUAGAAAUCAUGUUUAGGGCAUGCAUUUUUAUUAGCCUUUUUAUUGAAUGUUACUUUAUUGAUUGUGCACCCACAUGACCACCAUUUGCAUGUUAGUAGCUUAAGUUAAAAUUAAUCAACAUUACCUGCAAAAUAUUUUUGAAAUUAAAAUAAAAGGUACCGAAAGGGCGUUAGACUAAUCUAGAGUAAUCAUGUCCCCAGACCUACUGAAUCUCUGGUUUGCAAAAGUAAAGUAUUCUCCCAUACUUUACUUGGGUUUCUAACCAACCCUAAUUGGUUAUUGGCGGCUCCAACUUGAAUAUAAUUGCAUGUUUAAAUAGAUUAAUUUCAAGUCGCGAUUGGUAGGACUUUGGAGGAUCCGAGCCAAGUCUUCGGACUUAGUAAUCCAUUAACCUAAACUUUAAGUGUUUGCCCUGAAAAUUUAGGUCACGACAGCUUGGCGACUGCACUGGGGACAGAGUUAAAACUCAUAGUAGACAUAGGCCUGUUUUAUUUUUUUUUUAAGAAAAAUAUUUUGUUUGGCAGCAUGGAAACAAGGUACGCCCUAACAUGAAGUGUUAAAUGUUUUUGCAGAUGGGAGGUAUAAGGGGAGUAAUCUUUGCUAACCCUUGUUUUGCAGGUUGGAGUUAAGGAUGAAUGGUUGAAUUUAAAUUAUAAAAGUGUUGUUUGCAAUUAAACUGUUGUGCAUGUUUUAUUGUUUUUAGCACUACACUAUUGCACACACAACCUGCUGCCGGACCCGGGUCGAUUCUUAGGAUGGUGUUGAGAAGGAUACUUCCUCUAAAGCGAGACUGCUAUAUAGAGGUUGACCUUCUCUUCCCCGAAAGUUCUUCAUGGUGUCAAAUGUGUUUGUCCAUAUCCGUGAGACUGCAUGAUAUUAGACAUUUCAUUCGACUGAGCCGGGGUUUGGAGGACCUGACAAGUUAAUGCGAGACUGCAACGGUCAAAUUAUCCUCUUACCUCCAUUUUGUUAAGCCAUCUAGACAGAAAUCGAGUCCCACAUUUCAUGCGUGUGUCUAUGUGAUUGUCAUCCCUUCCUAGUGAAAGUAAGUUGUUUAAAUUCUCAUUACUGCAAUUUACUUACUUGCAAUUUCGUUGGUCCAUGACAUUAGGUUUCGUCGUCGGUCUUAUUUUAUAUGCAAUGGAGAGAUCCGAUGUUCAAUUCAUUCCAACUCCCAAGAUUGAGCUUAGAGGGUGGUGGAACAAUUUAAGUAAAGAAGGUCAAGAUUAUGUGGAGUCGAUACUAGGACGGCUCAUCCCCCUUUCGGAUAUUGGAGUCCAUUGUGGUGUUUUGCAAGCUAUAUCGCACUUUUGGUGUCCCGAGAUGACUAUAUUUAUUUUUGGUAAGAAUGAGCUAACUCCAACACUGGAAGAGUAUAGCGUCAUCAUAGGAAUGCCCCUUGAGACUGAACUUGUUAGGCCACCUCUUGGUAUGGAACUCACAUAAAUUUUAUCUCAAUUUCUAAGAAUUAAAACUGAUGAGGUUAAGAAAGUUUUGAAAGCUAAUUGUAAUGCAUGCCCUUUCUCCUUUUUGGCUAAUCAUUUUUUAAAUCAGUCUUCAAUGCGCCAAAAGGGUAGGAUAUUCAUCUUAGCAUUCUUUGGACUUAUAAUAUUUCCUCAUCGAAAAAAUGCUAUUGAUCCCUCAAUUGCAUGGGUAGUCACACAAGCAUGCGCUGGCAUGAACUUUAUAAACAUGAUUUUGGCUGAGACAUUUUUGUCCCUCAACCGUUUUAAACAAAAUGGAGAAAAAAUCAUGAAUGCCUCUUCUGAGCUUUUACAGAUUUGGUUUCUUUCUCACAUGAAGGAGUUUGGUCAUUUCAUGCAUCGAGGUGAAAUUCAUCACCCAAUAAAAAGAUUUUCAAUCUUAGAAAAAAAAUAUACCGGAAAAUCAUUUUCUGAUUGGGUGACUUUUCUUAAAGAUCCAGAUCUCAAGGGCUUCCUAUGGUAUGUUAAAUGGUUCCAUGUUAGCAUGGCUCGUUUCUCUCACAAGACUGAUAAUCCAAUUCCGCUGAUGGGAAUUACUGGCACAACAUCUUACUAUCCUUAUAGAGUGGCCCGCCAGUAUCGAGUGCUCCAAGAUAUCCCACCUCCUCUCCGAAUGGAUCUAUUUCAAGCUCGCUUUGUGCGCAAGGAUCACAAAUACCUCAAUGAGAUCGAGCGUCUUGAAAAUGCAUGGAAGGAAUGCCAUCCGGAAAAGAUAGUGGUGCCUAGAAGAUUGAAAGGAAAUGAGAGGAUCUUUCAUGCCUCAGAUUAUUAUAUCCACCAUCACGAGAUCCCUCAAGCUCUACUUCCCGUGAUACCUGAAGUGACCAUUAAGCCCACUCGUAAAGCACAAAUUGAAAAUCUUGAAGAAAUGGUGGAAAGGAAAGAAGCUCGUAUUUCUGAGUUGGUUCGACAGAACAAGAAGCUUCGAAAGACUGUGAUCUCCCAAUUGUAUAUAGAAAAGAGUCGCUAGAUUUAGGAGUUUAAUUCUGGCUUUAUGAUGUUAUUUCAAUUUCUUAGAUUGAUGUUUUAGGAAUUUAAUUUCCUAGGGAGUUAUUUUAAUGUUUUAAGUUGAUGUCUUUAGAAUUUGAUUUCCCUUAAUAAAAUAAGCGAUUGACCGUUGUCAUGGACCAAUCUCAUUUGUUAUGAUACUUACUGCAUUAUUUUACAUUUAUAGGUAACAACACGGCUCAUCUAAGAUCACCAAUCCGUACUCAUUCCAGAGCAACAAUGGCUGAUAACACCGAACAAACACGUGUUGCUGAACAAACUCACAUCGCUGCCCUCGAAUUGGAGAUGAAGCAGGUUCUGAAUGUUCUUGAGCAGCUCUCUAAGCAAAUCGAUUCUCUCUAGACAAACACUGCUCCACCAGCUCCGCAAGUUGAAGUAGUGUUACCACAACAUGCUCCCAUGGUUGAUCCAAGAGAUAAAGGCAAGAAUACAGUUGAUCCAAGAGAUAAAGGCAAGAAUACAUCCACAAGUCGCCCAUCUACCUCUGAUGAUUCCUCCAAGGAGAAAAUUACUGACGUGCCUCAAAUUGUUGUUGAUGAUGAGAUACAAGUGAUACAGCCGGCUGUACCGAAGACUGAGCAAGAAAAACGCUUGGCAAAAAUCGAGGAGAAACUUAAGCAGUUAUAGGGUUCAUUUAGCCAAGACCCAAUUGAUCUCUCCCAUUAUGCAAAAAUCAAGAUGUCAAAGAAGUUCAAAAUGCCAGACUUUGAAAAAUAUGAUGGCACCUCUUGUCCAAAGAUCCAUAUGCAGACUUACGUGGUCAGGAUGACCCAAUAUGUUGAUAACAUCCCUUUGAUGAUUCAACAAUUUCAAGCAAGCCUGACAGGACCGGCGUUGCAAUGGUACAUCAUGAAGAAGAUUAAUCUACUGGAGACUUGGGAGGAUUUGACAGAUGCCUUCUUCAAGCAAUAUAAGUAUAAUAUUGAUGUCACUCCAUCUCAAGAAGAUUUACUUCGCACUAAGAAGAAGAGGACAGAAUCUUUUAAGGCAUAUGUCACAAGAUGGAGGACUGUAGCCGCUCAGAUAACUCCAGAGCCGACAGAAAAAGAGCUGAUGGAUUUGUUCAUGAAGACACUCCCGCCUGAGUAUCGAAAUCGAAUGUUGGGAUCAACUGCCGAGUCAUUCAAUCAGCUAAUCCCUAUUGGCGAGAGAAUUGAAGUAGCAUUGCAUGAUGGAUGGGCGUCUGAUCAAACCAGCUCAUAUGGGAGAGUCUCAACCAAGAAGGAUAAAGAACUUGUAGCGGAAGUUAAUGUAGCUUAUGUGCAACCACCUCGCCCUACCCCAAACACCCAUCAGGGAGGAGCACGACCAUUCUUUGGCCAGCAGAAGAACUCUUCUAGGCGUCAAUUUACGCCUCUUCCUAAGCCAUUGUCCAAGAUCUUACCAACCCUUCAGAAGAAAGGAUUACUAGCUAAAGAGCCUAAGCGACCUAAUCCCAAGCGAUUCCCCAACUAUGAUCCGUCCAAGACAUGUGCUUAUCAUAUGGGGGAGGUAGGGCAUUCUGUUGACGAUUGCUAUAUGCUGCAACAUAAAAUCCAAAAUCUUUUGGAUGCCAAGGUGGUCUCAUUCCGCGAUGCACAAUUGAACAUCCAGAAUAACCCACUCCCUGACCACCCAGAAGCUGUGAAUACCAUUUUCGGUUUUGAUGCUGAGCCCACCAUGUUUCAGAUGAUGCAUGAGGAAGCAGAAGUGAUGAAUACCCUAGGGCAACCAAGUGGCAAAUUCAAUUACUAUGUAAAGUAUUCGGCUCCUCCCAGCUCUUAUUUCGACCCAUGGGAUAUCAUCCCAGAUGGAUGGGGUGGCAUAGAUGAUCCUGCACCUCCAAAGAUUGCGAGCUCUGAUGACGCACUCGAAGGAAUGACUGAAUUAUUCGAAGAUAAUUUAGUGUUUGCCAUCGACAAAGCUCGAGAGUAGGAAAAAUUUAAUUAUUUAUACGCUCCUUUGCGCAGGAGUCUUUAUUGUUUUCCAUAUUUGCAUAUUUGCAUUUUCAAUUCUAGGAUUUCCCUCAUUUCAAUAAUGUAAUUUGCUUUUCAUCCAAUAAAAUACAUGGAGAUUUUCGUGUUUUAAGGGCAUGUUGAAGUAUACCAAACUAGCCCUGUGAUGAAAUCCCACCCAAAAGAAAACGGCAAGGAGCUAAUUUUGAAGGCUGGGCUUCUUCAUGUUCCCUUGAAAAAAUUUUCAAAAUAAAAUCAUCUUCUAGCAUGCAUCUAAUUUACCAUGUUUGUUUCAUUUAAUUAUUUGCUUUAUAUUUCAGGUGCAGCUCUGCGCACAUUUAAGGAAUCUCUAUGAGCUCCCUUGCAAAGAGGGGCAAGACACAGACACUUAACAUCUUUGACUUUAUCUUUUGAUGUGCAAGAAUAGAGCAUGGCAUUUUUAUCAUUUCAGAAUGUUUUCACAUGAUGUGCAAUUCGUCAAUUCUACUUGAAAUUUAUCAAAAUGGAUAAUUCAGUGAAAGAUGUCGAGUUUCUUAAACAUGCUAAAUGAGGUGUGAAAGGCAAGCCUAAUCCCAUACUCAGUCUCCUGUCUAUACAUUGUGAGGUGAGUAUAGAAACAUUUUGUGUUUCAAGAUGAAGAAUUUUCUUGCAUGAAGUACGACAACCAAAAUGAUGAGGGGCGAUUCAUUUCUCUAUAAUGAACCCUUGUUUAAUCCUUCUUUGAGCCUAAACACUUGAAGAACUUCUUUCAUACUACCCCUGUCAAGAACCACCCCACAUCGGGGCAAAUGGAGGUAAGUUGACAUUGAAGGAGAGUGAAAUGGAUGGAAAUUUUAUUGCUCUCACUUGCAUUAAUCUUCAAGUUAUGUUUUUACAUUGAAUUCAUGUGGUAAUUUAAGUGCCUUAGGAUGACGAAGAGCGUUUCUUUCACUAUCCUACACACUUAUAUCAUUUGCAUAGCCCACUUGAGCCUGUGAUUUCGUUUAUUUUAAACCCAGUUGGUGAUCAUCCCCCACACUGGGGCAAGGCAAGAGACGGAUGAAGACCCUUGAAGGUUCGAGUGUCAUUUAAAGUAUACUUGACACAUGCAUUGUGCGCAAGAACUGAAAUCAAAAUAGAACUAAGGGGCAUGAAAAAGCAGUGUGUCUGGUAAAAGCAAGGCUAAUGCCCAUGAUUUUAAAAGAAAUGACUGAUGAUUUGAGGGGCAUAUAAAAAAGCAGUGUGCCUGAUCGAUGCCUAUCAUCAAAGAAAAUGAUUUUGAGAAAAUAUCUCCAGUUGAAUAAUCAUUGGCAUCAAUGAUAAACUCUUGAGCCAAUAAAGAAAUCUGUCAAGAAGACAAUCAGUGGUAAUGUCAAGAUGAUCACCAACUCUUACCCAUUACACACAUCUUUGAGCCUAACAAUCCUUUCGUUUCUCAAACCCAAGAACCAAGCCUAUGUUACGUCCCUUACAAAGUCUCUUCAGAUUAGGGCACUUGAAUUAACAUAGGAAUUCAUAUGUUUUAAGCAUUGCUCAAAGAACUGUGAGCAAGAUUAUUUCUUUCUCAUUUUGCAGGGUUCUUGACUUGUAAACCCGGAGAUGAUUACAGAAUUGUUCUUUCAAUUGCUUUGACUCAAAGAAUCCCUUUGUUAAACCAUUAACCAAAUCCACAUUACAAUCCUUGUCAAAGACCUCUCAGAUUGGUAAGGUCGUACUGAUUGCAAGAAAAUUUGAACUCUUGUCGGCAAGAUGAUGAUAAGAUUAAGUGAUAUAUUCCCACAUCAAUGGUCGGUACAAAUAACCCCUCCUAAAUGAGAGCAAGUGAAAAAGCCUUUUCACACCAAAAGCGUCUCAUUUAGCAUGUUCAAGAGAUUCACACUAUAAUUGAAAAUUAUCCUUGUGAUAAUUUUUCCAGUAGAAGCUUGAUAAAGCCAUCAUGCAUGGACCUUCAUUGAAUAUUUUCCUCAAAGACCAAAAAAUUGUCUUUGAAGCCCUGAGUUUGUUCAGUGAUCUUGGUGCUUGAUGAGAAUUCCAAGUACCCAUUUAUAAAAUGUUUUCAAAUGUCUAGUUUGAGUUCCAGAUGUUUAGUAAAAUAUUUUCAAAUGUCUAGUGUGAACUCCAGAUAUUUGAACCCUUAAAUACUUGAUGUGACUUCCAAGUGUUUGUCUUUCCAAAUGUUUGAUGUGACUUCCAGAUGUUUGGUAAAAUAUUUUCAAAUGUUUAGUGUAAACCCCAGAUAUUUGAACCCUUAAACGCUUGUGUGAUACCAAGUGUUUGUCCUUCUAAACUUCUGAUGUGAUUUCCAGAUGUUUAGUAAAUGUUUUCAAAUGUCCAGCAUGAAUUCCAGAUAUUUGAAUCUUUAAAUACUUGAUGUGACUUCCAAGUAUUUGUCUUUUCAAACAUAUGAUGUGAUUUCCAAGUACUUAGGAUCUUAUGAGAGUUCCAGAUCUCUAAAGACUUUGAGCCUUUCAAUUAUCUGAAGAGAUUUCCAGAUGUUGGUCAGAUCUCAUAUGAAUCAUUUCACACCUAAUAAUACUUUUCUGAAUCUCCAGAUAAGUAUGACAGGUACGCGUCCUUCUUUGCAUUUGCAUUUCAUUGAGCAUAGACACAUUGAGAUCUACGUUCUUGACCAAAUCAUUGCAUUUACAUUGCAUUAUUGCAUGACCUUGCAUUUCAAAAAGAAUUAAAUUUAUUUGAAAAAGAGGUCAUUAACAUUUGCAUAUACAUUUCAUAUUCAUUUUGCAUUCAUUUUGCAUUCAUUUUAUAUUUGCAUUUCAUUGAGCAUAGACACAUUGAGAUCUACAUUCUUGACCAAAUCAUUGCAUUUACAUUGCAUUAUUGCAUGACCUUGCAUUUCAAAAAGAAUUAAAUUUAUUUGAAAAAGAGGUCAUUAACAUUUGCAUAUGCAUUUCAUAUUCAUUUUGCAUUCAUUCUGCAUGGUCUAAAUUUAGGUGUCAUUUAUCUUUGAAGGAAACCUUUACGAGCUUCCUUUCAAAGAGGCGCAGCUGUUGACAUCUAAUAUUUUAGAAAAUAAUAAAUAAAAUAAAAAUUCAGUUUUGGAAAUUUUUUGAAAAUAUAUCUUCUUUUCAAAAUUCAAAAAAAAAAAUUCAGUUUUUAUGUGAUUUUGGAGCCACUUUGUUGUUGAGAGGUUGAGCGAAAAUCUCCAUCUGUUGAAACAAAUUCGAGUCUUCACUUUAUAAAUAGAGGGUGCAAGAAGUGAAAAGGAGGGGGCUUCUCUUCAUUGUUCGUCCAAGAAAAAAUAAACUGAAGAGAAAGAGAGAAGAAGUUGACGUGAAAGGAAAAAGAGAGAAAAAAAAAUACAAUGGCAGAAAGUAAAUGGGGGAGGUUUUCGGCAGAGAGUGAGGGAGACAAGUGAGAGAAAGUGGAAACGAGAGAAAAGGAAAGAAAAAUUUAGUUCUCUGGGGAAAAGGAAAGUGUACAGGGGGCAGAGAGAGAGGUGACGUGAGGCAAAGCAGAAAAGUAAGAGUGAGGGAGACGUGUGAGGGUUUGGCAGAGAAGAAAGAAAAAGAGAAAAGGGGACUGUUCAUCAUCUCCUUCGUGGAAGCUACCCGACACCCCUCUGUUCGUUGCUGCCCACACCAGGCUCCAGCGCUGCCGGUCUCUCGCACCAGGCCACCCCUUGCGUCGCCGCUCAUCAGCCAGCCGCCCUACUGCCGACGCCACCUUCGUUCGAGCACCAGCACCACCGCCGCUCCUCAUCGAGACACCACCGGCCGCCCACGCACCUCAACCCAUGAUCUGCAUCUCAGCUCGCCGCCGGUGAACUCCCCUUGCGACGCCAUCACCUCCACAUCCGCCCGAUGCCGCACCACCGCUACAAUCCCGUGCUGCUGCGAUCCCGCGCCCAACGCCCCACUGCGGCGUUUCCUUCCGACGAACCUCGAGCAGCACCUGACGUCUCCGUUGCUCUGCCCGACAUUGUUGCAACACUGCCCGCAACGCCUUCGUCGUCGCCUGCACCUGUAGCAGUAUCUCUCUUGGACUGCUGCCCCUUCCGAACCGACACCUGUGACCUGCCGCAAUCUGCAGUGCCCAUCACCACGCACUUCUGUCCCUUCCGCAGGUUGCCGUGCUGCCCUCCGACUUAGCCGCCGGACGCCUCGCCGCUCCACCCCCGAGAACCCGCGCCAACACCAUCGCGACCUGCUGCUGCCCAGCGCGACGCCGGAGCUCCAAAGCCCGCCACGAGCUUGACCAGAAGCUGCUGUUGCGUUGCAACCACCACAGCCCGAUCUCGAGCGCCUCCACCGCCGUUGAACGCUGCUUUUGCCCCCCUGCUCGCUCGGCAGUCGAGGCUCGCCAUUCUUGACCUCGCCAACUUUGUGCUUUCGCACUGCCUCUGCCUGCGAUCCGCUUCCUCGUCACGUUGGUUUUACCCUCCUUAGGUAGUACAUUUUUAUAUUUUUAUUUUUUUACUUAUUUCACGUUAUGUUAACUUAUGUUUAAGUUUAAUUGUAGUAUUGUAUGAUAAUAUUUGUAGAUCUCGUAAGCAUUAACUGCAGGUAUUUUGUCCCAAAUUAUGGUAAUUAUUACUUUGACCCGUAAGACGUCGGGUCAUUUUUUUUAAUUACUUUAAUUUUUAGGAAUUUUUUUAUAGCAUUUCAAUUGUUAAAUCAUUAUAGAGUUAAAAUAAUUGUUAAUUUAAUCCUUGAGACAAUGGAUUAUUUUUUCGGUUAUUUUAAUUCUUAUAUUCAUUCCUUAAAAAUAAUUGCUUGUUUUGAAAGAUUAAAAAAAUCAUAAAAAUCAAAAAGUACAUAAAAAUCUAAAUAUUGCAUUAGAGCAUUUAGGUUUAGUAAAUUAUGACCGUAUUUUUAGGUUUAGUAAAUUAGAAUUGCAUUUAUAGGAUUAUAAUUUUUUAGAUUAUACUUUUAGAUGGGUGAUUUUUGUUAGGGCUAAUUUUAAAUAAUGUUGGCAUGUCUUGAUUUUUUAUAUAGCUUUUAGGAUAAAAUAUAGUUUAAGUUAAAUUGAUUCCUAAAAUAAAUUAGAAUAUCACUCACCUUAGUUAGUCUAAUUAGUUUUAGAUUAAGUCAAUUUUCAUUUAGUAAAAAAAAAAAAGAGGAACAAAAAAUGUUAUGCAUGCCAUGUGAGUUAUAGUUUAAUUGUUUUUUUAAAAAAAGGAAAAUGCUAAAAGAUGAUCAUUGCACCAUUAAGUUACUUUCUUUUCAAUAAAAAACAUUAUGGCAUUAAAAAAAACAAAAAAAAAAAAAGAUCACUUCCUUGGUUAGUUAAUAGGUUAAUUCAUAAUUAAUCUCAUAUCAUCAUUAUUUAGCAUAGGUUGCAUAUAUGUAUUAAAAAAUGAAUCAUCAUAAAAAAAAUCAUAAAAUAGCAUGCAUGUAGAAAUACCAUGUCAUUCAUCCCAUAUCAUGUAGCAUAUGCAUAUUUAGGGUUAUAUAAAUUAAAUUGCAUACAUACAGUGAUAAGUUUAAGUCAUACAAUAUGAAUUGCAUCUUGCAUGUCAUUAAAAUAAAUUUAUGUAUAUUAAGUUAGAUUAAGAUUGCAUAAUAAUAAAAAUUAGGUGUCUUGUCAUUUAGAAAUCAUGUUUAGGGCAUGCAUUUUUAUUAGCCUUUUUAUUGAAUGUUACUUUAUUAAUUGUGCACUCACAUGACCACCAUUUGCAUGUUAGUAGCUUAAGUUAAAAUUAAUCAACAUUGCCUGCAAAAUAUUUUUGAAAUUAAAAUAAAAGGUACCGAAAUGGCGUUAGACUAAUCUAGAGUAAUCAUGUCCCCGGACCUACUGAAUCUCUGGUUCGCAAAAGUAAAGUAUUCUCCCAUACUUUACUUGGGUUUCUAACCAACCCUAAUUGGUUAGUGGCGACUCCAAAUUGAAUAUAAUUACAUGUUUAAAUAGAUUAAUUUCAAGUCGCGAUUGGUAGGACUUGGGAGGGUCCGAGCCAAGUCUUCGGACUUAGUAAUCCAUUAACCUAAACUUUAAGUGUUUGCCCUGAAAAUUUAGGUUGCGACAAGGCAGCUUUAAUUGAUUUUAAAUCUAUUUCCCUAAUAUGUGAGGUGAUCAUAUGGGUGCGCAAGCCACCAAUUUAACAUCUAAGGAAAGCAAUGAAUAAAUUGCAAGAACUUACCUUGUAGCAACGAAAUCAUCUGCAAUGUUAGAUCAUAAUUCACAUUAAUAACCCUAGAUAUGAUUUCUAAUUAAUAAGCAAUUUCUUUUUUUUUUGUUUCUACUUAUUUAAUGAAAAUCAUGCAAUAUGCAAUGCAAUAUAACUAAAUGACCUAAUUCUAAUGUCAUGCAACUUCUAAUUAAAUUGACCUAAUAACAAUCUCUAAAUGACAUGCAUUUCUUGAAUCUAAUCUUAAUGACAUGCAUAUGAUAUUAUUUUUUUUCUAAAAAAAGAAUGCAAUUCAUCCUAUAAAAUAAAACUAAUUUAUUCUAAGAAAUUUUUUGGUUUUUUUUUUAUGAAAUUCGGAAUUAGAUAAAAUGUAAAAAUUAUCUAGCUAGAUUAAGAUUCUAUUCCGCUUAUAUUAAGGAUUAAGUCAAGCUAAACCCUAAUUUAACCAAGAUAUUAUCUUAAAUUAGCAAUCUCUAACCUAAGAUGUCCAUCUAAAAGAUUAAUCUAAAUACCUUAAUUCUACAUGACAUAUGCAUGAUGAAUUUUUUUGUUAUUUUUUUUAUUAAUUUCGAAAUUUAAAAUUGCCACAUAAUUAAACAAAAACUAAAAUCCUAAAUGAAUGCACUUUUUGGAUUUUUUUUAUUUAACAAAAUAAAAUUGAUUCAAUCAACAUGACAGCAAAUCAGAUAAGAUAUGAUCAAUAUCCACAAAUUGGUGAACCAUAUCUCGCGCAUGAGAUCAGGUUGGCCAUUUUUAAAUAAAUUGCGAAUCGAAUCUCGAGCUUGAAAUCGGAUUGAUGAUUUUUCCGUGCGAUUACGAGUUGUAUUCCGAGCAUAAAAUCGGAUCGUCAAUCAUAUGCACGUUAUGAAAUUAGGAAAAUUACCCAACUUAAAAGACUACUCGAGUUGCGAUUAUCGCAGCAUAUCAGGGAUUUCAAUCAUGUGCAACAUUCGAAGAUUUGAAUUUAAUCGCAAUAUCAUUGAAUUAAGUAAGGAAAUUACCAAAUUAAAUUUGGGUAAUAUCUUUACCUAUUUUGUAAUAUCGUUCCCGAAUUUGGACUUGUAGUGAAUUCUACAAAAGAAAAGUCGAGCGCGAUGAUGGAUGAUUCACGGUGAUAUCCGGCUAAGGAGGGACUACAUCGCGGUGGUUGUGGCUGCUCGCUAAAUUGGACUGAAAUCAUCGCAAUGAACUACUCAACAAAUCUGGGAAAAUCAAUGGAGCGGGCUGGACUUGCGCUAGGUGGUGUCUGCGAUUAAUGGAGAUCGUGAUUGUGUCUGGCAGUGCAUUAAACAUAUAAUAACCACGUCAGGAAAGUGAAGCCAUGAGAAAACCAGAAAACUCUUCUUCUCUUAUUUUUAGGUGUUCACAUGGGCAUGAUAUGUGUCCCUUGUACGUGACUAUAGAGAAAGAAAAGUGGAAUUUUUAUUGAGAAUUGAAAACUCCCUUGAUAGCUUGAUGAUCCCCUCGAUUUAUGCCUGAAGUUGGUCUUAGUGCGGCAGCAGCUUUGUCGAUGAGGAAUCCGCAGUGAUGGUGUCAUGUAUAGACCGACGGUGGGACUCUCAGUACAGGCUGCUUGGUGAAGCCUGCCGGUUCAAUAAUUCUCGGCUAGGGAAGGAGCAACUCACUGGGUGGACUUCUCGAUGGAGGUGGUGACCACGCACAAGCAUGAGCUGACGGUGAGGAGGAUGCUCAGAUGUUCACCGAGAUAGUCUCACAGCUAACCUGCGAAACAAAGAACGAUUUUGUUGCGGGAAGGCACCAAACUGGUCUCUGCUCAACAACGGCAGCGAUGUCAUGGCUCACGGCACGGUAGAAAAAAUCACUGCUGCUUAUUCAAGAACCUGCAAAACAGAAAGAGAUUCACUGUAGUGAAUGGAAGAAGUUCGGCCAAGAGGGGGCCGUCACGGUGCAGGUACAGCGUGGAUGUCUAGCAGUAACAAUUAUGGCUAGUGGAUCUCGGAGGCGGUGAUGGAGCGAUCUUGGAAUUUUAGACCCAAAGAGCAGAAAGAACUUCGGUUUCUAUUCUCUUUUGGAUCCUCCACUAUCUAUUCUCUCAACGUGUGGCUGUAUGUUCAAUGUGUGUGGCCCCCUUAAAACCCUACGCGAACAACGUUUUUAUAGGCCAAACGUUAGGGUUUCAAUUUCCUUUUUAAAUCAACAUCCGUGAAGAUUUCUUUCUUAUUCUUGCAACUUUUCUUUCUGCCCACACCGAUGGAUACGUGAAGACUAAACCCCACUUUCCCUUUUUUGUUGAUUUCCUUUGUAUGAAGCUGAUCCUCCUCCUUGCAUUACGGUCAACAGAAUUGUCUAAGGAUUUUGAGAAUAUUGACUCAAUUUCAUGGGUGCUCAAGAUGGUCUCUCUUGUGGCGAAAUCUUUGUCCGCACGCUUUCAUAUUUUUUCUUGGAAGAUAUCAUUUUCUAUCCUUACGCAGAUUGAAUAUUCUCCAACCAAAUAAUUGCCCGCAAAUUGGUCGAACAUUAGGCUAAAAAUUCAAGAUUGUAAUAGAAUCCUCUCAAAUUCCAAGUCUUGCAAAGAUGAGCUCGCAAUCCACCGUGAUAUCAUUGAAUAUUGGAAUAAUAAUACAAAUCUUUUCCGAAAUGCACCCAUCUCCCAACUUGUCAAAUUAAAGCUUAUUUGUCACCGGUUCAUGAAAAUGCGAUAAAAUAAAUAAAUAAAAACACCCUUAAAACUAAAUGCUGCGAUUUAAUAUUUUUGUUUAGGGGUUAAAGUUCGGUCCCUAAUUUUUUAAUGAAUAAACGGUCGCCAAAAUUUAGGUGUCAACAACUGCCCCUCUUGAAGGUGAGCUCGAAGAGGUUGCCUUAAAAAACAAAUUGAGACCUAAAUUUUGACUAUACAUAUGGAUUGAAUGAAUUUUUUUUGUUGGAAAAUGAAUUCCAUUUUUGAAUGCAAUUUAUAUAAUGCACGGAAAUGCUAAUGCAAAUGCAUGAUGCAAAAGGAAAGAACGUACCUAUAGUCACUUACCAAUGAGUGCAGUAGAACAUCUUGAGGUACAUGAUAAAUCCCCAUUUGCUCCACAAGUACCCAACUCUCACUUAGGUUCCUUGAAGAGUGUAACGGGUAAUAGAUUGAAAGAUUGAGAAGAACAUUCACAUAUAAAGUGAAAUGUUCAACGAAAAGAAUUGAGACAUCCAAAUCCAGACUGAGAUGUCAAAACUCGAAAUACCUAGAUCCAAACUAAGGUAUAACAAGAAAGCUCGAAAAACAUUUACAUCCAAAGUGAAAUGUUUAACGAAAAGAAUUAAGACAUCUAGAUCCAAACUGAGAUGUCAAAAUUUUUGAACUCGAAAUGCCUAGAUCCAGACUAAGGUAUAACGAGGAAGAUUGAGAAACAUUCACAUCCAAAUGAAAUGUUUUGAUGAAAAUAAUUAAGACAUUCAGAUCCACACGCUUAUCAACAGGUAAAUGAGUUAAAUCUAACGGAGUUAAUGGAUUAAAACCAUAGACAACCUCAAAUGGUGUAAAUUUAGUAGCAGAAUGCAUGCUCCUAUUAUAUGCAAAUUCAACAUGUGGCAGACAAUCUUCCCAAGAUUUGAUUUUCUUUUUAAUAAUAGCACGCAACAAUACCCCUAAAGUUCUAUUAACUACCUCGGUUUGACCAUCGGUCUGUGGAUGACAAGUAGUAGAANNNNNNNNNNNNNNNNNNNNNNNNNNNNNNNNNNNNNNNNNNNNNNNNNNNNNNNNNNNNNNNNNNNNNNNNNNNNNNNNNNNNNNNNNNNNNNNNNNNNNNNNNNNNNNNNNNNNNNNNNNNNNNNNNNNNNNNNNNNNNNNNNNNNNNNNNNNNNNNNNNNNNNNNNNNNNNNNNNNNNNNNNNNNNNNNNNNNNNNNNNNNNNNNNNNNNNNNNNNNNNNNNNNNNNNNNNNNNNNNNNNNNNNNNNNNNNNNNNNNNNNNNNNNNNNNNNNNNNNNNNNNNNNNNNNNNNNNNNNNNNNNNNNNNNNNNNNNNNNNNNNNNNNNNNNNNNNNNNNNNNNNNNNNNNNNNNNNNNNNNNNNNNNNNNNNNNNNNNNNNNNNNNNNNNNNNNNNNNNNNNNNNNNNNNNNNNNNNNNNNNNNNNNNNNNNNNNNGCCCCAUUAAACCACCACUAUGCGCUUCUCGCACCAACAAUUCACGCAAAGAACACUUAGGCAAACAUAGUUUGUUUUCACGAAAAAGAUAACCUCCAUGCCUAUAAAAUUUAUCAAAUGCAGCGUGUUCACAUGCUUCAUAGACUCUCCCAAAGUCAUCAUCAUCAAUAUAUAAGCCCUUAAUAUGCUCAAAACCUAGACACUUCGCUUCUAAAAUAGUUAGAAUCGCAUACCUUCGAGAAAGUGCAUCGGCUACCACAUUUUCCUUACCUUUCUUGUACUUGAUCACAUAUGGAAAAGUCUCAAUGAACUCUAUCCAUUUGGCAUGUCUUUUAUUCAACUUUUGCUGUCCUUUCAAGUACUUCAAGGUCUCAUGGUCGGUGUGGAUCACAAACUCCUUUGGCCAUAAAUAAUGUUGCCAAGUCUCCAAAACUCGCACUAAAGCAUACAUCUCCUUAUCAUAGGUAGGAUAAUUCAAUGUUGCUCCACUCAAUUUUUCGCUGAAAUAAGCUAUGGGACGCCCUCCUUGCAUCAACACGGCUCCAAUUCCUAUACCAGAAGCAUUGCACUCUAUCUCAAAAGUAGCACUAAAAUUCGGCAAAGAUAAUAAAGGAGCAUUAGUUAACUUAUCUUUUAGCAUAUUAAAUGCUUUAUCUUGCUCUUCUCCCCACGUGAAACCCAUGUGCUUCUUGAUUACCUCAGUUAAUGGUGCGGCAAUAGUGCUAAAAUUUCUCACAAAUCGUCGAUAAAAACUCGCCAAUCCAUGAAAGCUACGCACCUCUCCUAUGGUCUUAGGCAUUGGCCAUUCACGGAUUGCUUUAACCUUUUCUUCAUCAACCUGUAUACCAUUAGCACUAACAACAAAUCCUAGAAAUACUAAUUUGUUGGUAACAAAAGAGCACUUCUUUAGAUUAGCGUAUAAUUGCUCGGCCCUUAAAACCUGCAAGACAACUCGCACAUGCUCAAUAUGGUCAUCAGGACUUCGGCUAUAAAUUAAGAUGUCAUCGAAAUAGACAACCACAAAUCGACCAAUAAAAGCACGCAAAAUGAUUCAUAAGUCGCAGAAACGUGCUCGGUGCAUUAGUUAAUCCAAAUGGCAUUACUAACCACUCAUAUAAUCCAUACUUGGUCUUAAAUGUAGUUUUCCAUUCAUCACCUUCUUUCAUCCUAAUUUGAUGAUAGCCACUUUUCAAAUCGAUCUUAGUGAAAACGCAAGAACCUUGCAACUCAUCCAACAUGUCAUCUAACCUAGGAAUAGGAUGUCGAUACUUUAUCGUAAUAUUAUUGAUUGCUCGGCAAUCGACACACAUUCGCCAAGUUCCAUCCUUCUUUGGCACUAACAAAACAGGGACGGCGCACAGGCUGAGACUCUCUCACAUACCCCCGUUCCAAUAGUUCGCUAACUUGCCGCUGAAGUUCCUUUGUCUCCUCGGGAUUGCUUCGAUAUGCGGGUCGAUUAGGUAAUGGCGCACCAAGAAUCAAGUCAAUUUGAUGUUCUAUGCCUCGAAUCGGUGGUAUCCCUCCAGGAAGUUCAUCAGGAAAGACAUCUUCAAAUUCCUGCAAUAAAGAUACAAUAGGACUAGGCAAACUUGGGUCAAGAUCGUUAGUAGAAAAUAAAAUCUCCUUGUACACAAGUACAAGCAUUGGUCGAUCUAGAACUAAAGCUCUCCUCACUUCACUUGAUUUUGCAUAAAAAUUAUUUUGCCUCUUUUCUUUCCUCUCUUCUUUUCCCUCGGUUUUUACCACAAUCUUUCUCUCGGCCUCUCCUUUUCCUUGUGUCUCAGACACACCAUGCAAGCCCUCGAAUUUCUCACCUUUUCUCUCUCUCUCGGCUUCUCGUUGUAACUUUAGUUGAUCUUGAUACACCUCACUAGGUGUCAUUGGUACCAAGGUAUAAGUCUUUUGAUUCAUCAUCAAUGAAUAAUGAUUAGUAUACCCAUCAUGAUGUACCUUUCGAUCAUAUUGCCAUGGUCUUCCAAGUAAGAUAUGACCCGCUUGCAUAGGUACAACAUCACACUUUACCUCGUCCUUAUAUCUCCCUAUCUCAAAUGGAAUUCGAACUUGCUUCGAUACUUUCACCUCACCACUAUCAUUUAACCAUUGAAGUCUAUAAGGCCUAGGGUGCUUUGUUGUCUUCAAGCCCAACUUAUCCACCAUAAUACAACUUGCCACAUUCACACAACUACCUCCAUCAAUUAUCAUACUACAAAUCUUACCAUUCACCACACACCUUGUAUGAAACAAAUUAUCUCUUUGUUGGUGAUGCUCCUCCUCCUUUACUUGCACACUCAGAGAACGCCUAACCACCAAUAAGUCUCCUUUUAUAGCCACUUCUCCAUCACUACAAUCCUCCAAUGGUGGCAUCUCAUCAUCAUCUUCUUCCCUUUCACUUUCGGACUCAAUAACACCAUGUCCAGUCAUGAUCAUCACCCUCCUAUUAGGGCAUUGAUUCGCCAUAUGACCCCUGCCCAAACACUUAAAACAUUUAAUUUCACGAGUUCUAGUAUUAGGAUUUUCGGUUUUACUUGAAACCGGAUUCGUUCCAACUUUACCGUCCCUCUCCUUCUCCUUUGAAGUUUCGGUUUUUGUGUUGUUUCCUCUCCAAUUUGGCUUCUCAUCUCUCUUCCAAUUGGAUCUCCAAUUCUGAUUUGAACCUCCUCCACUCUUGUGAUUUCGAUCCAACUUCAAUUGCCGCUCAACUUUGAUGGCUUUGUCCACCAAUUCUUCCAAUUCAACAUAGUGUUGUAGCUCUACCACCCUUGCUAUGUCUCGGUUCAAACCACUCAAAAAUCUUGACAUUGUGGCCUCACGAUCCUCCAUCACAUUAGCACGGAUCAUGGCAAUCUCCAUCUCCUUGUGAUACUCUUCCACGCUCUUAUUGCCAUGUGUGAGGUUUUGUAACUUUUGAAACAAAUCUCGAUGGUAAUAACUUGGCACAAAACGCCUCCUCAUCACUGCUUUCAUCUCAUCCCACGUCUCUAUCGGUCUUUCACCAUUGUGCCUCCUAUUAGUCACAAGUUGAUCCCACCAAAUUAUAGCAUAAUCAGUAAAUUCAACAGCUGCAAUUUUUACCUUUUUGAGCUCAGAGUAUCGUUGGCAAUCAAAUACCAUCUCCAUGCGUUUCUCCCACUCUAGAUAUGCAUCGGGAUCAUUCUUCCCUUGGAAGGAAGGAAUCUUCAUCUUGAUGUUGCCAAGUUCAUCAUCUCCUCGGUGUCUAAACCUUCAGCCUCCAUUCCACCUUUCAAAUCGAGCAUCUCGAUCAUCCUCCAUGUCGGCCUCAUCAUCAUCAUAUUGCCGUUGCCUUCUAUGUUGUGUUCUAGAGGCAUCUCGCUAAUGUUGCGGCCUUCCUCGAGGUAUCUCUCGGUCACCAUCAACCCUCAUGUCAUUCCUCAUCAUUCGGUCACUAAGCUCCUCCACUACGACCCUCAAUUGCUGGAUGCUUUCCACGAGCACUUCAUCCCUUCGUAUGGAGUCAACCUCCCAUUGAUUCACGCUUUCUUCGCGCGACAUAUUUUAGACCUGCAAGUAAAUGUUAGUCUAAAAAAAUCCUCACCAAUCGCUCCCUCACGUGUUUCUCUCGAGAUAUUUGUCACUCCUCUCGUGUUUAACUCAAGUCUAGGCUUUUUUUCACCCUCAAUUAAGCUUACACACUCUUGCAUUUUUCCUCUCGUAUUCUCUUUUCACAAGCUCUUUAUUGGACUCAAAACCUGUCUCUCAACCCCCUCACGACAAUCAAUCAAACUAAUCAAACAAGAUUAGAUCACUAUUGAUUUUGUUUCAGCAAGUAACAAUUUCAAACCAACAAGUACAACUUUCGAAAUUCCAAUUGAAACGCAAAUCACUACUGAUUUUGUUUCAAUUUGGUCUACUAACAAAUGAGUUGCCUUCUUGAUUUAUUUAUUUUUUUGUUCGGCUAAUUUUUUUUUUGCCGAAUCUGUUUUUUUUUUCUCUUGCACGCUUUUUUUUGUGCGUUUUCUUUCUCUUCCUUUUUUUCACUUUUUUUUCUUUUUUUUGACGAACUCAAAUACAAUUUAAGAUGCUAGAAAAGAAAAUUUAAAACUAAUAGCAAACAACUACGUAUGGAAGCACAAAACAAUCAGAUCCCUAAAUUAACUAGAACGGAAACCCUAACCCAAUAAAUCUCAAAUUGCUGAUUAUCAACAGAAAAUUAAAGAUAAAUAGACCUUGUAGAAUUUGGCUCUAAUACCAAACUGAUGUGAAUCGUUGCAGAGGGAUUGUUCUACGAAGGCUCAGAUGGUGCGAAUUGUAAACCUCGACCUCCAAUCAAACCUGUGAUUGGCAACCUCGGUAUGAAAGUGACCUGUUGACGAACACGUGUCAACCAACCAACGUUAUAGACGCCACGAGCGAAAGAAUUCGCUAUCUCGCUCGAUAAGUCGAAUUGACCGCCACAAGAGAAUCUUGAUUAGGUCAAGUCCUCAAAAGAGUAGUAAAAAGAGAACCUCUCAAUUCUUUUCCUCAAAAAUAGAAUAUAUCUGUCCCAAAAAAAAAUUGGCAAAUCCUUUAUAGAGGCUGCCACACAAACCCUAAAAAACUAAUGCGUCAUAUUCUAGAAUAUUCCUAUUCUAGAAUAUUCUUAAACAAGAAUAUAUAUAAAUUGAAUUGGUCAAUUAUUUGGUGACAAGAUAAUUAAAUUGCACCAAGAUUUCCAAAAUUCUUCAAGAUUUGAUCCAAGGUCAUCUUCAUGCCAAAGAUCACGAACCAUGACGCCAACAGCUUGCCUGAAUUGUUUGGCCCGCGCUCGAGUAAUCGAACCAGUAGGAAUAGACAAUGGGUCCCUAGCACCUCCUCCUCGAUAUGACUCGAUGUCCACAUCAGUUUAUAAAGAUUGCAUUUUCUCUCAAUGGGUCUAUCUAAAAUUUUUGGAUUGACAUAAGUUUUUUGGGUGGUUUGUGGAGGUUGUGGAGAAAUCUCUACGUUGCCUCUUGUCUUCAGCUCUUUAUACUUCGGAAGAGCGUGCUUCAUGGAAUGUAUCUGCUAAAUCAAGCUAGCUUUUGUUCAAUCCUUGCCCACAUGAAAAGGCUAUCAAUUGAGCUGUUUCACCAACUCUCUAUUAGAUUUUCAAAUUUGUAUUGUUGCUGAAUUGGCUAGUUUAGAUUAAAUUUUCAUGCUCUCUUCUCAGAUUAUCCAUGGCUAAUUAUUUUCUAUUUGCACAUAAAGUGGUCUUCUUUCAUCUCACCCAGAGAUUGGGCUAAUAGGGUAGUUGAGUAGGAUACGAUGGGGCUACACAAUUACUUACUCAGUAGCAUUGAAUUAUGGCCAAAUUGUGGACUAACUUUUGUCAAUUGUUUUAAGUGCUUUAAUCUAUCAAUUUUGUUGGAGUUUUUGAUCAAUUGAAAAGUCUAUGUAUAUUAUUUUAAGCCCAUUACCAAAAUUUGCAAAUUUCUUCCCUUAAUUUUGCAAGAAAAUCCAUCAAAGUAGGCCAUUUUCUUGUUAGAGAAUGCCUAAUAUGAUUUCAUUUAGUUUUUUUUUUUUUGGCUUGAUUUGAUCAAUCUAACCUAGCCCCCAUUCAGUUUCAAACUAAUUGGGGAUCAAAUGAUAAAAAUGAUGAUUUAAGAGCUUAGGCAAAUUUUGUUAAAUUUGUGAAUUCGUCCCGCAACUUUUGAAAAUUGUAUUUUGGCCUCAACUCACAGUUACAAUUGAAAUUCGACCCCCCAAAGGCUUGGCUAGUCAUAAUCAAAUCCUUGGUCCCAAUUGUCUUUUUGUGGUAAGUAGGUUUAAGAAAACUAAUUCCACUUAAAAGUUUGUUGCAACUUGCCUUCGGGGGACUACCUUUGGGGGAGUAGAUUUAGAGAUACUUGUAAAGCGUGAGCUUUUUGAAGUCCAUACCAACAUUGGUUCUCCUAAUCUAUAUGUUCAAAAGGAGUCACCAUUAGCCAUUGUUGAGGGUUGGCUAAAAACCCUAAUCAAGACAAGGAAAUGCCAUCUUAAUACAUGCGCAACCAAAGAUUUCAAAAUCGAAGACUUUAUUACCUUAGCUAUUUAACUAGAGCUCUUUCGAUAACUAAAAUUGAUUAUUUGCUAACUAAAUUAUUAGGGCAGCCCAUUGAAGAUUUUAAGAUUCAUCCAAACCAUUCCAAGAAAAUAACAAUUGAUAUAUUGAAAUUGCAUAAUCAAGUAUAAUCGAAUUGAAAAGUGCAAGCACCGACCUAUCAUCAUCUAUAAAAUGAAAAAGCCAUACAAAAAUCCUAUGAUAAAUCCCUAAAGGCAUGUUCAAUUGGGUUUCAAUUUUUUAAGGAUUUUUCAUUUUUUUAAGAGAAAACUACUAAAAUUACUAACUUUUAAGCUUCUUUCCAAAAAUUUCUGAUUUUUUUAUAAAUUUUAUGAAUUUUUUAAUUAAUUUUAUGAAUAUUCUAAUUUUUAUUUUUAAAAUUUUUAGUAUUUUUGUUUUUUUAUUAAUUUUAAAUAUUUUUAAUUCUGGAAAAUAGACUCUGGACCUGGUCAAGGAACUCGGUCCAGAUAUGAGUCUAGCCCGAACCCAUUAAUGGUCCAGGCUUGGUUUGAAAUUCGGACUAGCCUCUAGGCAUAGUCUGAAUAUAACCAAUUUCUAUUUUAUUUGCUAAGCCGACAAUUCCUAACCUAUAUCUAAUCCUAAACAAGCCCACUCUUUAUUAAGCCCAUGGAUUUUUGUUAUCUUUCUUUCUCAUUUUUCUUUUUCUCUUUCUUUUGUUUUCUCUCAUACUUUCUAUUUUUUAUCUUUAUCAUCUUCUGAGUGAAGCCGCCUCUUCCUCCGAACAUCUUCCCCCUUUGUGACGUCCUCACCUGAACCAGCACCCAUACUCCGAUGAGUCCUCACCGAAGCUUAAGCCACCACUGGCCCACCAUCCAACAUCCAUAGUUCAAUUCAACCAACGCCAGUCACUGCCGAUCAUUAGCUGAGAAGCCUUUCAAGCUUCAAAACCUUUACAACCAUAUUCAAUCACAAAAACACACUUGUAUGCAUAUUAAAAUGAAGGGGAAUGGACUAACAAGGUUGGCUCCAAACCGCAGGCUUGUCCGGCAAGAGGUUCAUGGCCAACUCAGACAACGCGAGAUAUGCCACCAAAAAUCAAAGAAAAUGCCAACAUUAGUGUCGGGAGAGCAAUAUCAAAACAAAUCAUGCAGGUAACGGAGAUAUAAACUUUGGUUUUAAGGAUUUGAGUUAUGUUUUUCAUUGAAACAUUUUAUCAAAACGAGAGAUUUCCAGGUUGACCGAGACUCUCAAUGAACGUACCCGAACACACAGCAACUCAACAAGGAAAUCGGCGAGGCCGGAGUUCAUGUUAGCCGGAUGGCCGCGAGCUCCCACUAGGCAUGCCCAAAAUAGAGUAUGUAUAGAGGAAGAAGGAGCUUGCCCGGUUCAUGGUGGACGACGACUGGGGGAGCUAGCCUCUAAAGGUUUAGGCGACUUGGAGGAACCACUAGUGAAUAGAAUCCCUCUCUCUCUCUCUCUCUCGCUCUCUCUUCCCGAGUUCAUUUUUUUCUUAACUUUUAGUCGAGCAAGAUCUCUCUACUCUCAUUUGUUGGAGAAAACUCAUUGGAUGUUUUGAAGUUGACAAAAUUUAUUCAAAGUCUAUUCUGAAUAUUUUCAAACUUUUAUGUCAAAGUCUGAAGAUGACUAGAUUUUGUGGUAAAGUCUAAAGUCUCCCAGACUUUGUGUCAAAGUCUGCCCACUUUGACAAAUUUCAAACUAAACACUACUGAAGAAUGAAGACUUAUCCAAAUGCGAGAUUUUGUUUAUUUCUUCAGGAGUUCGAUUCAUAUGGCUUAUGGAUGGCUUUCUAGUUGGAUAUAUCACCUAUGAGAUUGAUUAUCUUUAUUGAAAUCAAUUUAGAUAAAUCAAAUCUUUUCGGAUUGCAAGUAAAUAUGGAAAGAAUCUACUUAUGGAAUCAAGAUCCUGAUUAUAUUGGCAAACAGGAUUGACGUGCUUUCAUCAUAAUAUUCAAACGACUUGAGAUCUCCUUGAUUGAUUAUGUCCAACGAGUAGAUUAGAAGAAUUCCUUUGGAAAGCGCUAAUGGCCAUGAAGGCAUGAAGGAGUAUUUAAGGCAGACUCUUUAGUUGUUCGAUAGAGUGCGUGAAAGAAAAAUUUCAAAGUCUAAAGCUUACCAUUUUCUUGUCAAUCGAUAUUAUGAGCUCAAAGUUGUAUACAAAAGAAAGAAACACUUAGCGAGACUUCGCGAGAAACCAGUAGAGAUUAUUCACUGUGAAAUCGAGAUCCCAAACUGUAAAAUCUCUUUUGAUUCUUAGUCGAAUCUAGCCAAUAGGCUGUCAACGUGGAGAGUGGACGUAGGCUUAAUCUAAGAUGAACCACUAUAAUUUAUGUAUUCUUAUUCUCUUCCAUAAACUCCUUUACUUUAUUCUUAGUUCUAUUUAACUGCUAAAGUCUGAACUUGCUCAAAUUCUGUUGUUCUUUAGACUCUGUUUUAGAAGCAAAGUAUUUCCACUGUAUCUUUUGAAAAAUUGUCUUCACACCUAUUCACCCCCUCUAGUAUUCAUAUUAGCACUAACAAUUGGUAUCAGAGCUUGUGUGCUUAUUUAUUGAAGUGUUUUUACUUCUAAGAUAAAGAUUUAUGGCUAGUAUUUUAGCUCCAGGAUUGGUUGAAGGCCAAAGCAAUACCAGACCUCCUUACUUCGAUGGGAAGGAGUACAAUGUGUGGAAAAACAAGAUGAAGGCAUUUUUGAGAUCGAAAGAUCCCUGUAGUGGGAUGUGGUAGAAAAAGUGAUCAAUCCUAAAGUUACAUCAACCUCAGAAAAAGGAAAAGAAGUUGUAGAUACUGGCGAAAUAACACAAGCAGAAUUAACUAAGAGACAAGCUCUUGACGCUAAAAUUAUCUACUCUUUAUACUAUGCUUUAUCUCCCACUAAAUACAACCGAAUUUCUUCUUGUGAAACAGCAAAAGAAGUUUUGGACAGAUUGUACGUUACCUAUGACGGAACUGAUCGAGUAAAGGAAAUGAAAAUCAAUAUUCUACUUGGACAAUAUGAAGCCUUCAAGAUGAAGCCUAGAGAAUCCAUCACCGAUAUGUUCAGUCGUUUCACUGAAAUCGUGAAUGGAUUAACAUAUCAAAGACAUGCAAUCUUAGGACCAAUGAAGGUUAAUAAAUUGCUGCGUGGACUCUCCGAAUACUGAAAUCAUGUGAAAACGUCAAUUAGAGAAACUUAGAGGAUCAUGCCUCUUUCGAUAAGUGAACUAGUAGGUACACUUCAAUAAUAUAAAGUGGAGCAGAUCAAUGAGGAAGAAGAUCCAAGAGGUAAGAAAUCAAUUGCUUUAAAAUCUAAUGAUGAUUCUGAUGAUACAGAUUCAGAUGAUGAUAUGGAUGAUGAUGAGCUAGCACUUAUGAUAAAAAAAUUUAGAAAGUUAAAUAGAAAGGGAAGAAGAUUCAACUGGAAGAAACAGAGCACACAAAAUUUCUAGAAGAGACCGACUAAGGACAACGAAACUAGCAAAGAUGUAAUAUGCUUCGAAUGCAAGAAAAAUGGGCAUAUUAGACCUAAUUGUCAUUUGUUGAAGAAAAGGUUAGGAAGAACUGGGAAGUACAAUAAGGCUCUCAAAGCUGAAACUUGGAGUGACACUAAGUGCGAGGAAAGUGAAGAAGAAUAUGCCAACAUUUGUUUGAUGGGUCAUUCCAACUCAAACUCAGAAUUGGAAACAGACUCUGAUUCAAACUUAGACAAAGAACUUGAGGUUAGUAAUUUAAAAAUUCAUAUUAAAGUCUCGAAGUACAUAGAAGAACUUUGUCUUAGUCUCAAAACCUCUCUUAAAAGGAUCUCCGAACUAAAAAGGGAAAAUUCUAAACUCAAGCAACAGGAAAUUUCUUGGAAAGAAAAGUUUGAAAGUCUAGAUAAAAGUUUUGUUAAUUUAAAAGAAAAUUCCGAUUCUUUUGCUAAGGAAAAUGCUAUUCUAAAGGAAGAUCUUUCAAAUAUUUCAAAAUUUUUUUCAAAAGGAUCUAAAAAAUUGGAGAAAAUUCUUUCAGUACAAAGACCAUAUUUUAACAAGUCUGGUUUAGGUAUGACUUCAAAAACAAUUCCAUUGAUUGAUUAAUUUUCCCAAAGUAAAAGAGAGACUCAAACAAAGACCUGCAAAGGCAUUUUACAAAAAUCAUUUUCAAAGAGUUUUUGUGAACCUAUUGGAUGAAGUGUACUCAAAUGUUCAAGGUGUAACAAUUUUGAACAUUUUAAGAAAGAAUGUCCCAAAGUUUGGAGACCUAUUAAGAACGACUGGGCAAAGACCUUUUUUAAUGCUAACUCUCCUAGACCCAAGAAAGUCUGGGUACCAAAGAAAACUUGAGUUCUUCUUAUGAUUGCAGGUCACUAUCAAGAGAAAAAUCAAAUGGUAUUUAGAUAGUGGCAGCUCGAGGCACAUAGCAAGGGAUUCAAGCUGCUUUAUAAAGCUUGUUAAACUGAAUGGAGGAAAAGUUUCCUCUGGGGGAAACAGCAAGGGAAGAAUUGUAGGUUGUGGAACUAUGAAGAUUGGAAGCCUGACUAUCCACAAUGUUUCUUUGGUAAAAGGUUUGAACUACAAUCUACUCAGCAUAAGCCAAGUCAGUGACAUUGGAUUCAAAAUCAAAUUCCAAGAAGGUAUUUGUUCUGGAACGAGUCAAGACUUCUCCCAAUCUUUCACUGGGCGAAGGCAUGGGAAUAUUUAUCUUCUAGAUGUAAACUUAGAAAGUUCUCAGUGUCUUAUAUCUAUUCAAGAUGAAGUAAGUCUCUGGCAUUGAAAGCUUGGUCAUGUCAACAUGAAACAAAUUGCCAAGAUUUCUUCUAAGAAACUUGUUCGUGGUCUUCCCAACCUAGCUUAUCAAAAGUCAGAACUAUAUACUCCAUGUGUUCUGGGAAAAUAGGUUAGAAGUACCUUUAAACAUGUAAAUCAAGUUUCUACCAAUUGAGCUUUUGCAGCUUCUGCAUAUGGACCUUUUUGGACCAACCAGAACUCAGAGUAUUGGUGGAAAUAAAUAUUGCCUAGUAAUCGUGGAAAAUUACUCUCGCUUCACUUGGGUCUACUUUCUGGUAAGUAAGUCUGAAACUUUCUCUUACUUCUCAAAGUUUGCAAAGAAGGUUAAAAAAAAAGAAAAGGUUAUGCUAUUUCAAGCAUACGAACUGACCAUGGAGGUGAGUUUGAGAAUUAGGACUUUGCAAAGUUUUGUGAUGAAUCUGGUUUUCAGCAUGUUUUCUCUUCUCCAUACACUCCAAAACAAAAUGGGGUUGUGUAAAGGAAAAACAGAUCCUUACAAGAGAUGGCCAGAAUCCUCUUAAUUGAGAGCAACAUAUCCUCUCGAUUUUGGGUAGAAACAGUUUCUACAGCUUGCUACAUCAUCAACAGAGUGUUCUUGACGCCUAUCUUAGAGAAAACUCCAUAUGGAGUGUAUAAAAGAAAGAAGUCAAAUGUUUCUUAUUUCCAUAUCUUUGGCUGUAAAUGUUUUAUUCUGAAGAAUUUUAUUGAUCGAUUUGAAAAGUUUGAGGAGAAAUCAAACGAAGGAAUCUUCUUUGAUUAUUCAAUCACAAGCAAAGCUUACAGGGUCUUUAACAAGAAGACUCAAUCUGUGGAAGAAUCCAUGAACGUCAAAUUUGAGGAGACUCAACCAGAUCAGAUUGAAGAGUCUGAACCUGUUUCAGACUUUACAAAGUCUACUUCCCCCGAAGAGGUUCAGACUUCUGGAAAACAACAACAAACAGAUCAAGAAGUUUCAACUGAAGCAGAGGAUCUUCAGACUUUCAAAUCAAAUAGUAACUGGAAGCACAAGUCAAGUCAUCCCAAAUAACUCAUCAUUGGCAACAUUGUUGAAGGAAUUCGAACCAGAUCCAAAAGGCGAGAAGAGUCCAAUGCUUUAGCACUUGUUUCUGAAAUUGAACCAAAAAGUGUAGAUAAAACCUUGUCCAGUGAAAGCUAGAUAGAAGCUAUGCAAGAAGAGCUCAGGCAAUUUAGCAUCAACGAAGUUUGGGAGCUGAUUCCAAAACCUAAUGGUAAAUCUAUAAUCGGGACAAAAUGUGAGAUAGCUAGUAUAAGCACCUAGAGGGGGGUGAAUAGGUGCACAAACAAUUUCUCGAGAUACGGAAGUGAUUCUAGGCAAACGAUAGAAAGGAAAAUACAAUCAAAGUAAAGUAAAGGUUAGGGAAGAGAAAAUUGAACACAAGAUUUAUAGUGGUUCGGCUUAUUCCAAGCCUACGUCCACUCUUCCGCACUGACAGCCCACCGGCUGGAUUUCACUAUGAAUAAAAGAGAAGUUACAGCACAGCUUUUCAUUGAUUCCACAGUGUAGAUGUUCUACCACACUUACUCAAGGUUUCUUAUGAAUAUAGACUCUCUUUUGUUUACAAGAUUUUGCUCAACAAAUGAAUUGACUAAGAACAAGGAGCUUCAGACUUUGGAAUUCUUCUAUUGUGCACUCACUCGAACAACUGGAACGUCUUCCUUAUAUACUCCUUCAUGCCAUCAAACCCGUUGCCACUUACCAAAGGAAUUCCUCCAAUCUCGAUAGCCCAUCAAUCAUGUUCGCCCAUACAAUCAGGAUCUCGGAUUCCAUAAGUAGAACCUUCCAAGUAUACUUUGCCAAUCAUCGGAUCCUUAAUCUUCGAAUCAAUUAUGAUCAAAUAAAGGAUUCCAUCAUGUCAUAUCCAGCCAAGAGAUCUUCUCCAGUCGAUAAGGCCACAUCCUUAAUAAAACAUCCAGUUCUGGAUAGCCUUUCUUCAACGGAUUAGAAACUAUCAAUGAGGAUAGACUUUGAGUCUUGAGUCUGGCUGUCCGGAGGUCUUCAGACUUUAAAUAGCAGAGUCUGCAAGCCUUCAGACUAGACUGAUGGAAACGUUUUGUCAACUUCAAAACACUUCAAGAGGAUUUCUCCAACAAAAUGCGUCUUCAGGAAUAAGAUGAACAAGAAAGGAAAAGUCAUUAGGAUCAAAGCAAGGCUUGUAACCAAAUGAUAUACUCAAGAAGAACGGAUAGAUUAUGAUGAGACUUAUGCACCAAUAGCGAGGUCUUCUCUAGUCGAUAAGGUCACAUCUUUAAUAAAACAUCCAGUUCUGGAUAGCCUUUCUUCAACGGAUUAGAAACUGUCAAUGAGGAUAGACUUUGAGUCUUGAGUCUGGUUGUUCGGAGGUCUUGAAACUUUAAAUAGCAAAGUCUACAAGCCUUCAGACUAGACUGAUGGAAACGUUUUGUCAACUUCAAAAUACUUCAAGAGGAUUUCUCCAACAAUCUCCCCCUUUUUGAUGGUGACAAAACUUUCCUGCAGAUUUGGAAAACUUUGACCUGUAAAACAUUUCUCAAACAUAUAUGCAUAUCUUAUAGAGAUAAAUGGCUAAAUGAAUAACACUAGAAUCUGCAACCACAGAAAAUAGGUUAGUCCAGUAUGCAAUAAAGCCAUCCAUAAGAUAUCAAUAGUAGUUAAUAAUAAGCAGUCAAAUUCAAAUCCCAAAUUUAGUCCACAUCCAGACACACAAGUCAAGUCAAAACAAACCACAAACCAAACAAGCCAAAAGCCAAAAGUUCGACAAAUUUAAGUUCAAAGUUUUUCAAGUCUCGCAACUCUCCCCCUUUUUGUCAACAUAAAAAAGAUUGAGAUGAAAAUGGAGUGGAGUCAAGAAUGCUUGGGAACACGAGCAAGCUGGAAAUCUCCCAUCGAAUGAACGAUGCCUUCCAGCCUUUUCAAGUCUUCCUUUAGUUGUGCAACAUCCUCACCCUUAGCAUUAGCCUGAAUCUAAAGAGAAAGGGCUUGGAUUUGAUCAUUCAAUGAACCCGAAGAAGCUUGUCCUACAUUAUGCAAGUUCUAAACUUCGCAUCCCAAUGUAUAUAUCUGACCUUGCAUCUCCAAGAGAAUAUCCAUAACUCUGCGAAAGUCUGCUGAAUUGUCGGUCUGCGUAUUGGCAUCGGCACGAUCUGAUGGAGUAAAUGCAGACGAUGGUAGAUCAGCAUAAUCACGCAGAUUUGGCGACGAAACAUCAUGACCUUCAUCAGGAAAUUGAGAGGCAUAAAUAUCCUUUGGAUCUACUAGGGAUCGACUGACUCCCUCACUGGUUGCAGGAUUUGAGGACAUGCCUCUUUUCUCUUGGUCUCCCUCUGUUUUCAUGCCUUCAGGUGGAGAGUGCUCCUCAUGUUCUCCUUCUUCUUGAUCUCUUUUCUCUUCUUCUUCUUUUUCAACUAUCUCUUUCUCAGCAUCUCUUUCUUCUUCUUCUUCUUCUCUUUCCUCCGUUUCUUUUUCCUCUGCUUCUUUCUCUUCUCUUUCUUCUGUCUGCUGUUCUGAGUCUUUCUUUGGAACAGAUCGACUAAGAUUCUUCAAUGCCAUUGCAGAAAUAGUGAUGUUAUCCUCAUCAUCUUCAUCCUCAAUGAUGAGAGCUCUUCUUCUCUUGGAUGGAGCAUCCAUGGGCUCCUUCCCUUUUCUUUUUCCUACGGAAGAGAAUUGAUGAGAUUUGACUGGAGUCUUCUCCUUAAAUUUCUCCAAUGCCUUGCUUAGUUCCUUCAGACGCAUCUUAGUCACCAUUUUCAGUCCUACCACCAUAUGAUUGCACGAUUGAGCACAAAGAAUUUGCGGAGGCUGAAUGUUCAGAUGUCUGAAUAACUUCGUCACAAGACAUGGAUAAGGAAGUUGACCUUUGUCUAUCAUCACUGCUCUAUACAUGUGGAACAUAACCAUGUGAGGAAGUGAAAACCUUUUCCCAGAGAUGAUGGCAUACAUUAGCUUUGCCUCUGAACUUGAAACAUCAGUCUUGGAAGUUGAUUUUGGUUUGAGGCAAUUGAUUACAAUCUUGUGUAGCAAGAUGUUGAAUGCACUCAUCCUUGAGUAGGAAAUCUUUUCCUCUAUUCUCCUAUCCUUAACAAGUUCCAGUGUAGCACGAGCAACAGAAACUUUGAUCCGUUGAUAUCUUCCUCUCUCAACUCCUAACACAUCUGCUAGCAUAUCCAUAUCCACUACAAAGUCUUGAUCUUUGACACUGAAAGAGAAUCUAUUUGCAUCCAAGAAACUAAGAUUUGAAUAGAAAUAUGCAGUUAGUUGAGGAUAGGCCUCUGUGGUGUCAGAGCAGAAUUUUUCAAGUUGAAGAUGACCGAACUUUUCCCUUAAGUUCACAUUCACAGCAUCCAGAAAAUCAAAAUCCACACUCCUAGGGUUCAUCACCCCACGCUUCAGCAAUUUUGAGUAUAGAUCCUUAUGUUCCUUCGAUCUAAACAACUCUCCCCUUUUUCCUCCAUUUUCUGCCGCAACUCCCAUUCUUUGUUGAAAUUGGCUGUAUAAUUUGUCAUCAUCAUUUCCAUCUACCGGAUUAAAUCCCCAAUCACGAGGAUCACUUGGGAUAUUCGCAAGGGUUUCUUCUGCCACCCCUUUUACGAGCAAUUCCCAAACUUUCCAUUUUUCGCAAAAAGAUAUAUUCAUUUCCAUAUCCUUUGUCCUUAAGAAAAUCAUCGACAUAGUUCAAUGGAGUACCAAUCCCUUUUAAAGCACGAUACGGCUUAUAAAUAAAAGAGGGCCUUUGAACUCUUACAGGAUCUGCAUCUUCAAUGAUUUCUCCAUUUUGUUGAUGAUCAACAUCUUGAGGACUAGAUGGAGGAGAAUGACGCUGCUGAGAAUGUUGUGGGCUCUGCUGCUGAUUUGGAGACACUUCUUCUUCAGUGAGAUCGAAGUGUGUAGGCCCCUCACUCAUUCUCCGUGGUCCCCUGCUUGCGAUCCUCGAAGACUUUCUUGAAGACGACAUAUCUCUUAGUCUUUGAAAGAUUCCUUGCUUGACUUUCCCAAGAAAGAUGACAACUUUUUUGAAGAUUAAACAAGAGAAGAAAACAGGAAUGGAAGAUUAGUGCUUUUUAGGGUUUUGGAGUUAAGCGAAGAGAAACCGACUGUAUAUAAGACAGUCGAAAGGAGGGGAUGCCAAAUGUCAUAAUGGAAAGUGAAAAGAUGUUUUUUUCAAAAAAAUAACUGCCUUUUUCGAAAAAUGGUCAUUUCAAAAUAACUCCUUUUUCUAAAGGAAACGUUGCGCAAUAAUCACGUCAAUUAAAGAUAGCGGUUGAGAUAACAAUAAUCAAACACGGUUCAUGAACGUACAUUUUCAAGAUGAGAUUACAGAGAGAAUAACUUACAGUCAAAGUCUUGUAGUCAAAGUCUUAUUUGUCUGAGUCUGAGAGUCUCUAGACUUUAACUUCUUCAAACCUCAAAAUGUUGAGUUUGGAAUGGAUAAUUUCAAAUUGAUUUUUCUCCAAAGGCUUUGUAAAUAUAUCCGCCAGUUGGUUCUUUGAGUCAACAAACUAAAUCGUAAUUUCUUCAUUUUGAACAUGAUCUCUAAUGAAGUGAUGUCGAAUCUCUAUAUGCUUUGCUCUUGAGUGAAGAAUUGGAUUUUUGGUGAGAUUGAUUGCACUAGUGUUGUCACAUUUAAUCUCCGUGCAUGAAUCUUCAAUUCCAAAGUCUCUUAGCUGUUGUUUUAUCCACAGAAUUUGUGAACAACAACUUCCGAGAGCUACAUAUUCUGCUUCUGUUGUAAAGAGAGCUACUAUACUUUGCUUCCUUGAAAACCAAGACACUGUCCUGCCUCUAAGUAGUUGACAGGUACCUGAGGUGCUUUUUCUAUCAACUCUGCAUCCGGCUAAGUCUGCGUCUGAGUAUCCAAGAAGAGUAAAGUCUCCCCUUUUAGGAUACCAGAGACCAAAGCUUGAAGUUGAUGCAAUAUAUUUGAUAAUACACUUUGCAUCAUUUAAAUGUGAUUCUUUAGGGCCUGCUUGAAAUCUGGCACAAAUGCAAACACUAAACAAAAUGUCAGGUUUAGAAGCAGUAAGAUAAAGAAGUGAACCGAUGAUACUCCUAUAUAACUUUUGGUCAACUUUCUUUCCUCCUUCAUCUUUGUCUAUCUUCAAGGAACUUGACAUUGGUAUAUCGGCCUUUUUGCAAUUGUCCAGUCCAAACUUCUUCAUAAUAUCAUUAGCAUAUUUUUCUUGAUGAAUAAAAGUUCAUUCCUUCAGUUGUUUCACUUGAAGUCCAAGAAAGAAGGUUAACUCACCCAUCAUGCUCAUUUCAAAUUCAUCCUGCAUAGUCUUAGAGAAUUUCUUGCACAGACUUUCAUUAGAGGAUCCAAAAAUAAUAUCAUCAACAUAUAUUUGAACAAGUAGAAAACUCUUGCUUUCUCUUUUAAUGAAAAGAGUAGUGUCUACUUUACCUUUAACAAAUCCAUUUUCAAUUAAGAACUUACUCAGUCCGUCGUACUAAGCUCAAGGUGCUUGUUUUAAGCCAUAUAAAGCAUUUUUGAGUCUGAAUAUUGAGUCUGGUUUCCUUGGGUCUUCAAACCCAGGUGGUUGUUCCACAUAGACUUCCUCUUGGAUGAAUCCAUUUAGGAAGGCACUUUUGACAUCAAUUUGGAAUAACCUGAAAUUCUUAUAACAAGCAAAAGCAAGUAAUAAUUGAAUUGCUUCUAACCUUGCUACUGGUGCGUAAGUCUCGUCAUAGUCUAUCCCUUCUUCUUGUGUGUAUCCCUUGGCCACGAGUCUUGCCUUGUUUCUUAUGACUUUUCCUUUCUCAUUCAUCUUGUUCCUGAAAACCCAUUUAGCUCCAAUAACAGACUUACCUUUUGGUUUAGGAGUCAAUUCCCAUACACCAUUAAUGCUGAAUUGCCUGAGCUCUUCUUGCAUAGCUUCAAUCCAGCUUUCAUCAGAUAAAGCUUCUUCUAUGCUUUUGGGUUCUAUUUCAGAAACAAGAGCCACAGCACUAGACUCUUCACGCCUUUUGGAUCUUGUGCGAAUUCCUUCAUUGAUGUCGCCAAUAAUAAGAUCUUUGGGAUCACUAGACUUAUGUUUCUAGUUGCUGGUUAAUUUGUCAGAUUGAUGGUCACUCCCUUCACUUGAAUCUUCAACAGUCACUUGUUGCUAGUCCUUCAAAGUUUGAGCUAUUUUAGACUUUGUAGAGUCUGGAGUAGGUUCAGAUUCUUCAAGAUGAGUCUGAAUGGAUUCAUUUUGCAUAGAAUCUUGGAAUUUAACAUUCAUUGAUUCUUCCACUGUUUGAGUCUUCUUGUUGUAGACUUUGUACGCUUUGCUUGUGGUUGAAUAUGCAAGGAAGAUGCCUUCAUCUGACUUUUCUUCAAACCUACCAACUCGAUCAUUUGCAUUUUUCAGUAUAAAACAUUUACAUCCAAAUACAUGAAAAUAUGAAACAAUAGGCUUCUUUUCUUUGAAUAGUUCAUAGGGUUUUUUUUUUUCCAAAAUAGGCCUUAGAAAAACUCUAUUUAUAAUGUAACAUGCUAUAGAAACUGCUUCAGCCCAAAAACGUGAAGAGAUGUUACUUUCAAUUAAAAGAGUUUUAGCCAUUUCUUGAAGUGAUCUAUUCUUUCUUUCCACAACUUCAUUUUGCUCUAGAGUAUAUGGAGAGGAGAAUACAUGCUGAAAACCAGAUUCAUCACAGAAUUUUGUAAAAUCAUGAUUUUCAAAUUAACCUCAAUGAUCUGUUCUUAUACUCAAGAUAACAUACCCUUUUUCAUUUUGAACAUUUUUAGCAAACUUUUCAAAGUAAGAGAAAGUUUCAAACUUACUUGCCAAGAAAUAUACCCAAGUAAAUCGUGAGUAAUCAUCCACAAUUAGUAGGGAGUAUUUCUUACCUCUAAUGCUUUGUGUUCUGGUUGGUCCAAAAAGAUCCAUAUGCAGAAACUGCAGUACACGGUUAGUGGAAACUUGAUUUAUUGGUUUAAAGGAAUUUCUUACCUGUUUUCCCAAUAUACAUGGUGUACAUAGAUCAGGCUUUUGGUAUGAUAAAUUGGGUAGACCACGAACAAGCUUCUUUGUUGAGAUUUUGGCUAUUUGCUUCAUAUUGACGUGCCCAAGCUUUCUGUGCCAUAAGUUUGCUUCGUCUUGGAUUGAGAUUAGACAUUAUGAUUCAUCUGGUUUCACAUCCAAGAGGUAGAUAUUUCCAUGUCUUCGACCCAUGAAUGACUAAGUAGAAUCUUUACUAAUUCCUGAACAUAUUCCCUCUUGAAAGUUGAUUUUGAAACCAGUAUCACAUAGUUGGCUAAUACUGAGCAAAUUGUAAUUAAGUCCUUCCACUAAGGAAACAUUGCUGAUUGAGAGAUUUCCAAUCUUUACAGUUCCAAAUCCCACAAUUUUUCCUUUGUUGUUUCCUCCAAAACAAACUUUUUCACCAUUUACUCGAACAAGCUUUAUAAAGAAAUUUCAGUCUCCUGUCAUGUGUCUUGAGCAUCCACUAUCCAGAUACCAUUUUACCUUUUUCUUGAUAGUGACCUAAAAUUUUCUUUCAGAAUCUGAAUCUGUCUCGGAAUUUGAAUCUGAAUCUGUCUCGGAAUUUGAAUCUGAAUCCGAUUGUGCCAUCAGACAUAUAUUAGCAUAAUCAUCAUCACUUUCUUCACACUCUAUAUCACUCCGGGUUUCAUCUUUAAGAGCUUUUCGGUACUUUUCAGUUUUUCCUUUCUUCUUUCUCAGAAGAGGACAGUUGGGUCUGAUGUGUCCCUUUUUCUUACAUUCAAAGCAGACUACAUCUUUGUUUGAUUCAUCAUCCUCAACAGACUUAGUCUGUUGCUUUUGAAAACUUUGUUUCUUUGGAUUGAAUCUUCUUCAUUUUCUGUUUAACUUUCUAAAUCUUCUUAUCAUGAGAGCAAGUUCCUUAUCAUCCAUAUCGUCUUCAGAAUCUGUAACAUCAGAAUCAUCAUUAGAUUUUAAUGCAAUGGAUUUCUUACCUUUAGGGUCUUCGUCUUCAUUGAUUCGUUCCACUUCAUAAGACUUAAGAGUCCCAACCAACUCAUCAACAGAUAGUGGCAUGAUUCUUUGGGUCUCUCUGAUUGAGGUCUUUAUGUGAUUCCAAUCCUUGGAGAGUCCACAUAGUAGCUUGUUUACCUUCAUGGGAUCAGAAAUUGGUUGACCUUGAUUUUCAAGACCAUUCACGAUUUCUGUAAAACGACUAAACAUAUCAGUUAUAGAUUCUCCUGAUUUCAUCUUGAAGGCUUCAUAUUGACCGAGGAGAAUGUUGAUUCUAGUCUCUUUCACUCGAUCGGUUCCUUCAUAGGUAAUAUGUAAUCUAUCCCAGACUUCUUUAGCUGUAACACAAGAAGAUAUUCAGUUAUAUUCAGUAGGGGAUAAAGCACAAUAUAAUGAAUAAAUUGCUUUUGCGUUAAGAGCUUGUCUCUUGAUUAUCUCUUCCUGAGUCAUUUCGCUAGACUCAACAGCAUCUUUUCCUCUUUCUGAGACAAAUGCAGCUUUAGGAAUGAUUCCUUUUUCUACAACGUCCUAUUCCAGAGGAUCCUUUGAUCUUAGGAAUGCUUUCAUCUUGUUUUUCCAUAUGUUGUAAUCCUUUCCAUCAAGGUAAGGUGGUCUGGUAUUGCUUUGCCCUUCUACCAGCCUUGGAGCCAACAUACUAGCCAUGGAUUUUUAACUCUGAAGUAAAACACUUCAAACAAAGUGAGUACACAGGCUCUGAUACCAAUUGAGAUAGCUAGUAUAAGCACUUAUAGGGGGGUGAAUAUGUGCACAAACAAUUUCUCGAGAUAAGGAAGCGAUUCUAGGCAAACGAUAGAAAGGAAAAUACGAUCACAGUAAAGUAAAUGUUAGGGAAGAGAAAAUUGAACACAAGAUUUAUAGUGGUUCGGCUUAUUCCAAGCCUACGUCCACUCUUCCGCACUGACAGCCCACCGGCUGGAUUUCACUAUGAACAAAAAAGAAGUUACAGCACAGUUUUUCCUUGAUUCCACAGCGUAGAUGUUCUACCACACUUCCUCAAGGUUUCUCACGAAUAUAGACUCUCUUUUGUUUACAAGAUUUUGAUCAACAAAUGAAUUGACUAAGAACAAGGAGCAUCAGAAUUUGGAAUUCUUCUAUCGUGCACUCACUCGAACAACUGGAACGUCUUCCUUAUAUACUCCUUCAUGCCAUCAUACCCGUUGGCACUUACCAAAGGAAUUCCUCCAAUCUACCUGUUGGACGGAAUCAAUUAGGAAGAUCAUUUGAGCUAUUAAAGGAAUAUGUCGAUAGCCCAUCAAUCAUGUUCGCCCAUACAAUUAGGAUCUCGGUUUCCAUAAGUAGAACCUUCCAAGUAUACUUUGCCAAUCAUCGGAUCCUUAAUCUUCGAAUCAAUUAUGAUCAAAUAAAGGAUUCCGUCAUGUCAUAUCCAGCCAAGAGAUCUUCUCCAAUCGAUAAGCCCACAUCCUUAAUAAAACAUCCAGUUCUGGAUAGCCUUUCUUCAAUGGAUUAGAAACUGUCAAUGAGGAUAGACUUUGAGUCUUGAGUCUGGCUGUCCGGAGGUCUUCAGACUUUAAAUAGCAAAGUCUGCAAGCCUUCAGACUAGACUGAUGGAAACGUUUUGUUAACUUCAAAACACUUCAAGAGGAUUUCUCCAACAAAAUGCGUCUUCAGGAAUAAGAUGAACAAGAAAGGAAAAGUCGUUAGGAUCAAAGCAAGACUUGUAACCAAAAGAUAUACUCAAGAAGAACGCAUAGAUUAUGAUGAGACUUAUGCACCAAUAGCAAGGUUAGAAGCAAUUAGAUUAUUACUUGCUUUUGCUUGCUAUUAAAAUUUCAAGUUAUUCUAGAUGGAUGUCAAAAGUGCAUUCCUUAAUGGAUUCAUUCAAGAAGAAGUCUACGUGGAACAACCACCAGGAUUUGAAGAUCCAAGAAAGCCAGACUCAAUCUAUGGACUGAAAAAGGCCUUGUAUGGAUUGAACCAAGUACCUCGAGCCUAGUAUAAAAGGUUGAGUAAGUUUUUAGUAUAGAAUGGUUUUGAAAAAGGAAAAGUAGAUACUACCUUGUUCAUAAAGAGAGAAGGAAAAGAUUUUUUGCUAAUACAGAUUUAUGUAGAUGAUAUUAUCUUUGGUUCUCCUAAUGAAAAUCUAUGUAAUAAAUUUUUGAAGUCUAUGCAGGAUGAAUUCAAGAUGAGUAUGAUGGGUGAGUUAACCUUUUUUUUUUUUUUUUUUUGGAAUUGCAAGUUAAACAGUUGAAGAAAUGUAUAUUCAUUCACUAGGAAAAAUAUGCCAAAGAUCUAAUCAAGAAAUUUGGAUUAGAGAAUCGCAAAAAGACAAAGACACCUAUGUCAAGUUCCUCGAAGCUAGACAAGGAUGAAAAAUGGAAGAAAGUAGAACAAAUGCUUUACAGAAGCAUGAUCAGUUCUCUUCUUUACCUUACUACAUCUCGACGUGACAUUUUGUUUAGUGUUUGCAUUUGUGCUAGAUUUUAGUUUGAUCCUCGAGAAUCUCAUUUAAGUGCAACAAAACGCAUCAUUAAAUAUGUGACAAAUUCUCCAAAGCUGGGUCUAUGGUAUUCAAAAGAAUGAGACUUUACUAUUCUUGGAUAUUCAGACGCUGAUUUAACUGGAUGUAAAAUGGAUAGAAAGAGCACUUCUGGAACUUGUUAACUGUUGAGAAGUAUGCUGGUAUCUUGGUUUUCAAGAUAGCAUAGUACUGUAGCUCUAUCGACAGUAGAAGCAGAAUAUGUAGCUCUUGGGAGCUGUUGUUCUCAAAUUUUGUGGAUAAGACAAUAGCUAAGAGACUUUGGAAUUGAAGAAUCGUGUAUCGAAAUCAAAUGUGACAAUACCAACGUAAUAAACCUCACCAAGAAUCCAAUUCUUCAUUCAAGGGUGAAGCGCAUAGAAAUUUGACAUCACUUUAUAAGAGAUCAUGUCCAAAAUGGGGAGAUUAUGAUUCAGUCUAUUGAUUCGAAGAAUCAACUGGCAAACAUAUUCACAAAACCUCUGGAGAAAAAUCUAUUUGAGUUUAUUUGCACCAAGCUGAAUAUUAUUUAUCCUCUGGAGUAAAGUCUAGAGCUAUCCAGACUCAUAAUUUCCAGACGCUAUAUCAGCGAGAAAUUGACUCAAAUCCAAGUAUUUUAAUUUUAAUAUAAAAAUUGUGAAAAUGUAUGACUUUAUUCAAAUCGUUGCUUACCUAUUUUAUUUUUAGAAGUUAUAUUUUUCAAAUUUUUGAAUUUUUUGGCAGUUUUUAUUUUCAGUUUAUUUUAAAAGGCAGUUUUCUUUUUCCUUUAUUAUGUUUCGAUUAUCUCUUUUCUUCGUGACCUUUCAUCUUCUUUAUAUACCCUUUUGUAUUUGAGCAAUUCUUUUUUAAAACCCUAAAGAAUAGACUCCAUGCUCUCUACUCUCUCAUUUCUACUCUCUCGACUCUACUCUCAAGUGUGUUCCGCAAGUUUUCAUCUUUUUUCACUCAAACUUGUUCGGGAAAUCCUCCAUGAUUGCGAAGAUGUCUUUUCAAAGAAAGUCUUCUCGGAUCACAAGCAGGGGACCAUGGAAUAUGCCUGAGGGCCUGACUCAUUUUGAUCUGACCGAAGAAGAAGAGUCUCCACAAUACUCUCCAUAGCGUGCUACGCAGAAUCCUCCUCGUGAACCGUUGGAAGAGGAAAUUGAACAAGAUGUUGUUCCUUUUCGUACCAUGACUCCCCAAGAUCUAUUCAAAUUAUAUGGUCGUUUGAAAACGGGUGGUUCGCCAAUGUCACUCAUUACUAAUUAUCUAAGAGAGCACGGUUAUAUAAAUGAAACGAUGUUUCUGAGAACAAUGGAGUGUUUAGGAAUAGCAAAGAAAGGAGCAGUAGAUGAGGCUUGUUGCAAAAAUCUUCCUGGAGUAUUUUGAAGCUAACAAAACGUUUCCAUCAGUCUACUCUAAAGACCUCCGAACUGCCAGACUUAAGACUCACCUCCGGACUGCCAGACUUAAGACUCAAAGUCUAUUCUUAUUGACAGUUUCUAAUCCGUUGAAGAAGGGCUAUCCAGGACUGGAUGUUUCGUUAAGGAUUUGACCUUAUCGACUAGAGAAGAUCUCUUGGCUGGAUAUGACAUAACUGAAUCCUUUAUUGAUUCAAAGAAUGAGGAUCCGAUGAUUGGUGAAGUAUACUUGGAAGGUUCUACUUAUGGAAAUCGAGAUCCUAAUUGUAUGGGCGAGCAGGAUUGAUGGGCUAUUGACAUGUUCCUUAAAUAGCUCGAAUGAUCUUCUUAAUUGAUUAUGUCCAGCGAGAAGAUUGAAAGAAUUCCUUUGGUAAGUGCCAACGAGUAUGAUGGCAUAAAGGAGUAUAUAAGGAAGACGUUCCAGUUGUUUGAGUGUGUGGCGAUAGAAGAAUUCCAAAGUCUGAAGCUUUUUGUUCUUAGUCAAUUCAUCUUUUGAGCAAAAUCUUGUACGCAAAAAAGAGUCCAUAUUCUUAAGAAACCUUGAGGAAGUGUGGUAGAGUAUCUACACUGUGGAAUCAAGGGAGAGCCUUGCUGUAACAACUCUUUUGCUCAUACUGAAAUCCAGCCGGUGGGCUGUCAGUGCGGAAGAGUGGACGUAGGCUUGGAAUAAGCCGAACCACUAUAAUUUCUGUGUUCAUUUUCUCUUCCCUACUCUCUGCUUUACUUUGAUCAUAAUUCGCUUUGUUAACGAAAGGAGAAAUUCAUUUCUAUUGUCUGCUUAGUAUUGCUCUCUUAUCUCAAGAAAAUAUUUUUUACACCUAUUCACCCCCCUCUAGGUGCUUAUACUAGCUAUCUCAAUUGGUAUCAGAGCCUGUGUACUCACUUUGUUUGAAGUGUUUUACUUCAGAGUUAAAGAUCCAUGGCUAGUAUGUUUGCUCUAGGGCUGGUAGAAGGGCAAAGCAAUACUAGACCGCCUUACUUUGAUGGAAAUGAAUACAACAUAUGGAAAAACAAGAUGAAGGUGUUCCUAAGAUCAAAGGAUCCUUCGGAAUGAGACGUUGAAGACAAAUGAGUCAUUCCUAAAGCUGCAUCUAUCUCAGAGAGAGGAAAAGAAGCUGUUGAGUCUAGUGAAAUGACUUAGGAAGAGAUAACAAAGAGACAAGCUCUUGAUGCAAAAGCAAUUUAUUCUUUAUAUUGUGCUUUGUUACCUACUGAAUAUAACAGAAUAUCUUCUUGUGUUGCAGCGAAAGAAGUUUGGAAUAGAUUACAUAUUACCUACGAAGGAACCGAUCGAGUGAAAGAAACCAGAAUCAACAUUCUCCUCGGUCAAUACGAAGCCUUCAAAAUGAAAUCGGGAGAAUCUAUAACUGACAUGUUUUGUCAUUUUACAGAAAUCGUGAAUGGUCUUAAAAAUCAAGGUCAACCAAUUUCUUAUCCCAUGAAAGUAAACAAGCUAUUGCGUGGACUCUCCAAGGAUUAGAAUCACAUAAAGACCUCAAUAAGGGAGACACAAGAAUUAUGCCACUAUCUGUCGAUGAGUUGGUUGGGACUCUUCAGUCUUAUGAAGUGGAACCAAUCAAUGAAGAUGAAGAUCCUAAAGGUAAGAAAUCCAUUGCAUUAAAAUCCAAUGAUGAUUCUGAUGUUACAGAUUCUGAAGACGAUAUGGAUGAUGAGGAGCUUGCUCUCAUGAUAAGAAGAUUCAGAAAGCUGAACAGAAAAGGAAGAAGAUUCAAUCCAAAGAAACAAAGUUUUCAAAAGCAACAGACUAAGUCUGUUGAGGAUGAUGAAUCAAAUAGAGAUGUAGUCUACUUUGAAUGUAAGAAAAAUGGACACAUCAGACCCAACUAUCAUCUUCUGAGGAAGAAGAAAGGAAAAGCUUAAAAGUAUCGAAAGGCUCUUAAAGCAGAAACCUGGAGUGAUACGGAAUGUGAAGAAAGUGAUGAUGAUUAUGCCAAUAUAUGUCUGAUGGCACAAUCGGAUUCAGAUUCAAACUUCGAGACAAACUCGGAUUCAGACAGUGAAUUUGAGGUGAGUAACUCUAAAAUCCCUAUUAAAGUUUCUAAAUACAUUGAUGAGUUGUGUUUUAGUCUUAAGACCUCUCUUAAAAGGAUUUCCGAACUUAAAAAGGAAAAUUCUAUACUGAAAUGACAGGAAAAUGUUUUGAAAGAAAAGGUGAAAUGUUUAGACAUUAAUGUUUCUACUCUUAAAGAAAGAGAAGACAACCUUUCGAAAGAAAAUGUAUUUUUAAAAAAUGACAUAUCAAAUAUUUCCAAAAGAUUUUCAAUAGGAUCUGAGAAACUUGAGAAAAUUCUUUCAGCACAAAGACAUUUUUUCAAUAAAUCUGGUUUGGGAAUGACUGUGGAAACCAUUCAUUUAAUUGAUUUUCCUAAAGUGAAGGAAAGAAUUAAGCAAAGACUCACAAGAGAUUUUUACAAAAAUCAUUUUAAAAAGGUCUUUGUAAAACCAGUAGGUCGCAAUGCUCUCAGAUGUUCAAAGUGCAAUAGUUCAGAUCAUUUUGAGAAAGAAUGUCAUAUGGUUUGGAAACCUGUUAAGAAAGUAUGGGCAAAAGCGCAUAUCAUACUAAUACCAAUGGACCCAAGAAAAUAUGGGUACCAAAGAAAUUUUGAGUCUCUUUUUUAAAUGCAGGUCACUAUCAAGAAGAAAGUAAAAUGGUAUCUGGAUAGUGGAUGCUCAAGACAUAUGACAGGAGAUUCAAAUUGCUUCAUAAAGCUCAUUCAAGUAAAUGGUGGAAAAGUCUCAUUUGUAGUAAAUAGCAAAGGAAGAAUUGUGGGAUUCAGAACUGUAAAUAUUGGAAACCUCACGAUUAGCAAUGUUUCCUUAGUGGAAAGACUCAACUACAAUCGCUUAGUAUCAGUCAGCUAUGCAAUACCGGUUUCAAAAUCAACUUUCAAGAAAGAAUAUGUUCAGGAACUAGUAAAGAUUCUACUCAGUCAUUCAUGGGUCGAAGACAUGGAAAUAUCUACCUCUUGGAUGUGAAACCAGAUGAAUCGCAAUGUCUAAUCUCAAUUCAAGACGAAGCUAACUUAUGGCACAGAAAACUUGGGCACAUCAAUAUGAAGCAAAUAGCCAAAAUUUCAGCAAAGAAGCUGGUUCGUGGUCUACCCAAUCUGUCAUACCAAAAGUCUGAUCUAUGUACACCAUCUGUAUUGGGAAAGCAUGUAAGAAAUUCCUUUAAACUAAUAAAUCAAGUUUCCACUAAUCGUGUACUGCAGCUUCUGCAUAUGGAUCUCUUUGGACCAACUAGAACUCAGAGCAUUGGAGGUAAGAAAUAUUGCAUAGUAAUUGUGGAUUACUAGUCACGAUUUACUUGGGUAUAUUUCCUGACAAGUAAGUCUGAAACCUUUUCUUACUUUGAAAAGUUUGCUAAAAAGAUUCAAAAUGAAAAAGGGUAUGUUAUUUCAAGUAUAAGAAUAGACCAUGGAGGUGAAUUUGAAAAUCAAGAUCUUACAAAAUUCCGUGAUAACUCUGGUUUUCAGCAUGUGUUCUCCUCUCCAUAUACUCCAGAGCAAAACGAGGUUGUGGAAAGAAAGAAUAGGUCACUUCAAGAAAUGGCUAGAACUCUUUUAAUUGAAAGUAACAUCUCUUCACGUUUUUGGGCUGAAGCAAUUUCUAGAGCAUGUUAUAUUACUAAUAGAGUUUUUCUAAGACCUAUUCUGGAAAAAACCCCCUUUGAGUUAUUCAAAGAAAAGAAGUCUAUUGUUUCAUAUUUUCAUGUGUUUGGAUGUAAAUGCUUUAUAUUGAAAAAUGCAAAUGAUCAAGUUGGCAAGUUUGAAGAAAAAUCAGACGAAUGAAUCUUCCUUGGAUAUUCUACCUCAAGCAAAGCCUACAGAGUCUACAACAAGAAGACUCAAUCUGUGGAGGAAUCAAUGAAUGUCAAAUUCCAAGAUGUCAAAUUCCAAGAUUCUAUGCAAAAUGAAUCUAUUUAGACUCAUCUUGAAGAAUCUGAACCUACUCCAGACUCUACAAAGUCUAAAUCUCAAGAAGCAGUUCAGACUUUAAAAGACCAGCAUCAAAUGAUUGUUGAAGAUUCAAAUGAAGAAAGUGAUCAUCAACCUGACAAAUCAACCAGUAACUGGAAGCAUAAGUCCAGUCAUCCCAAAGAUCUCAUUAUAGGCGACAUUAAUGAAGGAAUUCGCACAAGAUUCAAAAGGCGUGAAGACUCGGGUGCUGUGGCUCCUAUUUCUGAAAUAGAACCCAAAAGCAUAGAAGAAGCUUUAUCCGAUGAAAGCUGGAUUGAAGCUAUGCAAGAAGAACUCAGGCAGUUCAGCAUUAAUGAUGUUUGGGAAUUGACUCCUAAACCGAAAGGUAAAUCUAUUAUUGGAGCUAAAUGGGUUUUCAGGAACAAGAUGGACGAGAAAGGAAAGGUCGUAAGAAACAAAGCAAGACUCGUGGCCAAGGGAUAUACGCAAGAAGAAGGGAUAGACUAUGAUGAGACUUACGCACCAAUAGCGAGGUUAGAAGCAAUUAGAUUAUUACUUGUUUUUGCUUGUUAUAAGAAUUUUAGGUUAUUCCAAAUGGACGUCAAAAGUGCUUUCCUGAAUGGAUUUAUCCAUGAGGAAGUCUAUGUGGAACAACCACCUAGGUUUGAAGACCCAAGGAAACCAGACUCAGUAUUCAGACUGAAGAAGGCUUUAUAUAGUUUAAAGCAAGCACCUCGAGCUUGGUACGACAGGCUAAGUAAAUUUUUAAUUCAAAACGGCUUUGUCAAAGGUAAAGUAGACACUACUUUGUUUUUCAAAAGAGAAAGCAAAAGUUUUAUGCUUGUUCAAAUAUAUGUUGAUGAUAUUGUUUUUGGAUCCUCUAAUCAAAGUCCGUGCAAGAAAUUCUCUAAGUCUAUGCAGGAUGAAUUUGAAAUGAGCAUGAUGGGUGAACUAACAUUCUUUCUUGGACUUCAAGUGAAACAAUUGAAGGAAGGAACCUUUAUUCAUCAAAGAAAAAUAUGCUAAUUAUCUUGUCAAAAAGUUUGGACUGGAAAAUUGCAAAAAGACUGAUAUACCAAUGUCAAGUUCUUUGAAGAUAGACAAAGAUGAAGGAGGAAAGAAAGUUGACCAGAAGCUAUACAGGAGUAUCAUUGGUUCACUUCUUUAUCUUACUACUUCUAGACCUGACAUUUUGUUUAGUGUUUGCAUUUGUGCUAGAUUUCAAGCAGACCCUAAAGAAUCUCAUCUAAGUGCUGCAAAGCGUAUUAUCAAAUACAUUGCGUCAACUUCAAGCCUUGAUUUUUGGUAUCCUAAAAAUGGAGACUUUACUCUUCUUGGAUACUCAGACGCAGAUCUAGCCGGAUGUAGAGUUGAUAGAAAGAGCACCUCGGGUACCUAUCAACUACUUGGAAGCAGGACAAUGUUUUGGUUUUCAAGGAAGCAAAAUACAGUGGCUCUUUCUACAGCAUAAGCAGAGUAUGUAGCUCUUGGAAGUUGUUGUUCACAAAUUCUAUGGAUAAAACAACAGCUAAGAGACUUUGGAAUUGAAGAUUCAUGCAUGGAGAUUAACUGUGACAACACCAGCGCAAUCAAUCUCACCAAGAAUCCAAUUCUUCACUCAAGAGCAAAGCAUAUAGAGAUUCGACAUCACUUCAUUAGAGAUCAUGUUCAGAAUGGAGAAGUUUCGAUUCAGUUUGUUGACUCAAAGAACCAACUGGCGGAUAUAUUUACAAAGCCUUUGGAGAAAAAUCAAUUUGAAAUCAUUCGUUCCAGACUCAACAUCUUGAGGUUUGAAGAAGUAAAAAUCAAGAGACGCUCAGACUCAGACAAUCAAGAUCUUUGAUUGUAAGUUAUUUUAUUCUCUCUCAGAUUAAAUCUUGAAAAGGUACGAUCAUCUGUCCAUAAUUGAUUUUUGCUACUUUCGAUUUCCGUGAUUAGUGCAAUCUUUCUUUUUCAAAGAUGGACUUAAUUUUUACAUGACAGUUAUCUAAUUUUUUGAAAAAGGUAGUUAUUUUUUAAAAGGGCAUCUUUUUACUUUCCAUUACGACGUUUUGUAUGCCUCUCUUCGACUGACCUAUAUACUGUCGGUUCCUCUUCGUUUAACUCCAAAAACCCUAAAAAGCAUCGAUCUUCCACUUAUGUCUUCUUCUCUUGUUUAAUCUUUGAAAAUUUGUCAUCUUUCUUGGGAAAGUCAAGUUUGGAAUCUUUCAAAGAUUGUGAAAGAUGUCCUCUCAAAGGAAGUCUUCGAGGAUCGCAAACAGGGGACUGCAGCAAAUGCGUGAGGGGCCUAUGCACUUUGAUCUCAUCGAGGAAGAAGAGUCUCCUAGUCACCAGCAGAGCCCACAACAUUCUCAGCAGCGUCCAUCUUCUCCAUCUAGACCACAGGAUGUUGCUCGUCGAGAAGAGGAAGAAAUAAUGGAAGAUGCAAAAUCCGUAAGAACUUUUAAGCUCUCUUUUACCUACAAGCUUUAUCGUGCUUUGAAAAGGGGUGGAACUCCUUUGAACUACAUUGACAAAUUUCUGAAAGACAAUGGGAACAAAAAUGAAACCUUCUUUUUACGCACAACGGAACGGUUGGGAAUUGCCCCUACUGGGUCGGUAGAAGCGGCAAUGGCAAAUAUUCCAAUCGAUCCACUUGUUAGAGGGCUGAAUCAGCCAGAUGGGAAUGAUGAUGACAAGUUGUACAGUCAGUUUCAACCGAGGAUGGGUGUUGCGGCAAAAAUUCGGAGCAAAAGGACAGACUUGUUUCGAUUGGAGGAACACAAGCAUCUAUACUCUAAGUUGUUGAAGCGUGGGGUCAUAAACCCUAGAAGUGUGGAUUUUGCUUUCCUUGACGCUGUGAACGUUAAUUUGAGGGAAAAAUUCAGUCUUCUUCAACUUGAACAGUUCAGUACUAAAUCUACAGAAGCCUAUGCUGAACUCACUGCAUACUUCUAUUCAAAUAUCAAUUUCUUAGAUGCGAAUAGAUUCUUUUUUAGUGUUCGAGAUCAGGACUAUGUGGUGGAUAUAGAUAGGUUGGCUAAUGUGAUUGGGGUUGAGAGAGGGAGAUAUCAACCUAUCAAUGUCUCUAUUGCUCGUGCUACGUUGGAACUUGUUAUGGAUAGAAGGACAGAGGGAAAUGUUUCCUACUCGAGGAUGAGUGCGUUCAACAUUCUGCUUCACAAGAUUGUGAUCAAUUGCCUCAGACCAAAAUCUACUUCAAAGACUGAUGUUUCAAACUCAGAGGCAAAGCUGAUGUAUGCCAUCAAUGCUGGGAAAAAGUUCUCUCUUCCUCACACUAUUAUAUUCCAUAUGUAUAGAGCAGUGGUGAAGGACAAGGGUCAACUUCCUUAUCUAGCUCUUGUGACAAAGUUAUUUAGACAUUUGAAUGUUCAGCCUCCCCGGAUUCUCUGUGUUCGAACUUUUGAUCAAAUGGUAGUGGGACUGAAAAUGGUGUCUAAAAUACGUCUGAAGGAACUCAACAAGGCGUUGGAGAAAUUCAAGGAGAAAACCCCUGUCAAAACUCAUCAAAUCUCUUCGGCAGCAAAAAUACAAGGGAAGGAGCCCAUGGUUGCUCCAUCCAAGAAAAGAAGAGCUCUCAUUAUUGAGGAUGAAGAAGAUAAGGAAGACAUCACCAUUACUGCAAUAGCAUUGAAGAACCUAAGUCGUUUUGUUCCAGAAUCAACGGAACGACAAGAGAAAGACACAAAACAAAGGACUGGAGAAAGAGAAAAUUUGGAAGCAGAAGAUAAAGAAAUAGAGGAGAGAGAAGCUGAAGAAAGAGAUGCAGAGGGGGAAAGAAUUGAAGAAGAAGAAGAAGAAGAGGAAAGAGUAAAUCAAGAGGAAGGAGAGCACGGGGAACACUCUUCUCCACCUGAAGGCAUGGAAACAGGGAGAGAUCGUGAGAAAAGAGGAAUGUCCUCAUAUCCUGCUACCAGUGAAGGAGUCAGCUGCUCUCCAGCAGAUCCAGAGGACAUCUAUGCCUCUCAAUUUCCUGAGGAAGGACAUGAUGUUUCAUCGCCCAAUCUGCGUGAUUGUGCUGAUUUGCCAUCGUUCGCCUUUACUCCAUCUGAUCGUGUAGAAGCCAGUACGCAUACUAAUAAUUCAGCAGAUUUUCGCAUAAUUCUUAAUGUUCUCUUAGAAAUGCGGGGUCAGAUAUAUGCUCUAGGAUGCGAAGUAUAGAAUUUGCAGAAUGCAAGUAAAGCUUCUUCAGUUUCUUUGAAUGAUCAGAUCCAAGCCCUUGCUCUUCAGAUUCAAGCAAAUGCUAAGGGUGAAGAGGUGGCUCAGCUGAUGGAUAGUUGACAAAGCUGGAUGGCAUUGUCCAGUCAAUAGGAGAUUUCUAGCUUGUUCGUGUUCCCAAGCAUUCUUGAUUCCACUCAACCUUUUUUUAUGAUGACAAAAAGGGAGAGAGAUGUGAUUUGAACUUUGAACCUUGAACUUUUUUGAACUUGAACUUGAACUUUUGAUUUGUUUUGAUGUUUGACUCGACUUUUGUGUCUGGCUGUGGACUGGAUUUGAGAUUUUGGAUUGACUGCUUAUAUUAAAACUAUUGAUAUCUUAUGGAUGGCUUUACUCAUAUGCAAGACAAACCUAUUUUAUGUGGUUGUAGAUUCUAGUGUUAUCAAUAAGCCAUUUAUCUUUAUGAGAUAUUCAUAUUUGCUUGAGUAAUGUUUUGCAGGUCAAAGUUAUCCAAAUCUGUAGGAAAGUUUUGUCACCAUAAAAAAUGGGGAGAUUGUUGGAGAAAUCUUCCUGGAGUAUUUUGAAGCUGACAAAAUGUUGCCAUCAGUCUAGUCUGAAGAUUUGCAAACUCUUCUAUUUAAAGUCUGAAGACCUCCGGACUGCCAGACUCAAGACUCAAAGUCUAUUCUCAUUGAUAGUUUCUAAUCCGUUGAAGAAGGGCUAUCCAGGAUUGGAUGUUUCGUUAAGGAUUUGACCUUAUCAACUAGAGAAGAUCUCUUGGCUGGAUAUGACAUAACGAAAUCCUUUAUUUAUUGAAAGAUUGAGGAUCCAAUGAUUGGCGAAGUAUACUUGGAAGGUUCUACUUAUGGAAACCGAGAUCCUGAUUGUAUGGGCGAGCAAGAUUGAUGGGCUAUCGACAUGUUCCUUAAAUAGCUCGAAUGAUCUUCCUAAUUGAUUCUGUCCAACGGGAAGAUUGGAAGAAUUCCUUUGAUAAGUGCCAACAGGUAUGAUAGCAUAAAUGAGUAUAUAAGGAAGACGUUCCAGUUGUUCGAGUGUGUGCGCAAUAGAAGAAUUUCAAAGUCUGAAGCUCUUUGUUCUUAGUCAAUUCAUCUUAUGAGCAAAAUCUUGUGCACAAAAGAGAGUCCAUAUUCUUGAGAAACCUUGAGGAAGUGUGGUAGAGUAUCUACACUGUGGAAUCAAGGGAGAGGCUUGCUGUAACAACUCUUUUGUUCAUAGUGAAAUCUAGCUGGUGGGUUGUCAGUGCGAAAGGGUGGACGUAGGCUUGGAAUAAGCCGAACCACUAUAAUUUCUGUGUUCAUUUUCUAUUCCCUACUCUCUGCUUUACUUUGAUCAUAAUUCGCUUUGUUAACGAAAGGAGAACUUCCUUUCUAUUGUCUGCUUAGUAUUGCUCUCUUAUCUCGAGAAAAUAUUUUUUACACCUAUUCAAUCCCCUCUAGGUGCUUAUACUAGCUAUCUCAAGGCUUUCCGUAACUUUCUUAUCAAUCCUCGUUUUAGCACUUUCAAUCAGCCUGAAAGCAAAGAUGAUGAUGAGAGGAUGUUCUCAAAUUUUUAGCCAAGGAUGGGCAUUGCUGCUAAAAUGCCUGGUGUAGGAACGAAGCUUUUUUCGUUUUAAGGAUCAUAAAAAGGUUUAUUUCCAGGUGCUGAAAAGAGGGGUAAUGAACCCUCGAUCGGUCGACUUUGACUUUUUAGAUUCAUUCAAUGUAAAUUUGAGGGAAAAAACUAGCUUUCUUUCAACUUGAAGACUUUUGCUACAAGACAACUAUUGCUUAUCCAGAGUUGACUACCUUUUUCUAUUCCAAUCUUUCUUUUCUUAACCAGAAUUGCUUCAAAUUCACCGUGAAUGACAAAGAAUAUCUGGUGGAUGUUGACACUUUGGCUGACGUUAUUGGGGUGGACAGGAGUGGUUUCCAACCAAUAAAUGUAUCAGUUGGUCAUGCAAUUCCAAUCUUUCUUUUCUUAACCAGAAUUGCUUCAAUUUCACUGUGAGUGACAAAGAAUAUCUGGUGGAUGUUGACACUUUGGCUGACGUUAUUGGGGUGGACAGGAGUGGUUUCCAACCAAUAAAUGUAUCAGUUGGUCAUGCAACAAGAUUCUUUGUUAGUGACAGACUCCCCGAAGAAAGCAUCACUUAUUCCAGAAUGACAGCCUCCAAUGUCUUGUUGCACAAAAUCGUCAUAAACUGCAUCAGACCAAAGGCUACUUCAAAAACUGAUGUUUCCCAAUUUGAAGCACGGCUUAUGUUUGUUAUUUCCAAUGGCAUGAAGUUUUCACUUCCUCAUAUUGUCUUAAUGCACAUAUAUAGGACUGCUAUGAAGGAUAAGGGACAGCUACCUUACUCUGUGCCGGUUACAAAGCUAUUCAAAUAUUUCCAGAUCGAGUUUCUUGUCUCUCUCUGCACCAGAACUGUAGCUCCUAUGGUUAUAGGACUAAAGAUGGUUUCGAAGAUGAGGCUAAAAGAUCUGAACAUGGUUUUAGAGCGCUUGAAUAAGGCAUCUCCUAGCAAAACAAAGGAAGAAUCUGUUGCAAAGAAGAGAAAAGGCAAGGAGAUUGUGAAAGAACCCCUCAAGAAGAGAAGAUCCCUUAUCCUGCAGGAUGAAGAUGAUGAUGAUGAUCUUACCAUUUCAACCUUGGCCUUGAAAAAUCUUCAAAACUUUAUUGGUUUUGAGCAACCUAAGGGGAUAGGAGAAGGAGGGAGAGCAGAUAUAGAGCGAAGAGAAAAAGGAAGAGAAGACAGAGAAGAAGCAAAGCUAGAAGAAGAAGAACCGGGAAGAGAAGAAGAAGCAAGAGAAGUCGAAGAAAGAGAAGAAGCAGGAAGAGAAGCUGAAGCAGAAGAGCGUUAGGAUGACUCCUAUGAGACAACUUUGGUAGUAUCCUUAUCCGAGGAUUCUGAAGCAACAGGGAGUGUCCAAGUGGGAGAAAGAAUAGAAACAGAACGUCACCUUCGUGCAGGAAAUGAGAAAGAUCAAGAAGUUUUCCUCCCUUUACCUGUAAGCAAGGAAACAGGGGGAGCCCAUGAGAAAAGAGGUAUUUCUUCUCCUCUUUUUGCAAGUGAUGAUAUCAGUCGAUCUCCUACUGAUCCAGAAGAAGUCUAUGCUUCUAAUUUUCCUAAAGUUGAUAUUGGAGAAUCAACUCCAAGUCUUGAAGGCAGAUCAAUUGAUGUUCCCUCAUUACUCAACACUCCACAAACUGAACGUGUUGAGGCUAGUGCACAAACAAAACCUACUACAGACUUUCAAAGGCUGCCCGAGCUCAUCCUGGAGAUAAAAGCACAGCAAUGUGGAAUGGAGUGUGAGAUUCAGAAGCUUCAAUCUGCUUUGUAAUCUACUUCAAAUUCUCGCAAUGAAAUGAUAUAGUCUUUAAACUUUCAAGUUCAAGGUUUACAACGGCAAGUUUCAUGGACUCCAAGCAUCGAAGAUGUUGAGAAGCUGAAGAAGACAGUGUGAAAGCUAGAGGAGAUAGUUUAGUCAAUGGGGAAUUUCCAGCUCGUUUGCAUUCCAAGACAAACUUUAUUUCAUUCUCUCUAUUUUUAAUCUUGGUUUUCUCCACUUUUUGCUGCUGACAAAAAGGGGGAGAAUGUGCAAAUUUACUGUUGAUACUUUUGAACUUAAACUUUUGUAGAUUUAACUCUGUUUGAUUGGUUUGACUAGUAACUCUCAUAAUUUGUAGCAACUUUUGUGACGAUUAUGAAUGAGGACAAAUAUGGAUGUUUUAAUCUUGGUGUUUGAUUAUUUUUCAAGAUUAACAUGUAUUCUGUGGUUGUAGAAUCGUUGCCAUCCACAGAUCAAUAUCUUUUUGAAUAUCAGGAUAUAAGUUCUUAAAUCUGCAGGGAAGUUUUGUCACCAUAAAAAAAUGGGGAGAUUGUUGGAAAAAAAAACUCAUUGGAUAUUUUGAAGUUGACAAAACUUAUUCAAAAUCUAUUUUGAAGAUUUUCAGACUUCUAUGUCAAAGUCUAAAGAUGACCAGAUUUUGAGGUAAAGUCUAAAGUCUCCUAGACUUUGUGUCAAAGUUUGCCCACUCUGACAAAUUCCAGACUGAACACUACCGAAGAAUGAAGACUUAUCCAUAUGUGAGAUUUUGUUUAUUUCUUUAGGAGUUCGAUUCAUAUGGCUUAUGGAUGGCUUUCUAGUUAGAUACAUCACCUACGAAAUUGAUUAUUUUUAUUAAAAUCAAUUUUGAUAAAUCAAAUCUUUUCGAAUUGCAAGUAAAUAUGGAAAGAAUCUACUUAUGGAAAUCAAGAUCCUAAUUGUAUGGGCGAACACGAUUGACGGGCUUUCAUCACAAUCUUCAAACGACUCGAGAUCUCCUUGAUUGAUUCUGUCCAACGGGUAAAUUGAAAGAAUUAAUUUGGAAAGUGCUAAUGGUCAUGAAGGCAUGAAGGAGUAUGUAAGGCGAACUCUCUAGUUGCUCGAUAGAGUGUGUGAAAGAAAAUUUUCAAAGUCUGAAGCUUACCAUUUUCUCGUCAUUCAAUAUUACGAGCUCAAAGUUGUAUACAAAAGAGAGAAACACUUGGCGAGACUUCGUGAGAGACCAAUAAAGAUUGUUCACUGUGAAGUCAAGAUCCCAAAGCUAUAAAAUCUCUUUUAAUUCUUAGUGGAAUCCAGCCAGUAAGCUAUUAGUGUGGAGAGUGGACGUAGGCUUCAUCUAAACUGAACUACUAUAAUUUCUAUAUUCUUAUUCUCUUCCCUAAACUCUUUUACUUUAUUCUUAAUUCUAUUUAACUACUAAAGUCUGAACUUGCUUAAAGUCUGUUGUUCUUCAGAAUUUAUUUUAGAAGCAAAAUGUUUCCACUGUAUCUUUUGAAAAAUUGUUUUCACACCUAUUCACCCCAUCUAGGUGUUCAUACUAGUACUAACAUCAUUUGCUAGUUCCUUCUUUCUCUGCUGACUCUAGCGAACAAACUGGCCACCUUUUCGGGCCUCUCUCUCUCUCUCUCUCUCUCUCCUCUCACGCUUCUCUGGUUUUCUUCUCAUUUCUUAGCCGAGCUAGCCCCCUUUCCCUCUUGCUCCCUCUCUCGCUUUUAAGGCCAACUGGCAAGCGGGCAUGGCACCUGCCAUUGCCAGCUUGCUGAUCAGCCUAACUUGGACCCGUAGAUCACCCCGUCACCUGCUCCCCUCCUACUCUAGCUCUAUCACUCUUCUUUCUCUCUUGAAGCGUGAAUGGUGUUAAGGGGAAGAGAACCAUCACGGGGGCAGGCCUGUGAGAAAGGAUGAUGGGUUGGCCCAAGUGGAGGAAAAGAAAGGAGAGAAAGGGGUUGGGCUAGGCCUAGCCGGAAAAAAGAUAGGGGUCCGAUUUACUUAACCCAGCCCGACUCCACCUCUCUCUCUCUCUUUCUCUCUCUCUCUCUCUCUGUCUCUGUCUCAAUAACAACCAUUCUUCUAAGUCUUAAAUCAAUUGUCUUUCUUUCUUUUUUUCCUUUUGUAUUUCCUAUAAAUUCUGUUACUAUUAUCAGAUGCUUCUAAUGUCCAUACGCUAUGCAAUUUUCAUAAUUUUUUAGGUUUAAAAAUUAGUCUCUAAUUUAUAUGCAAUUAAAUCCUAAAAGGAUGGCCUAAAUUUAGGUCUCAACAAAGUUAUACUAAGGCCCUGUUUGGUUCAGCAUUUGCAAUGGGUUUUGGGAUUCUAAAGUUCCUUGGCCAAAUGCAAAUGCAUUUGAUUCAUUCUUUUACUCAACUUUGGAGAAAUACAAUUGCAUUUCCAUAGAUCUCCCUUUAGCUUAAAGUAGGUCUGAGGUCCUUUAGGAAGUUACAUUAUUAUAAUACAAGUCUUGAUCCUUAGUUAUUCUACAUCUUCUCCAAAGGUCACGACACAGAAAAGUUGAUUGGAGGUUGAUGAUCGUUGGCCAAAAGGUUGUACAUGCUAUCGACUAUUGCUUGGGGGUCGCUUAACCUUUAGCGACCAUCACCUAGGGUCGUGCGAAUUCAAGCGACUGUUGCCUAAGGUCGCGCGACCUAAGACGAGGCCAUCCAACAACCAAAUCUUGCUUGAGGUCGCAUGACCUCAAGUUAGGCUACCAAUAGUUGAACUCCCAGAAAAAAAAAGCAAAAACAUUUUUUUCUUAAUUUGGUCAAAGUUCUUUAUAAAUGCAAUUUUUACUUAAUGGUAUUUAAGUCAAAGUUAUUUCCCAAUACACUAUUACAAUUCAACACAAAGACCUCAUUUCAAUAAAUCUGGUUUGGAAAUGACUGUGGAAACCAUUCCUUUAAUUGAUUUUCCUAAAGUGAAGGAAAGAAUUAAGCAAAGACUCACAAGAGAUGCUUACAAAAAACAUUUUAAAAAGGUCUUUGUAAAACCAGUAGGUCACAAUGCUCUCAGAUGUUCAAAGUGCAAUAGUUCGGAUCAUUUUGAUAGAGAAUGUCAUAUGGUUUGGAAACCUGUUAAGAAAGUAUGGGCAAAAACCACAUAUCAUACUAACACCAAUGGACCCAAGAAAAUAUAGGUACCAAAGAAAGUUUGAGUCCCUUUUUUAAAUGCAGGUCACCAUCAAGAAGAAUGUAAAAUGGUAUCUGGAUAGUGGAUGCUCAAGACAUAUUGUUGGAGAAAUCUUUUUGGAAUAUUUUGAAGCUGACAAAACGUUUCUAUCAGUCUGGUCUGAAGAUUUGCAGACUCUGCUAUUAAAGUCUGAAGACCUCCGGACUGCCAGACUCAAGACUUAAAGUCUAUUCUGAUUGAUAGCUUCUAAUCCGUUGAAGAAAGGCUAUCUAGAACUGAGUGCUUCACUAAAGGAUUUGGCCUUAUCGACUGGAGAAGAUCUCUUGGCUGGAUAAGACAUAACGGAUUUCUUUAUUCAAAUCAAGAAUGAUUAAAGACCCGAUGGUUGACGAAGUAUUCCUGGAAGGUUCUACUUAUGGAAACCAAGAUCCUGAUUGUAUGGGCGAGCAUGAUUGAUGGGCUAUCGACAUGUUCUUUUAAUAGCUCGAAUAAUCUUCCUAAUUGAUUCCGUCCAACGGGAGGAUUGGAAGAAUUCCUUUGGUAAGUGCCAAUGGGUAUGAUGGUACAAAGGAGUAUAAAAGGAAGACAUUCCAGUUGUUCGAGGAGUGCACGAUAGAAGAAUUCCAAAGUCUGAAGCUCUUUAAUUCUUAGUCAAUUCAUUUGCUGAGCGAAAUCUUGUACACAAAAGAGAGUCUAUACUUUGAGAGACCUUGAGGAAGUGUGAUAGAAUAUCUACACUGUGGAAUCAAGGAAAAGCAGUGCUGUAAUAUCUCUUUUGUUCAUGGUGAAAUCCAGCCAAUAAGCUGUCAGUGCAGAAGAGUUGACGUAGGCUUGAAAUAAGCCGAACCACUAUAAACCUUGUGUUCAAUCUUCUCUUCCUUACUCUCCACUUUACUUUGAUCAUAGUUCUAUUUGUUAACUAAAGGAGAGUUUUCUCUUUUGUUGUUGAUCCAGUAUUGCUUUCAUAUCUCAAGAAAUUAUUUAAACACCUAUUCACGCCCCCUCUAGGUGCUAUUACUAGCUAUAUCAAUUGGUAUCAGAGCUUGUGUACUCACUUUGUUUGAGGUGUUUUACUUCAGAGUAAAAGAUCCAUGGCUAGUAUGCUAGCUCUAGGGCUAGUGGAAGGACAGAGCAAUACAAUACCACUUUACUUUGAUGGAAAUGAUUACAACAUCUGGAAAAACAAGAUGAAAGCGUUUCUACGAUCAAAGGAUCCUUUGGAAUUGGACGUUGUAGAAAAGGGAAUCACUCUUCAAGCUGCAUCUGUCACAGAGAGAGGAAAAGAAGUUGUUGAGUCAAGAGAAAUGACUUAGGAAGAGAUAAUCAAGAGACAAGCUCUUGAUGCAAAAGCAAUUUAUUCUUUAUAUUGUGCUUUAUCGCCUACUGAAUAUAACAUAAUAUCUUCUUGUGUUAUAGCAAAAGAAGUCUGGGAUAGAUUACAUAUCACUUAUGAAGGAACUGAUCGAGUGAAAGAAACCAGAAUCAACAUUCUCCUCGGUCAAUAUGAAGCAUUCAAAAUGAAAUCUGGAGAAUCUAUUACUGACAUGUUUAGUCAUUUUACAGAGAUUGUGAAUGGCCUUGAAAAUCAAGGGCAACCAAUUUCUUAUCCCAUGAAAGUAAACAAGCUUCUUCGUGGACUCUCCAAGGAUUGGAAUCACAUAAAGACUUCAAUAAGAGAGACACAAAGAAUCAUGCCACUAUCUGUCGAUGAGUUGGUUGGAACUCUUCAGUCUUAUGAAGUUGAAUGAAUUAAUGAAGACGAAGAUCCUAAAGGUAAGAAAUCCAUUGCAUUAAAAUCCAAUGAUGAUUCUGAUGUCACAGAUUCUGAAGACAAUAAAGAUGAUGAGGAGCUUGCUCUUAUGAUAAGACGAUUCAGAAAGCUGAACAGAAAAGGAAGAAGAUUCAAUCCAAAGAAACAGAGUUUUCAAAAGCAACAGACCAAGUCUGUUGAUGAUGAUGAAUAAAACAAAGAUGUAGUCUGCUUUGAAUGUAAGAAAAAAGGGACACAUUAGACCCAACUGUCCUCUUCUGAAAAAGAAGAAAGGAAAAGUUGAAAAGUAUCGAAAGGCUCUUAAAGCAGAAACCUGGAGUGAUACAGAGUGUGAAGAAAGUGAUGAUGAUUAUGCCAAUAUAUGUCUAAUGGCACAAUCGGAUUCAGAUUCAAACUCCGAGACAGACUCAGAUUCAAACAGUGAAUUUGAGGUAAGUAACUUUAAAAUUCCUGUUAAAGUCUCUAAAUACAUUGAUGAGCUGUGUUUUAGUCUUAAGACUUCUCUUAAAAGGAUUUCCAAACUUAAAAAGGAAAAAUCUGCACUAAAACAACAGGAAAAUGUUUUGAAAGAAAAAUUGAAACAUUUAGACACGAAUAUUUGUACUCCUAAAGAAAGCGAAGAUAAUAUCUUGAAAGAAAAUGCAUUUUUAAAAAAUGACUUAUCAAAUAUUCCAAAAAGAUUCUCAAUAGGAUCUGAGAAACUUGAAAAAAUUCUUUCAGCACAAAUACCUUAUUUCAAUAAAUAAGGUUUGGGAAUGACAUCAGAAACUAUUCCUUUAAUUGAUUUUCCUAAAGUGAAGGAAAGAAUUAAGCAAAGACCUUCAAAGACAUUUUACAAAAAUCAUUUUCAAAAAGUAUUUGUAAAACCAGUGGGUCAAAAUGCUCUCAGAUGUUCAAAAUGUAAUAGUACAUAUCAUUUUGAAAAAGAGUGUCCUAUGGUUUGGAAACCUGUUAAGAAAGUAUGGGCAAAAACCGUAUAUCAUACUAACACCAAUGGACCCAAGAAAAUAUGGGUACCAAAGAAAGCUUGAGUCUCUUUUUUAAAUGCAGGUCACUAUCAAGAAAAAGGUAAAAUGGUAUCUGAAUAGUGGAUGCUCAAGACAUAUGACAGGAGACUCAAAUUGCUUCAUAAAACUUGUUCAAGUAAAUGGUGGAAAAGUCUCAUUUGGAGGAAACAGCAAAGGAAGAAUUGUGGGAUUUGGAACUGUGAAGAUUGGAAACCUCACAAUAAGCAAUGUUUCCCUAGUGGAAUGACUCAACUACAACUUGCUCAGUAUCAGUCAGCUGUGUGACACUGGUUUCAAAAUCAAUUUUCAAGAGGGAAUAUGUUCAGGAACGAGUAAAGAUUCUACUCAGUCAUUCAUGGGCCGAAGACAUGGAAAUAUCUACCUCUUGGAUGUGAAACCAAAUGAAUCGCAAUGUCUAAUCUCAAUUCAAGAUGAAGCUAGCUUAUGGCACAUAAAGCUUGGGCACAUCAAUAUGAAGCAGAUAGCCAAAUCUUAGCAAAGAAACUUGUUCGUGGUCUACCCAAAUUGUCAUACCAAAAUUCUGAUCUUGUACACCAUGCGUUUUGGGAAAGCAAGUAAGAAAUUCCUUCAAACCAAUAAAUCAAGUUUCCACUAAUCGUGUACUACAACUUCUGCAUAUGGACAUUUUCGGACUUACCAGAACUCAGAGUAUUGGAGGUAAGAAAUAUUGCCUAAUAAUUUUGGAUGACUACUCACGAUUUACUUGGGUAUAUUUCGUGGCAAGUAAGUCUGAAACUUUCUCUUACUUUGAAAAGUUUGCUAAAAAGGUUCAAAAUGAAAAAGGGUAUGUUAUCUCGAGUAUAAGAACAGAUCAUGGAGGUGAAUUUGAAAAUCAUGAUUUUGCAAAAUUCUGUGAUGAAUCUAGCUUUCAGCAUGUAUUCUCCUCUCCAUAUACUCCAGAGCAAAAUGGAGUUGUGGAAAGAAAGAAUAGAUCGCUUCAAGAAAUGGCUAGAACUCUUUUAAUUGAAAGUAACAUAUCCUCAUGUUUUUGGGCUGAAUCAGUUUCAACAACAUAUUAUAUUAUAAAUAGAGUUUUUCUAAGGCCUAUUAUGGAAAAAAAAAAACCCUAUGAGUUAUUCAAAGGAAAGAAGCCUAUUGUUUCAUAUUUUCAUGUGUUCGGAUGCAAAUGCUUUAUAUUGAAAAAUGCAAAUGAUAGAAUUGGUAAGUUUGAAGAAAAAUCAGAUGAAGGAAUCUUCGUUUGAUAUUCUACCUCAAGCAAAGCUUACAGAGUCUAUAAUAAGAAGAGUCAAUCUGUGGAGGAAUCAAUGAAUGCCAAAUUCUAGGAUUCUAUGCAAAAUGAAUCUGCUAAGACUUAUCUUGAAGAAUCUGAAUCUGCUCCGGACUUUACAAAGUCUAAAGAAGCAACUCAUACUCUGAAAGACUAGCAUCAAAUGAUUAUUGAAGAUUCAAAUGAAGGAAGUGAUCAUCAAUCUGACAAAUCAACCAGUAACUGGAAGCAUAAGUCCAGUCAUCCCAAAGACCUCAUUAUUGGCGACAUUAAUGAAGGAAUUCGCACAAGAUCCAAAAGGCAUGAAGAGUCUAGUGUUCUGGCUCUUAUUUUUGAAAUAGAACCAAAAAGCAUAGAAGAAGCUUUAUCUGAUGAAAGCUGGAUUGAAGCUAUGCAAGAAGAACUCAGACAAUUUAGUGUCAAUGAUGUCUGGGAAUUAACUCCUAAACCAAAAGGUAAAUCUAUUAUUGGAGCUAAAUGGGUUUUCAGGAACAAGAUGAACGAAAAAGGUAAAGUCGUAAGAAACAAAGCAAGACUCGUGGCCAAGGGAUAUAUGCAAGAAGAAGGGAUAGACUAUGACGAGACUUACGCACUAGUAACAAGGUUAGAAGCAAUUCGAUUAUUACUUGCUUUUGCUUGUUAUAAGAAUUUUAGGUUAUUCCAAAUGGACAUCAAAAGCGCUUUCCUGAAUGGAUUUAUCCAUGAGGAAGUUUAUGUGGAACAACCACCUGGGUUUGAAGACCCAAGGAAGCCAGACUCAGUAUUCAGACUGAAAAAAGCCUUGCAUGGAUUAAAGCAAGCACCUCGAGCUUGGUACGACAGACUAAGUAAGUUUUUAAUUCAAAAUGGUUUUGAAAAAGGUAAAGUAGACACUACUCUGUUUAUCAAAAGAGAAAGCAAAAGUUUUCUGCUUGUUCAAAUAUAUGUCGAUGAUAUCAUUUUUGGAUCCUCAAAUGAAACUUUGUGCAAGAAAUUCUCUAAGUCUAUGCAUGAUGAAUUUGAAAUGAGCAUGAUGGGUGAACUAACCUUAUUUCUUGGACUUCAAGUGAAACAAUUGAAGGAAGGGACUUUUAUUUAUCAAGAAAAAUAUGCUAAUGAUCUUGUCAAAAAGUUUGGACUGGAAAAUUGCAAAAAGACUGAUAUACCAAUGUCAAGUUCCUUGAAGAUCGACAAAGAUGAAGGAGGAAAGAAAGUUGACCAGAAGCUAUACAGGAGUAUCAUCGGUUCACUUCUUUAUCUUAUUGCCUCUAGACCUGACAUUUUGCUUAGUGUUUGCAUUUGCGCCAGAUUUCAAGCAGACCCUAAAGAAUCUCAUAUAAGUGUUGCAUAGCGUAUUAUCAAAUACAUUGCUUUAACUUCAAGCAUCGACCUUUGAUAUCAUAAAAAGGGAGACUUUACUCUCCUUGGUUAUUCAGAUGCAGAUCUAGCCGGUUGCAGAGCUGAUAGAAAGAGCACCUCAGGUACCUGUCAGUUACUUGGAAGCAGGACAGUGUCUUGGUUUUCAAGGAAGCAAAAUACAGUAGCUCUUUCUACAGCAGAAGCAGAAUAUGUAGCUCACGGAAGCCGUUGUUCACAAAUUCUAUGGAUAAAACAACAAUUAAGAGAUUUUGGAAUUAAAGAUUCAUGCACGGAGAUUAACUGUGACAACACCAGUGCAAUCAAUCUUACCAAAAAUCCAAUUCUUCACUCAAGAGCAAAGCAUAUAGAGAUUCUACAUCACUUCAUUAGAGAUCAUGUUCAAAAUGGAGAAGUUUCAAUUCAAUUUGUUGACUCAAAGAACCUACUGGCGGAUAUAUUUACUAAGCCUUUGGAGAAAAAUCAAUUUGAGAUCAUCCGUUCCAGACUCAACAUCUUGAGGCUUGAAGAAGUUAAAGUCUAGAGACUCUCAGUUUCAGACAAUCAUGGUUAUUGACUGUAAGUUAUUUUAUUUUCUAUUAUAUUAAAUCUCGUAAAGGUACGAUCACUUUUCCAUUCAUAAUUAAUUUAUGCUAUCUUCAAUUUCCAUGAAAAGAGCAAUUUUUCCUUUUCAAAAUGAGUUAAUGGCAGUUAUCCAUUUUUUUGAAAAAGGCAGUUAUUUUUUUAAAGGUAUCUUUUAACUUUCCUUUAUGACGUUCGGCAUUUCCCCGUUUUGACUAAGCUAUAAACAAUUGGUUCCUCUUCCCUUAACUCCAAAACCCUAAAAAGCAUCGAUCUUCCAUUCCUGUCUUUCUCCCUUGUUUAAUCUUCAAAAAGUUGUCAUCUUUCUUGGGAAAGUCAAGCAAUGAAUCUUUCAAAGACUGAGAAAGAUGUCAUCUUCAAGAAAGUCUUCAAGGAUUGCAAGCAGGGGACCACGGCGAAUGAGUAAGGGGCCUACUCACUUUGAUCUCAUCGAGGAAGAAGAGUCACCAAGUCAGUAGCAGAGCCCACAACAUUCUCAACAGCGUCAUUCUCCACCAUCUAGUCCACAGAAUGCUGUUCAUCAACAAGAGGAAGAAAUCAUCAAAGACGCAGAUCCUGUAAGAGUUCAAAAGCCCUCUUUUAUUUAUAAGCUCUACCGUGCUUCAAAGAGCAUUGGUACUCCUUUGAACUACAUCGAUGAGUUUCUUAAGGACAAGGGAUAUGGGAAUGAGUACAUCUUUUUGCGAAAAAUGGAGAGUUUGGAAAUUGCUCCUAAGGGGAUGGCAGAAAAAACCCUUGCAAAUAUCCCAAGUGAUCCGCAUGUUGGAGGUUUUAAUCUGAUAGAUGGAAAUGAUGAUGACAGAUUGUACAAAGAAUUUCAACCGAGAAUGGGUGUUGCGGCGAGAAUUCGAGGAAAAAGAACUGAAUUGUUUAGAUCUAAGGAACAGAAUGAUCUAUAUUCCAAAUUGUUGAAACGUGGGGUGAUAAACCCUAGGAGUGUAGAUUUUGAUUUCCUUGAUGCAGUGAAUGUCAAUUUGAGAGAAAAGUUCAGUUUUCUUCAACUUGAACAAUUCUGUUCCGACACCACAGAAGCCUAUGCUCAAUUAACUGCUUAUUUCUAUUCAAAUCUUAGUUUCUUGGAUGUGUAUAGAAUCUCCUUCAAUGUCCGAGAUCAGGACUUUGAAGUGGAUGUGGAUACGUUGGCAGAUGUUAUUGGGGUUGAGAGAGGGAGAUAUCAACCCAUCAAUGUCUCUAUAGCUUGUGCCACAUUGGAACUUGUUAAAGACAGAAUGACAGAGGGAAGGAUUUCAUACUCAAGGAUGCAUGCGUUCAACAUUUUUUUUUUGGUAAAGGUAAGUAAUAAAUUGAUUUUGCAAGAAAGAAGACAAGAGGGAGGCCUGGCACCAACAAAAACAGACACUCAAGAAGACAAAAGUCUAGAGCGAGUGUAAGGGUGCCAUGGUUCCCAGAAAAAAGGAGCAACAACAACAAAAGGAAACAAAAUACAACAAAAACUAGAAAACCUCCAUCAAUCAAAAAUAGAAGGAUGGAUGUUCCAGCUUCGUUGAAGUCUUCUAUUCAUGGGCACAUCGGGAACAUGGUUAAAGGUCAUAGCCUUAUCUUUGAUAGCCUUCUGAAGAUGCAUUUUCAUUGUUGGAAGAAAGAGAGUCUGAUUCCGAAAAAGCACAUUGUUCCGCUCUUUCCAAAUGAUAUAACACAUUGCACCAAAACUAAACCGAGCUAGGAUCUGAUAAAAACUCUUCCCCAUAAACCGCUUGGAAGCCCAGGCCAAAUUAUCCACCCAACGCUUGUUUCGCCACACUAGGUUGAAUCUUGCCGCCCAAAAUGAAAUAAGACUAUCCGAAGCACGGCACGCAAAGAACAAAUGAUCUAUAGAAUCAGGUCUGCAUGAACAAAGGGGGCAAUUUGUAGGGGGGGUCCUACCAUAAGAGAUGAGCAAAACCUGAGUCGGCAGCCGAUUGCGCGAAAUAAGCCAAAGAUGCGUUUGAUAUCUUGGAGGCAAGGCAGUAUUCCAAACAAAAGAAGCCCACGAGAUGACAUUAUGCUUCGGACGGAUCAAAUCCCAGGCAGAAGCAAUGGAGAAGCGACCGGAUGGGUGCGGAAGCCACUGAAACCGAUCCUCCUCUUGGUUGAAUACCGGAAGGGGAUUCCACCAAUUAGCCAUGAUGUUAAUAAUAUACCAGCCCAUAGGAGUAGCAAAACCAUCAGCAACCGAAGCAGAGCGGGAUAUACCUGAGCGAUAAAUAUCCUGAUUAGAAAAGAUCUUGUAUAAAGGACCAUUUGGGUGCUAAGGGUCGAACCAAAAGGAGACCGACCUCCCAUUUCCAAUGUUCCAUCUGAAAUAUUGCUGAAAUUGAUCACGAAGAUCUAAUAACUUCCUCCAGGUCCAAGAGCAAUGAGUAGGGCAAGGAACCACCCAAAAAUUUUUCCGCUUCAGGAAAUUGGAAUGAAUCCACUUACACCACAUGGAUUCUUUAUCCGAGAAAAGAAUCCAAAUAUGUUUGAGCAUGGACGCAAUGUUGUUCUCCCUUAGAGUACGAAUACCUAAGCCCCCUUCAUUUUUGGGAAGGCAAACAUUACACCACGAGACUUUAGCACCACUUGCACCCAUCUCAGGGCCUCUCCACAAGAAUUGGCGGAAAAUUUGCUCAAUUCGAUUUAGAACUGAACAUGGCAAAAAGAACACAUUAGCUCAAAAGACUUGUAUAGAAUGAAGCACCGACCUUAUAAGUUGAAGACACCCCGCAAAGGAGAGGAAUCUAUUGGUCCAAGAUUGAACAAGAGCCGUGAUUGAAUUAACCAAGGAGACACGGUCAGCUUUCCUUAAUCUAGCUGAAAUAACCGGUACUCCUAGAUAGCGGAAAGGAAAGGUGCCCAACUGAUAGCCCAUCUUAUUGAGGAUAUCCUCAUGAAGGUCAGAGGAGCCUCCAGAAAGGAAAACUUCACUCUUCCGAAGAUUCGGAAUCAGUCCACUCCAGCUAGAAAAUUUCUCGAUACCAUUCUUGAGAAGAUCAAUAGACGAUAAGUUAGCUUCAGCGAAGAGUAGUACAUCAUCAGCAAAGAAGAGAUGAGAAAGUCGGGUGGGCUUGCAACGCCAGAAAAAACCAAAGUCCGGAUGUGAAGUUUGAAUGUCUAGAAUACCUGUAAAGACUUCCAUCACAAGAGUAAAAAUAUACGGCGACAUGGGAUCACCUUGACGAAUACCCCUCCCACUUGAAAAGAACCCAUGGAGUUCCCCAUUAAUUACAACCGAGAACUUGGGGGUACGAAUGCAAAUCAUAACCCGGGCAAUGAACUCCUGGGGGAAACCGAAAGCCUGCAGACACAAUUCAAUAAACCUCCAAUCCACCGUAUCGUAGGCCUUCCUAAAAUCAACUUUAAUAACACAUUUAGGCUGGUAAGGAUCAUUGUGAAAACCACAAAACAGCUCCUGAGCAAGUAAAAUAUUGUCACUGAUGUGUCUACCUUUUACAAAGGCAUUUUGAGGCAGACUAAUGAUAGAAGGUAGCACCUGAGAGGGCAAGCAAUUGGCCGAAAAUCAUUCACAUUGGAAGCAUUCGGGACUUUGGGGACCAAGGCCAAAAUAGUUGUGUUAAUUUCCCGCAACAAUAUGCCCGUCUCAAAGAAAUCUUUCACUGCCAGAAUAACAGAAGGUCCAACAAUCUCCCAAGAAUGUUUAAAAUAUUCCACAUUGUAUCCAUCAGGGCCAGGGGCCUUACCCACCGCAAGAGAGAAUAUAGUAUCUUUAAUUUUAGUCUCCGAGAUGAGGCUAGAAAUAAAGCGAACUUGAUCCUUAUCAAGGGUGUGCUUCAACACCGCACGCAUUUCCUCCACCGAAGGCCUCGCAGCAGGGUGAGAGAAGUCCAAUAACUCCCGGAAGUGGUCAACAAAUAGGUUUUGAACUUCAGAGGGAUUUGAGGUAGAAACAAUCCCAUCGGAGAGCGAGAUAAUUCUAUUGUGAAGUUGUCUCUUGUUUACCGAGUUAUGAAAAAAAUUUAGUAUUAAGAUCACCUUCUUUCAACCACCACACCCGAGACUUUUGUCUAUAGAAUGAUUCCUCUUGAAGGCGCAAAUUCGAGUAGGAUUGGAGCUGUUGUUUUUCCAAUUCAGCAAGUUGAAUAUUCGAAUAGUCAUUCUGAAGAGCAUCUUGGGUUUGGAGCAAUGCACAUCUUGCUUCAGCCGUUCUAGAGGACAAGUCCGAGAAGGACUCCUUGUUGAUUUGUUUCAACUUACAUUUGAGAAGCCGAAGCCUGGAGCAAAGAAUAAACAUUGGAGAACCCACAAAGGGAGAACUCCAAGCUUGCAAAACCACAUCAGUAAAAUCCGGAUGAGAAAACCAGAAAUUGAAGAACUUGAAAGGCUUGCGAGACUUAGGGGCAGGCAUAAUCUUAAUAAUCAUUGGAGAAUGAUCUGAAAUGCCAGAGGCCAAGAAAGAGGCCUCAGAAAAGGAAAAUUCAGCAGUCCAACAAGAAUUAACGAGAACACGAUCAAUCUUUCUUUGCUUACGGUUGGCACCCAUGGAAGUAGCCCAAGUAAAUCUAUUCCCGGUAAACCUGAGAUUGUCAAGACCAGCUUGUAUGAGGCACUCACGCAACUCAUCAAAAGCUGGGAUCCAACCAUUAGAACCACCCAAUCUAUCCGAAGGGUCACGAAUUGCAUUAAAGUCUCCUGCUAGUAUCCAAGGGAAACUCGAAAGGAGAGAACUAGUCUGAAUAAUGUCAGCCCAAAGAGGACGUCUAGCCACAAAACUAUGCUCAGCAUAGACCACCGCAAGGAAGAGAACCUUACCAGAAUUUAAGCAAGAUAACUUUCCAUGAAUAGCUUGAUCCGAAGAAGAGUUCGUAACAAACAAGACUUCACGGGGGUUCCACCCCACCCAAAUUCUUCCUUUCAAGGAAUGAUUAUAGUUGUUUUCCCACUUCCAGCCCGGCAACAAAACAGCAGAGAUCGCACUAAAGGUACCCUGGGAAAUCUUUGUUUCCACAAUACCAACACAACAUAGAUUAUGAGAUCUAACAAAGUUUCUGAUUUCAGCUUGUUUGAGAUGGCUACCAAGUCCCCUAAUAUUCCAAACUCCAAUAUACAUAGCUAUAUAUAACUAUAUAAUGUAUUACGAUGAGAAUAGAAGUUACCGAUGUGAUCUCCUUCGGCUAGUGCCUUGAGGAGGGUCAGGAGGAGCAGCCAACGCUGGGGUAGGAGGGGCGGCCAACUUUAGGACAGACGGAGUCUUGGGCGAGUUCCUUUUAGCAAGGACUUCCUCAGUACAGCAGAAUGCUUAACAUUUGUAACCAAUUCACUAGGACCAUCGGGUUCCUCAUUUGAGCUGCUACUUACCGCACUAGCCACAUCCUCAGAUUCUUCAGCAGUAAAGCCAGACCCAAUAUAAGCAGAUUCUGGGAUCGGCUCAACAGGAACCAUUGUGGAAGGAGGUCCAGUAGGGCUGGGAAUCAAAGCACCUUUAUUUUUCUGGGCAGACUUGCUUAAAGCUUGAGAAGAAUUUGAUUUAUCCAUAAACUUCAAAGAAGAGAUAGGAGUCGAAGAGUCCUUCCCAUUAAACCCCGACGGUUGCCUCUUCUUCCGAGUUACCUGCUUCCAGCCAUCUUGCUGGUCAGCAUAAGACACCUUACAAGGCUGGGCGGGAGGAAUCGAUGGGGGCACUGUAGGCACAGCAGCAUCUCGAGCUUCCUCAGUAACAGCAUCAUGGGACUUAUCUACUACGGGUGCUGGAACUUCUUUCUCCUCACAGUUAUGGCCAAAGACCUGGCAUUUUGGACACGCAAUGGGUAUCCAUUCGUACAAGAUAGGAACAAUGAAGGACUCCCCAUUCAGAAAUACCUCCACAAAUUCACAUUUCUCUAACUUAGCCGACACUUCGACACAUACUCUUGCAAAAGACAAAUGUUUCAUUUUUUCAGUCAAUGGGUCCACAUAUAAGGGUCUACCGACCGCACUCGCUAUCUGGCUUAUCCCAAGAGCAGACCAAUAAGCAAAAGGUAUGUUUUUCAUACGGAUCCAAACGGGCACAGAGGAUUGCAAGUCCUUCCUCAGCUCAAGAGUGGGAUCCCAUUGUUUCAGAAUAAGUGGCACUCUAUUCACCGUCAAUGGACCUUCCUCAAGAAUCUUCCUGCGGUAAUCAGGGUCAGGAAUAAAGAAGAAAAAAAAUCCUUCAUCAUCAGCAAGCAUUUCAGUUAAAUGGGAGCCCCACGUCUCCUUAAGGACUGACUCAGUCAUUUUGAACGGCACAUUCUUGCCAAUGAAAUACCCCAUCAAACAAUGAUUCCAUUUUGGAUCUGCCGCAUGCACCACUUCCUCAGAGAGGUGCACCACUCCUCUUUUUCCAACAGAAGUUGGAGGCACGAAGCUAAGUUCAUAUCCCUUUGCCGAGAGCCUAGCAACAUUAACCCAUGAACGGGUUGGAGGGGCUUUCUGCUCACUCCAUUUUUGUCCAGCAGGACGAGCCACUCUAGGGCCACGAGAAGCAGAUCUAAGGCGGCUCCUACCACGCCUAGAGCCCGCUUGGGACUCCUCAUUUGGAUGGCCCAACUGACUUAGGAGAUUCGAAGAGGAUGCCAUUACGAAACAGCACAGUACCCCAACACAGCACCGGCCCAAACCCCAGAAUAAAUCAAGGAGAGCAAUCAGGCCAUACCAGGUGUUUGUAGGGGCUUAAGGGCCUUCAAGGACAAGGAGAUCCACCAGCAAUUAGCACACCAAUCAGUCAAAGUCACCCACGAAGACAGAGACCAGAAUCGGGAAAAGCUAGGCGCACCAGAAAUUCUGAUCGAGAGCUCCCAUCUUGAUAAAUGAAAACCAACCAAGCCAAGCUUACCUGGGGUUUGUAGGCAGUCCCCAUAUGACCUAGCCAACGAAAAAUCAGCUCCAAAUACCAGCGGAAUCAACCAGAAUCCACAAAAAACCAUCUGGAGUGAAUAGUGCCAGAAUCGCCCAAAUGGAGAGGAAAGUGAAUAGUAACCCGAGAAUUCUUUGAUCCGAGAUGCAUGCGUUCAACAUUAUGCUUCACAAAAUUGUGAUAAAUUGCCUCAGACCCAAAUCAACUUCAAAGACUGAUGUUUCUAACUCAAAGGCAAAGCUGAUGUACGCAAUCAAUGCUGGAAAAAAGUUCUCUCUUCCUCACACUAUUCUGUUUUACAUGUAUAGAGUAGUGGUGAAGGAGAAGGGCCAACUUCCUUAUCCAAGUCUUGUGUCAAAGAUAUUCAGACAUUUGAAUAUUCAGCCUCCAUAAAUUCUCUAUGUUCGACCCUGUGACAAAAUGGUGGUAGGACUGAAAAUGGUGUCCAAAAUGCGUCUGAAAGAUCUUGACAAGGCGUUGGAGAAAUUUAAGGAGGAAACCCCUGUCAAAUCUCAUCAAGUCUCUUCUGCAGCGAAAAAGAAAGGGAAGGAGCCCAUGGUUACUCCAUCUAGAAAGAGAAAAGCUCUCAUUAUUGAUGAAUAUGAUGAGGAUGACCUCACAAUUUCUGCUAUAGCAUUAAAGAAGCUGAGUCGUUCUGUUCCUGCAUCAGUAGAACGACAGGAGAAAGAAGCAGAGGAGAGAGUAGAACAGGAGAAAAAGGCAGAGGAGAGGGAAGAACAGGAGAAAGAAGAAGAUACAGAAGCAGAGGAGAGAGAAGCAAAGGAGAAGGAAGAAAAGGAGAAAGAAGCUGAAGAAAAAGAAACUGACAAGGAAAUGUUUGAAGAAGAAAAGGAAGGAGAGCAUGAGGAAAAAUUUUCUCCACCUGAAGCCAUGGAGACAAGGGGAGAUAGUGAAAACAUAGGAAUGUCCUCAUAUCCUGUUAACAGUGAAGGAGUCAGUCACUCUCCAGCAAAUCCAGAAGACAUUCAUGCCUCUCAAUUUCCUGAUGAGGGACAUGGUGCUUCAUCGCCAAAUCUGCGUGAUUAUGCUCAUAUACCAUCGUCUGCCUUUACUCCAUUAGAUCGUGCUGAAGCUAGUACGCAGACCGAUAACUUAGCAGAUCUUUGCAGAAUCAUUGAUGUUCUUUUGGAAUUGCGGGGUCAGUAUAUGCUUUGGAAAACGAAGUUCAGAACUUGAAGAACGCAGGACAAGCUUCUUCCAUUAAAUUGUCUGAUCAGAUCCAAGCUCUUUCUCUUUAGAUUCAAGCCAAUGCUAAAAGUGAAGAGGUGGAUCAUCUAAAGGAAGAUUUGAAAAAGCUGGAAGGCAUCAUCCAGUCCAUGGGAGAUUUCUAGCUUGUUCACAUUCCCAAGCAAACUUGACUCCAUUCUAUUCCCAUCUCAACUUCUUUUUAUGAUGAUGACAAAAAUAGGGAGAGAUUUGAAAUAUUUUGAACUUAAACUUGUUGAAUUUUUAGUUUGUUUUAACUUGUGUGUUUAUGUCUGGAUUGACUGAACGUGGAUUUGGAUUUGAAUGCUGUUUAUAUUAAGCACUAUUGAUAUUUUAUGAAUGGUUUUACUCUCAUGAAAGACUAACCUAUUUUCUGUGGUUGCAGAUUCUAGUGUUAUCAUUAAGCUAUUAAUCUUUAUGAGAUAUCCAUAUUUGCUUGAGUAAUGUUUUGCAGGUCAAAGUUAUUCAAAUCUGCAGGAAAGUUUUGUCACCAUAAAAAAGGGGGAGAUUGUUGGAGAAAUCUUUCUGGAAUAUUUUGAAACUGACAAAACAUUUCUAUCAGUCUGGUCUGAAGAUUUGCAGACUCUGCUAUUAAAGUCUGAAGACCUCCGGACAAUCAGACUCAAGACUCAAAGUUUAUUCUGAUUGACGGCUUCUAAUCCGUUGAAGAAAGGCUAUCCAGAACUGAGUGCUUCACUAAAGGAUUUGGCCUUAUUGACUGGAGAAGAUCUCUUGACUAGAUAAGACAUAACGGAUUUCUUUAUUCAAAUCAAGAAUGAUUAAAGAUCCGAUGGUUGACGAAGUAUUCCUAGAAGGUUCUACUUAUGGAAACCAAGAUCCUCAUUGUAUGGACGAGCAGGAUUGAUGGGCUAUCGACAUGUUCUUUUAAUAGCUCGAAUAAUCUUCCUAAUUGAUUCCGUCCAACGGGAGGAUUGGAAGAAUUCCUUUGGUAAGUGCCAACGGGUAUGAUGGUACAAAAGAGUAUAAAAGGAAGAUGUUCCAGUUGUUCGAGGAGUGCACUAUAGAAGAAUUCCAAAGUCUGAAGCUCUUUGAUUCUUAGUCAAUUCAUUUGCUGAGCAAAAUCUUGUACACAAAAGAGAGUCUAUACUUUGAGAGACCUUGAGGAAGUGUGAUAGAAUAUCUACACUGUGGAAUCAAGGAAAAGCAGUGCUGGAAUAUCUCUUUUGUUCAUGGUGAAAUCCAGCCAAUAGGCUGUCAGUGCAGAAGAGUGGACGUAGGCUUAAAAUAAGCUGAACCACUAUAAACCUUGUGUUCAAUCUUCUCUUCCUUACUCUCCGCUUUACUUUGAUCAUAGUUCUAUUUGUUAACUAAAGGAGAGUUUCUCUUCUGUUGUUGAUCCAGUAUUGCUUUCAUAUCUCAAGAAAUUAUUUAAACACCUAUUCACCCCCCCUCUAGGUGCUAUUACUAGCUAUAUCACAUAUGACAUGAGAUUCAAAUUGCUUCAUAAAGCUCAUUCAAGUAAAUGGUGGAAAAGUCUCAUUUGGAGGAAACAACACAUGAAGAAUUGUGGGAUUCAGAACUGUAAAGAUUGGAAACCUCACAAUCAGCAAUGUUUCCUUAGUGGAAGGACUCAAGUGGAAGGACUCAACUACAAUCUGCUCAGUAUCAGUCAGCUGUGCAAUACCGGUUUCAAAAUCAACUUUCAAGAAGGAAUAUGUUCAAGAACCAGUAAAGAUUCUACUAAGUCAUUCAUGGGUCGAAGACAUGGAAAUAUCUACCUCUUGGACAUGAAACCAGAUGAAUCGCAAUGUCUAAUCUCAAUUCAAGACGAAGCUAACUUAUGGCACAGAAAACUUGGGCACAUCAAUAUGAAGCAAAUAGCCAAAAUUUCAGCAAAGAAGCUGGUUUGUGGUCUACCCAAUCUGUCAUACCAAAAGUCUGAUCUAUGUACACCAUGUGUAUUAGGAAAGCAGGUAAGAAAUUCGAGGUUGGGACACCUGGAGUGCCAUAACUUGGCACAGAGGGACACUUAAGUGCCAUAAAUUUAAAAUGGUACACUUAAGUGCGAUUAUCAGAGUAAAAUGGAACACUUAAGUGCCAAUCCGGCCAAAAACCGGCCAAAAUGCAGACGUGGCAUUUUCCGGCGACAUGCUUAACUGAUGUGACAAUUUUUUUUUAAAAAAAAAGCACACGUGAAUGAGGAAAAUGACGUCGCCCCAUCCACUGUGCAUUUGGCCAAACUAAACGACGUCGUUUUUCCUUAGUGUUAAACGACGUCGUUUGGUGUAUUUGGAUCUUAACCUUUUGUCAGUUCACACUAGGUCUGACGUCCUCUCCAUCCAUCGCCGUUCACAACUCACCGUUAGCAAGUGAUCGCUCACCAUCGUCGCUCGCCUUCGUCGCUCGCCAUCGUCGCUCGCCGUCGUCACUCGCCAUCAUCGCUCGCCGUUGUCGAUUUGCUCAGGUUUUUUCUCUUCUUCAUCUCCCCUAUGGUGAAAUUAGGGCUCCGACUCGUUUAUUAGGGCUCAAACUUGAAAUUUGGGGGUCGGCUAGGAAAGCUCAGGCUUGAUGUGAGAUUUAUGGCUCAGAUGUGGUGCUACAAUCCUAUUGGGGGGUUCUAAUUGACAGUUUAGGAGCGGCAUUGAAAUAUAGGCUCGGUGUAGGGCUCGGCGAGGGGAAAAUUAGGGCUCGGUGUAGGGCUCAACAUCGCCUCAUCCACUAUGAUGUGUGAUUCAUUCAGGGUGUUGAAUUAUGAUGUGCGAAAGUAAUUUGUAGUGGUUAGAUGUGAAAUGUGCGAUGAUUGGUGAUUAUUAGGGUUCAGAGUAUUGGACUUUGGACAUGUUCGAAUUGAAGGUUGUGGGGAUGGGGACUUCUUGAUAUUUUUUUAAUAAAUUGCAUUGUUGAGGACCCAUGCUGAGGAAUCUCUCCAUAUUUUAAAGGAAUGCGACGGCAUAAUCAAAGCAGUUGUCGAGUGGUCCCAUCUUUAUUUUUAUUUGUCCUUGUCCUGAGGUCUCUUGUUUUCAAGCUGUAGCUGUCGUCUGACCACAUCUUCCCUCUCUCUUUCUUCUUUUCUUUUCUUUAAUAAAGAGUGUAGGGACCUCCACUUGCAAUUUUCUGUUCUUUGUGAAUGUGGUCCCAAAAGUUAAUUGUAUAUUUGUCCUCUUUUGUUGCAGAAAUGGCGCGUAAAGACUAUGUUGCUGUCAUCGUUUACUACGGUGGAGAUUUUGUGAUUGGGGAUGAUGAGUGGGAGUAUGAGGGGGGGGGGAAUGAGGGUACUAUCUUUGUAGAUAUAAAGAAGGCAUCUUAUAUUGGAUUUGUUAGGGAUGUAGUGACAUUUUUGCCUUGUAGAGUACAAAAGUUACUGUACUUUGUUCCUAGGAAGGGCUUGAGAGAUGGUUUGAGAGUUUUGGAAGAUGAUAAUGGUUUUAGGGAUGUCUUAUAUCAUUAUCUUCAUGGCGAAGAGGCAAAAUUGUUUGUUGAAAGCACUAGUGAUAGUGAGGACGAAGAUGAUGAUAGAGAUAACACCCAAGUAGGAGAAGGAGGAGAUGGUAUUCAAGCUAGUACUGAGGUUAGGGAUGAAGUAGGGCAUGAUGAACAGGAUGGGGAGGAGAGGGGCGCAGAUGCUGUUCACCAGAGCGAUUGUGACAUGGGUGAUGUCACAAUCACUGAAUUAGAUUGGGAAGUAGCUGAAUCCAGUGACGGUGAUGAUGAUGAUGACGAUGACGAUGAGGGGUUGGCUGCUGAAGCUAAAAAUUUAUUAAUCUUAAGUGACGCCGAUGAUGAGGAGUUUACACAGUCAAGGAAAAAACAAAUGGACUUUUUGUCAGAUAGUUUUGCAACUUUGCAUGUACCUGUUCAUCCAAAUAGAGACGAAGGCCCUGCAGAUGUUGAUGUUGCUGGCCAGGUCCUAGAGACAGAUUAUGAAGAAAGCAUCGACACCGCAACUUCCUAGGACGAAGUUGAAGAAGAUCAACGAGCUGUGCGUAGAAGGAAAAGUAAGUUUCCUUCCUAUGAUCCAUCUGUUGCCUCUCAUACUUUGUCAGUAGGUAUGAAAUUCCGUGAUGCGAUACAAUUUAGGGAAGCUAUACUGAAGAACUCCAUUGCUGCACAAAGAAAUAUUGAUUUCAUUAGAAAUACCAAGAAAUUUGUAAGAGCUAGGUGUUUGCAGCAAAACUGUCCAUGGAAGAUUUACGGUGCGUUUGUUAAGAAGAGUGGGUCUUUUCAGAUUAGAGCCUACCAAGAGGAACACACUUGUUCCAUUAAUUUUCAAAACAAAAGGGUAACAAGUGCAUGGUUGUCCAAGCACUUCUUCGAUCUGAUCAAGGUGAUGCCCGAGAUGAAAAUUGCUAACUUUAGGAUGCUGGUGAAGGAGCGUGUAGGCAUCAAUGUAUCUAGGAAUCGGUGCAAAAGAGCAAAGCAAAAGGUGAUAAACAUACUUAUUGGUCAGUAUGCUAAGGAAUAUGGGCAGGUGUGGGAGUAUGCUUGGGAGUGUAGGCUGCAAAACUCUACAAGUAGAGUGUAUGUAGAGGUGAUUGAGAGACCGCUUCCUGAUCAUGGGACCAAGUUCGAUAAGUUCUAUGUGUGCUUUGAUGCAUGUAGACGAGGAUUUUUAGCUGGUUGUAGACGGAUUAUAGGAUUGGACGGUUAUUUCUUGAAGGGCUUGUGCAAGGGAGAAUUGUUGGCAGCGAUUGGAAGAGAUGCGAAUAACCAAAUGUUCCCACUAGCUUGGGCUAUUGUAAAGAUUGAGAACAAAGACAAUUGGUCCUGGUUCUUGAAAAAUCUGAUGGCUGACUUAGAGAUAACAAACGGGGAAGGGUGGGCAUUCAUGAGCGACCAACAAAAGGUAAUGCAUUCAUGAACAUGUAAUUUGCUCUAGUAUUUCUUACUUUGAAUUCUUGCAGGGAUUGGUUUCGACAGUAGCCAAGUUGUUGCCCCAUGUUGAACAUCGAAUGUGUGUUCGGCACAUAUACGGAAAUUGGGCAAAUAACUAUAAAGGGGAUAAGCUGCAGUUGCAAUUUUGGCAAUUAGCAAAGAGUGCAAACCUGGCUGACUUUAGAAUAGCCAAAGAAGGACUGCUUCAGUUGACAAAGGAAGGUUGUGCUACCCUAUUUCAACUAGAACCGAAGCAUUGGUGCAGGGCAAUCUUCAGUGAGGAGUUCAAGUGCGAUAACGUUGACAACAACAUUUGUGAAGUCUUUAAUUCGAAGAUAAUAGAUGCCAGAUGCAAACUAGUCAUCUCAAUGCUUGAAGAUAUACGAGUUGCGGUUAUGACUCGGCUGCAGAAACAAAGAGAUGAGGCUGCAAAGUGGACAAGACAAUAUGGUCCUAGGAUUGUCAAGAAAUUGGAUGAGAACUUGGCUGCAAGUACGCAUUGUCAUCCCAUUUGGAAUGGAGAUGGCGGAUAUGAGAUAAUGAAGGGUGCAUAUAAGUAUGUUGUCAAUCUAGGAAGUAGGAAGUGUUCAUGUAGAGCAUGGCAAGUAAGUGGAAUUCCAUGUGCACAUGCCAUAUGUGCCAUCCAGUUGAAGGGCGACAAUACAGAUGAUUACAUCGAUGAUUGGUACCAUAAAUCAAAAUAUCUUGCUUCCUAUCAGUUCAUGAUGCAGCCAAUUAGAAGUAGCAAGUUUUGGGAGCCCAUGGAUCAUGAAGCACCUCAACCUUUGCCACUGAAGAAGAAAAUUGGAAGGACAAAACGAAGAUGAAGAAUGGCUGAGGGAGAGGUCUCGGGUCAGCAAAGAAUGAGCAGGCAGGGUGCAAAGAUCACGUGCUCUUAUUGUCACCUAACAGGCCACAAUAUUAAAGGUUGUCAAUUGAGGAAGCAACAACAACCGUUGAGGCAAUGUGAAGGGCCUAGUGAAGAGACAGUUGGAGAAAUGCACACAGCAGGGCCAAGUGAGUCGAUUGUUCUUCAGUCAACAAGCCCGGUAAGUCAUGAAAUUUAUUUUAUGUUUAUGUUGCUUUCUUGUCGUUUAUCAUAAAAAUGUACAUAAUAUCCUAUUUGGCCUUGUAUGUAAUGUGUUUGUUAGGUCACAAGAAGAACCUCAGUAAGUCAUGAAACUGAACAGCCUGUUCGAAGAAGGCAAGGUAGAAGACAGCCAGGUGAAGGAUUGGCCCAAGCAGCAUCACGGCCAGCUGAAGGAUUGACCCAAGCAGCAUCAAGGCCAGCUGAAGGAUUAGCCCAAGCAGCAUCAUGGCCAGUGCAGUUGACUGUUCUUCAACAGCGAAAGAAAUACCAGUGGUAAAUUCAACCAAUUUGUAUUCAGUUUUUAUUAUUAUAUGUCUCGAUAUUAUAUUUAUGGUAUCUUUUGGCCUCUUUCUCAGGUUCAAAGAAAGCAAGUUGGAACUCAACUGCCAACUGAAGGGCCAUCACAGGAGCCACCUCAAGGAUCAUCACAGGGGCCACUAGAAGAAUCAUUGCAAGGGGCACCACAAGUACCACCACCAGUACCACCAGAAGGAGGUGUCAUUGAAGUUGAAGGGCUACACAGUAGGAUAACUAGAACAAGGCCAGGUGAAGGGGCAGGUACACAAAGGCCAUCUAGAAGACGCCCAGCACAAUUGGUUGAAGAAGCCCCGGCUGUUGUUAAAGGGCCCAAGAAAGUAGGUAAAAGGGGCAACAAAUCACAAGUUCCUGAAAGUGACACCCCUAUUCAAACAAGAGGGGCACUUGGGAAGAGGUUAAGACAAUAUGGCUAUGGCCUUUAUACAGAUGAGCGUAUUGGAACAAUUAUUCUCAAUGUAAGUUUUAUUGGCUACAUUUAAUUUAAUUUUAAUUUAUGCUGUAGAUUUUUGCUAACAAUUUAUUGUUUUUUUGUAGCCUAGGAGAAGUUUAGAGGUUCUUAUCUCAGGCCCAACUGUGACACCCCUCGACGGCCCCCGAUCCUCUUUGGGUCGCCACAGUUUGCUUACUAUUUACUUUCCUAAUAACAUGUCACUCUGAUACCAUUUCAAUUGCAGCAGGUCCAUACAACAUAGGGGGUUUACACUUUUUUUUUUAUAGGUCCCUUGCACAAUUCAUAUACGGAAGCACAUCUAGCAAACUCCCUUCCCUAUAUUUAGAAAACGAUGCACACCUACUAAACAUUUAUAAGUAAAAGCCGAACACGUUUAUUUACAUAUGAUAUUGCUAGUAUAAACACCUAGAGGGGGGGUGAAUAGGCGCACAAACAAUUUGUCCCAAAUACGGAAGCAAUUCUUAACAAAUUGAAAUACGAUCGAGAUAGAGAUAGAGAAAUUUGAACACAGGAUUUAUAGUGGUUCGGCUUAUUCCAAGCCUACGUCCACUCUUCCGCACUGAUAGCCCACCGGCUGGAUUUCACUAUGAUCAAAAGAGAAGUUACAGCACAGCUUUGCCUUGAUUCCACACUGUAGAUGUUCUAUCACACCUCCUCAAGAUCUCUCACAAAUAUAGACUCUCUUUUGUAUACAAGUAUUCGCUCAAAGGAUUUAUCUAAACAAAUAGGAGCUUCAGACUUUGGAAUUCUUCUAUCGUGCACACCUCGAACAACUAAGAACGUCUUCCUUAUAUACUCCUUUAUGCCAUCAUACCCGUUGGCACUUACCAAAGGAAUUCCUCCAAUCUACCCGUUGGACGGAAUCAAUUAGGAAGAUUGUUCGAGCUAUUAAAAGGAACGUGUUGAUAGCCCAUCAAUCCUGUUCGCCCAUACAAUCAGGAUCUCGAUUUCCAUAAGUAGAACCUUCCAAUAAUAUUUAGACAAUCAUCGAAUCUUCAGUCAUUGAAUCAAACUUGAUCAAUCAAAGGAUUCUGAUACGUCUUCUCCAGCCACGAGAUCUUCUCCAGAUGAUAAGGUUAAAUCCUGAACAAAACAUCCAGUUCUGGAUAACCUUUCUUCAACGGAUUAAAGACUGUCAAUGAGGAUAGACUUUGAGUCUUGAGUCUGGCUGUCCGGAAGUCUUCAGACUUUAACUAACAGAGUUCGCAGACCUUCAGACUAGACUGAUGGAAACGUUUUGUCAACUUCAAAACACUUUCACUGAGAUUUCUCGAACAAUCUCCCCCUUUUUGAUGGUGACAAAACCUUCCUGCAGAUUUGGAUAACUUUGACCUGCAAAACAUUUCUCAAACACAUAUGCAUAUCUUAUAGAAAUAAAUGGCUAAUAGAAUAACACUAGAAUCUGCAACCACAGAAAAUAGGUUAGUCUAGUAUGUAAUUAAGCCCUUCAUAAGAUAUCAAUAUUGAUUAAUAGAAGCAGUCAAGUCAAGUCCAAGUCUAGGUAGUUCUUAUCCAGACACAAAACAAAGUCAAACAGGUUCAAACCAUAAACCUCAAAACAAUCCAACAAAAAGUUUAAUGAAUGAAAAGUUUUUGAAUCAAAUCUUGCAUCUCUCCCCCUUUUUGUCAUCAUUAAAAAGAAUGAGAUGAAGUUAAGAUUGCUUGGGAACGCGGACAAGUUGGAUAUCUUCCAUAGACUGAACGAUGCCUUCCAGCCUUUUAAAGUCUUCCUUCAGCUGUACAACCUCCUCACUCUUUGCAUUGGCCUGAUUCUGAAUAGAGAGGGCUUGCAUCUUAUCAUUCAAUGAACAGGAAGAAGCUUGACUUUCAUUCUUCAAGCUUUGAACUUCGCAUCCCAAGGCAUAAAUCUGACCUUUCAUCUCCAAGAGAAUAUCCAUGAUUCUGCGAAAAUCUGAUCCAUUAUCAGUCUGAGUACUUGCUUCGGCUCGAUCUGAUGGAGUAAAAGCAGACGAUGGUGGAUCAGCAUAAUCUCGCAGGUUUGGCGAUGAAGCUUCAUGACCUUCCUCUGGAAAUUGAGAUGCAUAAACAUCUUCUAGGUCUGCAGGCGAGCGACUGACUCCUUCACUUGCAUCAGGAUAUAAAGACGUCACUCCUUUCUCCUGAUCUCCCCCUGUUUCCAUGCCUACAGGUGGAGAAGAGAUUUCCUCAGGUUCUCCUUCUCCUCUUCUUUCUUCUUCUUCAGGUCUUUCUUCCUCUGCUUCUUGCUCUUCUUCUCUUUCUUCUUCUUCCUUCUCCUCUGCUUCUCUUUCUUCUUCUUCCUUCUCCUCUGCUUCUUUCGUCUUCUGUUCUGAUUCUUUCUGUGGAACAGGACGACUUAAAUUCUUCAAAGCCAUUGCAGAGAUGGUGAUGUCUUCAUCAUCAUCUUCAUCCUCAACGAGGAGAGCUCUUCUUCUCUUUGAUGGAGCAGCCAUGGGCUCCUUCCCUUUUCUCUCAGCAGCAGAAGAGAAUUUAUGAGAUUUGGCAGGAGUCUUCUCCUUGAAUUUCUCCAGUUCCUUGCUCAGUUCCUUCAGACGCAUUUUGGUCACCAUUUUCAGUCCUACCACCAUAUGAUCGCAUGAUCGAACACAAAAGAUUUGCGGAGGCUGAAUAUUCAGAUGUCUGAAUAUCUUCGUAACAAGGCUUGGAUAAGGGAGUUGACCUCUGUCCUUCAUCACUGCUCUAUACAUGUGAAACAUAACAGUAUGAGGGAGAGAAAACUUCUUUCCACAGAGGAUGGCAUACAUCAACUUUGCCUCAGAGCUUGAAACAUCAGUUUUGGAAGUUGAUUUCGGCCGAAGGCAAUUAAUCACAAUCUUGUGAAGCAAGAUGUUGAAUGCAUUCAUCCUUGAGUAGGUGAUCUUCUCAUCCGUUCUCCUGUCUUUCACCAGUUCAAGUGUGGCCCGAGCAAUGGAAACUUUGAUUGGUUGAUAUCUGCCUCUCUCAACUUCUAACACAUCUGCCAGCAUAUUCAUAUCCACAACAUAGUCUUGUUCUUUAACGCUGAAGGAGAAUCUAUUCGCAUCUAAAAAGCUAAGAUUUGAAUAGAAAUAUGCAGUCAAUUCAGCAUAAGCCUUAGUUGAGUCAGAACAGAACUUUUCAAGUUGAAGAUAACUGAACUUUUCCCUCAAGUUCACUUUCACAGCAUCCAGAAAAUCAAAGUCCACACUCCUAGGUUUUAUUACCCCACCCUUCAGCAAUUUCGAGUACAGAUCCUUUUGUUCCUUUGAUCUGAACAAAUCUCCCAUUUUUCCUUGAAUUUCAGCCGCAAUACCCAUUUUCGGUUGAAAUAGACUGAACAGAUUAUCAUCGUCAUUUCCAUCUAUAGGAUUCGGCCCCCAGUCACGAGGAUCACUUGGGAUAUUCACAAGAGUUUCCUCAACCACCCCUUUACGAGCGAUUCCCAAACUUUCCAUUUUUCGCAGAAAGAUAUAUUCAUUCCUAUAUCCUUUGUCUCUAAGAAACUCAUCAACAUAGUUCAAAGGAGUACAAAUUCCUUUUAAGGCACGAUAUAGCUUGUAAAUAAAAGCGGGCUUUUGAACUCUUACGGGAUCUGCAUCCUCGAUGAUUUCUUCCUGAUGCUGAUGAACAACGCCUUGAGGACUAGAUGGUGGAGAAUGACGCUGCUGAGAAUGUUGUGGGCUCGGUUGCUGAUUUGGAGUAACUUCAUCUUCAGUAAGAUCGAAGUGCGUAGGCCCCUCACUCAUUCUCUGUGGUCCCCUGCUUGCGAUUCUUGAGGACUUUCGCGAAGAUGACAUCUUUCUCAGUGUUUGGAAGAUUCCUUGCUUGACUUUCCCAGAAAAGAUGACAACUUUUUUGAAGAUUGAGCGAAGAAGACAAACGGGAGUGGAGGAUCGAUGCUUUCUAGGGUUUUUGAGAGAAAAGUGAAUAGAAAAGUGAAGAGAAAUCGACAAUGCUCAUUCGGUUAAAAAGAAGGGUAAACGAACCGUCACAAAGGAAAUAAAAAUAUGCCUUUUCAAAAUAACUGUCUUUAUCCGCAAAAAUAGCUAUUUCAAAAAAUAACUUCCUUUUUGAAAAUGAAUCCUUUUGAAAAUGAAUCGAUGCAAUUUUUUACGUUAAUUAAAUAUAGCAACAAUUUAAACAAGUCUGAUGAUCGUACCUUUUCAAGAUAAGAUUGGAGAGAGAUGGACUUACAGUCUGAAGGUCGAGCCAAGACUGUUGAUAAAGUCUUGAAAGCCUGAGUCUGAAAGUCUUUAGACUUUGAUAUCCUCAUACUUCAAAAUGUUGAGUCUGGACCGAAUAGACUCAAAUUGAUUUUUCUCCAAAGGCUUUGUGAGUAUAUCAGCCAGUUGAUUCUUUGAGUCAACAAAUUGAAUUGAAACAUCUCCAUUUUGAACAUGAUCUCUAAUAAAGUGAUGUCGAAUCUCUAUAUGCUUUGCUCUUGAAUGGAGAAUUGGAUUUUUGGUGAGGUUGAUAGCGCUGGUGUUGUCGCAAUUAAUCUCCGUGCAUGAGUCUUCAAUUUCAAAAUCUCUUAGCUGUUGUUUUAUCCAUAGAAUUUGCGAACAGCAGCUUCCAAGAGCUACAUAUUCUGCUUCUGUUGUUGAAAGAGACACAGUGCUUUGUUUCCUUGAAAACCAAGACACUGUUCUGCUUCCAAGCAACUAGCAAGUUCCUGAAGUGCUCUUUCUAUCAACUCUGCAACCGGCCAGAUCUGCGUCUGAAUAUCCCAGAAGUUUAAAGUCUCCCUUCUUAGGAUACCAAAGACCGAUGCUUGAUGAUGAGGCGAUGUAUUUAAUGAUGCGUUUCGCAGCACUGAGAUGAGAUUCUCUAGGAUCUGAUUGAAACCUAGCACAGAUGCAAACACUCAACAAAAUAUCAGGUCUAGAGGCAGUUAGAUAAAGAAGUGAUCCAAUAAUGCUCCUGUACAGCUUUUGAUCAACUUUCUUCCCUUCUUCAUCUUUGUCUAUCUUUAAAGAACUUGACAUUGGUAUGUCGGUCUUUUUGCACUUUUCCAGUCCAAACCUUUUGACAAGAUCAUUAACAUAUUUUUCUUGAUAAAUAAAAGUUCCUUCCUUCAAUUGUUUUACUUGAAGACCAAGAAAGAAUGUUAACUCUCCCAUCAUACUCAUUUCAAACUCAUCCUGCAUAGACUUUGAAAAUUUCUUGCACAGACUUUCAUUAGAGGAUCCAAAAAUAAUAUCAUCCACAUAUAUUUGAACAAGUAAGAAACUUUUGUUUUCCUUCUUGAUAAAUAAAGUCGUAUCUACUUUACCUUUGACAAAACCAUUUUGUAUUAGGAACUUACUUAACCUGUCGUACCAAGCCCGAGGUGCUUGCUUUAAACCAUACAAAGCCUUUUUCAGUCUGAAGACUGAGUCUGGCUUCUUUGGGUCUUCAAACCCUGGUGGUUGUUCCACAUAAACUUCCUCAUGGAUAAAUCCAUUUAGGAAGGCGCUUUUGACUUCCAUUUGGAAUAACCUGAAAUUCUUAUCACAAGCAAACGCAAGUAAUAGUCGAAUAGCUUCUAACCUUGCUACUGGAGCGUAAGUCUCAUCAUAGUCUAUUCCUUCUUCUUGCGUAUAUCCUUUGGCCACGAGUCUUGCUUUGUUUCGUACGACUUUUCCUUUCUCAUUCAUCUUGUUUCUGAACACCCAUUUAGCUCCAAUAACAGUUUUACCUUUUGGUUUGGAUGUUAAUUCCCAGACAUCAUUAAUGCUGAACUGUCUGAGCUCUUCUUGCAUAGCUUCAAUCCAGCUUUCAUCAGACAAAGCUUCUUCUAUGCUCUUUGGUUCAAUUUCAGAAACGAGUGCCAUAGCACUAGACUCUUCUCGCCUUUUGGAUCUGGUGCGAAUUCCUUCAUUAAUUUCGCCAAUUAUAAGAUCUUUGGGAUGACUGGACUUAUGCUUCCAGUUACUUGUUGAUUUGUCUGGUUGAUGAUCUCUUUCUUUAUUUGGAUCUUCACUAACAACCUGAUGCUGGUUUUCCAGAGUCUGAGAUGCUUCUUGAGUUGUAGACUUUGGAGGGUCUGGAGCAGGUUCAGACUCUUCUUGAUGAGUCUGACUUGAUUCAUCUUGCGUUGAGUCUUGAAAUUUGACAUUCAUUGACUCCUCUACAGACUGACUCUUCUUGUUAUAGACUCUGUAAGCUUUGCUUGAAGUAGAAUAUCCAAGGAAGAUUCCUUCAUCUGAUCUUUCUUCAAACUUACCAACUCGAUCUUUUGCAUUUUUCAAUAUAAAACAUUUGCAACCAAAUACAUGAAAGUAUGAAACAAUAGGCUUCUUUUCUUUGAAUAACUCAUAAGGGGUUUUCUGAAGAAUAGAUCUUAAGAAGACUCUAUUGAUGAUAUAGCAUGCUGUUGAAACAGCUUCAGCCCAAAAUCGAGAAGAAAUUUUACUUUCAAUUAAAAGAGUUCUAGCCAUUUCUUGAAGAGAUCUGUUCUUUCUUUCCACAACUCCAUUUUGCUGAGGAGUAUAUGGAGAGGAGAACACAUGCUUAAAGCCAGAUUCAUCACAGAAUUUUGUAAAAUCUUGAUUUUCAAAUUCACCUCCAUGAUCUGUUCUUAUACUAGAGAUAACACAUCCUUUUUCAUUUUGAACCUUUUUAGCAAAUUUUUCAAAAUACGAAAAGGUUUCGGACUUACUUGAAAGGAAAUAUACCCAAGUAAAACGGGAGUAAUCAUCAACAAUUACUAGGCAAUACUUCUUACCCCCAAUACUCUGAGUUCUGGUUGGUCCGAAGAGAUCCAUAUGCAGCAACUGUAGUACAUGAUUAGUAGAGACAUGAUUUAUUGGCUUAAAAGAAUUUCUUACCUGCUUUCCCAGAAUACAUGGAGUGCAUGAAUCAGUCUUUUGGUAUGGCAAUUUGGGUAGACCUCGAACAAGCUGCUUUGAUGAGAUUUUGGCUAAUUGCUUCAUGUUGACAUGACCAAGCUUUUUGUGCCAUAAGCUUGCUUCGUCUUGAAUUGAGAUAAGGCAUUGCGAUUCAUUUGGUUUCACAUCCCGAAGAUAGAUAUUUCCAUGUCUUCGACCCAUGAAAGAUUGAGUAGAGUCUUUACUGAUUCCAGAACAUGUUCCUUCUUGAAAGAAGAUCUUGAAACCAGUAUCACACAAUUGACUAAUGCUGAGAAGAUUGUAAUUGAGUCCUUCCACUAAGGAAACAUUACUUAUUGUGAGAGUUCCAAUUUUCACGGUUCCAAAUCCCACAAUACUUCCUUUGUUGUUUCCUCCGAAUGAAACUUUUCCACCAUUUACUUGAGAAAGCUUUAUAAAGCAAUUUGAGUCUCCUGUCAUGUGUCUUGAGCAUCCGCUGUCAAGAUACCACUUUACAUGUUUCUUGACGGAGACCUGCAUUUAAAAUAAAGUCUCAUGCUUUCUUUGGUACCCAAAUUUUCUUGGGUCCUUUGGUGUUAGUAAGAUAAACAGUAUUAGCCCAUACUUUCUUAACAGGUUUCCAUACCAUAGGACACUCUUUUUCAAAGUGAUCCGGACUGUUGCACUUAGAACAUCUGAGAGCAUUUCUACCUACGGGUUUUACAAAAACUUUCUUGAAGUGAUUUUUGUAAACCUCACUUGAAAGCCUUUUCUUAAUUCUUUCUUUUACUUUAGGAAAAUCAAUCAAGGGAAUUGUUUCUUCUGUCAUACCAAGACCAGACUUAUUGAAGUAAGGUCUUUGUGCUGAAAGAAUUUUCUCAAGUUUUUCAGACCCUAUAGAAAAUUUCUUUGAUAUAUUUGAUAAGUCUGUUUUUAAAAAGACAUUUUCUUUUAAAAGAUUUUCUUCAUUUUCUUUAAGAUUGAAAAUAGACAAGUCUAGACUUUUAACUUUUUCUGUUAAAACAUUUUCCUUUUGUUUUAGAGCUGAGUUUUCUUUUUUCAGUUUGGAAAUUCUUUUGAGAGAAGUCUUAAGACUAAAACAUAGUUCAUCAAUAUAUUUAGAAACUUUGACAGGAAUUUUAAAAUUACUUGCCUCAAAUUCACUGUCUGAGUCUGAUCCUGAGUCUGAUCCAGAGUCUAAGUCUGAUUGUGCCAUCAGACAUAGAUUGGCACAUUCAUUAUCACUUUCUUCACACUCAGUAUCACUCCAGGUUUCAGCUUUGAGAGCUUUUCGAAAUUUUUCAGCGUUUCCUUUCUUCUUCUUCAGAAGAGGACAGUUGGGUCUGAUGUGCCCCUUUUUCUUGCAUUCAAAGCAGACUACAUCUUUAUUUGGUUCCUCAUCAUCAACAGACUUGGUCUGCUGUCUUUGAAAGCUUUGUUUCUUUGAGUUGAACCUUCUUCCUUUUCUAUUUAGUUUUCUGAAUCUUCUUAUCAUGAGAGCAAGCUCCUCAUCGUCCAUAUCAUCUUCAGAAUCUAUAUCAUCAGAAUCAUCAUUUGAUUUUAAUGCAAUGGAUUUCUUACCUUUUGGAUCUUCAUCUUCAUUGAUCCUUUCCACUUCAUAGGACUGAAGAGUUCCAAUCAGCUCGUCAACAGAUAGUGGCAUAAUUCUCUGCGUCUCUCUUAUCGAAGUCUUUAUGUGAUUCCAAUCCUUGGAGAGUCCACGCAGUAGCUUGUUUACCUUCAUGGGAUCAGAAGUUGGUUGACCUUGAUUUUCAAGACCAUUUACAAUAUCUAUAAAACGACUAAACAUGUCAGAUAUUGAUUCUCCUGGUUUCAUUCUGAAGGCUUCGUAUUGACUAAGAAGAAUGUUGAUUCUUGUUUCCUUCACUCGAUCUGUUCCUUCAUAGGUGAUAUGCAAUCUGUCCCAAACUUCUUUUGCUGUACCACAAGAAGAUAUUCUAUUAUACUCAGUUGGUGAUAAAGCACAAUAUAAGGAGUAAAUUGCUUUUGCAUUGAGUGUUUGUCUCUUGGUUAUUUCUUCCUGAGACAUUCCGCUGGUUUCUUCAGUUUCUUUUCCUUUUUCAGAGACUGAUGCAGUGGUAGGAGUAAUUCCUUUUUCUACAACGUCCCAUUCCAAAGGAUCCUUUGAUUGUAGGAAAGCUUUCAUCUUGUUCUUCCAGAUGUUGUAAUCCUUUCCAUCAAAGUAGGGUGGUCUGGUAUUGCUUUGUCCUUCCAUCAGCCCUGGUGCUAGCAUACUAGCCAUGGAUCUUUUACUAUGAAGUAAAACACUUCAAAUAAAGUAAGUACACAGGCUCUGAUACCAAUUGAUAUUGCUAGUAUAAACACCUAGAGGGGGGGUGAAUAGGCGCACAAACAAUUUGUCCCAAAUACGGAAGCAAUUCUUAACAAAUUGAAAUACGAUCGAGAUAGAGAGAGAAAUUUGAACAUAGGAUUUAUAGUGGUUCGGCUUAUUCCAAGCCUACGUCCACUCUUCCACACUGACAGCCCACCGGCUGGAUUUCACUAUGAUCAAAAGAGAAGUUACAGCACAGCUUUGCCUUGAUUCCACAGUGUAGAUGUUCUAUCACACCUCCUCAAGGUCUCUCACAAAUAUAGACUCUCUUUUGUAUACAAGUAUUCGCUCAAAGGAUUUAUCCAAACAAAUAGGAGCUUCAAACUUUGGAAUUCUUCUAUCGUGCACACCUCGAACAACUAAGAACGUCUUCCUUAUAUACUCCUUUAUGCCAUCAUACCCGUUGGCACUUACCAAAGGAAUUCCUCCAAUCUACCCGUUGGACGGAAUCAAUUAGGAAGAUUGUUCGAGCUAUUAAAAGGAACGUGUUGAUAGCCCAUCAAUCCUGUUCGCCCAUACAAUCAGGAUCUCGGUUUCCAUAAGUAGAACCUUCCAAUAAUAUUUAGACAAUCAUCGAAUCUUCAGUCAUUGAAUCAAUCUUGAUCAAUCAAAGGAUUCUUAUACGUCUUCUCCAGCCACGAGAUCUUCUUCAGAUGAUAAGGUUAAAUCCUGAACAAAACAUCAAGUUCUGGAUAACCUUUCUUCAACGGAUUAGAGACUGUCAAUGAGGAUAGACUUUGAGUCUUGAGUCUGGCUGUCCGGAAGUCUUCAGACUUUAACUAACAGAGUCUGCAGACCUUCAGACUACACUGAUGGAAACGUUUUGUCAACUUCAAAACACUUUCACUGAGAUUUCUCCAACAACAUAGAGCUAAUGGACAUCUUUAGUCCGUACAUCAAAAUGCCAUAGUUUUCUAUACUAGGCUACACUUCAAAAGAUGACCGACAUCUCCUCCCACAAUCGUAUGCUUAAGGUCCAUCAACCAGUGUCGGCGUCUAAAGGUUCCCUCCUUUUGCUAUCCUUCUCCUCGCGGUCAUAUCCAACCGCUUAAACCAUCUACUAAUCUGAAAUGUUAUUCCCCAAAAGGGGUGAGUACAACCACUCAGCAGGUAAAGGAAUCCAAUAACAACUCGAUGCAUCAUACAAAUCAUAUAGAAAUUUACCUUGCAGCCAUGCGUAACUUACCUUGCAUCAUACAAUCUGAAAUGUUAUUCCCCAAAAGGCGUAACUUACCUUGCAGCCAUGCGUAAUACUAUCAUGCAUCAUCAUGCCUUAUCAUCAUGCAUAUCAUAUCAUCAUAUGUCAUCAUCAUAAUCAUCAUCAUGGCAUCAUUAUAUCAUACAUGUCAUCCUUAUCAUGACAUCAUCACAUCACAUAUUAUCAUCAUCAUCAUGCAUAUCAUCACGCAUAUCAUACCAUGGAUCAUCAUCAUGCAUAUCAUCAUGCAUAUCAUACUAUGGGUGAUCAUCAUAUCACAUCACAUAUCAUCAUCAUCAUCAUGCAUAUCAUCAUGCAUAUCAUACCAUGGGUGAUCAUCAUAUCACAUCACAUAUCAUCACCAUCAUCAUGCCAUGAGUUAAUUUUCAUCAUUAUCUUUAAAUUUGAUCACCACAUCACCCUUCCUCGAUUCAUCAAUUUCAUCCCAUAUUUUACCCUCGCAUCCCAUGUGAGAAAAACCUCCGAGCAUGUAUCCAAGAUACAACCGGGCAUCCGGCCCCCCACAUUCCGGGCAUCUCGCAUCCCAACUAGCAUCACGAGGAACCUCCGGGCAUGUAUCCAAGAUACAACUGGACAUCCGGCCUUUACCCUUCUAGCCGGGCAUCUCGCACCCAAAUCCUAGCAUCGCGAGGCAUUCCCUUCCGGCAAAGACCUCCGACAGGGCUUCCGGAAUUAUGUACCGACAUACCACCAGGCCUCCCCUGGAAUUAUGUACCGUAUACCACCGGGCAUCCCGACACUCCCGGGGAAAUCCAGCAAUGUAUCUCUAUACAUUCCGGCCAUCAUCCUCCACCACAACCAUUUCCUCAUUUACCAUCAUUCACAUUUACCAUUUCUUUAUCUCAAUUUAACAUAGCAAUUGGCAUGGCAUCAAACAAAUCACACUUGACAUGGAAUUCACACUUGCAUCUCAAUUCAAAUGUCAUACACAUACCAAAACUUUAUCACACAUGCAUCUCAAUUCAAUACAUGUACCAAGACUUUAUCACAUAUAUGCCACACAAAUAAAAUUGAAUCCAUGGCCAAAUAAAAAUCUAUUUUAUUUUAUUUUAUUUUAUUAUUUUAUUUAUUUAUUUAUUAUUUAAUAUCAAUAAAUUCCCAAAAUUAUCAAAAUCCAAGAAAUUAUUAAACAAACCCAUAGGAUGAUAAUUACUUGCAAAAUUCAUGGCCAAAUUGAAUUUUUACUAAAUCUCACAAUUUUCCCAAAACAUCCUAUGAUUCUCGAAUUAAACCAGAAUGCACGGUUUCCGAAUAAAUUCAAUUAAAAUAUCCAUAUGGCCUCCAAAAAUUAUGAAAUUUUACUGGGUUAUAGCCAAGACAUUUUCGUACAACUUUCAUGCAGAAAUCCAAGUCAGAUUCCUUAUAGAUUAUUUUAUUCAACCUCACGAAGCUUCUGGAACCCUUACCGCAUCGUCUAGAAUACACAUCUCCGAAAUACUGAGAUUUAACCUACCUAUCCUCUUUCGUUUUCUCUGGAAUUUGGAUAUGUUAUGUAUCAAGGUGUCCUUUACAUGUUUUGUGAAGAGAUCUAGGUCAAAUAACCAAAUUAUGGUCACUAUUUAAGUCCAUGAAGUCUCGGGUGUCUCGGAACACAUCACCAGAAUCAUCGUCCCCAAGAUCUAGCCGAUUUACUAGGCUAUACUUGUUCAUUUCUCUUCAAAUUUGAGUAUGUUGUAGUUUAAGGUGUUACCUACAACUUUCAUGAAUAAAUCGAAGUCAGAUCUUCAACAAAAAGCAACAUGCAAUCAAGAAUCCAACAAGAGAUCAGUGAAAACUUCACAGAUCUGAGGUCUCCGUAUAACAAGACUUAAACCCCUCAAAUCUCCAUCAUUUUCCACGAAAUUUCAGUAUGUUAUAGUAAAAGAUGUUAGCUACAACUUUAAUGAAGAUAUCACAGCCAAAAUCGAACUCUAAACAUGCAUGCAAGCUCUCACAACAUUCUGACUUAAACAGUUCAUACGAAAAUAUUCCAGAUCUAGCAUCUCCGUAGGAUGAGGGUUUGACCCCUCAAAGCUGCAUCAUUUUCCACGAAAUUUCAGUAUGUUAUAUUUAAAGAUGUUAGCUAAAAUUUUCAUGAAGAAAUAGAAGCCAAAAUCGGACUCUAAACACACAUGCAAGCUCAAACAAGUUUCUGACUCCCAACAGUUCAUGCGAAAACAUUGGUGCAAGAGUAGAAAGUGGAUUCCCAACUUGCCUCUAGACCUCACGAACAGCACGAGCGGACGGCACACGGCGGCGAACGGGCUCCUUUCUCUCCCUCUCGGCUUCCUCUCUCUCUCGCACGAUUCUCUCUCUCUCUCCCUCACUUGGCCGAAUGGCUAACCGGCCAUUCUCUCUCCUCUUCUUCCCUUUUAUAUUGCAUGCACUCUAGGUUUGCAUGAGGGACAAGUGUAAUUGUGGAGGAAGACAAGUGUCCACCAUGCUUCACCUCCUCCAUGCCACUUGUCCUAUUGCAUGCAUCAUGGGCCGGCCACCUCUUCCUUUGGGCCUUAAUGGGCCGGUCGAACUCCCUCUUGGGCCGACUAGCUUGGCCCAUCAAGCUUAGGCCAAAUGGGCUUAAGGCCCAUUCGAAAAUUAACCCCUUUUUCCCUUUUUUUGUUUGAAUUCCUUUCUAUAAUUAUUUUUAAAUUUCAAUUUUCAUCUUGGCCAAAGUCUUGGGACAUUUUGUUCAUUGAAAUUUAAUUUAUAAAGUACAUGGCCAAGCAUAAAUUAUUAAUCUAUCAAAUUUAAAUUUUCACAAUCAUAUGCACAAAUCAUCUAAUUAAAGACUAAUGGCUAAAGCAUAAGCCAUGGAAAUUUUUAUCACUUAAUUAGGAACUUUAACACACCUCAUGGCUUGGCUUUGAAUUUUGGGAUGCCACACCAACUCAAGAAUCGAUGGCUGCACCAACAAAAAAGAAAACAUCAACUGUGCCAACAAAAAAGAAGAGAAAGAACCCAGCUCCAGCUCCUUUUGAUUCAAUUUGGCCUAGGACAUUUGCAGCUCCAUCUGAGUCAGUGGAUACUGAGAAGGUUGAAGAAGAAGUUGCACGUCCAGUUAGAAAGAGUGCCAGAAUUAUGAAUCAAGUGAAAGGCCCAUCGAAAGGAGCACGAAUAGGGGGUGUCGUGCAUAUUGAUUGAUGAGAUGAAAUGUGAUAGGAUUUGUGGAGCUUAUGAGUCAAAACAGUUAUGUAAAUGUUGAUGUUGUCAGACUUUCUAUGGAUGGUCAUCUUUUUUUUUUUCUUUAGUUUGUCAUUCAUUGAUGUUGUCAGACUCAGACUUGAUGAAAUAUCAAUGAAAUGAUCUUGCGCUGCUUGUCAAUUUAUGUUGUUGUUUAUCAUGGAUUCUACUUUUACUUGUUGCUGCUGCUGUUGGUGUUCUGUGGUGAUAGCUGGUGUAUCUGGUGAUUGUGGGUGGUGAUGUUUGGUGGUAGUCAGUUUGUUGUUGGGGUGCUAAUGUGGUGGCUGGGGUGCUGGUGUGGCUGGUGGUGAUGCCUAGUGAUUAUCAAUUUGUGGUGGGGGUUAUAGGCUUAAGCAGUUGCACCUACACCUGGUACAAGUGUGCAGUUUGCACAUCUUCCACCAUGUGUACUAAUGCAAACUAGUGCAAGGCUCCGCUUGCACUAGUAUCUUGUGCAUCAACACCACCACCAUGGUGGUGGCUGGAGCGCCUAGUGUGUAGUGUGGCUAGUAAUGAUGGUGAUGGUUGGUGGUGCAGCCGGUUCCGGUGGCUGGCGCAAUUUUUAGAGAAAACCCACAAAAAAAUUGGCAACUCCAUACAACAGCACAAACAAUGAUCUUGUGGAACAACACAAACUUCUUCGCAUCUUUCAAAAAGAAAAAACUCUACGUUUAAUCCAGAACAACACCAUUUUUAACUAUGGCAGUUGGAGAAACUUUUUCUCAUUUUCAAGUACUUUACAUUUCAUCAUAAAGUACAAUAGACAACAAAACAACACCAUAAUACACGCUUGGUAACACUUUCGUUCAAUUUUCAUCAUUGAAACUUCAUUCUUGAAAGGUUUAGUUGAAGAUGCUUGAGCGUGCAUUGAGACUUCAUUCUUGAAAAGUUUAACUGAAGAUGCUUGAGCUUGCAUUGAGUCAACAUCGUCCAAGUCGUCCACGAACACAGAUGGAGAUUGCUGUCUUUUAUGAAGUAGAUCCAAUAUCACCUCUGUGGCUCGGUUAGAGAACUUCUCAUCGAUCCAUUUGAAGUAUUUGUACUUCGACGCUUCUUUAUAUUGGGCGCAUCCAUAAAAUCUUCUCCCAGGAUUGAUUUGAGUCCACGAUGUUCUUCUUGGACUCAGUAACCCACACAAAUAGAAACGCUGGCCUUCUCCUUCACUUCGGUGCGAGGAAAUUGAGGCGCUGCUGCGAGUCCUACUCUCCAUUUCCAAGAUUUGACGAAGGAAUUUUGGGCAAAUGAAAAUUAGGGUUCAAGACUUGAAUUCGAGCACUUCAAUAGGGAUUUUGGCCGAUUUAGGGUUUUAGAUUUGGGGCAUUUGGGGAGACGACGUCGUUUUUGGAAGAUUUUGGGCUUUUAUUAUGCAGACGACAUCGUUUCUGGUGAGUUAGAGCCGACUCAGCUCUCCGGCGAGCCACGUAGGCAAAAAAUAAUAAUAAAAUAUUGCCACGUAGGAUUUCUGGCAAGGGUCGCCGGAGGUGGCACUUAAGUGUCCCACUAGAAAAAAAAAGUGGCACUUAAGUGUACCGUUUUGAAGUUAUGGCACCUAAGUGUCCCCCCGUGCCAAGUUAUGGCACUUGUGCUGUACUUCUGCCUAAGAAAUUCCUUUAAACCAAUAAAUCAAGUUUCCACUAAUCAUGUACUGCAGCUUCUGCAUAUGGAUCUCUUUGGACCAACCAAAACUUAGAGCAUUGGAGGUAAGAAAUAUUGCCUAGUAAUUGUGGAUUACUACUCACUAUUUACUUGGGUAUAUUUCCUGACAAGUAAGUCUGAAACAUUUUCUUACUUUGAAAAGUUUGCUAAAAAGAUUCAAAAUGAAAAAUGGUAUGUUAUUUCAAGUAUAAGAACAGACCAUGGAGGUGAAUUUGAAAAUCAAGAUUUUACAAAAUUCUGUGAUAAAUCUGGUUUUCAGCAUGUGUUCUCCUCUCCAUACACUUCAGAGCAAAACGGAGUUGUGGAAAGAAAGAAUAGGUCGCUUCAAGAAAUGGCUAGAACUCUUUUAAUUGAAAGUAACAUCUCUUCACGUUUUUGGGCUAAAGCAAUUUCUACAGCAUGUUAUAUUAUCAAUAGAGUUUUCUAAGACCUAUUCUAGAAAAAACCCCCUAUGAGUUAUUCAAAGAAAAGAAGUCUAUUGUUUCAUAUUUUCAUGUGUUUGGAUGUAAAUGCUUUAUAUUGAAAAAUGCAAAUGAUCGAGUUGGCAAGUUUGAAGAAAAAUCAGACGAAGGCAUCUUCCUUGGAUAUUCUACCUCAAGCAAAGCCUAUAGAGACACAACAAGAAGACUCAAUCUGUGGAGGAAUCAAUGAAUGUCAAAUUCCAAGAUUCUUUGCAAAAUGAAUCUAUUCAGACUCAUCUUGAAGAAUCUGAACCUACUUCAGACUCUACAAAGUCUAAAUCUCAAGAAGUAGUUCAGAUUUCGAAAGACAAGCAUCAAAUGAUUGUUGAAGAUUUAAAUGAAGAAAGUGAUCAUCAACCUGACAAAUCAACCAGUAACUGGAAGCAUAAGUCCAGUCAUCCCAAAGAUCUCAUUAUAGGCGACAUUAAUGAAGGAAUUCGCACAAGAUCCAAAAGGCGUGAAGAGUCUAGUGAUGUGGCUCUUAUUUCUGAAAUACAACCCAAAAGAAUAGAAGAAGCUUUAUCCGAUGAAAGCUGGAUUGAAGCUAUGCAAGAAGAACUCAAGCAAUUCAGUAUUAAUGACGUCUGGGAAUUUACUCCUAAACCGAAAGGUAAAUCUAUUAUUGGAGUUAAAUGGGUUUUCAGGAACAAGAUGGACGAGAAAUGAAAGGUCGUAAGAAACAAAGCAAGACUCGUGGCCAAGGGAUAUACGUGAGAAGAAGGGAUAGACUAUGAUGAGACUUAUGCACCAAUAGCAAGGUUAGAAGCAAUUAGAUUAUUACUUGCUUUUGCUUGUUAUAAGAAUUUUAGGUUAUUCCUAAUGGACGUCAAAAGUGCUUUCCUGAAUGGAUUUAUCCAUGAGGAAGUCUAUGUGGAACAACCACCUGGGUUUGAAGACCCAAGGAAACCAGACUUAGUAUUCAGACUUAAGAAGGCUUUAUAUAGUUUAAAGCAAGCACCUCGAGCUUGGUACGACAGGCUAAAUAAAUUUUUAAUUCAAAACGGCUUUGUCAAAGGUAAAGUAGACACUACUCUGUUUUUCAAAAGAGAAAGCAAAAUUUUUCUGCUUGUUCAAAUAUAUGUUGAUGAUAUUGUUUUUGGAUCCUCUAAUCAAAGUUUGUGCAAGAAAUUCUCUAAGUCUAUGCAAGAUGAAUUUGAAAUGAGUAUGAUGGGUGAACUAACCUUCUUUAUUGGACUUCAAGUGAAACAAUUGAAGGAAGGAACCUUUAUUCUUCAAGAAAAAUAUGCUAAUGAUCUUGUCAAAAAGUUUGGACUGGAAAAUUACAAAAAGACUGAUAUACCAAUGUCAAGUUCUUUGAAGAUAGACAAAGAUGAAGGAGGAAAGAAAGUUGACUAGAAGCUAUACAGGAGUAUCAUUGCUUCACUUCUAUAUCUUACUGCUUCUAGACCAGGCAUUUUGUUUAGUGUUUGCAUUUGUGCUAGAUUUCAAGUAUACGCUAAAGAAUCUCAUCUAAGUGCUGCAAAGGGUAUUAUCAAAUACAUUGCAUCCACUUCAAGCCUUGGUCUUUGGUAUCCUAAAAAGGGAGAAUUUACUUUUCUUGGAUACUCAGACGCAGAUCUAGCCGAAUGUAGAGUUGAUAGAAAGAGCACCUUGGGUACCUGUCAACUACUUGGAAGCAAGAUAGUGUCUUGGUUUUCAAGGAAGCAAAAUACAGUGGCUCUUUCUACAGCAGAAGCAGAGUAUGUAGCUCUUGGAAGUUGUUGUUUAACAAAUUCUGUGGAUAAAACAAUAGCUAAGAGACUUUGGAAUUGAAGAUUCAUGCACAGAGAUUAACUGUGACAACACCAGCGCAAUCAAUCUCACCAAGAAUCCAAUUCUUCACUCAAGAGCAAAGCAUAUAGAGAUUCAACAUCACUUUAUUAGAGAUCAUGUUCAGAAUGGAGAAGUUUCGAUUCAGUUUGUUGACUCAAAGAACCAACUGGUGGAUAUAUUUACAAAGCCUUUGGAGAAUAAUCAAUUUGAAAUUAUUCAUUCUAGACUCAACAUCUUGAGGUUUGAAGAAGUAAAAAUCUAGAGACUCUCAGACUCAGACAAUCAAGAUCUUUGAUUGUAAGUUAUUUUAUUAUCUCUCAGAUUAAAUCUUGAAAAUGUACGAUCAUCUGUCCAUAAUUGAUUUUUACUACUUUCAAUUUCCAUGAUUAGUGCAAUCUUUCUUUUUCGAAAAUGGAGUUAAUUUUUAAAUGGCAAUUAUCUAAUUUUUUGAAAAAGGCAGUUAUUUUUUUAAAUGGCAUCUUUUUACUUUCCAUUACGACGUUUUGUAUGCCUCUCUUUGACUAACCUAUAUACUGUCGAUUCCUAUUCUUUUAACUCCAAAAACCCUAAAAAGCAUCGAUCUUCCACUUCUGUCUUCUUCUCUUGUUUAAUCUUCGAAAAGUUGUCAUCUUUCUUGGGAAAGUCAAGUUUGGAAUCUUUCAAAGACUGUGAAAGAUGUCGUCUCAAAGGAAGUCUUCGAGGAUCGCGAACAGGAGACCGCAGCAAAUGCGUGAGGGGCCUAUGCACUUUGAUCUCACCAAGGAAGAAGAGUCUCCUAGUCACCAGCAGAGCCCACAACAUUCUCAGUAGCAUCCAUCUUCUCCAUCUAGACCACAGGAUGUUGCUCAUCGAGAAGAGGAAGAAAUAAUCGAAGAUGCAGAACCCGUACGAACUUUUAAGCCCUCUUUUACCUACAAGCUUUAUCGUGCUUUGAAAAGGAGUGUAACUCCUUUGAACUACAUUGACGAAUUUCUGAAAGACAAAGGGUACAAAAAUGAAACCUUCUUUUUACGCACAAUGGAACGGUUGGGAAUAGCCCCUACUGUGUCGGCAUAAGAGGCAAUGGCAAAUAUUCCAAUCGAUCCACGUGUUGGAGGGCUGAAUUAGCUAGAUGGAAAUGAUGAUGACAAGUUGAAUAGUUAGUUUCAACUGAGAAUGGGUGUUGCAGCAAAAAUUCGGAGCAAAAGGACAGACUUGUUUCGAUCGGAUGAACACAAGCAUCUAUACUCUAAGUUGUUGAAGCGUGGGGCCAUAAGCCCUAGAAGUGUGGAUUUAGAUUUCCUUGACGCUGUGAACGUUAAUUUGAGGGAAAAAUUCAGUCUUCUUCAACUUGAACAGUUUUGUUUUGAAUCUACAGAAGCCUAUGCUGAACUCAUUGCAUACUUCUAUUCGAAUCUCAGUUUCUUAGAUGCGAAUAGAUUCUCUUUUUGUGUCCGAGAUCAGGACUAUGUGGUGGAUAUAGAUAUGUUGGCUGAUGUGAUUGGGGUUGAGAGAGGGAGAUAUCAACUUAUCAAUGUCUCUAUUGCUCGUGCUACGUUGGAACUUGUUAAGGAUAGAAGGACAGAGGGAAAGGUUUCCUACUCGAGGAUGAGUGCGUUCAACAUUCUGCUUCAUAGACUGAUAUUUCAAACUCAGAGGCAAAGCUGAUGUAUGCCAUCAAUGCUAGGAAAUUUUUUUCUCUUCCUCACACUAUUAUAUUCCACAUGUAUAGAGUAGUGGAGAAAGACAAGGGUCAACUUCCUUAUCCAACUCUUGUGACAAAGUUAUUCAAACAUUUGAAUGUUCAGCCUCCCCAGAUUCUCUGUGUUCGAACUUGUGAUAAAAUGGUAGUGGGACUGAAAAUGGUGUCUAAAAUGCGUCUGAAUGAACUCAACAAGGCGUUGGAGAAAUUCAAGGAGAAAACCCCUGUCAAAACUCAUCAAAUCUUUUCAGUAGCAAAAAGAAAAGGCAGGAGCCCAUGGUUGCUCCAUCCAAGAAAAGAAGAGCUCUCAUUGUUGAGGAUGAAGAAGAUGAGGAAGACAUCACCAUUACUACAAUGGCAUUGAAGAACCUAAGUCAUUCUGUUCCAGAAUCAAUGGAACGACAAGAGAAAGACACAGAAUAAAGGACUAGAGAAAGAGAAGAUUUGGAAGCAGAAGAGAAAGAAACAGAGGAGAGAGAAGCUGAAGAAAGAGAUGCAGAUGAGGAAAGAAUUGAAGAAGAAGAGGAAAGAGGAAAGAGGAAAUCAAGAGGAAGGAGAGCAUAAGGAACACUCUUCUCCACUUGAAGGCAUGGAAACAGGGGGAGAUCGUGAGAAAAGUGGAAUGUCCUCAUAUCCUGCUACCAGUGAAGGAGUCAGCCGCUCUCUAGCAGAUCUAGAAGCAGAUCUAGAGGACAUCUAUGCCUCUCAAUUUCCUGAGGAGGGACAUGAUGUUUCAUUGCCCAAUCUGCAUGAUUAUGCUAAUUUGCCAUCGUCUGCCUCUACUCCAGCUGAUCGUGCAGAAGCUAGUACGCAGACUGAUAAUUCAACAGAUUUUCACAGAAUUCUUGAUGUUCUCUUAGAAAUGCGAGGUCAGAUAUAUGCUCUGGGAUACGAAGUAUAGAAUUUGCAGAAUGCAAGUCAAGCUUCUUCAGUUUCUUUGAAUGAUCAGAACCAAGCCCUUGCUCUUCAGAUUCAAGCAAAUGCUAAGGGUGAAAGAGGUGGCUCAACUGAAGGAAGAGUUGACAAAGCUGGAAGGCAUCGUCGAGUCAAUGGGAGAUUUCCAGCUUGUUCGUGUUCCAAAGCAUUCUUGAUUCCAUCUCAACCUUUUUUAUGAUGACAAAAAGGGGGAGAGAUGUGAUUUGAACUUUGAACGUUGAACUUUUUUGAACUUGAACUUGAACUUUUGAUUUGUUUUGAUGUUUGACUUGACUUUUGUGUCUAGCUAUGGACUGGAUUUGAGAUUUUGGAUUGACUGCUUAUAUUAAGUACUAUUGAUAUCUUAUGGAUGGCUUCAGUCAUAUGCAAGACUAACCUAUUUUCUAUGGUUGCAGAUUCUAGUGUUAUCAAUAAGCCAUUUAUCCUUAUGAGAUAUCCAUAUUUGCUUGAGUAAUGUUUUGCAAGUCAAAGUUAUCCAAAUCUGUAGGAAAGUUUUGUCACCAUCAAAAAGGGGGAGAUUGUUGGAGAAAUCUUCCUGGAGUAUUUUGAAGCUGACAAAAUGUUUCCAUCAGUCUAGUAUGAAGAUUUGUAGACUCUUCUAUUUAAAGUUUGAAGACCUCCGGACUGCCAAACUCAAGACUCAAAGUCUAUUCUCAUUGACAGUUUCUAAUCCGUCGAAGAAGGGCUAUCCAGGACUGAAUGUUUAGUUAAGGAUUUGACCUUAUCGACUGGAGAAGAUCUCUUGGCUGGAUAUGACAUAACAGAAUCCUUUAUUGAUUCAAAGAUUGAGGAUCCGAUGAUUGUCGAAGUAUACUUGGAAGGUUCUACUUAUGGAAACCGAGAUCCUGAUUGUAUGGGCGAGCAUGAUUGAUGGACUAUUGACAUGUUCUUUAAAUAGCUCGAAUGAUCUUCCUAAUUGAUUCUGUCCAAUGGGAAGAUUGGAAGAAUUCCUUUGGUAAGUGCCAACAGGUAUGAUGGCAUAAAGGAGUAUAUAAGAAAGACGUUCUAGUUGUUCGAGUCAGUGCGCGAUAGAAGAAUUCCAAUGUCUGAAGCUCUUUGUUCUUAGUCAAUUCAUCUUCUAAGAGAAAUCUUGUACGCAAAAGAGAGUCCAUAUUCUUGAGAAACCUUGAGGAAGUGUGGUAGAGUAUCUACACUGUGAAAUCAAGGGAGAGCCUUGCUGUAACAACUCUUUUGUUCAUAAUGAAAUCCGGCCGGUGGGUUGUCAGUGCAGAAGAGUGGACGUAGGCUUGAAAUCCAGCCUUGCUGUAACAACUCUUCCCUACUCUCUGCUUUACUUUGAUCAUAAUUCGCUUUGUUAACGAAAUGAGAACUUCCUUUCUAUUGUCUGCUUAGUAUUGCUCUCUUAUCUCGAGAAAAUAUUUUUUACACCUAUUCACCCCCUCUAGGUGCUUAUACUAGCUAUGUCAAGUAGGUCUUGGUUUGUUGGCCAAUUUCAUUUGGUAAAUGGCUAAAUCAUGAAAAAUGACGAGUGAGAAAAGUUUGCGGAGCCUGAUCUGACCUUGUUGUGCUCUUCAAAUCAGGCUCCACGAAGAUGAAAACCCUCCUCCACACUUUCCUCCGUGACCUUCGGAGGCUUGCCAUCUCGAAGCCCUUGCUUCUUGAGAUAUUUCCAAGCAAAGAGCUUUAUAUGAACGUUGUGAUGAAGAUGCAAGCUUCACUCUCCAAAGCCUUAAUCAAUAUCAACACCGUCAUGCACACUCACAUCUUCCCAUACGUAUUAGGAUCCUGCACAAGUAAAGCGCACCCAUUAAAAAAAAUGCGUGCACAUUGUGGGUGUUUGAAUGAAGGGAAAAAAUGUUUGAAAAUAAGGUGUCUUUGAGCUCGAAAUCAAAACCGGGUGAAGAAAAGUGGAAAGAAAAUGGAGUAUUUGUACAGUGUCAAGAUAAAUGAACUUCAACAUAGAAUAAAACACCAAGAGAAUUUUGAGCUUAAUGACGAAAAAUGAGCUUUUCAAAUGGCGGUGUCAAAAUAGGGAGAUGGGUUGGGCGAAAACAAGAAGAAAUGUCUCUAAGAAAAAGUAGAAAAAAAUGGAGAAGCUUCUUCUUUGUCACUUGAUUUCCCCAAACUCAGGUGAGAGAGAGGAGCAAAGCACGCGCAAGGUUCAACUCGAGCUCAUUGGAGCCACCGGUGGAGCUUCGAGAGGCAAAGGAGGAGGUGAAGGCAGGAACCAGCUACGACCAGCAGAACGUAAAGAACUCUGAAAGAAAGAGGAGAAGCGUCUGGGCUAUUCUUCUCCAAGAAAAGAACAAAAAGAACUCUGAAAAUUGAAAUUAGGAGAGAGAAUUUUUUAAGCAAGAGUCCGAACAUUCAUUAUCCCAUCCUUUUCUGACAGCCCACCUGAGGGAUGAGAAAAAGAAAACUUACCUUUUAAACUUUUCCAUUUUGUGACCGGUCCAGAUUAGAGGCCAUGUGUCGACUUUUCAAUGGAACCACUUCAGCUCACACGCACCGUGUAGAACGAUGACUUGAUAAUUAUUUUUUCCAAAAAGCUUAAUCAAAGUACAAAAAAGAAAAAAAAAAUCUUUCAAAACUAAGAAGGACAGUUCAUAAAUUUUGAAAGAACCUUUAGUAAAAUACAAAUCUGGAAGAUUUCACUUCAAAAUAAAGAAAUCCUUAAAAGCAAUAAAUUUUUUCCAAAUAUCAUGAGUUUAAAGAAUGGAUCAUCAAUGACAAGAAAUUUGAGAAAACACAUUUCAUAGAGUUAGCCAUAACAAAAUCUUUAUGCUAAAAAAUAAAAGAACCUAAAAUAACAAGUAACAAGGCCCUCAUAUCAAUUAUUGAGUUUCACAAUACAAUUUAAAGGGGGUAAAGAGGUUGAACGAGAAACUAUGAAGGACUUUUGUGUGGCAUCCCAAAAAAAUUCAAGUCAAGCUCUAAGGUGUAUUAAAGCUAGUAAUUAGGUAAUGAAAUUACCUAUGGCUUAUGCUUUAGCCAUUAGUCUCCUUUUAGGAUUAAGUGAUAUAUGCUUGUGUUCAUGAGAUUUUAAAUUAGAUAAAUUAAUCUAUGCUUGGCUAUGCACUUUAUAGACUAAGUUUCUAUAAAUAAAAUGUUACAAGAUUUUGGCCAUGUGGAAUUUAGUAAUUUAAAUUCUUAAAAGAAAAAUAAGAAAGGGGAAAAUUGAUUUUUAAUUAGGUUGGGCCUUAGGCCCAAUAGCUUGAGCCUUUGGUGGGCCGAAUGGCCAGCCCAAUUAGGCCCAAGGAGGAGUGGCCGUCAACCAUGAGGGGGAAGGAGUGGCCGGCCCACUUCUUCCAAUCCAAGCCCAAGCCCAAAGCCCAUUAUGCAUGUGUCAUGACAAGUGGCAAGAGGAGGUCUUCAUGCAUUGGCCAUUGGAGAGGCAAGUGAUGAUUGCAAAUGAUGAGGAUUUGGGGAAAUAAAAGGAAGAGGAGAGAGAGAGGGUGGCUGGUUGGUGUUGUUCAGCCAAGUGAGAGAGAGAGAGAGAGUGAGGCCGAGAGGAGAGGAACCGAGAGGAGAAGGAGUCGCCCCUCGCCGCCCGCACGCCGUUCGUCCAUCGCCGGUGUGCCGUUCAUGUGUUGCUGUCCGCUUGGUUCUAGAGGCAAGUUGGGACUGAUUUCCACUAUUGCAUGUGUGCCUUGCAUGUAUGAUUUGCUAGUGGUGAGUUUUCGAUGUUAGGGUAGGCGAAACCGGAGCAAAGAUGUGCUUUGUUCUUGAAUAUGCUUGAUGUUUUCGCAUGAACCGCCUGAACCAGAAUCUUGUGAGAGCUUGCAUUCAUGUUUUGAGUUCCAUUUUGACUUUGAUUUUUUCAUGAAAAUUGUAGCCAACAUCUUAAGCUACAACAUACUAAAAUUUGGUGCAACAUGAUGGAGAUUUAAGGGGUCAAACUCUCAUCCUACGGAGACACUAGAUCUGGAACGAUUUUGCUGACCUUUAUGUAGAUCUGUGGUUGCAUGUUGAUUUUUUUAUCAAGAAUAUCUCUUCUACUUCUUCAUAAAACUUGUAGAGAACAUCUUAAAGACUACCAUACUGAAAUUUGAAGUAAAAUGAACAAGUAUAGCCUAGUGAAUCGACUUACUCUUGAAGACGGUAAAUCUGGAGACGUAGUACUGCCCACCCGAGAGUUCAUGGACCCAUAUGGUGACUUUUCUUUGGAAUUUGACUUAGAUCCCUUCAUGAAAGUUGUAGGGGACCUCUUGAAGUAAAUUAUAUCGAAAUUUCAGAGGAAAAUAAGAAUAAUAAGUGGGUAAAAACUCGGUAUUUCGGAGAUGACUACACUGGACGUUUCGGUAUGAGAACCAGAAGAUUCGGACGACUAUAGGAAAUUAUUUAGAAUGAAUCUGGCCUAGAAGUCUUCAUGAAAAAUCUACUUUAAUGUCUUAGCUAUAACCUGGUAAAAUUACAUAAUUUUUGGAGGUCGUUAGAGUAUAUUAAUCGAAUUAUUUCAAAAACUGCACAUUCUGUUUUUAUCAGAAAUUGCAUGCUGUGAUUGUGUGGAUGAUAUCUUUUGUGUGGAACUUUAUUGGCCAUGUGUUUUUCAUGAAAUCAUUAUCUUAUUGCCUUGUUUAUCAUAUGCCUUAAUUUCAUGAUUUUUGGGAAUCAUAUGGAUAUUUAAUUUAAAUAUUUUCAAAAAUGGUGUAAGCUGGAAUUUAAAUAAAUUCCCAAAAAAAAAGGCAUGAUAAAUGGAUUAUUUAAAUUGUACAAAUUCCAUAAACUUUAUUUUUUUUUAUGAAAGAUUGCGUCUUGCUGCAUAUAUGAUGAUGACUGAUGAUGCAUGUGUAGAUCAAAGGAUGAAAGUGAUUUUGUUUGCCAUUACAUCAUGUGCCAUGUUAAGUUGAGACCUAAAUUGGUAAACAUAAACAAUGAUAAAUGAGGAAACUGUUUGUGGCGGAUGAUAAUGCCCUGGGAGUAUCAGGAUGCGCGGGAUGGGGGGUGCCGGAUGCCCGGAAUGUGUAGAGAUACAUGGCCGAAUGGCCCUGGGAGUAUCAGGAUGCCCGGAAUGGUUGGGUGCCGGAAGCCUCGGAGAUCUUUGCCCAAGGGGAUGCCUCGUGAUGCCAGUUGGGAUGCAAGAUGCCCAGAGUGUGGGGGUGCCGGAUGCCCAGUGGCCUUAAGUGGCUGAAUGUCGGAGGUUUUUCUCGCGAUGCCAAGAUGGGGUGCGAGUGUAAAGUAUCGGAUGAAAUUGAUGAUCUCGAGGAAGUGGGAUGUGGUGAUCAAAUUAAAAAUUUAAAAGUGGAAAUUGAAUUAUGCAUAUAUGACAUGAUAUGAUGAUGAUCACCUAUGGCAUGAUGACAUGUAUAUAAGAUAUGAUGAUGAUAUGCAUAUAUGACAUGAUAUGAUGAUGAUCACCUAUGGCAUGAUGACAUGUGAUGAAGAUGUAUGAUGGUAUAUGCAUGGCUUCGAGGUAAGUAUGCUUUGAUGCAUGAGUGACAUGUAUGAGUUUGUGAUUGUAUUGUAUGAUGCAUUGAGUGGUUAUUGGAUUCCUUUACCUGCUGAGUGGUUGUACUCACCCCUUUGGGGACCAACAUUUUAGAUUAGCAGGAUGCCGCUCCCUGCUGUCUCGUGGAGCAUAUUUUACGGCCUUCCUUCAGAUGUAGAGGUCGAGUAUGUGGAGAUCGACUAUCCCACCAUUCCUGGACUGACUUUUAUUCGAGUGCGCGCCUUAGUGUUGUACAACGUGGGCCUGGCUGGGGGCCCUGUCAUUAAGGAGUUUAUAUCCGUCCACGUUCGUCGAGAUGGAACGAUGCGUGGAAUGUUGCCGCCGCCACCGCCUGAUGCACCGGGAUCGGUGUGAGGGCCCGUGUGUGUCAAGUAGUAGGGGUGUGGAACGGGAACCGCCCGAACCGAGAACCGGCCGGACCGGACCGAACCGGCCGGUUUUGGGCGGUUCCCACGGUCGGCGGUCCGGUUCCCGGUUCCUAAUCUUGGAACCGGUGGCCGGUCGGUCCGGUUCCCGGUUCUAAGGUGGGAACCGGACCGAACCGGACCGACCGGACCGAAACAAAUUUUUUUUUAUAUAAUUUAUAUACAUAGCAUUAAUAAAAUAUAUAAACAUGAUAACUUAUUGCAACUAAAAUUGCAAUUUGAGAUAGCAUCAUCUUAUGUGGCCAAGAGACCAUUAAAACUAUUUUUAUUACUCUUUUAUUUAUAGAAAAAAAUCUCCUUGUUAGUUUUUGUUGGAAAUAUGAUUUGUUUUUUUAUUCUAAUUAUCUAAAUACGGUUAAUUGAUUCUAUGAAUCCAUGAGAUUGGAUAUUAGGACAGUAGUAUAGGAAACAACAUAUUUUGUAUAUUCUUUCCUACCGUACUCUUUUCUUGUAUUAUUAAUAGGUGUGUAAUACAUGUACAAACACAACAAUACACAAUACAGAAAAUUCCUCCAAUUCCUUCUCAGUUUUUGUCAAUUUUCUUUCUCAUUUUCUAUCAGUUUCAUCUUCUACUUGAUGUGGGACUAAGGUUUCAAGAGACCCACAAGGCACUUCAAGCCUCCAAGAGUCCCACAUUGACUAAACAUUUAAAGAGCAGAGAUUGUCUAUAAAAUCUAAGCCAUGCAUAACUUUUAGCCAAAUUAUUCACGACUUUCAUGGUUAAAGCUAAGUGUGAAACACACGAAGUUUGAAUCACAUUUGAAUAUUUUGCACGUGGAAACAUAUGUAAUUAGUUUUGUUGAAUUGCUCGAGAACCGAAUUGGAUUGAUUGGUCCGGAGCGCGGUCACUCUUUAGUGUAAAAAAGUAGAGCCGAUUUUGUUGGACCGGACUGGACUGGACCGGAACCGAUGGUCGGUCCGGUUCCCGGUCCUAGGACCAAACGGUCCGGUCCACGGUUUACAAUUUUGGGAACCGGUGCUCCCGGUCCGGUUCCCGGUUCCAAGGUAGAACCGGACCAAACCGGGAACCGAUCACCCCUAUCAAGUAGGAGCUGAAACUUUUGGGAUGGUUAGCCGACACUAGUGAUGGGGGAUCUUGCACGUUAGUCGUAGUGGGUCGAGUGUUUCUUUUUGGGUUAUGGCCAAGUGUGGCUUCAUGUCUUGGCCUUUCUUUUGAUGUACCGCCCCAAGGAAACCCAUCUUGAAAAUAUGUAAAUAAAGUGUCGUGGUUUUGUCUUUUCUCAUGAUGAUUAGUGGUGUGCAAUUGUAUCGUGGUUGUUGGAGGGAGAGAUGGCGAUGUUAUAUUUUUCUUCCGCUAAUGAGUCACGCUGGGACCGUUUUCAAAAAAAAAAAAUGUCUAUGAGUUACGACGCUUCUUCUAAGAGAUGUAGCUAAUGUUCCAUCAGGUGUAAUGUUAGGUGCCUAUGGCAACCCUAGGUGGUUUGGGGUGUCACAGCGCCCUUUUUUUGGUAUCAGAGCGAAUGGUUAUAGGCGGAGUGAUAAGGAACCUCAUUUCGAAAUUGAGGAACAUGAGGACAAUGCACAUCAAGGAUAUAAAAUGAAAUAAUUGAAUAACGGGUGAUGAGUAUUCACUCAUAGAUCCCUAGUGGUUUAUUUUGAGUUGCCUUUAGGUACCAGUAACAUGUAUAUGUUACUUAUGUGGUAGUAGUAGUUGCUUUGAAUGGAUGCAGAGAGUCUCAGAUUAUUCCUGAGGCAAUGCUUGGAAAUUGCCGGAAAGUCAUGGUGCGAGCUGGAAGUGCUCAUCCAUUGAGGGCUGAAGCCUUUGCUGCAAGGGCUGAACCCCGAAUGGAAGACAUCCUGUAGGCAUUGGCCAAUAUUGGAAAUCUGAUGGAAAGACAAGCGCUGAGAACGCCGUACUCAAGGACUGGUGGAGCAGUUUUUGAAGCUGAAGCCACCUAAGUUUAAUGGAAUGGGAAGUCCUGAGGAGGCGGAGCAAUGGAUUGAUGGGAUGGAACGAAUUUUCCGGCUGUUGGACUGCAAUAAUGCUGAGAAAAUAACUUUGGCAGAGUACCAGCUGGAGGGAAAUGCAAAGUUUUGGUGGAGAGCUUCGAAGGACAUAAUCUUUCUAACAGGUAUUGAUGUUAACUGGGAGGAGUUUGUGAGAGCUUUUAAUAGAAAGCAUUUUUCUAACUGUGCUAAGGACAGGAAAAUUACAGAAUUUGUUCAACUAGAACAAAAGGAGCUGACAGUAGACCAGUAUGAGGCUAGAUUUUCUGAACUGUCUAGAUAUGCCCCUAGACUGAUUGAGGAUCAGGAGGAAAAGGCUAAGAGAUUUCUGAAAGGUUUGAGAACUGACAUUAGAAAGCAACUAGUGCCUUUGAACAUAAGAGAUUAUAAUAAGAUUUAUGAAAGGGCACAUUUAGUGGAGCAGGAACUGUUGAGAGAACGAUCAGAGUUUAAGAAACCGUGAAAUUUUAAUGAUGUGAGAAGGGGUAAGAGACCCUAUUCUGGUCAAGGUCGGACUUGGAAUGUGAAGAAGAAGAGUAAUUUUGGAAAAUUUGGCGAGCAAGAAGUGGUCUGAAUAUAGGGAAAGCACCCUAUCAGCCUGGUGUUUGUCAAAGGUGUAAUGGGCGACAUGGCCCAGGACCUUGGAAUGGACGACUAAAAUAUUUUGGUUGUGGACAAGUGGGCCAUCUUAGGAGAAGUUGCCCACAAGAAAGGUUGCAAGUGAGUGUUGGCUUGGUGCGACAGGGAUAUCAAAGUGCUUUUAGAUCGAAUUUACAAGGAAAUCUUUAGAAGCCACCAGCACAAGGAAGGGUGUAUUCGGUCACCCAAGAGGAAGCGGAAGCUUCCAAAAAUGUUAUCUCAGGUACGAUCCUUAUCAAUGGUGAAAAGGCAUAUGCAUUGUUUGAUACGGGUGCACCGCAUUCAUUUGUGUCUGAAAGAUAUAGACGUUUGAAUAAAAUAGAAGUUAUGCCUCUUGAGAUGCCUCUUUGUGUUUCCACGCCUUUAAAGGAUAUGGAAUUGUCUACGCUGGUGUGUGGGAAUUGUAAGAUAUCAAUAGAGGGAAAGGAUAUGGAAAUAGACUUAGUUGUAAUGGCCAUGUAUGAUUUUGAUGUCAUUAUAGGAAUGGACUGGCUUCGUAAGUAUCGGGCUAGAAUGGAUUGUUACAGGAGAGUGACCCAAUUCGUUUUACCUAAUCAGUCUAGUUGUGAAUUUUUAGGAGGUCAGACCCAUCUACCUGUAGCACUUAUUUCGGAAAUAGAAGCCUGUGCGUUACUUCACAAAGGAUGUCGAGGAUACCUGGGCCAUAGUUAAAGAUUAUGCAAUGAAGGAACCUAAACUUGAGGAAGUUUGAGUAGUUAAUGAAUUUCAAGAUGUAUUUCCUGAGGAAUUGCCUGGAUUACCACCAGAGCGGGAAGUUGAAUUUGAAAUUGAAUUAAUGCCUGUAAUAGGACCAAUAUCAAAAGCCCCAUAUAGGAUGGCCUUAGUCGAAUUGAAGGAAUUGAAAGUGCAACUACAGGAGUUGCUUGACAAAGAAUUCAUUAGACCAAGUGCUUCACCUUGGGGUGCACCGGUCUUGUUUGUGAAAAAGAAAGAUGGAUCGAUGCGCUUGUGCAUUGAUUAUAGGAAGCUGAACCAGGUGACCAUUAAAAAUAAGUAUCCUUUGCCUAGAAUUGAUGACCUGUUUGACCAACUCCAGGGAAGUUCGGUCUUCUCUAAAAUUGACUUGAGGUCGGGAUACCAUCAGUUAAGAAUUAAGAAAUGGGACAUUCCUAAGACUACAUUUAGGACUCCUUAUGGACACUACAAGUUCCUUGUUAUGCCAUUUGGAUUGACUAACACGCCGGCUGCAUUUAUGGAUUUAAUGAAUAGGAUAUUUAAGCCCUAUUUAGACUAGUUUGUGAUUGUAUUUAUUGAUGAUAUUCUGGUAUAUUCAAGAGGACCUAAAGAGCAUGAGCAACACUUGAGGAUAGUUUUGCAGACCUUGAGAGAGCAUAAGUUGUAUGCCAAGUUUAGUAAGUGUGAGUUCUUGCUGGACCAGAUAUAUUUUUAGGGCAUGUGGUGUCAGGAAAGGGAAUUGCAGUAGACCCGGCAAAAGUUGAAAUGGUAGUAAAUUGGCCGAGACCAACGACACCUACUGAAAUACGAAGUUUCUUAGGACUGGCUGGUUAUUAUAGAAGGUUUAUUGAAGGAUUUUCAAGAUUGGCAGGUCCUUUAACUAAGUUGACCCGAAAGAAUGUGAAAUUUGAAUGGAAUGAGGAAUGUGAAAGGAGUUUCCAGGAGCUUAAAAGGAAAUUGACCUCAUCUCCAAUCCUGACUAUACCGACUGGACCUGAUAGUUUUACAGUAUAUAGUGAUGCAUCUCACAAAGGACUGUGAUGUGUUUUGAUGCAACAUGGCAAGGUCAUAGCCUAUGCAUCUAGACAAUUGAAACCCCAUGAACUGAAUUACCCAAUGCAUGAUUUAGAACUAGCAGCCAUAGUGUUUUCCUUCAAGAUAUGGAGACACUAUUUGUAUGGGGAGAAGUUUGAGAUUUAUACGGAUCAUAAGAGCUUGAAAUAUUUGUUCUCACAAAAGGAGUUGAACAUGAGACAAAGGAGGUGGAUGGAACUAUUAAAGGAUUAUGAUUGUGAGAUAAGAUACCAUCCAGGGAAAUCGAAUAGGGUAGCGGAUGCUUUUAGUCGUAAGUCGGCUGUGGAAAUAGCAAAUUUAAGGAUGGCAGCAUGGGGGUUGUUAAAGUCUGUAGCGGACUCAGAGUUUAAAUUGGAAAUGGAUUAUCUUACUGGUAUGCUUAGUGCAUUAAGAAUAGAACCCGAGAUUAUUCAGAAAGUUAAAAUCUUGCAAGAAUCUGACCUAGAGAUUUUGAAAGUGAAAAAUGCCGUGUCUUUAGGAAAAAGACCAGAAUUUCAUGUCUUUGAAGAUGGAGUGGUAAGAUGCCAAGGACGACUCUGUGUUCCCGAUAGCGAAGAAUUAAAGAAGGAAAUUCUGUCAGAGACACAUAAGAGUAAUUAUAGUAUUCAUCCGAGUAGUACAAAGAUGUACAGGAAUUUGCGCCAGUAAUUUUGGUGGAAUGGUAUGAAGGCAGAUACGGCUAAGCACGUUUCUCAAUGUUUGACGUACCAGCAAGUAAAAGUGGAGCAUCGCAAACCCGCAGGGCUCUUGAGACCAUUAGACAUUCCAGAAUGGAAAUGGGAGCAUAUAACAAUGGACUUUGUGCAAGGAUUACCAAGGACGUCAAGCAGUCAUGACUCUAUUUGGGUCAUAGUGGACCGUUUGACUAAAUCGGCUCAUUUCCUAACGGUUCGCAUGGACUACCCAAUGGAUAAGUAUAUGAAUAUAUAUGUAGGUCAAGUAGUACGCCUACAUGGUGUUCUAGUGACUAUCACCUCAGAUCAGGAUUCGAGAUUUACUUCAAACUUUUGGCGAAGUCUUCAAAUUGCAUUAGGAACUAAGCUUCAAUUUAGUACUGCUUUUCAUCCCCAUACAGAUGGAAAAUCAGAAAGAGUAAUCCAGACAUUAGAGGAUAUGUUGAGGGCUUGUGUAAUUGAUUUCAAAGGAAAUUGGGAUGAAAGAUUGCAUUUGGUGGAGUUUGCCUAUAAUAAUAGUUUCCAGAAAAGUAUAGGCAUGGCUCCCUAUGAAGCAUUAUAUGGAAGGAGAUGUAGGACUCCUGUCUAUUGGAAUGAAGUAGGUGAAAGGAAAUUGAUAGGACCUGAACUGGUACAAGUUACCACUGAGGCUGUUGAAAUUAUCCGGAAAAGACUUAAAACAGCUCAGAGUAGGCAGAAAGACUAUGCAGAUAGGCGUAGAAGGCCUUUGGAAUUUAACGUGAGAGACCAUGUAUUCCUUAAGGUAUGUCCAACGAAAGGGAUAUCUCGAUUUGGGAUGAAGAGUAAGUUAAGCCCCAGAUUUGUUGGACCUUUUGAAAUACUCGAAAAGAUAAGGGAUGUAGCUUAUCGCUUAGCACUACCUCCUAAGUUGGGGAAUUUGCAUGAUGUGUUUCAUGUAUCGAUGUUGAGGAAGUACCAGUCGGAUCCUGGUCACAUACUCGAUCAUGAAGCCAUCAAAGCGGAUGAGAAAGUGAGGUACAUUGAAGAGCCUGUACAGAUAUUGGAUCAAAAUGAACAAAUUCUUAGGACUAAGAAGAUCCCUUUGGUUAAGGUACUAUGGCGACAUCAUGAUAUGGAGGAAGCCACAUGGGAAAGUGAAGAUCAAAUGAAGGAAAAGUACCCCUAUUUGUUUCAAGAAGGCACGAGUGGUGUCUAAUUUCGAGGACGGAAUUCUCUAAGGAGGGGAGAAUUGUGGCAUCUCAAAAAAAUUCAAGUCAAGCUCUAAGGUGUAUUAAUGCUCGUAAUUAGGUAAUGAAAUUACCUAUGGUUUAUGCUUUAGCCAUUAGUCUCAUUUUAAGACUAAGUGAUAUAUGCUUGUGUUCAUGAGAUUUUAAAUUAGAUAAAUUAAUCUAUGCUUGGCUAUGCACUUUAUAGACUAAGUUUCUAUAAAUAAAAUGUUACAAUAUUUUGGCCAUGUGGAAUUUAGUAAUUUAAAUUCUUAAAAGAAAGAAUAAGAAAGGGGAAAAUUGAUUUUUAAUUAGGUUGGGCCUUAGGCCCAAUAGCUUGAGCCUUUGGUGGGCCGAAUGGCCGGCCCAAUUAGGCCCAAGGGGGAGUGGCUGUCGACCAUGAGGGGGAAGGAGUGGCCAGUCCACUGCUUCCAAUCCAAGCCCAAGCCCAAAGCCCAUUAUGCAUGUGUCAUGACAAGUGGCAAGGGGAGGUCUUCAUGCAUUGGCCAUUGGAGAGGCAAGUGAUGAUUGCAAAUGAUGAGGAUUUGGGGAAAUAAAAGGAAGAGGAGAGAGAGAGGGUGGCCGGUUGGUGUUAUUCGGCCAAGUGAGAGAGAGAGAGAGAGAGUGAGUUGCGAGAGAGUGAGGCCGAGAGGAGAGGAACCGAGAGGAGAAGGAGUCGCCCCUCGCCGCCCGCACGCCGUUCGUCCGUUGCCGGUGUGCCGUUCAUGUGUUGCUGUCCGCUUGGUUCUAGAGGCAAGUUGGGACUGAUUUCCACUCUUGCAUGUGUGCCUUGCAUGUAUAAUUUGCUAGUGGUGAGUUUCGGAUGUUAGGGUAGGCGAAGCCGGAGCAAAGAUGUGCUUUGUUCUUGAAUAUGCUUGCUGUUUUCGCAUGAACCGCCUGAACCAGAAUCUUGUGAGAGCUUGAAUGCAUGUUUUGAGUUCCAUUUUGACUUUUAUUCCUUCAUGAAAGUUGUAGCCAACAUCAUAAAAUACAACAUACUAAAAUUUGGUGCAAAAUGAUGGAGAUUUAAGGGGUCAAACUCUCAUCCUACGGAGCCACUAGAUCUGGAACGAUUUUGCUGACCUUUUUGUAGAUCUGUGGUUGCAUGUUCAUUUUUAUCAAGAAUAUCUCUUCGAAUUCUUCAUUAACCUUGUAGAGAACAUCUUAAAGACUACCAUACUCAAAUUUGAAGUAAAAUGAAUAAGUAUAUCCUAGUGAAUCAACUUACUCUUGAAGACGGUAAAUCUGGAGACAUAGUACUGGACAGCCGAGACUUCAUGGACCCAUAUGGUGACUGUUCUUUGGAAAUUUGACUUAGAUACCUUCAUAAAAGUUGUAGGGGACCUCUUGAAGUAAAACAUAUCGAAAUUUCAGAGGAAAAUAAGAAGAAUAAGUGGGUAAAACCUCGGUAUUUCGAAGAUGACUAUAGGAAAUUAUCUAGAACGAAUCUGGCCUAGAAGUCUUCAUGAAAAAUCUACUUUAAUCUCUUAACUAUAACUUGUUAAAAUUUUAUAAUUUUCGGAGGUCGUUCGGGUAUUUUAAUCGAAUUAUUUCAAAAACUGCACAUUCUGUUUUUAUCCGAAAUUGCAUGCUGUGAUUGUGUGGAUGAUAUCUUUUGUGUGGAACUUUAUUGGCCAUGUGUUUUUCAUGAAAUCAAUAUCUUAUUGCCUUGUUUAUCAUAGCCUUAAUUUCAUGAUUUUUGGGAAUCAUAUGGAUAUUUAAUUUAAAUAUUUUCAAAAAUGGUGUAAGCUGGAAUUUAAAUAAAUUCCCAAAAAAAAGCAUGAUAAAUGGAUUAUUUAAAUUGUACAAAUUCCAUAAACUUUUUUUUUUUUUAUGAAUGAUUGCGUCUUGCUGCAUGUAUGAUGAUGACUGAUGAUGCAUGUGUAGAUCAAAGGAUGAAAGUGAUUUUGUUUGUCAUUACAUCAUGUGCCAUGUUAAGUUGAGACCUAACUUGGUAAACAUGAACAAUGAUAAAUGAGGAAACUGUUUGUGGCGGAUGAUAAUGCCCUGAGAGUAUCAGGAUGCCCGGGAUGGGGGGUGCCGGAUGCCCGGAAUGUAUAGAGAUACAUGGCCGGAUGGCCCUGGGAGUAUGAGGAUGCCCGGAAUGGUUGGGUGCCGGAAGCCUUGGAGGUCUUUGCCCAAAGGAUGCCUCGUGAUGCCAGUUGGGAUGCGAGAUGACCGGAGUGUUGGGGUGCCGGAUGCCCGGUGGCCUUAAGUGGCUGAAUGCCGGAGGUUUUUCUUGCAAUGCCAGGAUGGGGUGCGAGUGUAAAGUAUCGGAUGAAAUUGAUGAUCCCAAGGAAGUGGGAUGUGGUGAUCAAAUUAAAAAUUUAAAAGUGGAAAUUGAAUUAUGCAUAUAUGACAUGAUAUGAUGAUGAUCACCUAUGGCAUGAUGACAUGUAUAUAAUAUAUGAUGAUGAUAUGCAUAUAUGACAUGAUAUGAUGAUGAUCACCUAUGGCAUGAUGACAUGUGAUGAAGAUGUAUGAUGGUAUAUGCAUGGCUUUAAGGUAAGUAUGCUUGGAUGCAUGAGUGACAUGUAUGAGUUUGUGAUUGUAUUGUAUGAUGCAUUGAGUGGUUAUUGGAUUCCUUUACUUGCUGAGUGGUUGUACUCACCUCUUUGGAGACCAACAUUUCAGAUUAGCAGGAUGCCGCUCACUGCUGUCACGCGGGGCGUAUUUUACGGUAUUCCUUCAGAUGUAGAGGUCAAGUGUGUGGAGAUCGACUAUCCCACCAUUCCUGGACUAACUUUUAUUCGAGUGCGCACCUUAGUGAUGUACGACAUGGGCCUAGCUGGGGGCCCUGUCAUUAAGGAGUUUAUAUCCGUCCACGUUUGUCGAGACGGAGCGAUGCGUGGGAUGUUGCUGCUGCCACCGCCUGAUGCACCGGGAUGGGUGUGAGGGCCCGUGCGUGUCAAGUAGGAGCUGAAACUUUUGGGAUGGUUAGCCGGCACUAGUGAUGGGGGAUCUUGCACGUUAGUCGUAGUGGGUCGAGUGUUUCUUUUUGGGUUAUGGCCGAGUGUGGCUUCAUGUCUUGGCCUUUCUUUUGAUGUACCGCCCCAAGGAAACCCAUCUUGAAAAUAUGUAAAUAAAGUGUCGUGGCUUUGUCUUUUCUCAUGAUGAUUAGUGGUGUGCAAUUGUAUCAUGGUUGUUGGAGGGAGAGAUGGCGAUGUUAUAUUUUUCUUCCGCUAAUGAGUCGCGCAGGGACCGUUUUCAAAAAAAAAAAAUGUCUAUGAGUUACGACACUUCUUCUAAGAGAUGUAGCUAGUGUUCCAUUAGGUGUAACAUCAGGUGCCCGUGGUGACCCUAGGUGGUUCGGGGUGUCACAUUUUGUCAAUUAUAACAAAUUAAACUUCACCAGUAUUGGAAAGAGUUUGACAUAAUUAGGAAUGGUGAUUAUAAAUAAAUACAUUACAAGGAGUAGUUAUGAUAUAAAGUGAUAAAUGAUAGCACAUUAAAAAUUAUUUUCCCUCUUUUCACUUCUGCUCCCAUCCCCUUCCCCCCUUUUUUCCCCCUUCCCCCCAAAACCAAUCUCUUUCUCUCUCUCUCUUCCUAAGGUUGGGGCUCACUGGCCUCCGGUUGGGGCUCACAACGUUGAGCCUCAAGCUGCAAGCUCAGAUCCAACGACGAUUGUGGCGGUCGCAUCAACCAUAAAGCUCCUUCGCCUCGUUAAUAGAGGGAGCGACGGCAAAAAAAGAUGUGCUAUCUAUCGAAACGACUUGUGAGGCUGAAUAGCGUGACAGUUGAAGAGAUGUGACUACAAGUUGGCAACAGAGAUGGAUUGCACUAAAUAAGGCGGAUGGAAUUAAUGUUCAUGUUUAGAAUUUUCGGUGUGAAUUCUGGACAACAAAUGAGUGGUUUUAAUAAUUUUUAAGUGUAAAGGAUUUCAACCCAGUAUGAACAGAGUUAAAUGCCUAUAUAAUUUGGUAUCAGUCACAUUCACAAAGGCAGAGAGUUCACAAAAUGCUCAUCAAGUUGACAUACAAACUUUUAUGAGUAGUACGAUAACAGGUUUGGCACAAGAGGAGCCAUCAAAUUUUGACCGUAAAAUAAAGGUAACACACACACACUCUCACACACACACACACACACACACACAUAUAUAUAUAUAUAUAUACAUAAAUCCAAAUAUAUCCUAAAACUGUUUUGUCUUAACUUUGGGACAUAACAUACUUAGGGUAUUCUUUACCGUAAAUGCGAAAGAAAAAACUACACUAAAAAAUUAGAUGGCCCUUCAAGUGAAGAGUGUAGACUCCACUGCAUCUCAUAAGGAGUAUUUGAGGAAUUGAUAGGUUGGUAAAGUAGCUAUCCGCGCCGGUGAAAGUUGAGAGAUUGGUGAAACAUCCACUGCAAGAUUAACUUAUGUUUUGCACAGUAUUUCUCAACUGGCAGUACAAGAUAAGUUAAUGCCUACAUAAUUUGGUAUCAGUCAUAUUCAUAAAGGGGGAGAGUGCACGAAAUGCCCAUCAAGUUUUUCUUUUUUCAAAAAAUGCUUAUCAAGUUGGCAUACAACUUUUAUGAGUUGUACGAUAAUAGGCUUGGCACAGGAUGAGCCAUCAAAUUUGACGAUACAAAUAAAUGCAGCAUAUAUGUACAUAUACAUAUAUAUUAUAUACAUACACUCCCUCCUUUUUCUUUCUCCUGCUCUAAGAAUUCAAGGUUUUCGCACUUAAAACAAGAAUAUAAAUCGAUGUGGGCAUGUCUAAACAAAUUUAUUUAUAUUCAUUAUCUUCCAUCAGUCUGAUUCUCCGAUUCCUUACCUCUUUAUGCGGAAAUCAAACCUAUCUACUUUCCUUUUUACUUGACACCACUUAAAUCGAUUCAAUCAAAUCUGUUCCGGCAUUUCUAAGCUAAACCAAUAUGUUGAUUGUUCCAAAGUUGGAAUCACUAAAGCAAAAAAGAAGUGCUUAUCUAUCACCUUCUAAAGUUGAGAUAAAUGCGUAACCAAUCCAGGACAUUUUGCCAUUGAUUGGUCUAGUUCUUAACAUCUUCAUUUGAUUAAUUGAGUCCUUAAUGUUUGAAAAACGCCGUAAUCAACUCCUGAAUUUUCUAUUAACGGGUUUUGCGAGUCUUAAAUGCUAGAAAUCCUUUACGUCUCUCACAUGGCCUUUCUCUAAUGUUGCCUAGCCAUGGACCGUAGAGUUAUACGUUGUUUUCAACGUUGGAAAUCUAGUAUGAGACUUGAUUGAACAUCUUUUUGCAAAAUAUUUAAAGGCUCAAUCCAUCAAAAUAAUAUUUUAGGCAUGAAUUGACCAAUGGCUAAAAGUUAAGAGCCCGUUCUAUACUUUUCCCUAGAGGAGCAUGAUUUUACGGUAUGACUAGGAAUUGGAUAAUUGGACGGUUGCGACCUAUCCCUCGGGGGGAGGGAACAUGUUUAGGGGUAUUGCCUAAAGGAUGGAUUUAUAGCCUUUGAUUAGGCACAGGCUCUCCCAAGCUCAUACCCCGCGUGACAUUGGGAUAUUCUAAAAAAAUUUCAAAAAAUGAGUCGCCACUAACCUAUUGGGGUCGGCUAGAAACCAAGUAAGGUAUGAGAGUAUACCUCACUUCCUAUGCAACCGGAGAACCUAGGGUCAGGGAUUUGAUUACACUAAUAACCAAUUAGUGUUCUUUCGGUACCUAAUCUUGUUCAUUUUAAAGGAAAUGAUUUUUGUCAGGCAAUUUGGAUUGAUUUUAUACCUAUCCACUAACACGUGAGGUCAUCACGCGAAUGUGCAAUCAUUAAAGUAAUAAUCAUAGUUACCAAGAUCCCAAUUGCAGCAAAAUUAAACACAUGCAAUUAAAUAUAAUUAGAUAUGCAAAUUAAAUAUACGAUAUAAUCAAUAUACAAGCAAAUAAAGGCCUAAUUAUACUAAAAAUGGCAAAACAUAGCAAUUCCUAAUCAAACCCUAUAUUUUUUUUUUGGAUUUUCGAUUUUUUUUAAAUAUAUGUAUUUUUAUUUUUAAAAUAUUAUAAUAUUAUAAUAAUAUAAUAUAUUUAAAAAGAACCGGGUCGGAUCCCCGGGUUAGGUCCGACUCGGUUCGGUGAACAAGGCCUGGGAUCAGGCCAGACGGCCCGAACCUAGACCGAAUCGGGCCAAGCGGCCUGAAAUAGCAAAAACCAGUCGGGCUGAGCUUGAUGUAAGGCCUAGUCUGGUCUAAUUUUUUUAAAAACAAAGCCCGCACUAAACUAGCCCAAACCCGGCCUGAAUUGCCCAAAAACCCUACUCGUUUUGCGACUCACACCCGACCCGAUUUUUGGCCGAAAUCGUAGGGCUUCUUGGCAACGAUAAUGACGACAGUGACAAGCUUGAUGGCGGCAGUGACGUGACGGGUGGUCGCGGCGACAUGGCGGGCGGCAGCGGCAACGUAAGGGCCUGCAAGGAUGGGCGGCAGCUGCGUUGGAGGCGAGCGGAAGCGUCAAGUGGUCACGGGCGGAAGCGGGUAGCACUCAGGCGUGAUGGCUUAUAGCAUCGGGUUCCAAUAGCAUCAGGUGUCGUGGCGAAGGGGGGCGGUGGGCAGACCGGCAGGUGUCGGCAUUCGGAGCCUUGGCGAUAACAGAGACAAGCUACUGUGGCAUCGGGCAGAGGCGUGGGUUGCUGGUGGAGCGGCGGUAACAGGCGACCAGUUUCGUGGCAACGUCGGAGGCGGAAUGGUAGCAGCGUUGGGCUAGUGCUGCGACGGCGGCAGAGAGAUCGAGCUGCUGGCAAGGCGAUUGUCACAGCUACCGGUGCUACAGUGGCGUCAUGACUUAGAGCUACUAGUGGUCGCUGUGGCGUCGAUGACAUUGAGGUAGCGAGCUCGGACAACGACGGGCAAGAAGGCAGCGGCUUGGCUCGGACGGCAUCGGGUUUGAGGCGGCAAGGAGGACAGCGGCAUGGAUGGCGUCGCGCAGCAUCACUGCUACCCUACUCCCCUCUGUUCCUUCUCUCUGUUCUCUUCUGCUGUGUUGCUUCUUCACGCCGGCGCCUUUGCUCCAAAUAUGGGUUAAGAGGAGAUAGCGGCGAUCGGGGUUGGUCGUGGCGACAGCGGUGGCAGGAACGACAACGGCGAGUCUUCUCCUGCUCCCUCUCUUUCUCUCUCACUCCUGCUCUCUCUGCUAAAUUCUCUCUCGACCUCCCUGUGUUUCUCCAUUUGCCUCUACCGUUCCCCUUUCUCUAGGGUUUCCUGCACAAAGAUGUGCAGAGGAGGAAGACGCUAGUGUGGGCCAAGCCCAAGAGGAAACGGCUUGGGCCAUGUAGGGACAAAAAGAAAAGAGGCGGGUCGAGCCAAAGUCUGAUCCGGCCCAACUUGGCCUCUCUCAAUUUGAAUUUCUUUUUUUUUAAUUAAUAAUUUUUAAAUUCUAAUUAAUUUAUAUAUAUUUUUAAUUAUGCAUUCGAGGAAAAGUUAGGUGUCAACAGCUGCCCCUCUUUGAAUGCAGCCUCGAAGAGGGUGCAUUCAAAGACAAAAGACACUUAAAUAUUUUGGCAGUAGAGAGACCCUGGGUGCAUAGGCAUGCGUCAAGUCGACAGAAAUGACUCAUAACUAUGGAAACAUGCUGGGUCACAAGAAGAGAGAGAAUGACUUCGGGCUACAAAAGCUCGUCGUGUCAUAAGAAGAAGGAGAGGGACUUCGAGCUACGGAAGCCCACGAGUCAUAAGAAGAAGGAGAGGGACUCCGGGCUACAGAAGCCCACCGAGUCAUAAAAAGAAGGAACAAACUCUGGGCUACAGAAGUACACCGAAUCAUAAGAAGAAUGAGAGGGACUCCGGGCUAUAGAUGCCCACCGGGUCAUAAGAAGAAGCUAGGAAGACUCCGAGCUAUAGAAACCCACCGGGUCAUAAGAAGAAGGAGAGGGACUCCGAGCUACAGAAGCGCACCAGUUCAUAAGAAGAGAGGAAACUCCGGGCUAUAGAAGCCCACCGGGUCAUAAGAAGAAGUAGAGGGACUUUGGCCUAGAGAAACCCACCGGUCAUAAGAAAAACGAGAGGGACUACGAGCUACAGAAGCCCACCAGGUCAUAAGAAGAAUGAAAAGACUCCGGGCUACAGAAGCACACCGAGUCAUAACAAGAAGGAGAGGGACUCCGGGCUAUAGACGUCCACUGGGUCAUAAGAAGAAGAGAGGAAGACUCCAGGUUAUAGAAGCCCGCCGGGUAAUAAGAAGAAGAAGGACUUCGGGCAACAGAAGCCUACCGGAUCAUAAGAAGAAGGAGAAAGACUCUGGGCUACAGAAGCACACUGGGUCAUAAGAAGAGAGGAAGACUCCGAGCUAUAAAAGCUCACCGGUUCAUAAGAAGAAGAAGAGUGACUCUAGGUUAGAGAAGUCCACCGGGUCAUAAGAAGAACGGGAAAACUCUGGCUUACCAAAGCUCAUCGGGUCAUAAAAAGAAGGAGAGGGACUCUAGGCUACAGAAGCCCAUCGGGUCAUAAGAAGAGAGGAAGACUCUGGGCUACAGAAGCCCAUCGGGUCAUCAGAAGAAGGGGAAGACUCCAGGCUACAAAAGUCCAUCAAGUCAUAAGAAGAAAGAGAGGGAUUUCGAGCUACAAAAGCCCACUGGGUCAUAAGAAGAAGGAGAGGGAGACUCCGGGUUACAGAAGCCUACGAGGUCAUAAGAAGAAGAGGAAGACUUCGGUCUAUAGAAGUCCAUCGGGUCAUAAGAAGAAUGAGAGAGACUUCGGGCUACAAAAGGCCAUCAAGUCAUAAGAAGAAGGGGAAGACUCCGAGUUACAGAAGCCCAUCGGGUCAUAAGAAGAAGGAGAGGGACUUCGGGUUAAAGAAGCCCACCGGGUCAUAAGAAGAGGGAAAAGACUCCGGGCUACAAAAGCACACCGAGUCAUAACAAGAAGUAGAGGGACUUUGGGUUAUAGACUCCCACUACAUCAUAAGAAGAAGAGAGGAAGACUACAGGUUACAGAAGCCCACCGGGUCAUAAGAAGAAGAAGGACUCCAGGCAACAGAAGUCCACUGGAUCAUAAGAAGAAGGAGAGGGACUCUGGGCUACAGAAGCCCACCGAGUCACAAGAAAAAUGAGAGGGACUCUGGGCUACAAAAGUCCACCGGGUCAUAAGAAGAAUCAGAGGGCCUCCAGGCUACAGAAGCCCAUCCGAUCAUAAGAAGAGAGGAAGACUCCAGGCUACAGAAGCCCAUCGGGUCAUCCGAAGAAGGGGAAGACUCAGGGUUACAGAAGUUCAUUGGGUCAUAAGAAGAAAAAUAGGGAUUCCAAGCUACAAAAGCCCACCGGGUCAUAAGAAGGAGAGGGAGACUGCAGGCUACAAAAGCCUACGGGGUCAUAAGAAGAAGGGAAGACUCCGGUCUACAAAAGCCCAUCUGGUCAUAAGGAGAAGGAGAGAGACUUUGAGCUGUAGAAGCCCAUCGAGUCAUAAGAAGAAGGGGAAGACUAUGAGCUACAGAAGCCCACUGGGUAAUAAGAAGAAGGAAAGGGACUCCGGGUUAAAGAAGCCCACCGGGUCAUAAGAAGAGAGAAAGACUUCGGGUUACAGAAGCCCAUCGGGUCAUAAAAAGAAUAAAGGAAGACUUUGGGUUAGAGAAGCCCACCGAGUCAUAAGAAGAAGGAGAGGGAUUCUAGGCUACAGAAGCCCACCGGGUCAUAAAAAGAAUGAGAGGGAGACUUUGGGCUACAGAACCCGACCGGAUCAUAAGAAGAUGGGGAAGACUUCAGGCUACAGAAGCCCACCGGGUCAUAAGAAGAAUGGGAAGACUCUGGGCUACAAAAGCCCACCAAGUCAUAAGAAAAAUGAGAGGGACUCUAGACUACAAAAGACCACCGAGUCAUAAGAAGAAGGAGAGGCAUUUCGGGCUAUAGAAGCCCAUCGGGUCAUAAGAAGAGAGGAAGACUCUAGGCUAUAGAAGCCCAUUUCGUCAUAAGAAGAUAAGGAAGACUCCGGGCUAUAGAAGCCCACCGGGUCACAAGAAGAAGGAGAGGCAUUCAAAGCUACAAAAGCCAACCGGGUUAUAAGAAGAAGGAAAUGGAGACUCCGGGCUACAGAAGCCCACCGGGUCAUAAGAAACGAGAAGACUUUAGGCUAUAGAAGCCCAUCGAAUCAUAAAAAGAAGGAGAGAGAUUCCGGGCUAGGGGGGGUCCACCGGGUGAUAAGAACAAAGGGAAGACUCCGGGCUAUAGAAGCCCACCGGGUCAUAAGAAGAAUGAUGGAGACUCCGGGCUACAAAAGCCCACCGGGUCAUAAGAAGAGAGAAAGACUCUAGGUUAGAAAAGUCCACCGAAUCAUAAGAAGAAUGAGAGGGACUCUGGGUUAUAAAAACCCAUCGGGUCAUAAGAUGAGAAGAAGACUACUAGUUACAGAAGCCCAAUGGGUCAUAAGAGCAAGGGGAAGACUUCGGGCUAUAGAAGUCCACUGUGGUCAUAAUAAAGAUGGAGAGGGACUCCGAGUUAUAAAACCCACCGGGUCAUAAUAAGAAGGAGAGGAAGACUGUAGGUUAUAGAAGCCCAGCAUGUCAGAAGAAGGGGAAGACUCUGGGCUAUAGAAACCCAUCAGGUCAUAAGAAGAAGGAGAGAGGCUCCGAGCUACAGAAGCCCACUGGGUCAUAAGAAAAAGAGGAAGACUCCCGGCUAUAGAAGCCCACCGGGUCAUAAGAAGAAGGGCAAAACUCCAAGCUACAGAAGCCCACCGGAUCAUAAGAAGAAUGUGAGGGACUUUGAGCUACAGAAGCCCACUGGGUCAUAAGAAGAGAGAAAGACUCCGAGUUACAGAAGCCCAUUAGGUCAUAAGGAGAAUAGAGGAAGAUUUUGGGCUACAUAAGCCCACUGGAUCAUAAGAAGAAGGAGAGAAAUUUCAGGCUACAGAAGCCCACCGGAUCAUAAGAAGAAUGAGGGCAACUUCGGGCUACAAUAGUCCACCGAGUCAUAAGAAGAAAGAGAGGGACUCCGAGCCACAGAAGCCCAUCGGGUCAUAAGAAGAGAGGAAAACUCCAGGCUACAGAAGCCUAUCGGGUCAUAAGAAGAAUGGGAAGACUCCGAGCUACAGAAGCCCACCGGGUCACAAGAAGAAGGAGAAGGAUUCCAAACUACAGAAGCUCAUCGGGUCAUAAGAAGAAGGGUAAGACACUAGGCAACAGAAACACACCGGGUCAUAAGCAAAAGGAGAGAGAUUCCAGGCUACAGAAGCCCAUCGGGUCAUUAGAAGAGCGGAAGACUCCGGGCUAUAAAAGUCUAUCGGAUCAUAAGAAGAAGGGGAAGACUCCGGGCUAUAGAAGCCCACCGGGUCAUGAAAAGAAGAAGAGGAAUUUCGAGUUACAGAAGCCCACUGGGUUAUAAGAAGAAGGAGAGGGAGACUUUGGACUACAGAAGCCCACUGGGUCAUAAGAAGAACGGGAAGACUCUAGAUUAUAGAAGCCUGCCGAGUCAAAAAAGAAUGAGAGAGACUCCCGGCUAUAGAAGCUCACUGAGUCAUAAGAAGAAGGGGAAGACUCCGGGCUACAGAAGCCCAUCGGGUCAUAUGAAGAAAGGAAGACUUUGGGCUACAAAAGCCCACCGGGUCAUAAGAAGAAUGAGAGGGACUCCGGGCUACAAAAGUCCACCGGGUCAUAAGAAGAAGGAGAGGAACUCUGGGCUACAGAAGCCCAUCGGGUCAUAAGAAGAGAGGAAGACUCCGGGCUACAGAAGUCCAUCGGGUCAUAAGAAGAAGGGGAAGACUUCGGGCUAUAGAAGCUCACUGGGUCACAAGAAGAAUGAGAGGGAUUCCGAGCUACAAAAGUCCACCGGGUCAUAAGAAGAAGGAGAGGGAGACUCCGGGCUACAGAAGCCCACCGGGUCAUGAGAAGAAUGGGAAGACUCCGGGCUAUAGAAGCCCACUGGGUCAUAAGAAGAAUAAUAGAGACUCCAAGUUAUAGAAGCCCACCGGGUCAUAAGAUGAAGGGGAAGACUCUGGGCAACAGUAGCCCACCGGGUCAAAAGAAGAAGGAGAGGAACUUUAGGGUACACAAGCCCAUUAGGUCAUAAGAAGAGAGAAAGACUCCGGGCUACAAAAGUCCGCCGAGUCAUAAGAAGAAGGAGAUGGACUUCAGACUAGAGAAGCCCAUCGGGUCAUAAGAAAAGAGGAAGACUCUGGACUACAGAAGCUAACCGGGUCAUAAGAAGAAGGGGACGACUUUGGGCUACAAAAUCUCACCGGGUCAUAAGAAGAAUGAGAGGAAGACUCCAGGGUACAAAAGCCCACUGGGUCAUAAGAAGAAGGAGAAAACUCCAGACUACAAAAGCCCACUGGGUCAUAAGAAGAAGGAGAAGAGACUGCGGGUUAUAGAAGCCCACCGUGUCAUAAGAAGAAAGGGAAGAUUCCAGGUUACAGAAGCCCACCAGGUCAUAAGAAGAAGGAGAGGGACUCUAGGCUAUUGAAGCCCACUGGAUCAUAAGAAGAGAGAAAGACUCUAGGCUACAGAAGCCCAUCGAGUCAGAAGAAAAAUAGAUGAAAACUCUAGGUUACAGAAGCCCAUUGGGUGAUAAGAAGAAAUAGAGGGAUUCCGGGCUACAGAAGUCGACCGGGUCAUAAGAAGAAGGAGAGGAAGACUCCUGGCUAUAGAAGUCCACCGGGUCAUAAGAAGAAGGUGAAGACUCCAAGGUAUAGAAGCCCACCGGGUCAUAAGAAGAAGGGGAAGACUCCGAGCUACAGAAGCUUACCAGGUCAUAAGAAGAAGGUGAGGGAUUUCGGGCUUCAAAAGCCCACCGUGUCAUAAGAAGAAGGAGAAGACUCAGGGCUAUAGAAGCCGACUGGGUCAUAAGAAGAAUGAGAGGGACUCUGGGCUACAUAAGCCCACCGAGUCAUAAGAUGAAGGAGAAGUGAGGUCUCACCAUGUAACAACGAGUUUCAACCGGGUUGGAAAUACAUGAUUUAAGGAAAACCAAUGAACUUUUGUAGAUGACAUGGUUUAAGGUUGACCAUGAACCUUUGGAGAUGGCAUGUUUUAAGGCAGACCACGAACCUUUGGAGAUCACAUGGUUUAAGGCUGACCACAAACCUUUGUUGUCUUUAGAGAAGCAUCCAUUAAUCCCUUGAAAGUUGCAUGGUUUCACUAGGGAAUCUUGUCAAACUCAACUUGAGUAAAUGUCAUUAGGGACGCCAUCAAGAGAUGUAUUAGGUAUAUUGCAGCAUUAAUUGAACAAGCUAAUCAAGCUAAUUCCGACUGCUUUUAAAAAACAUUCAAUGUCAAUCAGCAUCAUGUGGCGCAAAACUAUCAUCUUGCUUGGAGAUGUAUCAUUAAUCAUCAAAUUCUCUAGGAGUCAAGCUCUUAUUAAAAUGGCUACGACACAUGAAAAAGGCUCAUUAGACAUGCCAAACUAGAGCUUCUUAAUCAGAAAUGGUUUCUCAGACACUCUCGAUAAAAUGUUUGUUUGAUCUCAUCCAUUCGAGUGGGAAGUAACUGAUUGCUGAGGGUAUCUCCCAUAACCCACGUCAAAGGCUUAUAGAAACAUUCGCUAUGAGCACAAUCUGAUCAAUCAAAAAGGUGUUUUGAAAUAACCACAAUAUAGAUUUGGUCAUGGGCUUACACAAAGGGGUUAUUGCUUUGAGGUCAAUAAAGGAACAUUUGCUGCUAUCUUCAUCGAGUUUUACAAGUCAUGAACUUGGAAGAUAAGACAAGAUAGAAUUAAAUCCACUCCUUCAAGCAAUAGCUUCUUUAUGAUAUUCUCAUUUUCACUCAAAUCAUCACAAUCAGAAAAUAUUUCAGAAGAGGGUUGUAAUGUUGGCUUAGUAGAGGCUCGAAAGGCUUAAAAUUUUCAAGAGGGUUAGAGUCAGUGAUCAUCAUGGUAUCAUGAUCAAGUCACUCAACCUUUUGAAAGCAUUUGGCUUUUGAAACACAACACAUCUCGAAAGUCCCUUGAUUAAUCAUUUCUACAUUAGAGCCUUGCUCAUCUCUCUAAUUUCAUUUGUUCUUGAAUUGAUUUUUUUACGCAAGCACUUGGACUUUGAAUAUUUUUUCUCACAUAAGAUGCAGCAUUUUGGCUCUUUUUCUUGACAGGUAUUGGCGUUGCUUUUAUCAGGUAUCCUGCUUUUUCAUGCUCCAUAAUUUUGUCAAACUUUUUGUUCUUUGGACUUUUAGAGCUCUUGUGACUUUUGAGAUGCUUUUCAUAUUUUAUCGUAAAUGUCGAUUGUAUGUGGUCAAUCUUUAUGCCUUGCCUCCAGUGAAGGGAGAUGAUCACCGCUCGGGGUUCAGAAAUAAAUAAUCAGGCCCAAAUUGGUUAAAGCAAUGGGUAUUAGUGUUUGGGUAAAGAAGGAAAUGCUCUUCUUCACCUUGGGAUGAGUCAAGCUUUAAUAAGAAUUCCUCUAAAGCUACCACUAGAAGAUUGAUGCAAGUGAAAGUAAUAGAAUCUUUCUCAAUCUUUCGCUCUACAACACGAUCGUAAUCUACUAUGCUGCCCCCAAUGUAGGGUUGUUCUCGACAGGGUUACUUUGAAUGAUCAUCUUUAUUCUGCCCAAAAGGGUAGCAAGAUGUGAGCUCGGUGCUUGAGAUUGAUGAAGAAAACGCCUUUAUCAUUUCAAAUAUUUGCGUUCAAUGCGAAUGAAUCAUCUGUCCUAAGAGAAUGUCGCUCUUCACUCAACUAUCAAAAGUGUUUGAAGGACGUGUUUGGAAAUGGCUUACCUUUCUUCAUCCUAAGCACUUCUAGUUUGGCAUGAUUAACAUUCCCUUCUCACUCUGUCGAGAUCAUCUGAGUAGAUCAAUCUUCAUAGGGAAAUUUGAUUCAAUGAAUAAUCCACAAAACGAGAAAUCAAUUUUGAGAUAAUGAUGCUCACAAAGUUUGUAGAAUUUUUUUCUUUUCUCAAUUAUUCCUUUUUUUUAUUGUCUUUAGGAAAGUGCCAAAGGUUUUCUUUUGUAAUGGAAAUUCUCUUCUUCUUUUUUUUACUUUAAAAAAAUUUGAGAAGAGGGGUACUUACCUGCGGCAUGGCGACCCAGUAACCCUGUAAACAAUGUAAAAGAAUAUGUUAGUGCAAAAAUUCUUAGGGAUUGAAAUGUUGGAAACGAUACAUUAUUACCUUUCACUCGCUUUUAUCUUUUAAGGGCUAACAUCUCUUGGAUUCACCCUUAUGGAUAUUUGGUAACUUGGCAUUACCCUUCACUUGCAUUUGUCUUUAAGCAUUCGAUGUCUUCAUCAUUUUACGCCAAAUGGAUGGUCAAGUCUUGUCUUAUUGGAGAGAGAUAUCGCCCUUAUAAGAAUACUCUUUUGCUUUUGUUGGAAUGGUAUAUAACUUGGCACCCAGGAUGUAUCCUUGAAAAUGGAAAAGAAAAUCAUGUCAAAAAUAGUAUCAGAAAUUGAUAAUUGAAAUCGAUACAAUUUACUCUUUCUUCGAAUUCGCCUUUUUGGAUGCUUGGCAACUCCCUUCAUUUUUCUUAUCAUGCAAAGUGAACGAGAUCAAUAGUCUAUUUUGGCACCUAAGGCAUUUGCAAAUAACAAAACUUCCUAGAACGGAAUUCAACUUCGUUCCUCCUCUAAAGAAAAUUGGUGCUGACGAAGCCUCGACACAUGCUUGCUCCUUGAGUUCCAUGAGCCCUCACUUUUAUCAUUUAGAAGGGGUCGAUUUUGAUCUCAAAUAAACUCCUCAUUCUACCUGAGAAAGCAACCAUGCGAAGAGAGGGCCUUAAGCAAAGCUUUCUCAAAAUUUAUUUUUAAAAGAUUUUGAAGGUAGACGUAAAUGUUCGUUUGAAACACUUCUGAGUUUUUUGCUUUUUUUUUCUUUUUUGAGAAGGAUGAUUUUCACAAAAUUGAAUUUCCAUCAUUAAAAAAAAUGUGUCGAAUGAUUUACAAAAGCAUCAAUUAGAUUCGCAAUCAAAACCCAAAAUGGAAAACAUGGUUCUUAACAAGAAUAAAGACAAUAAUAAAAUAUAAGAAACUCUUGCGCAAAUGAAAGUAAAAAUAAACUCUUGUUCUAGUCAUAGAAUUCACUUCUUUAUGUGGUCACCACGAGAAUGUCAAGGAGCAUUGCGCAUAACCUACAAAAAGACGAUAAUGUCAGUACGCGAAUGAGAGAAAAUGAUAUUUCAAUGAGGUCACUUCUUACAAUAAAAUCAAGGUGACAAUACAUGCCCCAUAGUCCUUAUUAUGGGGUUUUGGAAUUUUGCCAAUAUUUUAUCAUAAGAGAAGACAUCAUUAAAAGAAUCAAUCCGUGGCUAUCAAUUGAAUGUCCACUCUAUUCCAAAAGUUUCAUGCAAAAGUGGCAUUGAUUUUUGAAAGAUUAAUUGGUGAUUUUUACUCAUAGAAAAAUGUGGUAACUUUUGUUUUGAGAAACCUAUACACAAAAUAGAUUUGCAUUUUAGUCCCAAAAUGUGAGAAUGAGAGAAGUUGAUAAAAAAAAUGCAAUUUCAAUUUUUGUGCCCCAAUAUAAAAUCAUAACUUGAAAUUUUUCUUUUUUAAAUGAUGUUGAGCCCAUAAUUAGAAAUUUAAACAAAACCAUGUGUUCAACAAGGUCAAAUCAAAGUGUUUAGAACUUGCAUUCAAUGUUCACUUGUCAAAAAUGAUUGCCAAUUUUUUCAAUUAUAAGCCUAGAGCACUGAGGGCAAUCGAUUGAUGUUCGCAAAUUUCAAGAUGGAGAUGCAAUACAAAAUGAGCAAAUAAAAAAGAAAAUGAUACUUACUAUGGGUGCCAACCUUUGUCUUUGUUUUUUUUUAAUAUAUAAUUACAUAGACAUGCACAAGGGAUGAAGUUCAAUUUCUACUCUAUACGGCUCAAAAUGGAGUCAUAGGAUCACCAGACUGAACCAACAAGAUCACAGUUAGGUUGUGUUACGCAUGACUUCGGCUUUGUCAAAAAACUGACCCGUGUCGCAUGGUUGCAGACUGGGGUGGGUACUUACAGCAUGAAGAAAUAAAUUUCAGGGUAGAGAUGGGCCACUCAGACUACAUGGUUGUAGUCGGAGUGGUAUCCACCUCAACACCAUCCUAAGUGAUUCUAUGCGGCUUAGGUCCGGUGGCAAGUAGUGUGUGCCAUGAUGUAGUGCAAUGCAAGAAACGUAACCAUGACAAUUUAUAGGCAAGCAGCACUUCAUAAAUGCAAAAUAUAAACAUACAUUCCCAACUCCACACCUACAUGACAAAGGGUUAACAAUCACUCAUCCCCUUAUAACUCUCAGUUGCAAAAACACUUAACACCUAAUACGUUAGGGACGUACAUGGAAUCAUCGCUACCAAACAAAAAUAUUUUUGAAUAAGAUUAAUUUUGAUCUAAGUCCUCUAAGGUUUAAAAUCAAGUCCACAAUAGAGUCACCAAGCUAUUGCAACCUAUCCCUCGAGGGGAGAGAACGAGUUUAGGGGUAUUGCCUAAAUGAUGGAUUUAUAGCCCUUGAUUAGGCACGGGCUCUCCUAAAACCAUACCCCGUGUGACAUUGAGAUAUUCUAAAUAAUUUCACAAAAAAAGAGUCGCUGCUAGCCUAUUGGGGUCAACUAGAAACCAAGUGAGGUAUAGGAGUAUACCUCACUUUCUAUGCAACUAGAGAAUUUAGGGUCGGGGACUUAAUUACACUAAUUAACCAAUUAGUAUCAUUUCGGUACCUAAUCUUGUACAUUUUAAAGGAAAUAAUUUUUGUUAGGCGGUUUGGAUUGAUUUUAUACCUAUCCACUAACAUUUGAGGUGAUCAUGCGAAUGCGCAAUCAUUAAACUAACAAUCAUAGCUACCAAGAUCCUAAUUGCAGUAAAAUUAAACAUAUGGAAUUAAAUAUAAUUAUAUAUGCAAAUUAAACGCGAUAAAAUCAAUAUAUGAGCAAAUAAAGGCCUAAUUACACUAAAAAUAGCAAAACAUAGCAAUUCCUAAUCAAACCCUAUAUUUUUCGGAUUUUCAAUUUUUUUUAAUAUUUUUUUAUUUUUAAAAUUUUAAAAUUUUAAUUUUUUUUAAAAUUAUAAUAAUAUAAUAUAUUUAAAACUAAUCGAGUCGGAUCCUCAGGUUGGGUUUGACUCGAUUUGGUGAACAGGGCCCGGGAUCGGGCUAGACAACCUGAACUCGGACCGAAUUGGGCCAAGAAGCCCGAAAUAGCAUAAACCAGUCGGGAUGGGCCUAAUGUGUAGGCCCAGUCUAGUCUAAAUUUUUUUUUUUUUAAACAAAGCCCAGACUAAACUAGCCCAAACCCGGCCCUAAUUGCCCAAAAACCUUACUCGUUUCAGGACCUGCGCCCAACCCGAUUUUUGGCCAAAACCCUAGGGCUUAUUGGUGGCGAUGAUGACAACGGCGACGGGCUUGAUGGUGGCGGCGACGCGGCAGGCAGAAACGGUGACGUUGGGGCCUACGAGGAUGGGCGGUGGCUACAUCAGAGGCGAGCAGGAGCGUCAGGUCGUCCCAGGCGGAAGCGGGCAACGCUUAGGCGUGGUGGCUUUUGGCAUUAGGUUCCAACGGUGUUAGGUGUUGCGGUGAGGGGGGGCAGCAGGCAGACCGGCAGGCAUCAGCAUUAGGAGCCCCGGUGGCGAUAGAGACGAGUUGUUGUGGCAUCGAGCAGAGGCAUGGGUUGUUGGUGGAGUGAUGGUGAUAGGCGAGCAGUUUCAUGGCAAUGUCGGAGGCUGAAUGGUGGUGGCAUGGGGCUGGUGCUGCGACGGUGGUGGAGAGAUUGGGUGACUGGCAUGACAGUCGUCGUGGCUACUGGUUCUACAACGAUGUCACAGCUUAGAGCUACUAAUGGUUGCUACGGCAUCGGUGACAUUGAGGUAGCAAGCUCGGAUGGCAACGGGUAGGAGGAGGGUGGCUCGGCUCGGACGGCGUCGGGCAGUGCCACCGCUGCCCUCCUCCCCUCCAUUCCUUCUCUAUGUUCUCUUUUGUUGUGUUACUUCUUCACAUCGGCACCUCUGCUCCAGAUCUGGGUUCUAGGGAGCUGCGGUCGCCGUUGGUUGGGCGGCAGCAGUGGCAGGAACGUCUACGGCGAGUCUUCUCUUGGUUCCUCUCUCUCUCUCUCUCUCUCUCUCUCUCUCUCUCUCUCUCUCUCUCUCUCUCUCUCUCUCUUGCUCUCUUUGCUGAGCUCUCUCUCCACCUCGCUGUGUUUCUCUGUUUGCCUUUGUUGUUCCCUUUUCUCUAGGUUUCCUUUGCGAAGAUGGGCAGAGGAGGAAGAGGCUAGCGUGGGCCAGGCCCAAGCAUGUAGGGACAAAAAGAAAAGAGGCGGGUCGAGCCAAAUAUUGAUCCUGCCUGACUCGGCCUCUCUCAAUUUCAAUUUCUUUUUUCUUCUUUUUUUUUAAAUUAAUAAUUUUUAAUUUUUAAUUAAUUUAUAUAUAUUUUUUAAAUUAUAAAUUUGAGGAAAAGUUAGGUGUCAACAUGGACUAAUGAGAACCAAUCUAGUUUCUGAUUCUAAGGAGAUUUGGUCCAAUUACUAGUUUCUCGGGAAUAUGGGAGAGCCGAACCAAGAACUUAAGUAGUAUUGGCACCGGCACACAACAUGCCACACAACAUAACAUGAUAUGUCGACUCAUCAUUUAUCAAAAAACAGAUAAUUCUGGCAUGUUUAACACAUUAUAUAUUAAAUAUAUAUUUUUAUAUAUACAUAAUAAUUUAUCAUUUUUAUGAUUAUUUCGAUUAAAUUAAUUUGAUUCAAAUUCACAAAUAAAUAAAUAAUAAUAAAAAUCUAGAAUGAAUUUUAUACUAAAAACAUUAAUCCACCAUUUAUUGAUAUCAUUUGUUGUUUCAAUUUAACAAAUUCAACUCCAUUCUAAUAAUCCAUAAUACUUGGAAAGAAAAAAAAUAAGUAAUUCAUAUUCAGGACUUGCUUGUUAGGCGUAUUGGAAGAGAAGGGAAAAAAACUUGAGAAAUGAAUUAUGUAUAAUAGGAAAUGAGAGUCAGAAGAGAAAAGAAGAGAAUAUUAGUUUUUUUUUUCAAUUUUUUAUUGUUAUUAUUAUUUUUAUUUUUUCACAUAUAAUAGAUUUUAACCCCUCAUUUAUUUAAAAAUUUUAAAAUUGAUUUCGUAUAUUAGAAUCAUGUGUCGGAAACUCACAUAUUAGAGGAGUGUCAAGAAAGUUGACCAAAUAUCGGAUUUUUAGACACGUAUUGACCAAAUAUUAGAGAGCAUUUGACAGUGCCAGACACAUAUUAGAAUGUCCAACACAAGGUGAAGGUGAAAAGUGUUUCUUAAAUGGGAACCUACAAAACCCUAAUAUAGAAUUGACUUAUACACAUUGGAUUAAACCCCUAAUUUUCCUCUUCAAGAACGACUCCUUGGCUUUCUUCCUUUAUGAGAAAAUUUCUUCUGCUUGAAAGUCUUGCUCUUCGUUGAUGUCACCACCACCAGCCGUGGGGAGGCACGGGUGAUGAGCUCCACUAGCGACAAGCUCUUGCACGAUUUGUUCAUCCUUAAGUGACCGAGGACAAUAGAGGGAAGAGAAUGAAAGUGGUCGUUGUAGUGUCAGUCACAAGGCCUAGUUCUCUGAAGACUUUAGGAUCGUCGACUUAUGAUGUGUUUGGUAACCAUUCUAUUUCUAAGAAUACUUUCUACUUAAAAAUGAUUCAAUUUUAUUCUAGUCUAUAAACGAGUUUAUAAGCAUUUUAAGGUAUUUGAUAAUUGCUCAAGUUUUCUAUUCUCAUAAUAAAAACGCAUUUGAUAUGUCCCUUAACUUUUUUGUAGCUUAGAAUUUUUUUUAAAAUUUUCAAAUAAUUUUACUAUAUUUUUCUCUCUUUUUUUUCAUCCAUUUUCUUCUUCUCUGGCUAGUUGCCAGCCAUAGUAAUGGCCGACAACCUCACUGGAGCCUCUCCAGGUUAGGACAAGGUUCAUCAAGCUCAUUGGAGCCUUGCUAAGGUUGUUGGGUGAACUCGCUUGACCACUAGCAAGGUUGAGUCUCGUAGCAGUUGACGGUGGGGCCUGGCAGGGCUUCAGCGAGCUCAACGGCCCUCACCCAAUUGGUCGUUGGGCCACAAUAAUAAGGAAGAAGAAGAGCAAAUUAAAGAAAGAAAAAAAGAAGAAGGAAAUUUGGCUUGAUUUUGGAAUUAUUUUUAAGAAUAGAUAAAUAACUUUUUCUUUAUCUUUUUAUUCUGUUCCAAACCUAUUUUUAAGAAUAAAAAAGUUAUUAAAUGGAUUUUUAUUUUUUAUUAAGAAAAAGAAAAAAAAAUAGAUACUAUUUAAUCAGUUAAUUGAAUAUUUGUUGGGAAAAGUUGAUUGAAUUUUUGGCUUAAAGCAAUUCUCCAUCUGCUGCUUCAUCUUUGGGAUAUUAACUAUCUCAUCACUCCACGUGUUUAGCGAAUUGUCCGAAUGUUAAAGUAACGAUAGAGCUAUGCUGCCGUGUGUGGUAUUCUUGUGGCUGUGUGUGAGCCAUGUGGCUUUCUCGUUUUGUGCUCUCUCCACUCAAGGCUCUAUAUUUCUUCGGUUUACGUAAAUUGGAUUUUUUUUUUCUUUUACGAAAUUAGGUCAUCGUAAUCUCGUGGACUUUCCUCUUUAGCUUCCACUCUGCUGUUGCUAUCUUGGGGUGGUUAUUUUGGGGUGGUUAUUUAGGAAGUAUCGACACUCUUCGGAGGCAUUCAUGUCGUGUUGGACACUCGGAUACGUGUCGGACAUUCUUAGACACUCUUCGAUACUCAAUCAAUAUAUAUCGAAAAAUUUGACACCUGAUCAAUUUUUCCAACACUCUCUAACACUCGAGUCGGAAUUUUUACAUGCGAGUUUUCAACACAUGAUUCCAACACGCAAUGUCAACUUUAAAAAAUUUCCAUAAUGAGGGAUCAAAAUGUAUAUAUGUGAAAAAUAAAAAUAAAAAUAAAAAUAAUGAAUGGGGAAAGAAGAAAAAUCUAAUUUUCUUAUCUCUUUUGACUCUCACUUCCCGUGAUCCCAUGAUAUGCAAUUCAUCCCUUAAGUUUUUUUUUUCUCUUCUCUUCUAAUAUGUUUGACACAAAAGUUUAGAAUAUGAAUUGCUUGUUUCUUUUUCCUCCAAAUUUUAUAAAUUAUUGGAAUGGAGUUGAAUUUAUCAAAUUGAAAUAAUUAAUGAAAAUUGAGAAACAGCGGGUCUAAUAAUUUUUGGCAGGAGGGACAGCUAGCGCACGGUCACAUAAGUGCUGUUUGGAACUCGAUGAUGGGGGUAAUGUGUUGUUGUUAAACAAUGUAUAAUUACUACAUAAGUAGUUGAUUUCUCUUUAAUGCAAUGUUCAAGCACAACACAAUUACAAAGCAUAAAUCCUUCCUCCUUCUUAACUAACCAAAUUAAUCGAAUUAUUUUUUUUUAAAUUUUUCUUUUCUUUUCUUUCUUCUUUCUUUUUUUCUUUUCUUUUUUCUUUAUUUUCCUUCCUCCUUCUUCCUUUGUCGGUCGUGUGCCUCGGUGACGGCCAGCAGUCCAAUGACUAGCCAAGAUGCGACCAAUGAGCUCGAGGCUCGAUCAAUUCAAGAUAGCCCAAGCUUUGGCAAGACCAGCAAGCUCGCACCUCACCAGAUCUAGGUGAGUACAAGCUUUGCCGAGGUGGGCAAGCUUGUGGAUCAAUUGAUCAUGGCGAGCUCGCAACUUGCUAGAUUCAGGCAAUGUCACACCUCGACCUCACCUUAACCUCACAUGCCUUGUAACAUGGCCCUCGAACUCAUACCUCGACUUGGCUCUCGAGCUCGAGGUCUCUCGAGCUUGCCUUAAGCUCGCCUAUGGCCAUCACUAGCCAAUCGCGGUGGAGCAAGGAGGAAAAAGAAAAUAAAAGAAAAUAAAAAUAAUUAGAAAAUAAACUUUUUUUAAAAAAAAAUUUAAAAAAAAAAUUUAAAAAAUUGGUUGAGAUGAAGUCAUGGGAUUGAAAUCAUUUUCCAAUAGGUCCAAACAUCAGAAAAUAUUUUCGAUCAUACAUUACCAAAAAAAAAAAAAAUUAACCAUUUUCUUGGAAAAUGUUUUGGAAAUUUUCAUUUAUCAUUGAAUUUUCCGCAAAAUAAACAUAUCUAGUAUAUAUUCAGGUAUAAGCACAUCUUGGUACAAUCAAAAUAAAAAGGAACUCCAAAUCGUAGUGGCGGAAGGUGGUCUAUCCUACAAAACUAAAAAAAUAAGUGAUAAGCUAAAAAAUUGGUGGUGAGCCGAAACUUAUUAAAUGAAAUCUCUAAGUCUAAGGUAGGAGAUUAUCAUAUUACUCAACCUAGUAUAUAUACAAACAACAUGAGUCCAAGGCAAUAACCAUGCAUGACAAAUGCAUAAGCAAGUGUUUUUUUUUUUUUUAGAUCAUGACAUGCCAAUGAAAACCUUUAAAAAUAUGCAAGUUCAUUCACUCAAAAACAAGCAAAUGACAUAUUAUUUUAUGAUACAUCAGCAUCACCUAGUAGCUCACAUUUAUACAUAGGGAAUGUGUAUUCCCUACUGGUCAUGAAGCUCACUAGUAUACAUAAACAAGUUCAUAUUUGUCAUGAAGUUCACCAACAUACACAGAUGAGUUCAUAUUGAUCAUGAAGAUAUCUAAUAUAUAGAUGAGUUCAUACUUAUAAUUGGCUAGGACCCAUCUCUACUUAUGAGGCAUUUUGAACACUCCUAGAGCAUUCCUCUACUCCUGUUUGGUGUGCAAUUUGGUUCAUUUCCACUCCCUUCACCAUCUCAAAAGUUUGCCAUGAGCCACUUCUUGUUCGAACCUGCUAGCCUUGACGAUCACUCCCUUCCCUACUUAGACCUAGUCAUUAUAGGCCUAUCAGCUUUAGUCUGGUGCAUCCCCAAACCACACACCUACUAAAGAAGGUCCCAUUUUGGCAUCCCUCGAUUGUCUUAUAUAAUUGACAAUGUGACAUUGGCAACUCAUAUUAUUGACAACAUGAACAUCGACAACUCAAAUAAUCGGCAAAGGGAACAUCAGCAACACUUAGCUAGUAAAUUGGUAGCUUAGUUGAAUUACAAAGAUAUCACUUUAAGGUUUAAUAUUCAUAGUUUUCACGUUCCUAUUACUAAAAGAUUGCCAUCACAUCAUAGAAAAACAAUCGAAGACCCCCUAAGAAAUCUAUCAAACACAUCUUAUACAUGUAACAAACUUAAUGAUCCAAUUCAAGUGAAUACAAAAAUCUCACAUACCAUUAUUGUAGCUUAACUACACUUGACAACAAAAGCCAAAUACAUCCUAACAAUCAAAGAUCAUUCAAGUUAAGAGUAAUAAGUAAAUCAAUCUAACUUAGCCUUUAGAGUCUUCACUUACCUCAAAUAGAAGGUUGGAAUAAAAUCAAAGCUUUCCCCACCAUCAGAGCAAAUAAUCAAGAACAAAGAUUAACAUCUCUCAACCUUUUAAAAGAUAAUAAAACCCACAAUUUCACCUUGUAAGCUCUUGAAAAAUGGAAUUUUGAAGACUUGACAACAAAAGAAUAAAAUCUUUCGUUUCACAUGAAAGACAGGAACAUGAAAAUAUAAAAGGAAGAUCUCUUUUUCUUUCUUUGCAAAAAUAAGUUGUAAUUCUUUUUUAAAGUUGAAGACAUAUGGAGACUUAUUUAUAGGCCAAGGGAGGUGAGAACUAGUAACUUAAGUUAACAGAAAUGAUGAAUUAACUUUAAAAAAAUAUGCUAGGUGGAAAUGCAAGAGAGGUGGUCAAGUUAGAAAACCAGAAGUGACAUAAUCAUAUCAUCCAAUGUGGAUAAACCAAGUAAUAAUGAUCUUAAGUAAAAAAGCUAGGUGUAAAGAGAGGAAUGGUGCUUUACUCCAAAGGAUACAAGUGGCCUCCAAAGUGGCUUAAUAAAAGUAGCCAAAAUGAGAUAUUUUGAUUGAAAUGUGAGAGAACUCCUUGUUGUCCAAAUAAAAGAAAUGAGUAAUUGAGAGCAUUAACGGGCUAAAUUUGAAAGAGAUGAUGUAAUGCAUGAUAUCAAGGUUAAACUAAGUUCAAUGUCACAAACUAAGGAUGUGGGGCUUAAAAUACCUAGUGGAAAAAUGAAGAAAGAGUAUAUAAAUUAAAAAUGGACAAAUGGCUCACUUGUAUGGUUUCCAAAUUAGAUAUUUUAUUAAGUUAUUAAAGAAUCUUGAAAAUCAAUACAUAAAUAAGGAAAUCAAUGUCCAUUUCAAGCAUGGAUAGAUUAGAAAAAUAUUUUGAACCUUAAUAAAAACAUUAGUGAAAAAUAACGGAUGGCUAGAAAAUCUCAAUAUGGUAAAUUUAUAACUUGAAUAUUGUCAAAACUGCAAUUUAAGGACUACAACUAAUAUGGUGGAAAAUUAAUUAUUGCCACUCAACAUCGUUGACAUACAUGUCAACACCUAUCAAUUUAAUGUCAAAAAAUAGCACUUCAGUGACUACAACCUUGGAAAAUCAUCCUAAAUACUAAUACUGAAAGUCGAAAAUUAUGGACGGCACAUAUGCAUUUUUAUCAUUUGCUAUAGUCUUAACUGGUGCACUAAAAGAACUUGUUGACUAAACCUAUUAAGAUUUUUUUAUGGGACUAUUAAAUUAUAAUUUUAAUAUGUAGCAUAUACGGUUGCAAUAUAAAGAUAAUUUUGUGCCAUACUUUAAUAAAUACUAAGUAUCAAGUUGGUAUAUCCAACUUACGCUGUGUUUGGCAAUUUUGAUAAAACUCAUAAUAUAAUAAAAUUAUCCUAUCCUAUGUUUGAUGUCUAUUUAAGAUAGGAUAAAUGGAGACAUCAGGGGAUAUAGACCAAAUAAAAUUAUGCAUUGGGGGAAGUGGGAUAAAGAUGGAUAUGAUUUAUAGCAUCUAUAAUGGGAAAGUUAUUUUUCUCAAAUGACGGAUUUUUUAAAUUAAAAAAAUUAAAAUUAUAUCUCAAUAUAAAUUCAAAAUAACAAAAAAAUAAAAAUUUAGUUAUUUUAAUUUAAUCUUAUUUUCAUUCGUAUAUAUUCGAAUUUAAUUAUAUUUUAAAAAUUAUUUCAAUAUAUAUAUAAAUAUAUUUAUAUUUAUGAUAUAUUUUAGGUAUUUUAGUAUUUUACGUAUAUUAGUAAAAAUUACUAUUUAAUAAAAUUUUAUUAGAGAACAAUGGGAGGGGAAAAAUAAAAAAUAAAAUAAUUAAAAAGAGAGGAAAAUAAAAUAAAGUAAGCAAGAGUGUCACAAGAGAUAGUUAUUUUCUUGAGGACAAGUUUUUUAAAAUUAAAAAAAUUAAAAUUAUAUCUCAAUAUAAAUAAAGGAUGCGUUAAGCUCCACUCGUUCUCUUCUGUCUUAUGUGCUGAGCCAAGUUGCUUGCAAGGCUUUGUUUAGUUGACUAAGCGUUGGGCUUUCAGAUCUUAGCACUGCCAACCUAAACUCUUUUCUUCAACACCUAGUUUAGCAAUUAAGUCUCAUUUGAGUUUGUUUUCAGCCACUUUAUUUAUCCUCAUGACGACAGGCUCCCUUAAUAACAAUUUAGUUAUCUUAAUUUAAUUUUUUUAUAUAUUCAAAUUUAAUUUGAUUUUAUAUAAUAAUUUCAAUAUAUAAAUAUAGAUAUAUCUAUUAUAUGUUUAAGGUAUUUCAGUAUUUUGGUUAUAUUAGUACAAUCUACUAUUUAACAAAAUUUUAUUAGAGAAUGAUGGGAGGGGAAAUACAUAAAAGAAAUUAAGAGUAUCGUGAGAGAUUUUUACCAUCUUAUUUUAUAAAAAUUUUGGUUCAUUUUUACUAAUGUGUCAUUUAUACCAAACAAUAUGCAUGAUAUGAUAUGAAUAUAUCCAACUUAAUUACUGCAAUCACCAAACAGUGGAUAUGAUUUAUCAAAAUCCCAUAAAUUUCAUAUUUUAUCUUAUUUGGUUCUUUCAUGAUUAGAAAUUUGGACGACCAACCGUAACCUUAAAGGUUUUGAAUUGGAUUUCUUGGGUUUCCUUUUUAAUCAUCUAUGAGUUUCAUUCUUUAAUACAGCUUAACACCUUCAUCAUUAAAUUGAUUUUCUCAUGAAAAGAAGCGUUUUUAGAUAUCAAUAUAUUAUGAUGCGGAUGCGACUACGACUGCCUAGAAAUUUUUUGUAACGUUCAAAUAAGUCAAAACAUGGUCAACGAGCCAGGAACAAGAGAUUUGAUGAUGAUUUACGCCAGAAUUUUCAAGAAGAUAUCAAGAUGCAAUGGAUAUUUUAUAAUAUGAAUUUAUAUAUAGUUUUGAUAUCUUCUUUGUCUAGAUUUAGUUAAAAAAAGGGAUAUUGAUUUGCUGCUAAUUUGAAAUAGAGAUUCAAUAUUCUCUCCUUCUCUCGUCUUUGAAAAUUUAGUUUUCUUCUAAGUUAGUAUUUACCACAUUUUCACCACAUCAUAUUUUUAUUGUCGUUUUUUGAUAGCAAGUACACAACAAUUUUGGGAGGCACAUCCUCUACGAGGGUGAUCGAUUCCCGGUCCGGUCUGGUCCAUUGGAACCAGCCACUUAGUUUAAAUGAAAAUUAAAAUAUUGUUGACGCCUAAAAUUUCAUUUUAAUUAAUUAGGUUUUGCUUUUUAUUUAUUUAUUUAUUUUAUAUUUUAUUUUAUCUUUUUUCGAAUGAUAAAUAAACAAAGAAAAAAACAGAAAAAGCAACCCCUCCUGCGGGCCUUCGUCGGCCCAACCCGCAGCCCAGCCCGCACCUUCAUCUCCUUCUUCGCCCGAUUGGGUGGGCAGCACGCGCCGGAGGCGCGACGCCAGAGCAGAAGAGAGGAGCAGUAGCUCAUGUUGUGAUGUGAAUCGUUGCGGAAGGAUCGUUCUACGAAGGCCCAGAUGGUGCGAAUUGCAAACCUCGACCUCCAAUCAAACCUGUGAUUGGCAACCUCGGUAUGAACGUGACCUGUUGACGAACACGUGUCAACCAACCAACGUUAUAGACGCCACGAGCGAAAGAAUUCGCUAUCUCGCUCGAUAAGUCGAAGAGAAUCUUGAUUAGGUCAAGUCCUCAAAAGAACAGUAAAAAGAGAACCUCUCAAUUCUUUUCCUCCAAAAAAUAAAAUAUCUCCGUCCUCAAAGAAAUUUGGCAAAUCCUUUAUAUAGGCUGCCACACAAACCCUAAAAACCAACCCUAAAAAUCUAAUGCGAUAUAUUCUAAAAUAUUCCUAUUUUAGAAUAUUCUUAAACAAGAAUAUAUAUAUAAAUUGACUUGGUCAAUUAUUUGGUGACAAGAUAAUUAAAUUGCACCAAGAUUUCCAAGAUUCUUCAAGAUUUGAUCCAAGGUCAUCUUCACGCCAAAGAUCACGAACCAUGACGCCAACAGCUUGCUUGAAUUGUUUGGCCCGCGCUCGAGUAAUCGAACCAGUAGGAAUAGACAAUGGGUCCCUAGCACCUCCUCCUCGAUAUGACUCGAUGUCCACAUCAUGUUGAGCAGGAGGAUAGCUGGCAUCGGAUGGGACGCUGGUUCGGCCAGCGAAGGCCACGGCGACCGACGGUCGAGCUCUGUCAACCGGCCACCCCUCGGCCUAUAAAUAGGCCGUCGAUCCCAACAGCCAAAGACACACAGAGAAGAUGAACAGAGAGAGAGAGGCCAGCCAAAGCUCAGGGUCCCCUAAGAGACUUCGGGGAGCUCGAGUGCAGGCUGGGCGUGGUGUGGUGAGCUCGGAGGGGUUCCCAAGAGAUUUCGGGGAGCUCGAAGGGCGAACCUGAGAGAGAAAGAGAGAGAGAGAGAGAAGCUGGAGGAGGUCUGCGUGGGUACCACCGCUGUCGUCGCCCUCGUUGCCCCGUCGCCAGGUAGUGGGUUGUCAUCGUUGUUGUUGCCGUCGCCCUUUCCCUCUUUGUAGCCCAGCCAUCACUGCCGUCGCCGUCGUCGUCGCCGCUGCACCUCUGUCCUCUCCCCCCCUCGCCACCGCGAUUCGGAAACCCUAGGGUUCCCGAUUUUCCGGGUCGCAACCCUGGGUUGUCGGGUCGGACCUGGAUCGGGAACCGGGUAAGGAUUCCGCAAAUUCCGAGGGUGGCGGAGGUCGAGUCCCGAAUCGUAGCCGGGUCGGGUAGGGUUCGCGAGGAGUCGGGUCUCGGAGCCGGGUUGUCGGGCCGGGUCGGUUGUCCCUAAACACCCGGCCAUGGCGUCCUUUCAGUAAAGUAAAAAAAAAAAAAAAAAUCCGAGUCGAGCUCGUCCACGUGUGGGUCACUGGCCCGGGUCAGACCCAACCCGCGGAUCCGACCCGGGUAAGCCAAAAAAAUCAAAAAUAUUCCAUAUUUUCCAAAAAAAAAAAAGCCAAAAAAUUCAGAAAAAGCCAAAAAGACUUGUAUUUUUCCAAAAAUACCAAAAAAUCCAAAAAAUCCCUUUUAUGUCCAAAAAAUUAGAAAAAGACUCAAAAAAUGUUUUUCCUCCCAAAAAUGCAUGGAAAAUCCCUCAAACAUCCAAAAAACCUCAAGGUUUAAACAAGAUUAGGUACCGAAAGGGCAUUAGUGAUUAACUAGUGUAAUCAAGUCCCCGAUCCUAAUUUCUCUGGUUGCACAAGAGUGAGUAUUUCUCCCAAUACUUCACUUGGGUUUCUAAUCAGCCCACCCCAAGUCGAUUAGUGGCGACUCCAUUUUAAAAAUUGAUUUACAGGUUAAAAACUUGAACCAUUAAGUUGUGAAUUGGUGGACUUGGGAGAGUCCGGGCUUAACCAAUUUUAGCCAAGCCAUUAGCCUUCUUAGGCGCACAUACCCGACUGCGGGAACCGAAAAAAAGAGGUCGUGACAAAUAUUAAAAUAUUUUUUGGAGUUAUUACAAUUAUAGCAUUAUUGCUAUUGAUAAGAAAUUAAAAUAUGUAUUUUUUUUAAAAGUGUCGGUCCGGUUCCCCCUCAGAAUUAGGAAUCGGCCAAAAAAUUGUUGGAUCUAUUUUUAUGGAACCGGGAAUCGGACUGAUGCCUCCAAGAAUCAAACCAAACCAAUCGAUCCAAUCCAAUCUGAGUGAUCUGAUAUGCUUACCGCUAUCCUCUACACUGUCGCUCUUCACACACUCUUUAAAUCCACCCCAAACACUUCCCCGUCUUUCCCAUGCAUUUGCUAAGACUAUCUCUCUUUGCCAUUUCCCUUCAUGUGGUCUUGGAACUCCAAGUUCCGGUCCUUCAUUAUUUUUUCAGUAAACCACACUGAAGAAGACACAAGAAACCUCCGAAGCUGCAAAAAUCUUGUCUUUUCUGCAGAAAUAGCCGAGAGACAAGAACAGAUAAGUAUACAAAACCCAGCCCAAACAGUCCCCCUCUCAGUCGAACCGCGAAGCCAGGACUUGGACAGACCAUCGAACCACAACCUCCCAAACUUCCCCAUGUCAGUGAGGCUCAAGUACGUGAAGCUCGGCUUCCACUACCUCAUCUCCUACACCAUGUAUUUACUCCUCGUGCCAGUCCUUUAAAUCUCCUUGGCCCACCUCUCGAUCCUUAUGGCCCCAGACCUGGCCCAACUGUGGGAACAACUCACGUUCAAUCUCGUCACCAUCGUAAUCUUUUCGACCCUCGUCAUAUUUCUGGUCACUUUCAACUUCAUGAACUAGCCCAGAAAAAGUCUACCUUGUCGACUUCGCCUGCUAGACCUAGCCCAGAUAUGUACCAGCGAGACCUUCAAGGAGUGGUCGGAGCUCACGACCGCCUUCACCAAGGAGAACCUUGCUUUCCAGUGGCAGAUCCUCAAGAAGUUUGGGCUCAGGCAGAGGACACACGUGCCUGAGGCCGUGCUCCAGGUCCCACCGAACCAGUGCGCAAGGGACAUACGAAUUAAAGAAAUACAUGGAUUCAAGAGAUACAUGAACUAAAGAGACGUAUCUCAUUUUGCUAAUUUUCAUUGAUCCAUUAACGCACUAUAAUUACAACACAGAGAAGAAUCCAUCUACAGGAACCUAUAAUAAAUCUAGGCUUGUUGUCCAAACCAACGAGAGCUUGUUCGAGGACAAAUUAGAGUUUAGGCAUUGAGGAUGAGUGAGGGAAGGGCGAUGAGCUAAUGGCUUACACCUCCGAGCUUUGUCUUCCACCGUUGCCAUGCUUGACCACGAGCACGAGAUCUAGGUCUCAAAUCAAGCAUGAGCGUCAAAUCUUAGAUUGCUUGCGCUUGAUCAAGGACUCAAAUCGAUCUCCAUCUGAUGACGAAGGUGUUGGAGUUGCGGUCAAGGACAGUGGUGAACGAGCUUGAGGGCGUCAGUGGGCAGUUUGGCGGGGAGAGAAUAAAGGACUUUAGAGGAGGAGAGAGUAAGAUGGAGGCGUGAGGAAUUACGAUGGAAAAAAAAAAAAAAAAAGAGGGAAAGAAAGAAAGAAAACAAAAGGAGAAGGAGAAAAAAUAAGAAAUUUUUUAAAAUACCAGUGUGAAAAUACCCCUAACUAUAUAUAAGAUAAAGUGCACCAUAUGAUCUCUUUUAAGAAAAUGACUCACUUUAAAUCCUUAUAUGCAAUCCUCUCCUAAUCUUAGCAAUAACCGUAUAAUAACUCCUCUACGCUCUCCACGCACUCUAUAAAUCCACCCAAAACACUCCCCAAUGUUCCUCAUGCAUUGCUAAGACCCUCUCUCUCUCUCUCUCUCUCUCUCUCUCUCUCUCUCUCUCUCUGGGCCAUUUCCCCCGUUUGCUUUUUGGAACUCCAAGUUCUCGUCCUUUGUUAUUCUUAGGAAACGCCUCUGAAGAAGAGGCACAAGAAACCUCCGAAGCUGCAAAAAUCUUGGUUUUUUUAUUGCAGAAAUGGCUGCAGAAAUGGCCGAGCAACAAGAACAGAUAAGUCUGCAAAACCUAAGCCAAGCUUUCCCUAUCUCAGUCGAACCUCAAAGCCAAGACUCGGACAGACCAUCGAACCCCAACCUCCCAAGCUUCCUGUCGUCAGUGAGGCUCAAGCACGUGAAGCUCGGCUUCCACUACCUCAUCUCCAACGCCAUUUAUUUACUGCUCGUGCCACUCCUCGGCAUCUCCUCAGCCCACAUCUUGACCCUCACGGCCUCAGACCUGGCCCAACUCUCGGACCAACUGAGGUUCAACCUCGUCACCGUCGUCCUCUUCCCUGCCGUCAUGGUAUUUCUGGUAACUCCCUACUUCAUGACCCGACCAAGCAAAGUCUACCUUGUUGACUUCGCCUGUUACAAGCCCAAUCCGGCCCAGAUAUGCACCGGCGAGAAAUUCAUGGAGAUCUCGGAGCUCACGACCGCCUUCACCGAGGAGAACCUUGCUUUCCAGCGGAAGAUAUUUGAGAAGUCCGGGCUCGGGCAGCGGACUUACUUGCCCGAGGCCGUGCUCCAGGUCCCACCAAACCUAUGCAUGGCAGAAGCACGGGCAGAGGCUAAGGCCGUGAUGUUCGGAGCCAUCGACCAGCUGCUGCCCAAGACUGGGGUCAAGGCUAAGGACAUAGGGAUCCUCAUUGUGAACUGUAGCUUGUUCAACCCGACACCGUCCCUGUCGUCAAUGAUCGUGAAUCACUACAAGCUCAGAGGGAACGUGUUGAGCUACAAUCUUGGUGGGAUGGGUUGCAGCGCUGGGUUGAUUUCUAUCGACCUUGCUAAGCAAUUGCUACAGGUUUGGCUUCUUCUCUCCCCUCUCUUCUUCUAUUCUUCAAAGUAUAAGUUUGAUAAUAGGAACUUUUUAUGAAUAACACCCUCAACGAUAUCGAAGCAAACAAAGAAUGAAAACUUCCAUUGACCAAUGAAAUGCUAAAUAUAAGUUGGGAAGUAAGAAUUUUUUUCUUAGGUUCACUAGCAAAUAGCAUCCAUUUUGGCUGCGUUUGGUAAUUAAGAUACAAUUUAGGAUAUGAUAAAAUUUAUUAUAUCCUAAAUGUGAUGCAUAAGAUAAAGUCGGAUAUAAGGGAAAAAUAAAUUGGAUAAAACUAUCCUAUGGGAGAGGCGGGAUAAAUGUAGAUAGGAUUUGUAAUAUCCAUACUAUGAAAGUUAUUUUUCUUGAAUAACAAAUUUCUUAAAUUAACAAAAUUAAAAUUAUAUUUCAAUAUAAAUAAUAUUUGAAUUCUAAUAUAAUAAAUUUAGAAUAAAAAAUAGCAAUUUAGUUAUUUUCAUUUAAUCUUAUUUAUAUUUAUAUAUUCAAAUCAAUUCUAUUUCACAACAUAAAUUAAAGAUAUAAAUAUAAAAUCAAUUUAUAUUAUUACAUAUUUUAGGUAUUUUAUUAUUUUAGGUAUGUUUGUACAAUUUACUCUUUAACAAAAUUUCAUUAGAGAAUGAUGGAAGGGGAAGAAAGAAAUAAAAAGAAAUUAAUUAUAAAAGAGAGGAAAAUAAAAUAAGAAAAACAAAUAAAAAUAAAGUAGGCAAGAGUGUUGUGAGAGAUUUUCACCAUCUCUGCUUGUAAUAUUUUUUGUUCAUUUAAACUAAUAUGUUGUUUAUACCAAACAACAUACAUGAUAUAAUAUAAAUAUAUUCGACUUUAUUACUGUGAUCAUCAAACAAUGGAUAUGAUAUAACAAAAUUUUUGGAUUUCAUAUCUUAUACUAUCUAGUCUCAUCCUCUUCAAAACUCUGAAUGAUCAAACAUAGUCUUUAUGUUGACAAUGUGUCAUGUGAUUUAAAAAAAAAUGCUUAGCUAGCCAUAUUGUUAAGCUUGGAAAACGGACUGCCAAUCCUAAGCCACACAUUUUAAAUGAAAGAGAGGGAGAACUAUGUCUUGCUUGGAAAUUUCCAUGUAUUUUGUUUGAGAAAGGAAAUUUUUGUGGACAUCUUUUGACUGUUACAUUGUGAGAUGGUGAUGCUAGCACCAUUCAAUUUAAAAGUAUUUCAUAAAAUUAGAAUCAUUACAAAAAAAAAAGAGAAAAAAAUGAUUAAGUGACAGUUUUUAAUCUAAUGUGAAAAUAACAGCAUGUUCUAAACCACAAAAAUCCAUUCAACAAAUAGUUAUAAAUUAUUUUGGGAUCAAAUCCUUUAAAAAUUUAUGGCUCAAAACAAAUUAUUAUUUACAUAGUAGCCCCAAGACUGUUAUGUUAAUAAAGUCAUAAAAAAAAAACCAUUUUAUUUAGGUUGUGUCAAUAGUAAAAUUUUAGGUAAUUACUUUCCUUAGUUUACACUUUGGUUGGUAGAGAAGUAGAAGCUAGUGAGUGGUUUGAACUCGGAACAUUCGAAACCUAGAUGUCGUUGAACAAAAUGAUCCACUGAUAAGUCAACCCAAGAUUUAUUAUGGCCCAAAAUAUAGCUAGAUUUGAAAUAGGACUUUUCGCAUUUAUGAAUUUGAUAUAUGACAACAAAAUUGAACAAUUUAAGCUUUGUACUUUCUCAAUUUACUAUAUGCUUUAUCUACUAGGUACUCAAAAUUCUAAGUUUUAUUACUAGGGAGAUUCAAUUUAGGUCUCACCAAAAUUAAAGUUCAGCCAAUGUUAUUACUUCUCUUAUGGGUUAAUCACUAGGUACAUCGUAACUCUUAUGCCCUAGUGGUGAGCAUCGAGAGCGUCACCCUCAACUGGUAUCUCGGCAAUGACCGGUUGAUGCUCAUCUCAAACUGCCUCUUCCGAAUGGGUGGGGCAGCCAUCCUCCUCUCCAACCGGUCCUCCGACCGCCGCCGCUCCAAGUACCAGCUCAUCCACACCGUGCGCACCCACACAGGCUCGGAUGACAAAAGCUAUGGUUGCUUGUUCCAACGAGAGGACAAGGAGAAGAAGAUCGGCUUGUCGGUAUCCAUGGAGUUGGUGGCGGUCAUCAAGGAAGCCAUAAAGACCAACAUCAAGACCCUUGGCCCGGCAGUGCUCCCAAUGUCAGAACAGCUCUGGUUCUUCAUGACCUUGGUCGCAAGGAAGGUGUUCAAGAUGAAGAUUAGGCCAUACAUUCCCGACUUCAAGUUGGCCUUUAAGCAUUUUUGCAUCCACGUUGGAGGCCGACCUAUUCUUGAUGAGAUGGAGAAGAGCCUCAAGCUCACCAAGUGGCACAUGGAGCCAUCACGAAUGACUUUGUACCAAUUCGGGAACACCUCGAGUAGCUCAGUGUGGUAUGAAUUAGCCUAUUUGGAGGCCAAAGGAAG
RNAcentral lists this long non-coding RNA (242150 nucleotides) under Eucalyptus grandis. RNAcentral's name for it is "long non-coding RNA (EGRA_LNC004516)". The record is from RNAcentral. Lineage: Eukaryota; Viridiplantae; Streptophyta; Magnoliopsida; Myrtales; Myrtaceae.